RNAcentral lists this long non-coding RNA (245507 nucleotides) under Hordeum vulgare. RNAcentral describes it as "long non-coding RNA (HVUL_LNC006784)". The record is from RNAcentral. Lineage: Eukaryota; Viridiplantae; Streptophyta; Magnoliopsida; Poales; Poaceae.
AUAAGGGAAACAAUAACACACAACCAUCGAUCAUUCUUAACAACCCGUACGAUCGAUGCACUAAACGUAAGCAACUAUUGUGCGCACGCAAAUUUAAAAACUCUACCGGCAAGCCGGCAUCGGUCAAGCCGUCGGGUAGAAGGGCGAGGUGGCGAGGGCACAUGUGCCCGUCGGCCCGACAACGUCCUUGGCGAGGUAGAUGUAUCCCUGGUCGCCCCAAUCGUUGCUCCACGAGUUCUUGGCUAUCCAAAACUUCUCACCGAACUCCUCGCAGUAGCCGACAAUGGUGACGGCGUGGUUGACCCUCGCGGCGUCGGAGGAGCAGGGGCCCCGGAAGAUGCCGCCGGAGUAGAACUGGAACUCCCACGUGCUGGCGUCGAUGUACACCGUCACGGGCUGCCGCGCCACUGCCAGCGCCAGCUGCCGCUCGUUGUUGGGCGGCACGGCCUUGAAUCCCUUGACGGACGCCUGGUGGUCGAACAACAGCUUGUCCACGUCGCAGGUGCCCUUGAAGCCGCUGUACGGGUACCUCUCCUCUGACGUGAUGCCGCCGCGGGCAGCCACGAGGCCCAGGGCAGUGUCUGUGCGGCCGCCGCUGCAGCCACUGCUACCGGUGUCGCAGUCCACAAGCUGCUGCUCCGACAGAGACACCAGUUCGCCGGUCCUGAUCUUGUUCAUGCCCUCGAUGGCCGCCACGGCCGCGAAUGCCCAGCAUGACACUGCCAUAUACAUGUUCGUUAGUCGUUACUCUACGAGAACUGACCAAAAUAUGUAAAGUUAUAAACCUGAGCAGGAGUUUGCUAGCUUGACUUACAGCAAGAACCCUGAAACUUGACGCCGGUGACGGCGCCGCUCGAGCGCCAGUCAACGCAGCACGGUUUCCAUGAGUCGUAGGGGAGCGGGGUUGGAGGCUCUGGGGUGAAGACGGAGUUGUUGAACCCGGUGAACUGCUCGGCGACCUCGCUGGGGUUGAGAUCGCCGAAUCUGUUCAUGCCGACCCUGACCGUCGUGACGGUCUGGGGGCCGAACGAGCCGACGCCGCCGUUGACCGUUGUCUGGCUGGCGAAAGCGCCGAUGGAGUUGGUGUUCGUCUUGAAGAUUCCGAACCGCUUCUCCUGCUCCUCGUGGCUCGGGUAGCGCUUCGAGUACUUGGUUUGCCACCUCGUCCACCUGGACCUCACCUCGGAUUCCGGCAGCUCCCAUGAUGGCCGCUGCGGCGGGUCUGCCGCGGUCAGCGAUGCCUGCAGCAGGCAGGCGAUGCCCAAGAGUAGGACUAGGCAAGGCAUUGAAGAAGCCAUUUUGAUUGAUUAACUUAGGCUGUGUGGAAAUGCAUGCACCGGGUUAAUGUUUAUAUAGGCGCUUUGGUGAUGCGUGGGUUAGCACGUCGCUGUGGCUGCAGGCUGAGUCAUUAGGUGUGGCCAGCGGAGCUAAUCCUUGAAGACGACUAUGGGUCAUGGAGGUGUGUCAGAUGAGUACCCAGUAGGAUGGUUCAAUUAGCUAGUGAAGGGAAAUGCCUUACAUCUGUAAUCUGAUCCCACGUUUUGUUAGGACUCGUUUCUACUCCCUCCGUUCCUAAAUAUAAGUCUUUAAAGAUGUUUCAUUAGUGAACUACAUACGGAUGUAUAUAAACAUACUUUAGAGUGUAGAUUCAUUCAUUUUACUCCGUAUGUAGACUUCUAAUGAAAUAUCUUAAAAGACUUAUAUUUAGGAACGGAGNNNNNNNNNNNNNNNNNNNNNNNNNNNNNNNNNNNNNNNNNNNNNNNNNNNNNNNNNNNNNNNNNNNNNNNNNNNNNNNNNNNNNNNNNNNNNNNNNNNNNNNNNNNNNNNNNNNNNNNNNNNNNNNNNNNNNNNNNNNNNNNNNNNNNNNNNNNNNNNNNNNNNNNNNNNNNNNNNNNNNNNNNNNNNNNNNNNNNNNNNNNNNNNNNNNNNNNNNNNNNNNNNNNNNNNNNNNNCUUAUAUUUAGGAACGGAGUGAGUACUGAACAAGCGAAACGUUUUCGUUUAUAAAAACAAUAAUUCAUUACACUAAGUUUGUUACGCAAACAUAUGCAAACAUAUAGGGGGCUGCUACACAUCCACCUGCGAAUGUUUAGUAAACAUCCGCCACCUCAACGGCCGUUGGAUGUAUCGGUGCAGCCGUCCGAUCUACGUCCCCGUACCCAAUAGUUCCUGAAACACAUGUCGAGUUGCAGAAACAAUAGUCGCGUUGCGAAAACAGUGAUCGUGCUUCAAAAAAAAUAAAAUCCUGAAACAACGAUCGCGUUGCAGAAAAUAAUUUAUGUAACUCGUGAAACAAUGGCUGAGUUGCAGAAACCACGACCCUAUUGCAUAAAUGUUGUAGGCCAGUUGCGGAGCUGCCCGACGGCGGAGGGCGACGGCCAGGCCAGCGGCAGAGGGCCGUGGGGCAGGCCGACGGGGCGGGGCCGUGGCGCGGGGCGGGGCGGCNNNNNNNNNNNNNNNNNNNNNNNNNNNNNNNNNNNNNNNNNNNNNNNNNNNNNNNNNNNNNNNNNNNNNNNNNNNNNNNNNNNNNNNNNNNNNNNNNNNNAUAAUAACCAUUUUAUUAUCGCCUCUAGGGCAUAUUUCCAACAGCGCGUGGCAAAGUUGUGUCUCAAAAACCCUAAAACCUCUAGUACAUAUAGGAGGAGGGGAGGGGCUAGCCUCGGGGCUCAAGGGAGCCCCUAGGCUGCCGGCCGAGAGAGGAGGAGGAGACCCCAACUCCAAUUCGGUUUGGGAAGGAGGAGCCCCCUCCUUCCUUCACACCUCCCUCUCCUUUUUUUUCUUUUCUCUUUGGUUUUUUUCCUUAGCCGACAUAGCCCACUUGGCCUGGCCUCACCAGCCCACUAAAGGCUGGUGCGCCACCCUUGGGCUAUUAGGCUCACUCCCGGGUGGGUGGGCCUCUCCCGGUAAAAACUCGGAACCCAUUCGUCACUUGUGUUACACUGCCGGUAAUGUCUGAAAUCCUUCCGAGACCAAAUGAAACAAUCCUAUAUAUCAAUCUUCGUUUCCGGACCAUUCCGUAAACCCUCAUGACGUCCGUGAUCUCAUCCGGGACUCCGAACAACCUUCGGUUACCAACACCUAUAACUCAACUAUACCGAAACGUCACCGAACCUUAAGUGUGCAGACCCUGCGGGUUCGAGAACUAUGCAGACAUGACCUGAGACACUCCCCGGUCAAUAUCCAACAGCGGGACCUGGAUGUCCAUAUUGGAUCCUACAUAUUCUACGAAGAUCUUAUCGGUUGAACCUCUGUGCCAAGGAUUCAUAUAAUCCCGUAUACCAUUCCCUUUGUCCUUCGGUAUGUUACUUGCCCGAGAUUUGAUCGUCGGUAUCUCUAUACCUAUUUCAAUCUCGUUACCGGCAAGUCUCUUUACUCAUUCCGUAAUAAAAGAUCUCGUGACUAACACAUUAGCCACAUUGCUUGCAAGGCUUAUAUGUGAUGUUGUAUUACCGAGUGGGCCCCGAGAUACCUCUCUGUCACACGGUGUGACAAAUCCCAGUAUUAAUCCAUGCUAACUCAACGGACACCUUCGGAGAUACCUGUAGAGCACCUUUAUAGUCACCCAGUAAAGUUGCCCUUUGGAGAUACCUGUAGAGCACCUUUACAUGAUCUCAUGGUCAUAGGAAUGAAUACUUGACACUCAGAAAACAAUAGCAACAAAAUGACACGAUCACAUGCUACGUUCAUAGUUUGGGUCUUGUCCAUCACAUGAUUUUCCUAAUGACGUGAUCGAGUCAUCAAGUGACGACACUUGCCUAUGGUCAGAAAACCUUAACCAUCCUUGAUCAACUGGCUAGUCAACUAGAGGCUUACUAGGGACAUUGUUUUGUCUAUAUAUCCACACAUGUAUCUAUGCUUUCAUUCAAUGCAAUUUUAGCAUGGAUAAUAAACGAUUAUAUUGAAACAGGAAACAUAAUAAUAACUAUUUUAUCAUUGCCUCUAGGGCAUAUUUCGUACAGUCUCGCACUUGCACUAGAGUCAAUAAUCUAGUCUCACAUCGCUAUGUGAUUUACAUUGGAAUGAAUCUAACACACAUACAGUUCUGGUGUUGAUCAUGCUUAGCUCGUGGAAGAGGUUUAGUUAGCGGAUCUGCAACAUUCAGAUCUGUAUGCACUUUGCAAAUAUUUACGUCCUCUCCUUUGACAUAGUAGCGGAUGAGGUUGAAGCGUCGUUUGAUGUGUCUGGUCUUCUUGUGAAACCGUGGUUCCUUUGCUAGAGCAAUGGCAACAAUGUUGUCACAGAACAGAGUUAUUGGAUUUAGUGCACUCGGCACAACUCCAAGAUCUGUCAUGAACUGCUUCAUCCAGACACCCUGCUUAGCUGCCUUCGAGGCAGCCAUGUACUCCGCUUCACAUGUAGAAUCUUCUACGACGCUUUGCUUGGAACUGCACAAGCUUACCGCACCCCCAUUGAGAAUAAACACGUAUCCGGUUUGAGAAUUAGAGUCAUCCGGAUCAGUGUUAAAGCUUGCAUCAACGUAACCCUUUACGACGAGCUCUUCGUCACCUCCAUAUACGAAAAACAUUUCCUUAGUCCUUUUCAGGUACUUCAGAAUAUUCUUCACCGCCGCCCAGUGUUCCACUCCUGGAUCACUUUGAAACCUGCGUGCCAUACUUAUGGCCAGGCCGAUGUCCGGUCUUGUGCACAACAUUGCAUACAUGAUACACCCUAUGGCUGAAGCACAGGGGAUGGUACUCAUCUUUUCUCUAUCUUCCGCAGUUCCUGGACACUGAGUCUUACUCAACUUUAUACCUUGUAACACUGGUAAGAACCCCUUCUUGGACUGCUCCAUUUUGAAAUUCUUAAAAACUUUAUCAAGGUAUAUGCUUUGUGAAAGUCCUAUUUGGCGCCUCGAUCUAUCCCUAUAGAUCUUAAUGCCUAAUAUGUAAGCAACUUCUCCUAGGUCUUUCAUUGAAAAACAUUUGUUCAAGUAAUGCUUUACGCUCUCUAAAAACUCCACAUUGUUUCCAAUCAGCAAUAUGUCAUCCACAUAUAAUAUUAGAAACACUAAAGAGCUCCCAAUCACUUUCUUGUAAAUACAAGAUUCUCCAACAACUUGUAUAAACCCAAAUGCCUUGAUCACCUCAUCAAAGCGCUUAUUCCAACUCCGAGAUGCUUGCACCAGUCCAUAAAUGGAUCGCUGGAGCUUGCAUACUUUGUUAGAAUUAUUUGGAUUGACAAAACCUUCAGGUUGCAUCAUAUACAACUCUUCCUUAAGAAAACUAUUAAGUAACGCCAUUUUGACAUCCAUCUGCCAGAUUUCAUAAUCGAAAAAUGCAGCUAUUGCUAACAUGAUUCGGACGGACUUAAUCAUCGCUACCGGUGAGAAUGUCUCAUCGUAGUCAACUCCUUGAACUUGUGAAAAAUUCUUUGCCACAAGUUGAGCCUUAUAAACAGUCACAUUAUCGUCCGGGUCCGUCUUCUUCUUAAAGAUCCAUUUGUUCUGAAUAUCCUUGCGACCUUCAGGUAAUACUUCUGAAGUCCACACUUUGUUUUCAUACAUAGAUCCUAUCUCGGACUUCAUGGCCUCUAACCAUUUGUUGGAAUCCGGACCCACCAUUGCUUCUUCAUAAUUCAGAGGCUCAAUGUUGUCUAACAACAUGAUAGAUAAGACAGGAUUCCCGUACCACUCGGGAUCAGUAUGUGAUCUUGUCGACCUCCGAGGUCCGACAGUAACUUGAUCCAAAGCUUCAUGAUCAUCAUCAUUAGCUUCCUCCUCAACAGGUGUUGCCUCGACAGAGAUUUCUCUCUGCCCUGCGCCAUCAUCUAGAGGGAGCAGAGGUUCCACAACCUCAUCAAGUUCUAUCUUCCUCCCACUCAAUUCUUUCGAGAGAAACUUCUUCUCAAGAAAAGCUACGUUCUUAGCAACAAACACUUUGCCCUCGGAUCUGAGAUAGAAGGUGUACCCAACUGUCUCUUUUGGGUAACCUAUGAAGACGCUUUUUUCCGCUUUGGGUUCCAGCUUUUCAGGCUGAAGCUUUUUGACAUAAGCAUCGCAUCCCCAAACUUUAAGAAAUGACAACUUUGGCCUCUUGCCAUGCCAUAGCUCAUAUGGUGUCCUCUUAACGGAUUUUGAUGGUGCCCUAUUUAAAGUGAAUGCAGCUGUCUCUAAUGCAUAACCCCAAAACGAUAAUGGCAAAUCGCUAAGAGACAUCAUAGAUCGCACCAUAUCUAACAAAGUACGAUUACGAUAUUCGGACACACCAUUAUGCUGUGGUGUUCCAGGCGGUGUCAACUGUGAAACGAUUCCACAUUGUCUUAAGUGAGCACCAAACUCGAAACUCAGAUAUUCACCCCCUCAGUCAGAUCGUAGGAACUUGAUCUUCUUGUUACGAUGAUUUUCAACUUCACUCUGAAAUUGCUUGAUAUUUUCAAAUAUUUCAGACUUGUUCUUCAUCAAGUAGAUAUAUCCAUACCUACUCAAAUCAUCAGUGAAGGUGAGAAAAUAACGAUAUCCGCUGCGCACCUCCACACUCAUUGGACCGCACACAUCAGUAUGUAUGAUCUCCAAUAAGUCACUUGCACGCUCCAUUGUUUCGGAGAACGGAGUCUUAGUCAUCUUGCCCAUGAGGCAUGGUUUGCAUGUGUCAAGUGAUUCUAAAUCAAGUGACUCCAAAAGCCCAUCAGCAUGGAGUAUCUUCAUGCACUUUACACCAAUAUGACCUAAGCGGUAGUGCCACAAGAAGGUGGUGCUAUCAUUGUUAACUCUACAUCUUUUGGUCUCAAUGUUAUGUAUAUGUGUGUCAUCACAAUCAAGAUUCAAUAUGAACAAACCCCUCACAUUGGGUGCAUGACCAUAAAAGAUAUUACUCAUAAAAAUAGAACAACCAUUAUUCUCUGACUUAAAUGAGUAACCGUCUCGCAAUAAACAAGAUCCAGAUAUAAUGUUCAUGCUUAACGCAUGCACUAAAUAACAAUUAUUUAAGUUCAUAACUAAUCGUGAUGGUAACUAAAGUGAGACUGUGCCGACGGCGAUUGCAUCAUCCUUGGAACCAUUUCCUACGCGCAUCGUCACUUCAUCCUUCGCCAACCUUCGUUUAUUCUGCAGUUCCUGCUUCGAGUUGCAAAUAUGAGCAACAGAACCGGUAUCAAAUACCCAGGCACUACUACGAGAGUUGGUUAGGUACACAUGAAUAACAUGUAUAUCACAUAUACCUGGUUUGGCGUUGGUGGCCUUCUUAUCAGCCAAAUACUUGGGGCAGUUGCGCUUCCAGUGACCCAUCCCCUUGCAAUAAUAUCACUCUGUUUCUGGCUUAGGUCCAGCCUUGGUUUCUUCGUCGGAUUGGCAACAAUUUUGCUGCUCUUCUUAGAGUUACCCUUCUUGCGUUUGUCGUUUCUCUUAAAACCAGUGGUCUUAUUGACCAUCAACACUUGAUGUUCUUUCCGGAGUUCUAACUCUACAACUUUCAGCAUCGCGAAUAACUCGCCCGGUGACUUGUUCAUCCCUUGGAUGUUAUAGUUCAACACAAAGAUCUUAUAGCUAGGUGGGAGUGAUUGCAAAAUUCUGUCAGUGAUAGCCUCUUGCAGGAGUUCAAUCCCCAGCUCAGCUAGACAGUUUGAGUACCCAGACAUUUUUAGCACAUGUUCACUAACAAACAAAUUCUCCUUCAUUUUGCAAGCAUAGAAUUUAUCGGAGGUCUCAUACCUCUGGAUCCGGGCGUUCUUCUAAAGGAUAAACUUCAACUCCUGGAACAUCUCAUAUGCUCCAUGAAAUUCAAAGCGUCGUUGAAGUCCCGGUUCCAAGCCAUACAAGACUGCACAUUGAACUACUGAGCAGUCCUCCUUACGUGAUUGCCUAGCGUUCAAAACAUCUUGGUCAAACGUAGCGGGUGGUUCAUCUCCUAGCGCUGCAUCAAGGACAUAAGUCUUUUUCCUAGCUUGUAGGAUGAACCUUAGAUUAUGAGCCCAGUCUACAAAGUUGCUACCAUCAUCUUUCAGCUUAGCUUUCUCUAGGAACGUAUUGAAAUUCAGGGUUGCUACUGCGUGAGCCAUUGAUCUACAACAUAAAAUAUUGCAAAGUGGACUUAGACUAUGUUCAAGAUAAUUUAGAGUUUAACUAAUCAAAUUACUAAUAAAAUCCCACUCAAAUAGACAUCCCUCUAGUUAAUUGAGUGUUAUGUGAUCCAAAUUCACUAACUCAAGUCCGAUCAUCACGUGAGUUGAGUAUAGUUUCAAUGGUAAAAAUCUCUAUGCUAAUCAUAUCAACUAUACAAUUCAUGCUCGACCUUUCGGUAUCUUGUGUUCGAGGCCAUGCCUGUACAUGCUAGGCUCUUCAAGUUUAACCCGAGUGUUCCACGUGUGCAACUGUUUUGCACCCGUUGUAUGUCUACCUUGAGUCUAUCACACCCGAUCAUCACGUGGUGUCUCGAAACGACGAACUAUCGCAACGGUGCACAGUCGGGGAGAACUCAAUUUUAUCUUGAAAUUUAGCGAGGGAUCACCUUAUAAUGCUACCGUCGUUCUGAGAAAGAUAAGGUGCAUAAAAGGAUUAACAUCACAUGCAAUUCAUAAGUGACAUGAUAUGGCCAUGAUCUUGUGCUUCUUGAUCUCCAUCACCAAAGCACCGGCAUGAUCUUCAUCGUCACCGGCGCCACACCAUGAUAUCCAUCAUCGUGCUGCCAUCGAGAUUGUCGUGAUAUCUAUGGUAUUACUACUAAAGCUGCAACCUAGCAAUAUAGUAAACGCAUCUGCAAACACAAACGUUAGUUUAAAGACAACCCUAUGGCUCCUGCCGGUUUCCGUAGCAUCGGCGUGCAAGUCGAUAUUUAACUAUUACAACAUGAUCAUCUCAUACAUCCAAUAUAUCACAUCAUGUCUUUGGCCAUAUCACAUCACAUGCAUACCCUGCAAAAACAAGUUAGACGUCCUCUGAUUGUUUGUUGCAUUUUUAAGUGGCUGCUAUGGGUAUCUAGUAUGAUCGCAUCUUACUUACGCAAAACCACAACGGAGAUGUGCAAAUUGCUAUUUAACCUCUCUCCAAGGAACGCCUCGGUCAAAUCCAAUUCAACUAAAGUUGAAGAAAAAGGCACCCGCCAGUCAUCUUUAUGCAACGAGUUGCAUGUUAGUCAAUGAAACUGGUCUCUCGUAAGCGUACGAGUAAUAUUGGUCCGGGCCGCUUCAAUCCAACAAUACCGUCGAAUCGAGAAAAGACUAAGGAGGGAAGCAAAUCGAACAUCAACGCCCACAAAAACUUUUGUGUUCUACUCGAGAUUACAUCUACGCAUGAACCUAGCUCUAAUACCACUCUUUGGGAACGUUGCAUGGGAAACAAAAAUUUUCCUACGCACACGAAGACCUAUCAUGGUGAUGUUCAUAUACGAGAGGGAGAUCGAAUCCACAUACCAUUGUAGAUCGCUAAGCGGGAAGCGUUAAGAAACACGAUUGAUGUAGUGGAACAGCUUCGUGAUUCAAAUCACCGUCGUCCCACGAUCCGUUCCGAUCUAGCGCCAAACGGACGGCACAUCCACGUUCUGCAUAUGUACAACUCGAUGACGAUCUCCACCUUCUUGAUACAGCAAGAGAGACGGGGAAGUAGAUGAGUUCCCUGGCAGCGUGACGACGCGCUGGUGAUGGUGAUGAUAUGUCCCUGCAGGGCUCCGCCCGAGCUCCGUAGAAAACCGAUCUAGAGGUAGAACUACGAAGUAGAGGUUCAGGGUUGCACGUGGCAAAGUUGUGUCUCAAAACCCCUAAAACCUAUAGUAUAUAUAGGAGGAGGGGAGGGGCUAGCCUUGGUGCUCAAGGGAUCCCCUAGAGCGCCGGACGAGAGAGGAGAAGGAGACAACAACUCCAAUUCGGUAUGGGAAGAAGGAGUCCCCUCCUUCCUUCCCACCUCCCUCUCCUUUUUUUCUCCUCUUUGGUUUUUUUCCUUAGCCGACAUAGCCCACUUGGGCUGGCCUCAUGAGUCCACUAAGGGCUGGUGCGCCACCCUUGGGCUAUUAGGCUCACUCCCGGGUGGGUGGGCCCCUCCCAGAAAAACUUGAAACCCAUUCGUUACUCCCGGUAAUGUCCGAAAUCUUUCCGGAGACCAAAUUAAACAAUCCUAUAUAUAAAUAUUCGUUUCCGGACCAUUUCGGAAACCCUCGUGACGUCUGUGAUCUCAUCCGGGACUCCGAACAACCUUCGGUUACCAACACCUAUAAAUCAACUAUACCGAAAUGUUACCGAACCUUAAGUGUGCAGACCUUGCGGGUUCGAGAACUAUGAAGACAUGGCCUGAGACACUCCCCGGUCAAUAUCCAACAACGGGACCUAGAUGUCCAUAGUGGAUCCUACAAUAUUCUGCGAAGAUCUUAUCGGUUGAACCUCUGUGCCAAGGAUUCAUAUAAUCCCGUAUACCAUUCCCAUUGUCCUUCGGUAUGUUACUUGCCCGAGAUUUGAUCGUCGGUAUCUCUAUACCUAUUUCAGUCUCGUUACCAGCAAGUCUCUUUACUCGUUCUAUAAUACAAGAUCCCGUGACUAACACAUUAGCCACAUUACUUGCAAGGCUUAUAUGUGAUGUUGUAUUACCGAGUGGGCCCCGAGAUACCUCUCCGUCACACGGAGUGAGAAAUCCCAGUAUUUAUCCAUUCUAACUCAACGGACACCUUCAGAGAUACCUAUAGAGCACCUUUAUAGUGACCCUGUAACGUUGCCACGUUUGAUACACACAAGGUAUUCCUCCGGUGUCAGUGAGUUACAUGAUCUCAUGGUCACAGUAAUGAAUACUUGACACGCAGAAAACAAUAGCCACAAAAUGACACGAUCACAUGCUACGUUCAUAGUUUGGGUCUUGUCCAUCACAUCGUUCUCCUAAUGAUGUGAUCCAGUCAUCAAUUGACAACACUUGCAUAUGGUCAGAAAACCUUAACCAUCCUUGAUCAACUGGCUAGUCAACUAAAGUCUUACUAGGGACAUUGUUUUGUCUAUAUAUCCACACAUGUAUCUAUGCUUUCAUUCAAUACAAUUAUAGCAUGGAUAAUAAAUAAUUAUCUUGAAACAAGAAAUAUAAUAAUAACUAUUUUAUCAUUGCCUCUAGGGCAUAUUUCCAACACGCGAGCCUUGGUCUUUGGCUUCCUCCUGGGAUGAACCGGAUGGCCUGGGCUGCUGGUCUUUGCUGGGUUCCCUCAUGUGUGUUUUCGUGACAUUCCCUCCUCCUUGAGUCUUGGAUUGCCCCCAAGCCAGUGCUUGGGGAAAUCUUGAUCGGAGGGCCACUUCAUCUUCCCAUGUAGCAAGUGACAUAGGGAACCCCGACCAUUGAGUCAGCACUUGAUCAAUCUGCUUAGCUCAUCAAAGAACCUAGCGACAUUGCGGGAUUGAAGCGGGCACUUGAAAUGCCAAGAGAUCUUCAUCCACCACCGGUAGUUCGGGCAUCACUUGGGUGGUUGGUGGUAACCCAGCGCUCAGCUGAGACACAUGGAUACUGGGUGCAUCGGGGCUUAUUGUGGCGACACCAUCUUGUAUGCAACCUCCCAAACAUGGCCAGUAACCCAAAAGGGACCAAAGAAACGAAAAGCUAACUUGUGAUUACCUUGCGCAGCCACUGAUGACUGAGAAUAGGGCUGCAACUUGAGGUACACCCAAUCCCCAACCGAGAAUGCUCAAUCCGAGUGAUGCACAUAAGCUUUUCUCUUCAUCAUUUGCUUCCCUCGAUGGAGGUCAUGCUUAAGGAGUGACAGCAUGGUUGCCCGCUCGCAAGUCCACACCACCAAAUCUAUGACAAUUUUGUCAACAAUGUUGGAGAUGCCAAAGAAUCGAGGCUUGUGCCCGUACAAGACCUCAAAUGGGGAUGUCUUCAGUGUGGAAUGAUACGAAGUAUUAUACCAAAACUCAGCUAACGCUAGCCAUUCCACCCAUUUGCUCGGGCAAUUGUGAACAAAGCACCUUAGAGAGAGCUCCAUGGAUUGAUUGACUCUAUCUGUAGUUUCAAUAGUGUGUGGGUGUCGAGCCGAGGAAAUGUUGAGGGUGGUACGAGACAACCUACACAACUCAUGCUACACUUUGCUAGUGAAUACUCGAUCGGUCUGACACCAGCUUGUCCAGAGGCCCAUUCAACUUGAAGACAUUCUCCAUGUAUGCUUUUGCUACUUGUAGAGGACAGAAGGGAUGCCGGAGUGGGAUGAAAUGAGCAUACCACGUCAAUUUGUUCACCACGACGAGAAUUGAAGUAAGUCCCUUGGAUGUUGGCAAUUCUUCGACAAAGUCCAAGGUGACCAUCUUCGAGGCUUGCUAGGGGUACUCAAAGCGGUUGAAGCAGCCCUGGGUACUUUACAUGUUCUAGUUUGGCUUGUUUGCACACCUCACACUCAGAGAUGAACUUCUUCACAAACUGCUUCAAUUUAGGCUAAGCGAAUAGACGUAUCACACGGCUAUAUGUGACUUGGACACCGGAAUGCCCUCUAAUGGCUCUGGCAUGGAGUUCCGUAAGAAAUUGCUACUAUGCCUCCACAUUAGUACCCAACCAAACUCUGCCCUUGUAGUGAAUCACACCAUCCUUGACCAAAAAAGUCCCUUCUAGAGGAGCUCUGACCGCUUCUAAAGCCAGAAGGCGAGAACUGUAAGGGUCGUUCUUGUAGCCUUGCUUGACCAUGUUUAGAUAGUGUGGCACACACACCGAGACAACCUAUAGACUAGCCGCUACUCGUGGUUGAUGAGGAAGAGCAUCAUCCGCUAGAUUUGUUGCACCUUGUCGAUAUUCGAUCUUGUACUGCAGGCCCAACAGCUUUGUCAAAACCUUGUGUUGCCAUAGGGUGGUAAGCCGCUACUCGUCCAUGCAUCAGAGGCUCUGGUGGUCCGUGCAAAUAGUAAACUCAGAAAGCAACGGAUACGAAUGCCACCUAUCCACGGCCAUGAGAAUGGUCAUGCUCUCCUUUUUGUAAAUAGACAACACACAAUGCCGCGGACCAAGCGCUUGGAUGAGGAAGGCAAUAGGAUGGUGUUGUUGCAUUAACACCGCAAUAAUCCCCGUGUCCGAGGCGUCCAUUUCGACCACGAACGGUUUGGAGAAAUCAGGCAGAGCCAACACUGAUGCCGUGGAGAGACCUGUCUUCAAGCAGUGGAAGGCCUCUUGAUGCACAUUCAUCCAAAUGUAUGGGAUCCCUUUCUUUAGGAGCUUUGUGAGGGUCUUGCUAGUCACUCCAUAGUGUUUGAAGAACUUCCGGUAGUACCCUGCUAGCCCGAGGAACUACCUCAAUUCUUUGACUGAGGCUGGGGGUGCCCAUGCUUGUAUCUUCUUGAUAUUCGUGGAUCGUUAUGCACUCCUGCGGCGCUAAUGACAUGCCCGAGGUAACGCAACUGAGGUUGAGCAAACACACACUUUGACAUCUUCACGUUCAAUGAGUGUUGAUCCAGCAGUUGAAAAGCUGACUAUAGCAACAACACGUGCUUCUCCAAAGUUCCGCUAUACACAAGGACGUCGUCUCUGAAGACCAAGACGCCCUCCCAAAGGAGUGGUCUUAGCACCACCUGCAUGCCUUUCUGCAAGGUUGAAGUACACCCCCCGUGACCCCAUAUGGCAUCACCUUGAACUCAAAGUGCCCAUGAUGUGUUUGGAAGGCAGUUUUUGCUUCAUCCUCGAGAUGCAUGCGGAUCUGGUGAUAUCCAGCCCGAAGAUCUAGGCUGGUAUACACAGUUGCCCCUUGCAACUCUUCGAGCAAUUCAUCAAUAAUUGGAAUUGGAAAACAGCUCUUGAUGGUGAUCGCAUUGAGGAAGCGAUAAUCGAUGCAAAACCUCCAUUCGCCAUCUUUCUUGUGCACCAACAACAUGUGUGACAAAAAUGGGCUACGACUGGGCUGCAUGAUUCCUUGUCUUAGCAUCUCAAGCACCUGAGCUUUGAUUUCAUCCUUCUGUGCCGGGUUAUAUCAAUGCGGUUGUCGGUUCCUCAAAUUCCCUUGGUAGCAGGACUGACGGUUCCUCAAAUAAUUCCACAAACUUGCCCAGAAGUUCUUCAAGUACUACCGGAAUUGGAGCCCCCUCGAGAUCAGGUUUGCCAACAGACAACAACAAUACAUGGGCUACAUCGGUACGGGCUUGUAACAAGUGGAAUUCAGCUGCUGAAAUUGCUUGACAAUGGUGGAUGCCCUGCGAAUUCCCAGUCAAUUGGAUGACCUCCCCUUUGUGUUUAAAUGUCAUGUGGUUGUUACUCCAAUUAACCGUCAUCACUCCUCUUGACACGAGACAGUCCAUAUCCAACACAAUGUCAUAAUAUCCCAAUGGAAAAAGGUUGAAAGUAGAUCGGAACUGAAAGCCUUGAAUGAUGUACUCACAUAGCGGCAGCUCACGAUUACAACUCGUUACUACCCCAUCUGCGACCUUUACCCUGAGGGAGUUUUGCAUUGGUUGAAUUCCAGGCCAGGACUAAACUAUCUUAAUGUUGAUGAAACUAUGUGAGCUUCAAGAAUAAACGAGCAUCAGGAGAACCUUGUCACCAAUCUGCCCAGAUAACCUGAACGCCAUCGGGGCCUCUGUACCACUGACCGUUGUAGUAGAUAGUAAGCACAUGUCGUCUUUGGAAAACUUUCCACAGCAAGUUGUGCUGCAUCUCAUGAGGAUGGGGUGAGAACAUGCCCACUAGUUCUUCCUCAACAUGGAGCUGCACUGUGGCUGCACAAGUGUGUCCAGGAUUCCAGCUCUCCCCACAAGUGAAGCACAACCCUCUGGCCUUGCGGAAGUCUUGUAGGGCCUUAAGUUUUUCGUUUGUUGGCAAUGUCAACAACUCUCUGCAUCUCCAAGCGUGUGGGGGUUGGCAAAGAGUUGGCAGUUCGACAACCCCCUGUUAUUGAUGGUAGGCUCACCGCAACUGGCGGUCAUGGGAAGGCACACCUAGGUCGAGCCUGAGAGGACUCAGCUCGUUGCGAUGCCACGCUCUCCUGCUCCUCGCGCACCAACACCACCAGCUCUUCCUGCAAUUCAGCAAGAGACACAUCCUGACAACCACUUUGAUCAUAAUUCUAAUAGUAGGUUCCCAUCCAUCAUACAACUUUGUAGGAAUACAGACUUCUAACUCAAGUUUCUCAUCAUAGGCUUUUACCAUAGCUUCUACUAUAUGUUGAGUAAAAGAUUUAUUUUUUUCUUAAGCAUUGGGUGAGAUAAUGAUGGAUUGCAACAAGGACAUAAGUUCUACUAAAGAACAAUUAUCAUAAUUAAAAUCCUCGACAUCCAAGAUAGUGGGCACAUCACUAGUUAAAGUUUUAACCUUUCCAAAGCCACUUUUUCAGUUUUAUCAUUAUAGUCAUCACCCUCCAAGAAAUUGGGACACUCUCUAACUAGAGUUGACUCAUCUCUAGUCCCAUUAUCAUUUAUUUUUAGAGAAGUAAACAAAGAUUCAAUAGAAUAAGUACCAAGCAUUUUAUGAUAUUCAUCAUGAUUCCGGUAAAAACUGCGUGGAAAGGCUUUUUCUAGGAAUUCCUGCUUAGCUUUCAACUUGGCGGUCCUCUCCCUACUUUCAUUGAUAGACAUUUGGAUAGAUUUAAUAGUCUAAUUAAAGACAUGCUUUGGUGGCAAAGUUUUACUUUUUAGAGUUUCUAGCCAAAUCAUCAAUUUAUGCAACUUUUCCUCUACCAUAGUAUUGAAAACCUUUUAUGAAUUAAUGGAUUAUUCAAUGGUGCUUUUAAGAUCAUAGGAUACCUUAUUAUUAUUUGUAGAAGGAUUUGCAUAAGAAUUUCCAUAUGAGUUCCCAUAACCUUUUGAGGAGUUACCGGGAUAUGGCCUAGUAUUGAAAUUACCUCUAUAGGCAUUGUUACUAAAUUUAUUUCAUGAGAUAAAAUUCACAUCCAUGGAAUUAUAAUUUUGCUCAAUAAAAGUAAACAAGGCCAUGUCAUUAGGAUCAAGGUGAGAAUUUUUAUCACCAACCAAAUUCAUAAGAGCAUAAACGUUUUCACUCAAAGUAGCGAUUUCCUCAACAAAGUUUACCUUCUUACUAGUUGGAGCUCUUUUAUUAUGCCACUCAGAGUGGCUUGUCAUGAUGUUGUCCAGAAGUUUGGUGGCCUCUCCUAAGGUCACCUCAAUGAAAGUACCCCCUGCGGCAAAAUCUAGAAGAUUUCUAGAUAGAAAGUUUGGUCCAGCAUAGAAAUAUUGGAUAAUCAUCCACAAGUUUAAACCAUGAGUAGGGAAAUUUCUAAUCAUCAAUUUCAUCCACUCCCAAGCUUGUGCAACAUGUUCAUGAUCAUGCUGUUUAAAAUUCAUUAUAUGAUUUCUAAGGGAGUUGAUCUUAGCAGGAGGAAAAUACUUGGUAAUAAAAGUAUCUUAACACUUAUCCCAUGUUCCAAUACUAUUACGUGGUAAAGAUGAUAAGCUAGAUUUACCUUUAUCUCUUAGUGAAAAAGGAAAUAACUUUAACUUCACAACAUAAUUAUCCAUGUGCUUUCAAUUUGCACAUCACGGAGUUCAACAAAGUUAUCAAGACGAGUAGCGGGAUACUCAUUAGGACUUCCCAAAAAUUGUUCUUUCAUGACAAGAUUCAACAAUGCAACAUUUGUAUCACAAGCCUCCUUACUAGUGGCGUGUGUGAUAGGAGUACUAUUAAAAUCAUGUUUAUUAGUAUUUGAAAAGUCACACAACUUAGUAGUAUCUUGAGACAUGGUGAUCGAGCAAGCAAAGUAACUAGUAGGACAAGUAAACUAUCAAGCAAAGCGAGCAAAGAAGUAAACUAGCAACUAGCAAAGAUAAAUAUUUUUGUAUUUUUGAUUUUUAUCAAGUAAGAAAAAUAUAACAAAAAAUAAAAAGUAGAACAAGUGAAUGAUAAUUUGUCUGAAGUUACUUGAUAGUGUUGGGGAACGUUGCAUGGGAAACAAAAAAUUCCUACACACACCAAGAUUAGUCUAUGAAGAUCACCAUCUACGAGUGGAGAGAUUGGAUCUACAUACCUUUGUAGAUCUCUAAGCGGAAGCGUUUACGAAAACAGUUGAUGUAGUGGUAUGUGUUUGCGAUCCAAUCAUGAACCGUCUCGCAAUCUCUCGAUCAAGGGCCGAACAGACGACACCUCCACGUUCAACACACGUACAACUUGGUGACGCAUUCACCUCCUCAAUCUAGCGAGUGAUGGUGAAGUAGAAGCCUGAGUCCUCCGAGAACAUGCCGGCAUGGUGAGGUGUUGGUGGUGACAACUCGACAUGGCUUUGCCGUGGGGUUAUGGAGGAGAGAAACUGCGAGGGAGAGGAGGGGGCAGCGCCACGGCAAGAUUGUUGUGUGGCUGCCCCCUCGCUACCUCUCUAUAUAUAGGAGGAAGGGAGAGAGGAGGGCGCCCUAGGGUUACCCACUAGUGCCCGACGGCCAAGGGAGGGGGAAGCGGCGGCUAGGGUUAGGGUGCCCCCCUCCCCCACUUGGGUGCCUUGCCACCCAAGUUGGGUUGGCGGCACCCCAAGGAGGCCCACCCUGUUGGAAAUAUGCCUUAGAGGCAAUAAUACAUUAGUUAUUAUUAUAUUUCCUUGUUCAUGAUAAUCGUUUAUUAUCCGUGCUAGAAUUGUAUUGAUUGGAAACUCAAAUACAUGUGUGGAUACAUAGACAACACACUGUCCUAGUGAGCCUCUAGUUGACUAGCUCGUUGAUCAAAGAUGGUCAAUGAUGAGAACAUCAACACCAUUGUUACACCCACAACCCCAGCUGUUAUACAUAUUGGACUAGUUACUAGAGCUCAUGCACGCCAAUUGAAUUACCAGGUACUUUCGUUUCUUGGGAAUACUUCUAAUGUUCAUGAACAUAUGAUGUUGCCUAAGUUAGAUACUUUUGUUGUGCUCAUGAAUGAAGGAGCUAGCAUGGACAAGAAGGAUAUCCGUUGGAGCGGGAUCAAACAUGGACAAGAAGGUGCACGCGCGCGAGAGAACAAUGGAGCUUCCACUGGUGGUUUUCGCACUCUAAAGCCACCAUAAGGAGAGCAUGAAGGCUUUGGACGAAAUAUUCAAGACACCACUUUAUAAAUUUCGUCCAUAGGCUAUUACAGGUGUUGCACCACCUUAUUUUCGGGCCAGUCCCAUGUAAUUUCGAAAUACCAUAAUAUAGGGUAAUUUUAGAGUCCGUAUGUGUGUGGAAACCGAGUUUAGGGCUGUUUUCAGACCCCUCCUCCAAGGGUCAUGGAAUUGCCUCUCUAGUCACUCAUAUAUACAGCCCUUAGGGCACCGUUUAGAUUUGGGUUUUGUUUAAAUUACAAGUUCCCAAAGCUGCAACUUCGCGUUCUUCGUUUGUGUUCUACGACCAGACAAAGGCGUCACAGAACCCUACCUUCAUCAAUAAAGCUUUCCUCUUAUAUUCGCAAUAUCUUGAUUGCAUCUUGGUUUCUUGCUUGAUCUUCGUUUGCGUGCAGGAAACAUACCUUUGUGGUCAGGUUGAUCGUGCUCCGGCAUGGUCAAUAGCCUCUCGGAGUUGGUUUAGCAAUUGCUAAGGAGCGACGUCCUCACACGUUCCUAGUCGGAUCGUCAAAGUCUACUCCACCAAAAUGAUACCCACGAUCUCAUCGAAAGACAGGGACAACUUCGCCUCUAUCAAGUGGUAUGAAAUUUCCAGGUUGCUUGGUGAGAUUUUACCAGUUUUCGUAGUUAGAUCCCAUUUGUUCUUCAUACCUAUAGUCCACGAAAAAUCCAUAAAAAGUUAGGGUUAGAUCAUCAUAUCCGAACAAAUCUGAGCCUUUGCAUAGUCUUUUCAGUAGUUCGCUUUGUUGAAAUUGCGGUUACAUCGUCGUGUCGAGUUGCUGGUCUUAGUGUCUAGUUCUUUAGGGUUUCGAGUUCUGUUCACAGGUUGUCACGCUGCCACCGCACUAUCUUUCAUCGCUGCCAUAUAACACCUCCACACUACCAUCAUCGCUGCUGCCAUAUACCACCACCACGCCACCAUUAUCCUUGCUGCCAUAUACCACCACCAUAUAUCCACCACAAUCCUUCUCGCCUUAGGUUAAUUUUGAGAUCCUUUUGCUUUAGGUUUCGCGUUUCCGUACCUGAGUAGGUUUCGGAAAAAACGAGUCUGGCACGCUUUCCACAUCACUUUUUAGGCCAAAAUUUUGAGUGGUGAAUUUUUCCCCCUAUCGUUUUGUUAGGCUUUUUAGAGAGUUUUGAGAUACUCGCCAUCAUAGUGAUUUUUGGCGCAAUUUUUGGUCCUCGCAGCCCCGAAUUGCUCCAAAAAUAAUAAUAAUAAUUGUCAAUUUUUUUCAUGCCUAUCCUGUUUUUGGUCCUUGGGAAGAGUUUUGAGACACUCGCCAUUAUAGUGAUUUUCUGGAAAAAAAGCGCAGAAAAAAAGAGUGCAAAAAAGAGAAAAAAAGAUCAGAGUGGCUCUUCCCUUGAUUAGUACGUGUCGUCGUGACUUCAUUCGUGUUCUAGGCUCGCGUCUCUAGUAGGUCUAGCAUAGGACCAACACGGUACCAUCGUUGAGCGUCUUUUCAAUUUUGCAUCUCUGAACUGAUUAUUGCUGACCCUUCUUGCUACCGUAUUAUAAGCCUUUCCAGCUCCACAUACAUCGACAUCGUGUGUUUGAAACCACCUGGCAAUCGCUCUAUCCAAGCUUUGAGAGUUUUGACUACACCGGUUGCCGAUCGCCACCUACUGCUAGGUAAGAAUUGGUAAGAAAUUGAGAUUUGCUUGACGGAUUUGUGACACACCACCACCACCACUUCCUAGUAGUCUGUAGGUUCAUAUUCUUCUGUGUUCCUAUUGCUGCUAACCAUGCCAGGAUCAUACGACGAGGAGAUCGACUGGGAGAACCUGACCAACCGGGAGCUCCAUUAUAAAUUUCAGCAAAUGAUGUCUGACCAGGUACAUGAUUUCGUGGCCACCUUUGGAGAGGCCAUGGACAAGCUCGAAUGUAUGGAGAAGAAAUUCGACACCAAGAUGAGUGCCAAGUUAAAUGAGGUGCUUGCCCGUUUACCACCACCAGCUGCAGCUUAUGUCCCUCUUCAACCACAACCACAACGACUACGAGCGCGACGUGUGCUUGUCGGAUUCUAUGGCUGAGAAGAAUGAGGAUUAUGAUGAUGAUUAUGAUGGUGAUUACGGUGAUGAGGGAUAGGUUGCUCCAGUUCCGCACCUGGAACAACAACCACCACGAUAAGCCGCUGGUCGUCCACAUGGAUACAAUCGCAAUGGUAGGGAUGCACCACACCCUCAGGUACGGGAUCAUGACCAUCUCCCUAAACUUAAAUUGAAUAUUCCUACUUUUGAUGGUCAAUAUGUUCCUCAUAUAUAUCUUACUUGGGAGUUAGAAACAGAGCAACGUUUUACAUGCUUGCAAUUUCCUGAAGAUAGGCAUGUUGCUGCUGUUGUUUGUUCUUUCACUAGUUUUGCUUGUGUUUGGUGGUCUGAAUAUUGUCGAAUACAUCAUGCUAAUAUUCAAACUAGUUGGGCUGCUUUGAAAACUGCUAUGCGUNNNNNNNNNNNNNNNNNNNNNNNNNNNNNNNNNNNNNNNNNNNNNNNNNNNNNNNNNNNNNNNNNNNNNNNNNNNNNNNNNNNNNNNNNNNNNNNNNNNNGAAUUCAAUCUUUAUGGAGUAUUUGGAUAAAUUCGUCGUAGUAUACCUCGAUGAUAUUCUCAUCUACUCCAAGAAUGAACAAGAGCAUGCCGAGCAUCUAAGGCUGGUAUUGAUGAAACUUCGAGAGCAUCGCCUUUAUGCCAAAUUUUCAAAAUGUGAAUUUUGGUUACCAGAAGUGACCUAUCUAGGCCACGUAAUCUCUUGUAAGGGUAUUGCUGUCAAUCCCAAGAGAGUUCAAGCUGUCCUUGAUUGGACUCAACCUGAAUCGGUUAAGCAAGUUAGGAGUUUUCUUGGUCUAGCGAGCUAUUGUCGCCGCUUCGUCGAGAAUUUCUCCAAGGUUGCAAAGCCUCUGACUGAACUCCUCAAGAAGGAUAAAAAGUUCGAGUGGACACCACAGUGUGAGCAUAGUUUUCAGGAACUGAAAAGAUGCCUCACCUCCGCACCUGUGUUGCUACCACCAGAUUUUUCUAAGGACUUUGUUCUCUAUUGCGACGCCUCGCGACAAGGAUUAGGUUGCAUUCUCAUGCAAGAUCGUCAUCUGAUCGCAUACGCAUCUCGACAGUUGCGUCCACAUGAGGAUAAUUAUCCCACACAUGACCUUGAGCUUGCAGCUGUGGUCCAUGCACUAAAACCCUGGCGACAUUACCUUCUGGGUAAUCGUUGCGAAAUAUUCACUGAUCACCAAAGUCUGAAAUAUAUCUUCACCCAGCCAGAUUUGAAUCUCAGGCAAAGACGGUGGGUUGAGUUGAUCUCGGAUUACGACUUAGGGAUAACUUACACCCCGGGGAAGGCCAAUGUUAUGGCCGAUGCACUAAGUCGUAAAUCUUAUUGUAACAAUCUGAUGCUACAACAAGGUCAACCACUUCUCCAUGAGGACUUUCGGAAGUUGAAUCUUCAUAUUGUUCCUCAAGGAUUCCUUUCUACCCUGGUGGCGAAGCCUACUCUUAAGGAUCAAAUUAUAGCUGGCCAAAAGCGUGACAAGGGUAUAUCACGGAUCAAGGAGAAUAUUUUUAGCGGAAACGCUAAAGAAUUUUCCAUGAAUGAUCAAGGUGUGGUAUUCUUCCAGAAUCGUUUAGUGGUUCCUAAGGACCCACAUCUAAGGCAGUUAAUUCUUAAGGAGGCUCAUGAUUCCCCUCUCACCAUUCAUCCCGGUAGUACUAAGAUGUAUCAGGACCUACGCCAGAGGUUCUGGUGGACUAGGAUGAAGAGAGAAAUUGCUGAGUUCGUUGCUAACUGCGACGUUUGUCAUCGAGUUAAGGCAGAACAUCAAAAGCCUGCUGGCACCCUUCAACCUUUAGCUAUUCCUGAAUGGAAAUGGGAUAAAGUUAGCAUGGAUUUCAUUACUGGAUUUCCCAAGACCAAGAAAGGAAAUAAUGCUAUCUUUGUGGUCAUUGACCGUCUUUCCAAAGUGGCUCAUUUUCUUCCUGUUCGUGAGAGUAUAACAGCUAGCCAGCUAGCAGAGUUAUAUAUCUCUCGAAUAGUGUCUCUUCAUGGUGUUCCCCUGGAAAUUAACUCGGACCGUGGAAGUAUCUUUACUUCUCGAUUCUGGGAAAGUUUUCAGAAUGCCAUGGGGACUCACUUAUCUUUUAGCACUGCUUUCCAUCCCCAGUCAAGUGGUCAAGUAGAAAGAGUUAAUCAAAUCCUAGAAGAUAUGCUCCGAGCUUGUGUUAUUUCGUUCGGUAUGAAUUGGGAGAAGUGCCUUCCAUUCGCCGAAUUCGCUUAUAACAAUAGUUAUCAAUCCAGCCUGGGCAAAGCCCCUUUUGAAGUUCUCUAUGAACGAAGAUGUCGAACACAUCUUAAUUGGUCAGAAACCGGAGAGAGGCAACUUUUUGGCCCGGACAUGAUCCAGGAUGCAGAAGAGCAGGUUCGCAUUAUUCAUGAAAAGUUGAAAACAGCCCAGUCUCGUCAAAAGAGCCAAUAUGAUCGUCAUCAUAAGGCUGUGACCUUUGAAGUUGACGAGAAGGCUUACCUUCGGGUUACACCUUUGAAGGGUACCCAUCGUUUCGGUAUCAAGGGCAAGUUGGCUCCUCGUUACAUUGGACCUUUCCGCAUUCUUGCCAAACGAGGAGAAGUUUCCUACCAGUUGGAACUUCCUCCGCAUCUUUCCAGGGUUCAUGAUGUUUUCCACGUCUCGCAACUCAGGCGUUGCUUUUCGGAUCCCAUCCGUGAAGUGGACCACGAAACGCUUGAUCUCCAAGAUAACCUUUCUUACCGAGAAUACCCCGUGCGUAUUCUUGAUCAAGCUGAGCGUACCACUCGACGUCGAAACCUCAAGUUUCUUAAAGUUCAAUGGUCAAAUCAUUCUGAAAAGGAGGCAACUUGGGAAAGAGAGGAUCGUCUCCGACUUGAAUAUCCUGCGUUAUUUCCGACGACUUCUAAAUCUCGGGACGAGAUUCUUUUGAGUGGUGGUGAGUUGUCACAUCCCUAAAACAUUAAGCUAGAUAGCAUUGUGCUCCUGUCUUCUUUGCAUUUGCAUCUAAGAAGUUUUAACAAAAACAACAAAGUGGCAAAGGAAAAACUCUAAACUCUAGCCACCAUUUCAAUUAAAGGAAAUUUCAAACUAGUUCAAAAUCAAUGAACCCAAAAUGGCCUCAAGAAAUGUUCAAACUUUCUGAUAAAUCAUGAAAGUAAAUGAGCAUUGGAGAAAACUAAUUCCUUGGCACUUCAAGCAUUUUAAAUAAAUGCAAAAGCCACUGGUUUCAAAUCUAAAAAUUUGAAAACAGAAGCUAUAAUUUUCCAAAAAUGUUGAAAGUCUUGGAAAUGAGUGGGGACAUUAUAACAAAUAUUUCAGGAGGUUUAAAAUAGUUUUUACUUUUUGUUUUGGAGCUGAAAUAAUUAGCAAAGCAAUAAAUAGCAAAACAGAAAAACAAAAACAGAAGAAAAAGGAAAAGUCUUACCUGACGCCCACGCCAGGCCCAGCCCACCUCGCCGCUCGUCCCCUUCCCCGCGCCAGUAGGCAGCAGGAGGUGGCCGCCGCCUCCUCCGGCGCGGCCACGCACCUGCGUGCCUGCCUGGCCGCCGGUUCACGCUGGCGACGGCGGGGAUAAGCUCCCCAGAGCCUCCCCUAUCCAUUCCNNNNNNNNNNNNNNNNNNNNNNNNNNNNNNNNNNNNNNNNNNNNNNNNNNNNNNNNNNNNNNNNNNNNNNNNNNNNNNNNNNNNNNNNNNNNNNNNNNNNNNNNNNNNNNNNNNNNNNNNNNNNNNNNNNNNNNNNNNNNNNNNNNNNNNNNNNNNNNNNNNNNNNNNNNNNNNNNNNNNNNNNNNNNNNNNNNNNNNNNNNNNNNNNNNNNNNNNNNNNNNNNNNNNNNNNNNNNNNNNNNNNNNNNNNNNNNNNNNNNNNNNNNNNNNNNNNNNNNNNNNNNNNNNNNNNNNNNNNNNNNNNNNNNNNNNNNNNNNNNNNNNNNNNNNNNNNNNNNNNNNNNNNNNNNNNNNNNNNNNNNNNNNNNNNNNNNNNNNNNNNNNNNNNNNNNNNNNNNNNNNNNNNNNNNNNNNNNNNNNNNNNNNNNNNNNNNNNNNNNNNNNNNNNNNNNNNNNNNNNNNNNNNNNNNNNNNNNNNNNNNNNNNNNNNNNNNNNNNNNNNNNNNNNNNNNNNNNNNNNNNNNNNNNNNNNNNNNNNNNNNNNNNNNNNNNNNNNNNNNNNNNNNNNNNNNNNNNNNNNNNNNNNNNNNNNNNNNNNNNNNNNNNNNNNNNNNNNNNNNNNNNNNNNNNNNNNNNNNNNNNNNNNNNNNNNNNNNNNNNNNNNNNNNNNNNNNNNNNNNNNNNNNNNNNNNNNNNNNNNNNNNNNNNNNNNNNNNNNNNNNNNNNNNNNNNNNNNNNNNNNNNNNNNNNNNNNNNNNNNNNNNNNNNNNNNNNNNNNNNNNNNNNNNNNNNNNNNNNNNNNNNNNNNNNNNNNNNNNNNNNNNNNNNNNNNNNNNNNNNNNNNNNNNNNNNNNNNNNNNNNNNNNNNNNNNNNNNNNNNNNNNNNNNNNNNNNNNNNNNNNNNNNNNNNNNNNNNNNNNNNNNNNNNNNNNNNNNNNNNNNNNNNNNNNNNNNNNNNNNNNNNNNNNNNNNNNNNNNNNNNNNNNNNNNNNNNNNNNNNNNNNNNNNNNNNNNNNNNNNNNNNNNNNNNNNNNNNNNNNNNNNNNNNNNNNNNNNNNNNNNNNNNNNNNNNNNNNNNNNNNNNNNNNNNNNNNNNNNNNNNNNNNNNNNNNNNNNNNNNNNNNNNNNNNNNNNNNNNNNNNNNNNNNNNNNNNNNNNNNNNNNNNNNNNNNNNNNNNNNNNNNNNNNNNNNNNNNNNNNNNNNNNNNNNNNNNNNNNNNNNNNNNNNNNNNNNNNNNNNNNNNNNNNNNNNNNNNNNNNNNNNNNNNNNNNNNNNNNNNNNNNNNNNNNNNNNNNNNNGUACGGGUUACUCUCAGAUAGGCGAUAAACCUGGACUAGGUACUAGUGUGGUUAACGGUCGUGGCCGACUCCCUCGCUGGGCUUCCGCUUGAAGGUUGCCGAGGUGCAUGACGUGCACAUGGCGAUAAGUGGCGGGAGCGUGUGUGACGAAGUACACCCCUGCAGGGUUAUGAUCUAUUCGAAUAGCCGCGUCCGCGGAUAUGGACUACUUGGAGACAUAUGUUGUUCAUAGAUAACUUAAAUGGCUACUCCUAAAAUUGUCAAGAUAAGCGUGAGUGUCGUGGACGGCAUUUCCGUAUGGAGACGGAAUGAUUCCAUGAUAGUGUAUUGUUGUGGUGUUAGUGGACUCGUGUGCGAGAAAACAAGUUGUCAAAACUAAUUUCAAAAAGCAAAUGGUCUAGCCAUGAGUCAAAUGCUGGCUUUCCGCAUGAAACCCCACAACACCUUCUUGAUACCUUGCAUGAGUAGUUAGCCAUCCUAAAGUCUUGUUGAGUACCUUCGUACUCAUGUUUGUUUAAUAAAUGUUGCAGAGGUUGCUAAUGACCCUAAUGGAGGGUUCUUCGUAGACAUCGACGACGACGAGUAGCUGGUGUCCCAGCUACGACCUGGCCCUACGUCGGCUCUGUAGUAUAGUCAGGCCAUGUGCCUUCUAGUUGCUUUGUCUGUACCCAGACAGUUUAUAACUCUUCCGCUGGUUUGUAUUUGUAUGACUGCUAUUAUGGGUCGAGAGACCCUUAAUGUGUAAUAUUAUGUGUGUGGCUCUUCCGAGCCUCUUAAAUAAAGCUUGUAUGUUUAUGGUUAUGUUGUGAUGCCAUCGAUGUAUCUAUACAUAUCGGUAUGCCAUGCGUACGUGUGUCUUACUUGAUAUGUAUGGGGUUCGAAUACCUAGUCGUGAACUUUAGUAGUACUCCUUACAAGGAAAUGCCCCUUUGUGAUCCAACGAGCCUUGGUAGUUCGCUACUGCUACGGACACAUUGGUUGACCGGCAUGUGUCCUUCUUAGCUGCUGUGUCUGUCCCCUUUGGGGAAAUGUCACGCGACGUAAUGGAGUCCUUGUAGCUUGCUACGACUCGCCUACGUUCGUUGAUGACCGACACCUGCUUUGUUGGGUCAUGUAUGCCUGUCCUUGUGCGGAACUGCCACUUUGGUUUAUGACUAGACAUGUCGAUCCGGGUUCUUUGACAUUGGAUUGCUAGCGACACUAUCGCAUACGUGAGUCAAAAGACGCAAACGGUCCCGGCUAAGGUAAGGCUGCAGCCGUGGAGUUAACCGUGCGUGAGACCACAAAGGGAUGCGAUGUGUUACAGGCUGGAUUCCUAUGGCUUACAAUAAGAUUGAGCCCUGAUAGUCUGAGCCCUGAGCUCCGUCGAGACCUGCGCCUCCAUGAGUGUGCAAGCUUUCAAGCCCUGGUCAACAAAGCGAUCAGUGCAGAGACUGGUCAUACUGACUUCGAAGCCACAAGGAAGCACUCCCGUGACUUUGGCUCGUCCUCUGGUUCCGCGUUUCCAAAAAGCAGGCUGUGGGUUCCAAACAGUUCUCUGCCGCCAAGAUACACUCCAAGGCCAUCCUACGUGGCGCCUCAGACGAAUCAGGCAAAUCCUCCAGCAAAAGCUUAUGGUGGUCCAGCUAGCAAUGCUGCACCACGUGCCAACCAGGUGAUUUGCUACAAGUGUGGAGAACCAGGGCAUUAUUCCCGUGAGUGUCCUCAGAAUGUGGGUGCCAAGCAACCCGGAUAGUCCGUCGGGCAGGCCAAGUCGGGCAAAGCGUUUUAUGUGAAGCCAACUCCUGCACGUGGCCGUGUGAACUAUGUGUUAGCAGAAGAAGCUGCAGAGGAUCCCGACGUCAUGCUGGGUACGCUUCUUGUUAAUCAUCACCCAGCGUCCGUUCUCUUUGACACUGGGUCUUCUCAUUCCUUCAUUUCAGAAAGUUAUGCACAGUUGCAUAACAUGUCAUUUUGUGAUAUGCCAAUCCCAUUGGUUGUCCAAACCCCUGGUAGUAAAUGGCAAACCUUUAGGAUAACCUAUGAUAAUGAGAUUCUAGUAGACAGGCUAGUUUUUCUAGCCUCAUUUAUAGCAUUGAAAUCUUCGGAUAUUAAUAUCAUCUUGGGCAUGGACUGGUUAUCAGCUCACUAUGCCAAGAUUGAUACUCACUCUAGAAAUGUCCAGCUUACCCAUCCCUCGGGUGAGAUAGUUAAUGUCUCUACUCGAGUUGCCAAAUGCCAGCUCUAUUCCCUAAAUGCCAACCCUCUUCCGGAACUUGAAGACAUUCCGGUAGUCCGUGACUUCCCGGAUGUUUUUCCAGAGGAACUGCCAGGAAUUCCACCUGACAGAGAUGUAGAGUUUGUGAUAGAUCUCGUUCCGGGAACUGUCCCAAUAGCCAAAAGACCUUAUAAGAUGGCACCCCUGGAGCUAGCCGAACUUAAGAAGCAAUUAGAUGAGGCCUUGAACAAGGGUUUCAUUCGUCCUAGCUCUUCUCCUUGGGCUUGUCCCGUCCUCUUCGUCAAGAAGAAAGACGGAACGGAUCGGAUGGUUGUAGAUUACCGACCAGUUAACCUGGUCACCAUAAAGAACAAGUAUCCGCUCCCCAGGAUCAACGAUCUGUACGAUCAGCUCGCUGGAUCCUCAGUCUUCUCCAAAAUGGAUUUGAGGUUGGGAUACCAUCAAAUCAAGAUUAAGAACGGGGACAUUCCAAAAACGGCCUUUGUUACCCGUUAUGGCCAAUAUGAGUACACCGUUAUGUCCUUCGGGUUAACCAAUGCCCCAGCCACCUUCUCUCGGCUGAUGAAUUCAAUCUUUAUGGAGUAUUUGGAUAAAUUCGUCGUAGUAUACCUCGAUGAUAUUCUCAUCUACUCCAAGAAUGAACAAGAACAUGCCGAGCAUCUAAGGCUGGUAUUGAUGAAACUUCGAGAGCAUCGCCUUUAUGCCAAAUUUUCAAAAUGUGAAUUUUGGUUACCAGAAGUGACCUAUCUAGGCCACGUAAUCUCUGGUAAGGGUAUUGCUGUCAAUCCCAAGAGAGUUCAAGCUGUCCUUGAUUGGACUCAACCUGAAUCGGUUAAGCAAGUUAGGAGUUUUCAUGGUCUAGCGAGCUAUUGUCGCCGCUUCGUCGAGAAUUUCUCCAAGGUUGCAAAGCCUCUGACUGAACUCCUCAAGAAAGAUAAACAGUUCGAGUGGACACCACAGUGGGAGCAUAGUUUUCAGGAACUGAAAAGACGCCUGACUUCCGCACCUGUGUUGCUACCACCAGAUUUUUCUAAGGACUUUGUUAUCUAUUGCGACGCCUCGCGACAAGGAUUAGGUUGCAUUCUCAUGCAAGAUCGUCAUGUGAUCGCAUACGCAUCUCGACAGUGUCGGGACCCCGAUCCUAAGCCAUAGGAAUCCAGCCUGUGACACAUCGCAUCCCUUUGUGGUCUCACGCACGGUUAACUCCACGGCUGCAGUCUUACCUUAGCCGGGACCGUUUGCAUCUUUUGACUCACGUAUGCNNNNNNNNNNNNNNNNNNNNNNNNNNNNNNNNNNNNNNNNNNNNNNNNNNNNNNNNNNNNNNNNNNNNNNNNNNNNNNNNNNNNNNNNNNNNNNNNNNNNAGCCUCCCCUAUCCAUUCCCCGCCUCGGUUCUCCUCCUCCGCCCGGAUCCCCUCCUUCUCCCUGCUGCCGCCAUUAGAGCCGAGCUCGAGCUCGAGCUGGCCGUUGCCCUGGCCACAGGAACCCCUCCCCGAGCACGCCUUUAAAUCCGCCUCGUCGCCUUGGUCGUCUCUGCAGAAGCCAAAGUCCCCUCGAGCCCUGCAACGCCCGCAACGCCGUCGUCUUCUUCCUCCGGCCGCCGGACAUCUCCCGUCGAUUCAUCGCCCCCAGGCCUUCCCCGAGCCGUCUGAGCUCUUCUCUGCACUCCCUGUGAGCAUGCGGUGGUUUCCCCUAAGCUUUCCCCGUCGAUCCCCUUCUCUAGCCCUAGUUUCACCGGAGGCCGACGAGCACCGCCGCUGCCGCUCGUCGCCGGUAGCCCUCCGAUGUCCAGCUCGUCCUCCCGUGAGCACCAGAAGCUCCAGGAUGACGUGUAGAUGCCGUAGCAGCUAAGAUCUAAGCGUGGAUCCCCCUGAUUCGAAGCCCCGACGACGGCCGAGCUUCGUCCGCCGCUCCGGCUCGUCGCCGACGCCUCUUCCGGCGACCCUAGCCUCCCCAGUUGGUCCUGGCAGAUCGGCCGCUUCGCGAGCUUGCUGUAGCUGCUAUCCGCGUGCGAUUUGGUGCUGUGUAGCGCCAUCUAGGCCGCCUCCGGCGAGCCCUCCGCCGCGGGUUUGGUCGCCGGCGACCACCCUCCGGUGGCCGUCGACGUGGCCGGCCAUUAGGGCCUAAUCGCCCUCCUCUGAGUCGCUGCCAGAGGGCCCCACGCCUGGUCAAACCCCAAUUAGGGGCUGGUCAGCGCGGGAUUAGUCCCAGAGAGGCUGACCAGUGGGUCCCCCCUGUCAGGUUUGACCUGCACAGGUCGGCUGACCUGCUGACGUCAGCCUGAUGCAAUAAAUAGAAUUUCCAGUUUAAAACUAAUUUAGGAAAUUGCUAAAAAUUGCAAAAAUCAUAGAAAUUAAUCUGUAACUCCAAUGAAAAUAAUUUAUAUAUGAAAAAGUAUCAGAAAAAUUCAAGGAUUCUGAUUAUGCUAUUUUCAUCUAUGUUUGAAAAAGUUACNNNUCAGCGCGGGAUUAGUCCCCGAGAGGCUGACCAGUGGGGCCCCCCAGUCAGGUUUGACCUGCACAGGUCGGCUGACCUGCUGACGUCAGCCUGAUGCAAUAAAUGGAAUUUCCAGUAUAACAAUAAUUCAGGAAAUUGCUAAAAAUUGCAAAAAUCAUAGAAAUUAAUCUGUAACUCCAAUGAAAAUAAUUUAUAUAUGAAGAAGUAUCAGAAAAAUUCAAGGAUUCUGAUUAUGCUAUUUUCAGCUAUGUUUGAAAAAGUUACAGAACCCUAAAUUGUGAAAUAAGGAAUACUUCAAUUCUUUUAAUCACUUUAUAAAUGGAAUUUGCAAAAAUAUCCAAAUUUCAUUAUAAAUACAAUAAUCACACACUGCCCUAGAGGUAAAUCAGUACCAUAACAUGACAUUCAUGCAUGUUAACAUUAGGUUGAUCUGAGGAUCAGGUCGAAUCAAUUAAACCAGUAUCCGAGAAUACCCGUUUGAAUUGCUAUUCGAAUGUGAUUCAAAUCAACUCUAAACUUAAAACAUCUUUUUGAAUUGCUAUUGGAAUGUGAUUAUAAUAACUUAUCACUUGCAUUCUCAUGCCAUGCUCAUGCAUCAUUUUGAUUGCAUAUGAUUGUUAUUGAAUGUUGCCGUUCAUUUCGGUAGGCUCCGCACCCCAGGAUUCCACCGAAUAUCCGUCUGACGGAUAUCGUUCCUCCUCUGAGCAACAAGGCAAGCACCCCUUUUGAUCAUCCCGAUAAAUCCCAUGUUCUUGCUUGUGCACCUAAUUAUUGCACCAGGAUCAAAUGCUUCAACUGCUUUUGCCACGAUAGUUGAACCCACUUCCUUUGCAUGACUUAACCUUGUCACAGUAAAUAGCCGAACCUUGCAACCUAGCAUACCUGGUAGUUGCUUGAGCUAUGAUGUGCCUUUUCCUGCUAUGCAUGCUAUGCUUAGAGUUGUGUAUGGUCUGUCAUCUGGGAGAUGAACAGAAAUGUGGAAUGUGUUCGGUGAGCAAAGGUCGUGUGUUGAACUUGAUUUGGUAAAGGUACCGGUGAAAGGCUGUGUAGGAGUACAUGGCGGGUUGUUUCAUNNNNNNNNNNNNNNNNNNNNNNNNNNNNNNNNNNNNNNNNNNNNNNNNNNNNNNNNNNNNNNNNNNNNNNNNNNNNNNNNNNNNNNNNNNNNNNNNNNNNAUCAAUUUCCACUUCAAUUGGCGUAGGCGCCUGAUAUGUCCAUUUUGCAUCAUGCUUUCAUGUUGAUAUUUAUUGCUUUUUGGGCUGUUAUAUUACUUGUGGUACCAUAUUUAUGCCUUUUCUCUCUUAUUUUGAAAGGAUUAUUUGAAGAGGGAGAAAUCAGGCAGCUGGAAUUCUGGACUGGAAAAGGAGCAAAUCCUAGUCCACUAUUCUGCACAUCUCUAAAUGCCCUGAAAAUUUACGUGGAUUUUUUCUGGAAUAUAUGAAAAAUACUGGGCGAAAGAACGACCGGAGGGGGGCCACCAGGGCCCCACAACCUUGGCCACCGCCACCACCCCACUCGUGGCGCAGGGCAGGCUUGUGGGCUGCCUGAAGGCCCACUAGCCACCCUAUUUUUCUAUAUGAAGCGUCCUGGUAUGAAAAAACUCAAUCAGGAGCUUUUUCGUGGUUUCGCCGCCACCACGAGGCGGAACUUGAGCAGAUCCAAUCUAGAGCUCCGGCAGGACGAUCGUGCCGGGGAAACUUCCCUCCUGGAGGGGGAAAUCGUCGCCAUCGUCAUCACCAACACUCCUCUCAUCGGAGGGGAGGCAUCUUCAUCAGCACCAUCUCCUCUCCAAUCCCUAGUUCAUCUCUUGUAACCAAUCUUCGUCUCGCGACUCCGGUUGGUACUUGUAAGGUUGCUAGUAGUGUUGAUUACUCUUUGUAGUUGAUGCUAGUUGGAUUGCUUGGUGGAAGAGUUUAUGUUCAGAUCCUUGAUGCUAUUCAUUAAACCUCUGAUCAUGAUUAUGAUUAUGUUUUGUGAGUAGUUACUUUUGUUCCUGAGGACAUGGGAUAAGUCAUGUUAAUAAUAGUCAUGUGAAUUUGAUAUUCGUUCGGUAUUUUGAUAUGUUGUAUGUUGUCUUUUCCUCUAGUGGUGUUAUGUGAACGUCGACUACAUAAAACUUCACCAUAUUUGGGCCUAGAGGAAGGCAUUGGGAAGUAGUAAGUAGAUGAUGGGUUGCUGGAGUGACGGAAGCUUAAACCCCAUUCUAUGCGUUGCUUCGUGAGGGGCUGAUUUGGAUCCACUAGUUUAAUGCUAUGGUUAGACUUUGUGUUAAUUCUUAUUUUGUAGUUGCGAAUGCUUGCGAGAGAGGUUAAUCAUAAGUGGGAUGCUUGUCCAAGUAAGGGCAGUACCCAAGCACCGGUCCACCCACAUAUCAAACUAUCAAAGUAACGAACGUGAAUCAUAUGAACAUGAUGAACCUAGCAUGACAGAAAUUCCCGUGUGUCCUCCGGAGCGUUUUUCCUCCUAUAAGACUUUGUUCAGGCUUGUCCCCUGCUACAAAAGGGAUUGGGCCACUUGCGGCACCAUUUCUACUACUUGUUACUUGUUACUUUUUGCUCGCUACGUUUCACCUCACUACACCAUCACUUGUUACCGCUACUUUCAGUGCUUGCAGUUAUUACCUUGCUGAAAUCCGUUUAUCAGAGCCUUCUGCUCCUCGUUGGGUUCGACACUCUUACUUAUCAAAAGGACUACGAUUGAUCCCCUAUACUUGUGGGUCAUCAGCGCCACAGGAACAACUUCAUGCGCCCUGGUACACACUGGUUGAAGUGACGGUUCAAUAACGUCAUCAAGUUCCACCACCCUCCCACUCAAUUCUUUCGAGAGAAACUUUUCCUCGAGAAAGGACCCAUUUUUAGAAACAAACACUUUGCUUCCAGAUCUGAGAUACGAGGUAUACCCAACUGUUUUGGGUGUCCUAUGAAGAUGCAUUUAUCCGCUUUGGGUUCGAGUUUAUCAUGCUUAGGUUUCUCCAAACCAUAGUGCGAAAUCCGAGUCUUGAUCCAUGCCAACCCAACAGACACCUUUGGAAAUACCUGUAGAGCACCUUUAUAGUCACCCAGUAAUGUUGCGCUGUUUGAUACACACAAGGAAUUCCUCCGGUGUCCGGGAGUUGCAUGAGCUCAUGGUCAUAGGAACAGAUACAUUGACAUGCAGAAAAACAGUAGCAAUAAACUGACACGGUCAUAUGCUACGGUUAUAGUUUGGGUCUUGUCCAUCACAUCAUUCUCCUAAUGAUGUGAUCCCACUAUAAAGUGACAACACUUGCCUAUGGCCAGGAAACCUUGAAUGAUAGAGGCGAAGUUGUCCGUGUCUUUCGAUGAGAUCGUGGGUAUCGUUUUGGUGGAGUAGACUUUGACGAUCCGACAACGAACGUGUGAGGACGUCACGCCUUAGCAAUAGCUAAACCAACUCCGAGAGGUUAUUGACCAUGCCGGAGCACGAUCAACCUAACCACGAAGGUUUGUUUCCUGCACGCAAACGAAGAAUAAGCCAGAAACCAAGAUGCAAUCAAGAUAUUGCGAAUAUAAGAGGAAAGCUUUAUUGAUGAAGGUGGGGUUCUGUGACGCCUUUGUCUGGUCGUAGAACACAAAGGAAGAACGCGAUGUUGCAGCUAUGGAGAACUUCUAAUCGAAACAAAUCCCAAGUCUAAACGGUGCCCUAAGGGUUGUAUAUAUGAGGGAAUAGAACGACAAUUUCGUGACCCUUGGAGGAGGGGUCCGAAAACAGCCCUAAACUCAGUUUCCCCACACAUACGGACUCCAAAAAUUGCCUAUAAUAUGGUAUUUCGACAUUACAUGGGCCUGGCCCAAAAAUAAGGUGGUGCAACACCUAUAAUAGCCUAUGAAUAAAAUUUAUAAAGUGGCGUCUUGGAUAUUUCGUCCAAAGCCUUCAUGCUCUCCUUACGGUGGCUUUGGAGUGCGAAAAUCACAAGUGGAAGCUCCAUUGUUCUCUCACGCGCGUGCACCUUCUUCUCCAUGCUUGAUCCCUCCCCAACGGAUAUCUUUCUAGUCCAUGCUAGGUCCUUCAUUCAUGAGCACAACAAAAGUAUCUAACUUCGGCAUCAUCGUAUGUUCAUGAACAUUAGAAGUAUUCCCAAGAAACGAAAGUACCUGGUAAUUCAAUUGGCGUGCAAGAGCUCUAGUAAUUGUUCCAGUAUGUACAGGAGCUGGGGAUGUGGGUGUAACAAUGGUGUUGAUGUUCUCAUCAUCCUCCCCUUCUUGAACUGAAGUCGUCCUCGACGGAAGCUCAUCUUCCUCACCCAAAUACGGCUUCAAAUCUGCAAUGCUAAAAGUGGGACUAACCCCAAAAUCUGCACGAAGCUCAAGUCUAUAUGCAUUAUCAUUUAUUUCUCUAAAACUUUGAAAGGACCAUCAACACGCGGCAUUAGUUUUGACUUGCACAAAUCAGGAAACCUAUACUUACGCAAAUGCAACCAAACAAGAUCUCCAAGUGCAAAGACAACAUGUUUGCUACCCUUAUCUCCAGCAAGUUUAUAUUUAGCAUUCAUGGACUCAAUAUUUUCCUUAGUUAAUUCAUGCAUCUUUAAUAUCAAAUCAGCACGUUCUUUAGCAUCAAAAUUAACCUUCUCCGAAGAUGGAAGAGGUAACAAAUCAAUAGGUGCACGAGGUAGGAAACCAUACACAACUUCAAAAGGACACAUCUUUGUAGUAGCAUGCAACGAACGAUUAUAAGAAAAUUCAAUAUGGGGCAAGCAUUCUUCCCACAGUUUUAGAUUGUUCUUCAAAACAGCCCUAAGUAUAGUAGACAAAGAUCUAUUGACUACUUCAGUUUGUCCAUCAGUUUGGGGGUGACAUGUAGUACUAAAAAGCAAUUUUGUCCCCAACUUAGCCCAUAAACAUCGCCAAAAGUGGCUAAGAAAGUUAGCAUCACGAUGUGAAACAAUCGUAUUUGGCACACCAUGCAAGCGAAUAAUUUCACGAAAGAACAAAUCAGCCACAUUAGCGGCAUCAUCACUUUUAUGACAUGGUACAACGUGUGCCAUUUUUGAAAAUUUGUCCAAGAGAACAAAUAUGCUAUCCCUCCCCUUCUUUGUUCGACGUAAACCUAAAAUAAAGUCCAUAGAUAUAUCCUCCCAAGGAACACUAGGUACAGGCAAAGGCAUAUAUAAACCACGAGAAUUGAGUCGUGACUUAGCUUUUUGACAUGUCGUGCAGCGAGCAACAAAACGCUCAACAUCCCGUCGCAUCUUUGGCCAAAAGAAAUGUGUAGCAAGUACGCCCUCCGUCUUCUUUAUGCCAAAGUGUCCCAUCAAUCCUCCUCCAUGCGCCUCCUGUAACAACAAUAGACGAAGAGAGCUAGCAGGAAUGCAUAGCUUGUUAGCACAAAACAGAAAUCCAUUAUUAAUGAUGAACUUGUUCCAUGUUCUCCCUUCUUUACGAUUCUCCAACACAUCUUUGAAAUUAUAAUCAUGCACAUAUUGAUCUUUGAUGGUCUUCAAACCAAAUAUUUUAAAGUCAAGUUGUGAAAGCAUAGUAUAAUGGCGAGACAAAGCAUCAGCAAUAACAUUUUCUUUACCCUUCUUGUGUUUAAUGACGUACGGGGAAGUCUCAAUGAAUCAACCCAUUUAGCAUGUCUACGAUUCCGUUUUGCUUGACUUUUAAAAUGUUUCAAAGAUUCAUGAUCAGAAUGUAUGACAAAUUCUUUGGGCCAUAAAUAAUGUUGCCAUGUUUGCAAAGUCCGAACAAGAGCAUAUAAUUCCUUAUCAUAAGUAGAAUAAUUCAGACUAGGCCCACUUAAUUUUUUAGAAAAGUAUGCAAUAGGUUUACCAUCUUGUAAUAACACACCUCCUAAUCCAAUUCCACUAGCAUCACAUUCAAGCUCGAAAGUCUUAUUAAAAUGAGGAAGUUGGAGUAAAGGAGCAUGUGUUAACUUAUCUUUCAAAACCGUGAGGGCUUCUUCCUGUGCGGUACCCCAAGAAUAAGGCACAUCCUUCUUUGUAAGCUCAAUGAGAUGUGCAGAAAUGGUGCUGAAAUCUCAAUAGAACCCGGUGAGUCCAAGGAAACUCCUCAUUUGUGUGACCAUUUUGGCUGCGGCCAACUCUCAAUAGAUUCAAUCUUGGCUUUAUCAACUUCAAUUCCUUGUGGAGUAACAACAUAGCCAAGAAAAGAUACUCGGUCUGUGGAAAAGGUGCACUUCCCAAGGUUACCAAACAAACGCGCAUCACGUAGAGCAAGAAAAACAGCGCGCAAAUGAUCCAAGUGUUCCUCCAAAGUUAUACUAUAAAUCAGUAUAUCAUCUAAGUAGACUACAACAAAUCAUCCAAUGAAAGCACGUAAAACCUCAUUCAUUAAUCUCAUGAAAGUGCUAGGUGCAUUAGUCAAUCCAAAAGGCAUAACUAACCACUCAUAUAAUCCAAACUUAGUUUUAAAUGCUGUUUUACAUUCAUCUCCCAAUUUCAUGCGAAUUUGAUGGUAUCCACUACGCAAAUCAACUUUGGAGAAAAUUGAAGAGCCACUUAAUUCAUCAAGCAUAUCAUCUAGCCUAGGAAUAGGAUGACGAUAACGAAUAGUAAUAUUAUUAAUUCCUCUACAAUCAACACACAAACGUGAUGUACCAUCCUAUUUUGGCACUAGAAUAAUUGGAACAACACAAGGACUAAGAGAUUCACGUAUAUAACCUUUGUCAAGCAACUCCUGUACUUGACGCAUAAUCUCCUUUGUGUCCUCUCGAUUGGUACGGUAUGGUGCACGGUUGUCGGGACCCCGAUCUUAAGCCAUAGGAAUCCAGCCUGUAACACAUCGCAUCCCUUUGUGGUCUCACGCACGGUUAACUCCACGGCUGCAGCCUUACCUUAGCCAGGACCGUUUGCGUCUUUUGACUCACGUAUGCGAUAGUGUCGCUAGCAAUCCAAUGUCAAAGAACCCGGAUCGACAUGUCUAGUCAUAAACCAAAGUGGCAGUUCCGCACAAGGACAGGCAUACAUGACCCAACAAAGCAGGUGUCGGUCAUCAACGAACGUAGGCGAGUCGUAGCAAGCUACAAGGACUCCAUUACGUCGCGUGACAUUUCCCCAAAGGGGACAAACACAGCAGCUAAGAAGGACACAUGCCGGUCAACCAAUGUGUUCGGAGCAGUAGCGAACUACCAAGGCUCGUUGGAUCACAAAGGGGCAUUUCCUUGUAAGGAGUACUACUAAAGUUCACGACUAGGUAUUCGAACCCCAUACAUAUCAAGUAAGACACACGUACGCAUGGCAUACCGAUAUGUAUAGAUACAUCGAUGGCAUCACAACAUAACCAUAAACAUACAAGCUUUAUUUAAGAGGCUCGGAAGAGCCACACACAUAAUAUUACACAUUAAGGGUCUCUCGACCCAUAAUAGCAGUCAUACAAAUACAAACCAGCGGAAGAGUUAUAAACUGUCCGGGUACAGACAGAGCAACUAGAAGGCACAUGGCCUGACUAUACUACAGAGCCGACGUAGGGCCAGAUCGUAGCUGGGACACCAGUUACUCGUCGUCGUCGAUGUCUACGAAGAACCCUCCAUUAGGGUCAUUAGCAACCUCUGCAACAUUUAUUAAGCAAACAUGAGUACGAAGGUACUCAGCAAGACUUUAGGAUGACUAACUACUCAUGCAAGGUAUCAAGAAGGUGUUGUGGGGUUUCAUGCGGAAAUCCAGCAUUUGACUCGUGGCUAGACCAUUUGCUUUUUGAAAUUAGUUUUGACAACUUGUUUUCUCGCACACGAGUCCACUAACACCACAACAAUACACUAUCGUGGAAUCAUUCCGUCUCCAUACGGAAAUGCCGUCCACGACACUCACGCUUAUCUUGACAAUUUUAUGAGUAGCCACUGAAGUUAUCUAUGAACAACAUAUGUCUCCAAGUAGUCCAUAUCCGCGGACGCGGCUAUUCGAAUAGAUCAUAACCCUGCAGGGGUGUACUUCGUCACACACGCUCCCGCCACUUAUCGCCAUGUGCACGUCAUGCACCUCGGCAACCUUCAAGCGGAAGCCCAGUGAGGGAGUCGGCCACGACCAUUAACCACACUAGUACCUAGUCCAGGUUUAUCGCCUAUCUGAGAGUAACCCGUACGGAAGUCCGGCCGAGGUUUCUGCCACGGCCUCAAACGAUGUGCGCAGGGUUCCCAAGCCCACCAUCCGGGUGCCACUUGGUACACCGUGCCACUGCCUACCGCAUCACGGUCCACCUCUCAGGUCAGCACCAUGCACGGCCUCCAGCAUUACUAUAAACACCAGAAACUACUUGCAACUCCUGGACCGAGUACUACGCGAUUAAUAGGCCGAGCGGGGUCAUAUUUCAGGGCCCAGCAUGUGGUAGUAUCUAGUCUUGGAUUACAUACACGAAACUCAGUUCCUAAGGACGGUUCCAAUGAAACAACCCGCCAUGUACUCCUACACAGCCUUUCACCGGUACCUUUACCAAAUCAAGUUCAACACACGACCUUUGCUCACCGAACACAUUCCACAUUUCUGUUCAUCUCCCAGAUGACAGACCAUACACAACUCUAAGCAUAGCAUGCAUAGCAGGAAAAGGCACAUCAUAGCUCAAGCAACUACCAGGUAUGCUAGGUUGCAAGGUUCGGCUAUUUACUAUGACAAGCUUAAGUCAUGCAAAGGAAGUGCGUUCAACUAUCGUGGCAAAAGCAGUUGAAGCAUUUGAUCCUGAUGCAAUAAUUAGGUGCGGAAGCAAGAACAUGGGAUUUAUCGGGAUGAUCAAAAGGGGUGCUUGCCUUGUUGCUCAGAGGAGGAACAAUAUCCGUCAGACGGAUAUUCGGUGGAAUCCGGGGGUGCGGAGCCUACCGAAAUGAAUGGCAACAUUCAAUAACAAUCAUAUGCAAUCAAAAUGAUGCAUGAGCAUGGCAUGAGAAUGCAAGUGAUAAGUUAUUAUAAUCAAGAUGUUUUAAGUUUAGAGUUGAUUUGAAUCACAUUCGAAUAGCAAUUCAAACGGGUAUUCUCGGAUACCGGUUUAAUUGAUUCGACCUGAUGCUGAGAUCAACGUAAUGUUAACAUGCAUGAAUGUCAUGUUAUGGUACUGAUUUACCUCUAGGGCAGUGUGUGAUUAUUGUAUUUAUAACGAAAUUUGGAUAUUUUUGCAAAUUCCAUUUAUAAAGUGAUUAAAAGAAUUGAAGUAUUCCUUAUUUCACAAUUUAGGGUUCUGUAACUUUUUCAAACAUAGCUGAAAAUAGCAUAAUCAGAAUCCUUGAAUUUUUCAGAUACUUUUUCAUAUAUAAAUUAUUUUCAUUGGAGUUACAGAUUAAUUUCUAUGAUUUUUGCAAUUUUUAGCAAUUUCCUGAAUUAUUGUUAUACUGGAAAUUCCAUUUAUUGCAUCAGGCUGACGUCAGUAGGUCAGCCGACCUGUGCAGGUCAAACCUGACAGGGGAGCCCCACUGGUCAGCCUCUCGGGGACUAAUCCCGCGCUGACCAGCCCCUAAUUGGGGUUUGACCAGGCGUGGGGCCCUCUGGCAGCGACUCAGAGGAGGGCGAUUAGGCCCUAAUGGCCGGCCACGUCGACGGCCAUCGGAGGGUGGUCGCCGGCGACCAAACCCGCGGCGGAGGGCUCGCCGGAGGCGACCUAGACGGCGCUGCACAGCACCAAAUCGCACGCAGUUGGCAGCUAUAGCAAGCUCGCGAAGUGGCCGAUCUGGCAGGACCAACUGGGGAGGCUAGGGUCGCCGGAAGAGGCGUCGGCGACGAGCCGGAGCGGCGGCCGAAGCUCGUGCGUCGUCGGGGGCUUUGAAUCAGAGGGAUCCACGCUUAGAUCUUAGCUGCUACGGCAUCUACGCGUCGUCCUGGAGCUGCUGAUGCUCUCGGGACGACGAGCUGGACAUCGGAGGGCUACCGGCGACGAGCGGCAGCGGCGGUGCUCGUCGGGCUGCGGUGAAACUAGGGCUAGAGGAGGGGACCGACAGGGAAAGCUUAGGGAAAACCACUGCAUGCUCACAGGGGGUGCAGAGAAGAGCUCAAACGGCUCGGGGAAGGCCUGGGGGCGACGAAUCGACGGGAGAGGUCCAGCGGCCGGAGGAGGAAGACGACGGCGUUGCGGGCGUUGCAGGGCGCGAGGAAGCUUCGGCUUCUGCAGGAAUGACCAGGGCGAUGAGGCGGAGCUAAUGGCGUGCUCGCGGAGGGGUUCCUAUGGCCASGGCAACGGCCAGCUCGAGCUCGAGCUCGGCUCUAAUGGCGGCAGCAGGGAGAAGGAGGGGAUCCGGGCGGAGGAGGAGAACCGAGGCGGGGAAUGGAUAGGGGAGGCUUUGGGGAGCUUAUCCCCGUCGUCGCCAGUGCGAACCGGCGGCCAGGCAGGCACGCAUGUGCGUGGCCGCGUCGGAGGAGGCGGCGGCCACCUCCUGCUGCCUACUUGCGCGGGGAAGGGGACGAGCGGCGAGAUGGGCUGGGCCUGGCUUGGGCGUGAGGUAAGACUUUUCCUUUUUCUUCUGUUUUUGUUUUUCUGUUUUGCUAUUUGUUGCUUUGCUAAUUAUUUCAGCUCCAGAACAAAAAGUAAAAACUAAUUUUGACCUCCUGAAAUGUUUGUUAUAAUAUCCCCACUCAUUUCCAAGACUUUCAACAUUUUUGGAAAAUUAUAGUUUCUGUUUUCAAAUUUUUAAAUUUGAAACCAGUGGCUUUUGCAUUUAUUUAAAAUGCUUGAAGUGUCAAGGAAAUAGUUUUCUCCAAUGCUCAUUUACUUUCAUGAUUUAUCAGAAAGUUUGAACAUUUCUUGAGGCCAUUUUGGGUUCAUUGUUUUUGAACUAGUUGAAUUUUCCUUUAUUUGAAAUGGUGGCUAGGGUUUAGAGUUUUUCCUUUGCCACUUUGUUGUUUUUGUUGAAACUUCUUAGAUGCAAAUGCAAAGAAGACAUGAGCACAAUGCUAUCUAGCUUAAGGGUUAGGGAUGUGACAACGGUUGGGUAGCGGUGCACCGGGAAUUAAGUUCAUCUGAUGCUCAAUCCCUCUAAUAGGUGGUAAUCCCAAUGGCACGUCUUGUGGAAAGACGUGAGCGAACUCGUGCAAAAUGUUAAUGACAGCAGGAGGCAAAGAGGGUGGCAUGUCCUCAAAUGAAAAUAAUACCUCUUUGCAUACGAAAUUAUAGCAAACGGAUGUAGUAAUAUCCAAAUCAGUAAUAUCAGAUUUAGUGGCAAGUAAACAACCAACCUUCAAUUUUAUUUCAGAGGCAACACUAGAUGAUGAUUUUGUAGGCUUAUUGUGUUGCUCAAAUUCCUUCGCUAGAAUCUGAUUUUCACUCUUAUGUAGGUCCUGUUUUGCUUUACUAGCUCUAGCAACGUCAUCUUUCAGAAUAUGUUUAGGAGACAUAGGAAGCAAGGUUUUAUUUUGAUCCUUAUGAACAAGAGUAUAUUGAUUUGUUCUACCAUCGUGUACAGAAUUUGUAUCAAAUUGGCAUGGUCUACCAUGUAAAACGGAGCAUGCUUGCAUGGGUACCACAUCACAAUCAACAAAAUCCGAAUAUGCAGCAAUGCUAAAAUGCACACGGACAAUACGUGUUACCUUAACCUUGCCAUUGUUGUUGAACCACUGGAUAUAAUAAGGAUGAGGAUGUGGUCUGGUGGUGAGAGAUAGCUUCUCCACCAUCUCCAUGCUAGCUAAGUUGUUGCAACUCCCUCCAUCGAGGAUUACGCGAAUAGAACGUUCCUUUACCACUCCCUUAGUAUCGAACAAGUUGUGCCUCCGAUUUUGCUCAUCCUGUGUUACCUGCACACUUAACACACGUUGAGAAACUAAGCUUUCAUACCUGUCACCAUAGCUAGAAGCCAUGUAUUGUGUCUCUUGUUCAGUAUCAUCUACACCCCAUUCUUCACUUGCAAUAAGAGAUAGAGUCUCCUCGUCGUAAUCACUAGCGGAGUCAUAUCCACCAUCCUCCGUAAUAGUCAUCACGCGCUUGGAUGGGCAGUCUCUCGCAUAAUGACCUCCACCCUUGCAACGACGACAAAUAACCUCAUGUGUUUGCCAUGUGGAUGCCAUGGAUGAAGAAGAGCUAUGUGCAGGCCUGGAAGGUGUGCUAUUGGCUAAGCUUGUGGCAGGGGCCUGUUUCCUGGUAUCUCUGGUGGAAUGGCUGAAGUAGGCGGUGCUGAUGUAGAAGGACGUGUGGAAGUAGAUGUGGUUCAUGGCGUCCAUGAGGAAGUGCGACCUGUAGAAAAAAUUAGUUCUCGCCAAUGUGUGUCUAUCAUGCACUUCACGUCCAGCUUUCCAAGCAAGAUGAAAUAAACGAGUGAUAGUGUUAUAAUCCUUAUAUUCGAGAAUAGUCUGAAUAUCUCUAUUUAAUCCACCUAUGAAACGUGCAAGCAUAGAUUCAUUAUCCUCAACAAUACCACAUCUAAACAUUCCAGCUUGUAAUUCAUGAUAAUAUUCUUCUACAGACUUUUUGCCUUGUCUUAAACGAUGUAUGUUUUGAAGUAAUCCAUGUUGAUAAUAUGGUGGAACCCAACGAGUNNNNNNNNNNNNNNNNNNNNNNNNNNNNNNNNNNNNNNNNNNNNNNNNNNNNNNNNNNNNNNNNNNNNNNNNNNNNNNNNNNNNNNNNNNNNNNNNNNNNNNNNNNNNNNNNNNNNNNNNNNNNNNNNNNNNNNNNNNNNNNNNNNNNNNNNNNNNNNNNNNNNNNNNNNNNNNNNNNNNNNNNNNNNNNNNNNNNNNNNNNNNNNNNNNNNNNNNNNNNNNNNNNNNNNNNNNNNNNNNNNNNNNNNNNNNNNNNNNNNNNNNNNNNNNNNNNNNNNNNNNNNNNNNNNNNNCUAACUCCCAAGUAAGAUAUAUAUGAGGAACAUAUUGACCAUCAAAAGUAGGAAUAUUCAAUUUAAGUUUAGGGAGAUGGUCAUGAUCCCGUACCUGAGGGUGUGGUGCAUCCCUACCAUUGCGAUUGUAUCCAUGUGGACGACCAGCGGCUUAUCGUGGUGGUUGUUGUUCCAGGUGCGGAACUGGAGCAACCUAUCCCUCAUCACCGUAAUCACCAUCAUAAUCAUCAUCAUAAUCCUCAUUCUUCUCAGCCAUAGAAUCCGACAAGCACACGUCGCGCUCGUAGUCGUUGUGGUUGUGGUUGAAGAGGGACAUAAGCUGCAGCUGGUGGUGGUAAACGGGCAAGCACCUCAUUUAACUUGGCACUCAUCUUGGUGUCGAAUUUCUUCUCCAUACAUUCGAGCUUGUCCAUGGCCUCUCCAAAGGUGGCCACGAAAUCAUGUACCUGGUCAGACAUCAUUUGCUGAAAUUUAUAAUGGAGCUCCCGGUUGGUCAGGUUCUCCCAGUCGAUCUCCUCGUCGUAUGAUCCUGGCAUGGUUAGCAGCAAUAGGAACACAGAAGAAUAUGAACCUACAGACUACUAGGAAGUGGUGGUGGUGGUGUGUCACAAAUCCGUCAAGCAAAUCUCAAUUUCUUACCAAUUCUUACCUAGCAGUAGGUGGCGAUCGGCAACCGGUGUAGUCAAAACUCUCAAAGCUUGGAUAGAGCGAUUGCCAGGUGGUUUCAAACACACGAUGUCGAUGUAUGUGGAGCUGGAAAGGCUUAUAAUACGGUAGCAAGAAGGGUCAGCAAUAAUCAGUUCAGAGAUGCAAAAUUGAAAAGACGCUCAACGAUGGUACCGUGUUGGUCCUAUGCUAGACCUACUAGAGACGCGAGCCUAGAACACGAAUGAAGUCACGACGACACGUACUAAUCAAGGGAAGAGCCACUCUGAUCUUUUUUUCUCUUUUUUUGCACUCUUUUUUUCUGCGCUUUUUUUCCAGAAAAUCACUAUAAUGGCGAGUGUCUCAAAACUCUUCCCAAGGACCAAAAACAGGAUAGGCAUGAAAAAAAUUGACAAUUAUUAUUAUUAUUUUUGGAGCAAUUCGGGGCUGCGAGGACCAAAAAUUGCGCCAAAAAUCACUAUGAUGGCGAGUAUCUCAAAACUCUCUAAAAAGCCUAACAAAACGAUAGGGGGAAAAAUUCACCACUCAAAAUUUUGGCCUAAAAAGUGAUGUGGAAAGCGUGCCAGACUCGUUUUUUCCGAAACCUACUCAGGUACGGAAACGCGAAACCUAAAGCAAAAGGAUCUCAAAAUUAACCUAAGGCGAGAAGGAUUGUGGUGGAUAUAUGGUGGUGGUAUAUGGCAGCAAGGAUAAUGGUGGCGUGGUGGUGGUAUAUGGCAGCAGCGAUGAUGGUAGUGUGGAGGUGUUAUAUGGCAGCGAUGAAAGAUAGUGCGGUGGCAGCGUGACAACCUGUGAACAGAACUCGAAACCCUAAAGAACUAGACACUAAGACCAGCAACUCGACACGACGAUGUAACCGCAAUUUCAACAAAGCGAACUACUGAAAAGACUAUGCAAAGGCUCAGAUUUGUUCGGAUAUGAUGAUCUAACCCUAACUUUUUAUGGAUUUUUCGUGGACUAUAGGUAUGAAGAACAAAUGGGAUCUAACUACGAAAACUGGUAAAAUCUCACCAAGCAACCUGGAAAUUUCAUACCACUUGAUAGAGGCGAAGUUGUCCCUGUCUUUCGAUGAGAUCGUGGGUAUCAUUUUGGUGGAGUAGACUUUGACGAUCCGACUAGGAACGUGUGAGGACGUCGCUCCUUAGCAAUUGCUAAACCAACUCCGAGAGGCUAUUGACCAUGCCGGAGCACGAUCAACCUGACCACAAAGGUAUGUUUCCUGCACGCAAACGAAGAUCAAGCAAGAAACCAAGAUGCAAUCAAGAUAUUGCGAAUAUAAGAGGAAAGCUUUAUUGAUGAAGGUAGGGUUCUGUGACGCCUUUGUCUGGUCGUAGAACACAAACGAAGAACGCGAAGUUGCAGCUUUGGGAACUUGUAAUUUAAACAAAACCCAAAUCUAAACGGUGCCCUAAGGGCUGUAUAUAUGAGUGACUAGAGAGGCAAUUCCAUGACCCUUGGAGGAGGGGUCUGAAAACAGCCCUAAACUCGGUUUCCACACACAUACGGACUCUAAAAUUACCCUAUAUUAUGGUAUUUCGAAAUUACAUGGGACUGGCCCGAAAAUAAGGUGGUGCAACACCUGUAAUAGCCUAUGGACGAAAUUUAUAAAGUGGUGUCUUGAAUAUUUCGUCCAAAGCCUUCAUGCUCUCCUUAUGGUGGCUUUAGAGUGCGAAAACCACCAGUGGAAGCUCCAUUGUUCUCUCGCGCGCGUGCACCUUCUUGUCCAUGUUUGAUCCCGCUCCAACGGAUAUCCUUCUUGUCCAUGCUAGCUCCUUCAUUCAUGAGCACAACAAAAGUAUCUAACUUAGGCAACAUCAUAUGUUCAUGAACAUUAGAAGUAUUCCCAAGAAACGAAAGUACCUGGUAAUUCAAUUGGCGUGCAUGAGCUCUAGUAACUAGUCCAAUAUGUAUAACAGCUGGGGUUGUGGGUGUAACAAUGGUGUUGAUGUUCUCAUCAUUGACCAUCUUUGAUCAACGAGCUAGUCAACUAGAGGCUCACUAGGACAGUGUGUUGUCUAUGUAUCCACACAUGUAUUUGAGUUUCCAAUCAAUACAAUUCUAGCACGGAUAAUAAACGAUUAUCAUGAACAAGGAAAUAUAAUAAUAACUAAUGUAUUAUUGCCUCUAAGGCAUAUUUCCAACAGGGUGGGCCUCCUUGGGGUGCCGCCAACCCAACUUGGGUGGCAAGGCACCCAAGUGGGGGAGGGGGGCGACCCUAACCCUAGCCGCCGCUUCCCCCUCCCUUGGCCGUCGGGCACUAGUGGGUAACCCUAGGGCGCCCUCCUCUCUCCCUUCCUCCUAUAUAUAGAGAGGUAGCGAGGGGGCAGCCACACAACAAUCUUGCCGUGGCGCUGCCCCCUCCUCUCCCUCGCAGUUUCUCUCCUCCAUAACCCCACGGCAAAGCCAUGUCGAGUUGUCACCACCAACACCUCACCAUGCCGGCAUGUUCUCGGAGGACUCAGGCUUCUACUUCACCAUCACUCGCUAGAUUGAGGAGGUGAAUGCGUCACCAAGUUGUACGUGUGUUGAACGUGGAGGUGUCGUCUGUUCGGCCCUUGAUCGAGAGAUUGCGAGACGGUUCAUGAUUGGAUCGCAAACACAUACCACUACAUCAACUGUUUUCGUAAACGCUUCCGCUUAGAGAUCUACAAAGGUAUGUAGAUCCAAUCUCUCCACUCGUAGAUGGUGAUCUUCAUAGACUAAUCUUGGUGUGUGUAGGAAUUUUUUGUUUCCCAUGCAACGUUCCCCAACACUAUCAAGUAACUUCAGACAAAUUAUCAUUCACUUGUUCUACUUUUUAUUUUUUGUUAUAUUUUUCUUACUUGAUAAAAAUCAAAAAUAAAAAAAUAUUUAUCUUUGCUAGUUGCUAGUUUACUUCUUUGCUCGCUUUGCUUGAUAGUUUACUUGUCCUACUAGUUACUUUGCUUGCUCGAUCACCAUGUCUCAAGAUACUACUAAGUUGUGUGACUUUUCAAAUACUAAUAAACAUGAUUUUAAUAGUACUCCUAUCACACACGCCACUAGUAAGGAGGCUUGUGAUACAAAUGUUGCAUUGUUGAAUCUUGUCAUGAAAGAACAAUUUUUGGGAAGUCCUAAUGAGUAUCCCGCUACUCGUCUUGAUAACUUUGUUGAACUCCGUGAUGUGCAAAUUGAAAGCACAUGGAUAAUUAUGUUGUGAAGUUAAAGUUAUUUCCUUUUUCACUAAGAGAUAAAGGUAAAUCUAGCUUAUCAUCUUUACCACGUAAUAGUAUUGGAACAUGGGAUAAGUGUUAAGAUACUUUUAUUACCAAGUAUUUUCCUCCUGCUAAGAUCAACUCCCUUAGAAAUCAUAUAAUGAAUUUUAAACAGCAUGAUCAUGAACAUGUUGCACAAGCUUGGGAGUGGAUGAAAUUGAUGAUUAGAAAUUUCCCUACUCAUGGUUUAAACUUGUGGAUGAUUAUCCAAUAUUUCUAUGCUGGACCAAACUUUCUAUCUAGAAAUCUUCUAGAUUUUGCCGCAGGGGGUACUUUCAUUGAGGUGACCUUAGGAGAGGCCACCAAACUUCUGGACAACAUCAUGACAAGCCACUCUGAGUGGCAUAAUAAAAGAGCUCCAACUAGUAAGAAGGUAAACUUUGUUGAGGAAAUCGCUACUUUGAGUGAAAACGUUUAUGCUCUUAUGAAUUUGGUUGGUGAUAAAAAUUCUCACCUUGAUCCUAAUGACAUGGCCUUGUUUACUUUUAUUGAGCAAAAUUAUAAUUCCAUGGAUGUGAAUUUUAUCUCAUGAAAUAAAUUUAGUAACAAUGCCUAUAGAGGUAAUUUCAAUACUAGGCCAUAUCCCGGUAACUCCUCAAAAGGUUAUGGGAACUCAUAUGGAAAUUCUUAUGCAAAUCCUUCUACAAAUAAUAAUAAGGUAUCCUAUGAUCUUAAAAGCACCAUUGAAUAAUCCAUUAAUUCAUAAAAGGUUUUCAAUACUAUGGUAGAGGAAAAGUUGCAUAAAUUGAUGAUUUGGCUAGAAACUCUAAAAAGUAAAACUUUGCCACCAAAGCAUGUCUUUAAUUAGACUAUUAAAUCUAUCCAAAUGUCUAUCAAUGAAAGUAGGGAGAGGACCGCCAAGUUGAAAGCUAAGCAGGAAUUCCUAGAAAAAGCCUUUCCACGCAGUUUUUACCGGAAUCAUGAUGAAUAUCAUAAAAUGCUUGGUACUUAUUCUAUUGAAUCUUUGUUUACUUCUCUAAAAAUAAAUGAUAAUGGGACUAGAGAUGAGUCAACUCUAGUUAGAGAGUGUCCCAAUUUCUUGGAGGGUGAUGACUAUAAUGAUAAAACUGAAAAAGUGGCUUUGGAAAGGUUAAAACUUUAACUAGUGAUGUGCCCACUAUCUUGGAUGUCGAGGAUUUUAAUUAUGAUAAUUGUUCUUUAGUAGAACUUAUGUCCUUGUUGCAAUCCAUCAUUAUCUCACCCAAUGCUUAAGAAAAAAAUAAAUCUUUUACUCAACAUAUAGUAGAAGCUAUGGUAAAAGCCUAUGAUGAGAAACUUGAGUUAGAAGUCUGUAUUCCUACAAAGUUGUAUGAUGGAUGGGAACCUACUAUUAGAAUUAUGAUCAAAGUGGUUGUCAGGAUGUGUCUCUUGCUGAAUUGCAGGAAGAGCUGGUGGUGUUGGUGCGCGAGGAGCAGGAGAGCGUGGCAUCGCAACGAGCUGAGUCCUCUCAGGCUCGACCUAGGUGUGCCUUCCCAUGACCGCCAGUUGCGGUGAGCCUACCAUCAAUAACAGGGGGUUGUCGAACUGCCAACUCUUUGCCAACCCCCACACGCUUGGAGAUGCAGAGAGUUGUUGACAUUGCCAACAAACGAAAAACUUAAGGCCCUACAAGACUUCCGCAAGGCCAGAGGGUUGUGCUUCACUUGUGGGGAGAGCUGGAAUCCUGGACACACUUGUGCAGCCACAGUGCAGCUCCAUGUUGAGGAAGAACUAGUGGGCAUGUUCUCACCCCAUCCUCAUGAGAUGCAGCACAACUUGCUGUGGAAAGUUUUCCAAAGACGACAUGUGCUUACUAUCUACUACAACGGUCAGUGGUACAGAGGCCCCGAUGGCGUUCAGGUUAUCUGGGCAGAUUGGUGACAAGGUUCUCCUGAUGCUCGUUUAUUCUUGAAGCUCACAUAGUUUCAUCAACAUUAAGAUAGUUUAGUCCUGGCCUGGAAUUCAACCAAUGCAAAACUCCCUCAGGGUAAAGGUCGCAGAUGGGGUAGUAACGAGUUGUAAUCGUGAGCUGCCGCUAUGUGAGUACAUCAUUCAAGGCUUUCAGUUCCGAUCUACUUUCAACCUUUUUCCAUUGGGAUAUUAUGACAUUGUGUUGGAUAUGGACUGUCUCGUGUCAAGAGGAGUGAUGACGGUUAAUUGGAGUAACAACCACAUGACAUUUAAACACAAAGGGGAGGUCAUCCAAUUGACUGGGAAUUCGCAGGGCAUCCACCAUUGUCAAGCAAUUUCAGCAGCUGAAUUCCACUUGUUACAAGCCCGUACCGAUGUAGCCCAUGUAUUGUUGUUGUCUGUUGGCAAACCUGAUCUCGAGGGGGCUCCAAUUCCGGUAGUACUUGAAGAACUUCUGGGCAAGUUUGUGGAAUUAUUUGAGGAACCGUCAGUCCUGCUACCAAGGGAAUUUGAGGAACCGACAACCGCAUUGAUAUAACCCGGCACAGAAGGAUGAAAUCAAAGCUCAGGUGCUUGAGAUGCUAAGACAAGGAAUCAUGCAGCCCAGUCGUAGCCCAUUUUUGUCACACAUGUUGUUGGUGCACAAGAAAGAUGGCGAAUGGAGGUUUUGCAUCGAUUAUCGCUUCCUCAAUGCGAUCACCAUCAAGAGCUGUUUUCCAAUUCCAAUUAUUGAUGAAUUGCUCGAAGAGUUGCAAGGGGCAACUGUGUAUACCAGCCUAGAUCUUCGGGCUGGAUAUCACCAGAUCCGCAUGCAUCUCGAGGAUGAAGCAAAAACUGCCUUCCAAACACAUCAUGGGCACUUUGAGUUCAAGGUGAUGCCAUAUGGGGUCACGGGGGGUGUACUUCAACCUUGCAGAAAGGCAUGCAGGUGGUGCUAAGACCACUCCUUUGGGAGGGCGUCUUGGUCUUCAGAGACGACGUCCUUGUGUAUAGCGGAACUUUGGAGAAGCACGUGUUGUUGCUAUAGUCAGCUUUUCAACUGCUGGAUCAACACUCAUUGAACGUGAAGAUGUCAAAGUGUGUGUUUGCUCAACCUCAGUUGCGUUACCUCGGGCAUGUCAUUAGCGCCGCAGGAGUGCAUAACGAUCCACGAAUAUCAAGAAGAUACAAGCAUGGGCACCCCCAGCCUCAGUCAAAGAAUUGAGGUAGUUCCUCGGGCUAGCAGGGUACUACCGGAAGUUCUUCAAACACUAUGGAGUGACUAGCAAGACCCUCACAAAGCUCCUAAAGAAAGGGAUCCCAUACAUUUGGAUGAAUGUGCAUCAAGAGGCCUUCCACUGCUUGAAGACAGGUCUCUCCACGGCAUCAGUGUUGGCUCUGCCUGAUUUCUCCAAACCGUUCGUGGUCGAAAUGGACGCCUCGGACACGGGGAUUAUUGCGGUGUUAAUGCAACAACACCAUCCUAUUGCCUUCCUCAUCCAAGCGCUUGGUCCGCGGCAUUGUGUGUUGUCUAUUUACAAAAAGGAGAGCAUGACCAUUCUCAUGGCCGUGGAUAGGUGGCAUUCGUAUCCGUUGCUUUCUGAGUUUACUAUUUGCACGGACCACCAGAGCCUCUGAUGCAUGGACGAGUAGCGGCUUACCACCCUAUGGCAACACAAGGUUUUGACAAAGCUGUUGGGCCUGCAGUACAAGAUCGAAUAUCGACAAGGUGCAACAAAUCUAGCGGAUGAUGCUCUUCCUCAUCAACCACGAGUAGCGGCUAGUCUAUAGGUUGUCUCGGUGUGUGUGCCACACUAUCUAAACAUGGUCAAGCAAGGCUACAAGAACGACCCUUACAGUUCUCGCCUUCUGGCUUUAGAAGCGGUCAGAGCUCCUCUAGAAGGGACUUUUUUGGUCAAGGAUGGUGUGAUUCACUACAAGGGCAGAGUUUGGUUGGGUACUAAUGUGGAGGCAUAGUAGCAAUUUCUUACGGAACUCCAUGCCAGAGCCAUUAGAGGGCAUUCCGGUGUCCAAGUCACAUAUAGCCGUGUGAUACGUCUAUUCGCUUAGCCUAAAUUGAAGCAGUUUGUGAAGAAGUUCAUCUCUGAGUGUGAGGUGUGCAAACAAGCCAAACUAGAACAUGUAAAGUACCCAGGGCUGCUUCAACCGCUUUGAGUACCCCUAGCAAGCCUCGAAGAUGGUCACCUUGGACUUUGUCGAAGAAUUGCCAACAUCCAAGGGACUUACUUCAAUUCUCGUCGUGGUGAACAAAUUGACGUGGUAUGCUCAUUUCAUCCCACUCCGGCAUCCCUUCUGUCCUCUACAAGUAGCAAAAGCAUACAUGGAGAAUGUCUUCAAGUUGAAUGGGCCUCUGGACAAGCUGGUGUCAGACCGAUCGAGUAUUCACUAGCAAAGUGUAGCAUGAGUUGUGUAGGUUGUCUCGUACCACCCUCAACAUUUCCUCGGCUCGACACCCACACACUAUUGAAACUACAGAUAGAGUCAAUCAAUCCAUGGAGCUCUCUCUAAGGUGCUUUGUUCACAAUUGCCCGAGCAAAUGGGUGGAAUGGCUAGCGUUAGCUGAGUUUUGGUAUAAUACUUCGUAUCAUUCCACACUGAAGACAUCCCCAUUUGAGGUCUUGUACGGGCACAAGCCUCGAUUCUUUGGCAUCUCCAACAUUGUUGACAAAAUUGUCAUAGAUUUGGUGGUGUGGACUUGCGAGCGGGCAACCAUGCUGUCACUCCUUAAGCAUGACCUCCAUCGAGGGAAGCAAAUGAUGAAGAGAAAAGCUUAUGUGCAUCACUCGGAUUGAGCAUUCUCGGUUGGGGAUUGGGUGUACCUCAAGUUGCAGCCCUAUUCUCAGUCAUCAGUGGCUGCGCAAGGUAAUCACAAGUUAGCUUUUCGUUUCUUUGGUCCCUUUUGGGUUACUGGCCAUGUUUGGGAGGUUGCAUACAAGAUGGUGUCGCCACAAUAAGCCCCGAUGCACCCAGUAUCCAUGUGUCUCAGCUGAGCGCUGGGUUACCACCAACCACCCAAGUGAUGCCCGAACUACCGGUGGUGGAUGAAGAUCUCUUGGCAUUUCAAGUGCCCGCUUCAAUCCCGCAAUGUCGCUAGGUUCUUUGAUGAGCUAAGCAGAUUGAUCAAGUGCUGACUCAAUGGUCGGGGUUCCCUAUGUCACUUGCUACAUGGGAAGAUGAAGUGGCCCUCCGAUCAAGAUUUCCCCAAGCACUGGCUUGGGGGCAAUCCAAGACUCAAGGAGGAGGGAAUGUCACGAAAACACACAUGAGGGAACCCAGCAAAGACCAGCAGCCCAGGCCAUCCGGUUCAUCCCAGGAGGAAGCCAAAGACCAAGGCUCGCGUGUUGGAAAUAUGCCCUAGAGGCAAUGAUAAAAUAGUUAUUAUUAUAUUUCUUGUUUCAAGAUAAUUAUUUAUUAUCCAUGCUAUAAUUGUAUUGAAUGAAAGCAUAGAUACAUGUGUGGAUAUAUAGACAAAACAAUGUCCCUAGUAAGACUUUAGUUGACUAGCCAGUUGAUCAAGGAUGGUUAAGGUUUUCUGACCAUAUGCAAGUGUUGUCAAUUGAUGACUGGAUCACAUCAUUAGGAGAACGAUGUGAUGGACAAGACCCAAACUAUGAACGUAGCAUGUGAUCGUGUCAUUUUGUGGCUAUUGUUUUCUGCGUGUCAAGUAUUCAUUACUGUGACCAUGAGAUCAUGUAACUCACUGACACCGGAGGAAUACCUUGUGUGUAUCAAACGUGGCAACGUUACAGGGUCACUAUAAAGGUGCUCUAUAGGUAUCUCUGAAGGUGUCCGUUGAGUUAGAAUGGAUAAAUACUGGGAUUUCUCACUCCGUGUGACGGAGAGGUAUCUCGGGGCCCACUCGGUAAUACAACAUCACAUAUAAGCCUUGCAAGUAAUGUGGCUAAUGUGUUAGUCACGGGAUCUUGUAUUAUAGAACGAGUAAAGAGACUUGCUGGUAACGAGACUGAAAUAGGUAUAGAGAUACCGACGAUCAAAUCUCGGGCAAGUAACAUACCGAAGGACAAUGGGAAUGGUAUACGGGAUUAUAUGAAUCCUUGGCACAGAGGUUCAACCGAUAAGAUCUUCGCAGAAUAUUGUAGGAUCCACUAUGGACAUCUAGGUCCCGUUGUUGGAUAUUGACCGGGGAGUGUCUCAGGCCAUGUCUUCAUAGUUCUCGAACCCGCAAGGUCUGCACACUUAAGGUUCGGUAACAUUUCGGUAUAGUUGAUUUAUAGGUGUUGGUAACCGAAGGUUGUUCGGAGUCCCGGAUGAGAUCACAGACGUCACGAGGGUUUCCGAAAUGGUCCGGAAACGAAUAUUUAUAUAUAGGAUUGUUUAAUUUGGUCUCCGGAAAGAUUUCGGACAUUACCGGGAGUAACGAAUGGGUUUCAAGUUUUUCUGGGAGGGGCCCACCCACCCGGGAGUGAGCCUAAUAGCCCAAGGGUGGCGCACCAGCCCUUAGUGGACUCAUGAGGCCAGCCCAAGUGGGCUAUGUCGGCUAAGGAAAAAAACCAAAGAGGAGAAAAAAAGGAGAGGGAGGUGGGAAGGAAGGAGGGGACUCCUUCUUCCCAUACCGAAUUGGAGUUGUUGUCUCCUUCUCCUCUCUCGUCCGGCGCUCUAGGGGAUCCCUUGAGCACCAAGGCUAGCCCCUCCCCUCCUCCUAUAUAUACUAUAGGUUUUAGGGGUUUUGAGACACAACUUUGCCACGUGCAACCCUGAACCUCUACUUCGUAGUUCUACCUCUAGAUCGGUUUUCUACGGAGCUCGGGCGGAGCCCUGCAGGGACAUAUCAUCACCAUCACCAGCGCGUCGUCACGCUGCCAGGGAACUCAUCUACUUCCCCGUCUCUCUUGCUGUAUCAAGAAGGUGGAGAUCGUCAUCGAGUUGUACAUAUGCAGAACGUGGAUGUGCCGUCCGUUUGGCGCUAGAUCGGAACGGAUCGUGGGACGACGGUGAUUUGAAUCACGAAGCUGUUCCACUACAUCAAUCGUGUUUCUUAACGCUUCCCGCUUAGCGAUCUACAAUGGUAUGUGGAUUCGAUCUCCCUCUCGUAUAUGAACAUCACCAUGAUAGGUCUUCGUGUGCGUAGGAAAAUUUUUGUUUCCCAUGCAACGUUCCCAAAGAGUGGUAUUAGAGCUAGGUUCAUGCGUAGAUGUAAUCUCGAGUAGAACACAAAAGUUUUUGUGGGCGUUGAUGUUCGAUUUGCUUCCCUCCUUAGUCUUUUCUCGAUUCGACGGUAUUGUUGGAUUGAAGCGGCCCGGACCAAUAUUACUCGUACGCUUACGAGAGACCAGUUUCAUUGACUAACAUGCAACUCGUUGCAUAAAGAUGACUGGCGGGUGCCUUUUUCUUCAACUUUAGUUGAAUUGGAUUUGACCGAGGCGUUCCUUGGAGAGAGGUUAAAUAGCAAUUUGCACAUCUCCGUUGUGGUUUUGCGUAAGUAAGAUGCGAUCAUACUAGAUACCCAUAGCAGCCACUUAAAAAUGCAACAAACAAUCAGAGGACGUCUAACUUGUUUUUGCAGGGUAUGCAUGUGAUGUGAUAUGGCCAAAGACAUGAUGUGAUAUAUUGGAUGUAUGAGAUGAUCAUGUUGUAAUAGUUAAAUAUCGACUUGCACGUCGAUGCUACGACAACCGGCAGGAGCCAUAGGGUUGUCCUUGAACUAACGUUUGUGCUUGCAGAUGCGGUUACUAUAUUGCUAGGUUGUAGCUUUAGUACUAAUAGCAUAGAUAGCACGACAACCUCGAUGGCGGCACGAUGAUAGAGAUCAUGAUGAUGGAGAUCAUGGGGUGCCGCUGGUGACGAUGAAGAUCAUGCCGGUGCUUGGUGCUAGAGAUCCAGAAGCACAGGAUCAUGGCCAUAUCAUGUCACUUAUGAAUUGCAUGUGAUGUUAAUACUUUUAUGCACCUUAUCUUCCUUAGAAUGACGGUAGCAUUAUAAGGUGAUCCCUUACUAAAAUUUCAAGAUAAAAUUCUGUUCUCCCCGAAUGUGCACCGUUUCGACAGUUCGUUGUUUCGAGACACCACGUGAUGAUCGGGUGUGAUAGCCUCAACGUUUACAUACAACGGGUGCAAAACAGUUGCACACGCGGAACACUCGAGUUAAACUUGACGAGCCUAGCAUGUACAUACAUGGCCUCGGAACACAAGAGAACGAAAGGUCGAGCAUGAAUCAUAUAGUUGAUAUUAUCAACAUGGAGAUGUUCACCACUGAAACUAUACUCAACUCACGUGAUGAUCGGACUUGAGUUAGUGGAUUUGGAUCAUGUGCCACUCGAAUAACUAGAGGGAUGUCUAUUUGAGUGGGACUUCUUAAGUAAUAUGAUUAAUUGAACUAAUUAUCAUGGACAUAGUCAAAAGGUCUUUGCAAAUUAUGGUGUAGCUUGUGUUGUAGCUCUACUAUUUUUUUAAAUGUUCCUAGAGAAAAUUUAGUUGAAAGAUGAUAAUAGCAGUUUUAUCGGACUGAGUACGUAAACUGAGGAUUGUCCUCAUUGCUGCGCAGAAGGCUUAUGUCCUUAAUGCACCGCUCGGUGUGCUGCACCUCGAGCGUCGUCUGUGGAUGUUGCGAAGAUCUGACAUACACAUUUUUAUGACUAUGUGAUAGUUCAGUGCGUAAUGCUUAACGACUUAGAAUUGGGGCGCCGAAGACGUUUUGAAACGUCACGGAACAUAUGAGAUGUUCCAAGAGAUGAAAUUGGGAUUUCAUGGUCGUGCCCGCGUUGGGAGGUAUGAGAUCUCCGACAAGAUUCUUUGUCUACAAAGUUAAGGAGAAAAGCUCAAUCGUUGAGCAUGUGCUCAGAUUGUGUGAGUGCAACAGUCGCUUGAAUCAAGUGGGAGUUAAUCUUCCACAUGAUAUAGUGAUGGUUCUCCAAAGUCAGUGCCACCAAGCUAUCAGAACUUCGUGAUGAACUAUAACAUAUCAAGGAUAGGUAUGAUGAUCCUUGAGCGAUUCGCAAUGUUUGACACUGCGAAAGUAGAAAUAAAGUAGGAGCAUCAAUUGUUAAUGGUUAGUAAAACCACUAGUUUCAAGAAGGGCAAGGGCUAGAAGGGAUGCUUCAUGAAAGGGCAAACCAGUUGCUGCUCUAAUGAAGAAACCCAAGGUUGAACUCAAACCCAAGACUAAGUGCUUCUACUAUGAGGGGAACGGCCACGGAGGCGGAACUACCCUAGAUACUUGGUAGAUGAGAAGGUUGGCGAAGUCGACAAAGUAUAUUUGAUAUACAUGAUAUUGAUGUAUACCUUACUAGUAUUCCUAGUAGCGCCAGGGUAUUAGAUACUGGUUCAGUUGCUAAGUGUUAGUAACUCGAAGUUAUAGCUACGUAUUAAAAGGAUACUAGCAAGGGUGAGGUGACGAUGUGUGUUGGAAGUAAUUCUAAGGUUGAUGUGAUCAAACAUCGCACACUCCCUCUACCAUCGGGAUUGGUGUUAAACCUAAAUAAUUGUUAUUUGGUGUUUGCGUUGAGCAUGAACAUGAUUGGAUCGUGUUUACUGCAAUAUAACUGUUCAUUUAAAGAGAAUAAUUGUUAUUCUAUUUGCGUGAAUAAUUACCUUCAAUGGUUUAUUGAAUCUCGAUCGUAGUGCUACACAUUUUCAUAAUAUUGAUGCCAAAAGGUACAAGGUAGUAAUGAUAGUACCACUUACUUAUGGCACUGCCACUUGAGUCAUAUUGGUGUAAAAUGCAUGAAGAAGCUCCAUGCUGAUGGAUCUUUGUACUCACUAAUUUUUGAAACGUUUGAGACAUGCAAACCAUACAUAUUGGUAUAAAUGCAUGAAGAAACUCCAUGCAGAUGGAUCGUUUGGACUCACUUGAUUUUGAAUCACUUGAGACAUGCAAAUCAUACCACAUGGGCAAGAUGACUGAAGGCCUCGUUUUCGAGUGAGAUGGAACUAGAAAGUAACUUAUUGGAAGUAAUACAUUUGGUUGUAUGCAGUCCAAUGAGUGCUCAGGCACGUAGUGGAUAUCGUUAUGUUCUUACUUCACAGAUGAUUUGAGUAGAUACUAGUGUAUUUUCUUAAUGAAACACACGUCUGAAUUAUUGAAAGGUUCAAGAAGUUUCAGAGUGAAGUUGAAGAUCGUUGUGACAAGAGGGUAACAUGUCUACGAUAUGAUCAUAGAGAUGAAUAUCUGAGUUGUGAGUUUGGUACACAAUUAAGACAAAUGUGAAAAUUGUUUCACAUCUCAUGCCACCUAGAACACCGUAGUAUGAUGGUGUGUCCGAACGUCAUAGUCGUGCCCUAUUUGAUAUGGUGCAUACUAUGAUGUCUCUUAUCAAAUUACCACUAUCGUUUAUGGGUUAUGCAUUAGAGACAACCGCAUUCACUUUAAAUAGGGCACCAUGUAUUUCCGUCGAGAUGACACUGUAUGAGCUAUGGUUUGGAGAAACCUAAGCUAUCGUUUCUUGAAAGUUUGGGGCUACGACGCUUAUGUGAAAAAAAAUUCAGUCUGAUAAGCUCGAACCUAAAGCGGAUAAAUGCAUCUUCAUAGGAUAUCCAAAACAGUUGGGUAUACCUCCUAUCUCAGAUCCGAAAGCAAAGUGUUUGUUUCUAGAAACGGGUCCUUUCUCGAGGAAAAGUUUCUCUCGAAAGAACUGAGUGGGAGGGUGGUGGAACUUGAUGAGGUUAUUGAACCGUCACUUCAACCAGUGUGUAGCAGGGCGCACGAAGUUGUUCCGGUGGCGCGUACUCCAAUUGAAGUGGAAACUGAUGAUAGUGACCAUUAAGCUUCGGAUCAAAUUACUACAAACCUCGUAGGUCGACUAGGUCGCGUACUACUAUAGAGUGGUACGUUAACCCUGUCUUGGAGGUCAUUUUGUUGAACAACAAUAAACCUACGAGCUAUGGAGAAGCGAUGGUGGGCCCGAAUUCCGGCAAAUGGCUGGAGACCAUGAAAUCCGAGAGAGGAUCCGUCUAUAAAAACAAAGUAUAGACUUUGGAAGAACUACUUGAUGGUCGUAAGACUAUUAAGUACAUAUGGAUCUUUAAAAGGAAGACAGACAAUGAUGGUGAAAAGUCACCAUUAAGAAAAGCUCGACUCAUUGCAAAGAUGUUUCCCACAAGUUCACGGAGUUGACGAUGAUGAGACUUUCUCACUCAUAGCGAUGCUAAAAGUCUGUUGGAAUUAUGUUACCAGUUGCUGCAUUAUUUAUGAAAUAUUGCACAUAGGAUGUCAAAACAUUGUUUCCUCGAGAGUUUCCUUGAGGAAAGGUUGUAUGUGAUACAACCAGAAGGUUUUGUCAAUCCUAAGGAUGAUAACAAGUUAGCAAGCUCUAGCAAUCCUUAUGUGAACUGGAGCAAGCAUCUCGGAGUUGGAAUAUACGCUUUGAUGAGAUGAUCAAAGUUUUGGGUUUUAUACAAGGUUUGUGAGAAACUUGCAUUUCCAAAGAAGUGAGUGGGAGCACUAUAGAAUUUCUGAUAAGUAUAUGUGGUUGACAUAUUGUUGAUCGGAAGUAAUGUAGAAUUUCUAUAAAGCAUAAAGGGUUGUUUGAAAGGAGUUUUUCAAAGGAAAACCUAGAUAGAGCUACUUGAACAUUGGGCAUCAAGAUCUAUAGAGAUAGAUCAAAACGCUUAAAUAGAACUUUCAAUGAAAUGCAUGCCUUAACAAGUUUUUGAAGGAGUUCAAAAUAGAUCAACAAAGAAGAAGUUCUUGGUUGUAUUGUAAGGUGUGAAUUUGAGUAAGACUCAAAGCCCGACCAUGACAGAAGAAAGAGAAAGGACGAAGGUCGUCCCCUAUGCCUUAGUCGCAGGCUCUAAAGUAUGACAUGUUGUGUACCGCACCUGAUGUGUGCCUUGCCAUGAGUCUGUCAAGGGGUACAAAGAGUGAUCCAGGAUUGAAUCACUAAAACAGCGGUCAAAGUUAUCCUUAGUAACUAGUGGACUAAGGAUUUUUUUUCUCGAUUAUGGAGGUGAUUAAGGAGUUUGUUGUAAAGGGUUACGUUGAUGCAAGCUUUAACACUAAUCCGAAUAACUCUAAGGAGUAAAGAGGAUUCGUAUAGUGGAACGGUCAUUUGGAAUAAUUCCAAAUGGCCCGUAGUAGCAGCAUCUACAGGAUAACAUAGAGAUUUCUAAAGCACACACAGAUCUGAAAGGUUCGGACUUGUUGACUAAAACUUCUCUCACAAGCAAGACGUAAUCAAACCACAGAACUGCAUGGGUGUUGGAUUCGUUAAAACCACAUAGUGAUGUGAACUAGAUUAUUGAUUCUAGUGCAAGUGGGAGACUGUUAGAAGUAUGCCAUAGUGGCAAUAAUAAAUUAGUUAUUAUUAUAUUUCUUUGUUCAUGAAAAUCGUUUAUUAUCCAUGCCAUGAUUAUAUUGAUUGGAAACACAAAUAUAUGUGUGGAUACAUAGACAAAACACUGUCCCUAGUAAGCAUCUAGUUGACUAGCUCGUUGAUCAAAGAUGGCUAAGAUUUCCUAACCAUAGACAAGUGUUGUCACUUGAUAACGGGAUCACAUCAUUAGGAGAAUAAUGUGAUGGACAAGACCCAAACUCUAAACGUAGCGUAUCAUCGUGUCAGUUUAUUGCAACUGUUUUCUCCAUCUCAAUGUAUCUGUUCCUAUGACCAUGAGAUCAUGCAACUCCCAGACACCGGAGGAAUACCUUGUGGGUUAUCAAACGUCGCAAUGUAACUGGGUGAAUAUAAAGGUGCUCUAUAGGUAUCUCCAAAGGUGUAUGUUGGGUUGGCAUGGAUCAAGACUGGGAUUUGUCACUCCGUGUGAUGGAGAGGUAUCUCGGGGCCCACUCGGUAAUACAAUAUCACAAUAAGCCUUGCAAGCAAUGUGACUAAGGAGUUAGUUACGGGAUCUUGUAUUAUGGAACAAGUAAAAGACUUGCCGGUAACGAGAUUGAACUAGGUGUAGAGAUACCGACGAUCGAAUCUCGGGCAAGUAACAUACCGAAGGACAAAGGGAGUAGUAUACAUGAUUAUAUGAAUCCUUGACAUAGAGGUUCAACCGAUAGAGAUCUUCAUAGAAAUAUGUAGGAGACAAUAUGGUCAUCCAGGGCCCGCUAUUGGUUAUUGACCAGAGAGUGUCUCAGGUCAUGUCUGCAAAGUUCUCGAACCCACAAGGUCUGCACACUUAAGGUUCGGUGACGUUUUGGUAUAGUUGAUGUUGGAAAUAUGCCCUAGAGGCAAUAAUAAAAUGGUUAUUAUCAUAUUUCCUUGUUCAUGAUAAUCGUCUAUUGUUCAUGCUAUAAUUGUAUUAACAGGAAACAAUAAUACAUGUGUGAAUAAAUAGAUCACAAUGUGUCCCUAGCAAGCCUCUAGUUGGCUAGCUCUUUAGUCAAUAGAUGAUCAUGGUUUCCUGGUCAUGGGCAUUAGAUGUCAUUGAUAACAGGAUCACAUCAUUGGGAGAAUGAUGUGAUGGACAAGACCCAAUCCUAAGCAUAGCACUAGAUCGUAUUGUUCAUAUGCUAAAGCUUUUCUAAUGCCAAGUGUCUUUUCCUUCGACCAUGAGAUUGUGCAACUCCCGGAUACCAUAGGAGUGCUUUGGGUGUAUCAAACGUCACAAUGUAACUGGGUGACUAUAAAGGUGCACUACAAGUACCUCUGAAAGUGUCUGUUGGGUUGGUACGAAUCGAGAUCGAGAAUUGUCACUCCGCGUGACGGAGAGGUAUCUCUGGGCCCACUCGGUAGAACAUCAUCAUGAGCUCAAUGUGACUAAGGAGUUAAUCACACGAUGACAUGCUAUGGAACGAGUAAAUAGACUUACCGGUAACGAGAUUGAACAAGGUAUAGGUAUACCGACGAUCAAAUCUCAGGCAAGUUCUAUACCGACAGACAAAGGGAAUUAUAUACGGGAUUGAUUGAAUCCUUGACAUCGUGGUUCAUCCGAUGAGAUCAUCGUGGAGCAAGUGGGAGCCACCAUCGGUAUCCAAACCCCGCUGAUGGUUAUUGGCCGGAGAGGUGUCUCGGUCAUGUCUGCCUGUCUCCCGAACCCGUAGGGUCUACACACUUAAGGUUCGAUGACGCUAGGGUUAUAGGGAAUUGUUAUACGAGGUUACCCAAAGAUGUUCGGAGUCCCGGAUGAGAUCCCGGACGUCACGAGGAGGUCCAGAAUGGUCCGAAGGUAAAGAUUGAUCCAUAGGAUGGAUGGUUUUGGACAUCGGAAAUGUUUCGGGUGUCACCGGUAAUGUACCGGGACCACCGGGACCACCGGAAAUGGUCCCGGGGGUACACCGGGAGGGGCCACCAGCCCCAAGAGGUAGCAUCACUACAGGAAUCGGCUUCUUUGCCGUCUCCCAUCACAGACGACAAAGACAAUAUCCUGGACGGCAAAGACAAUAUCACAGACGGCAAAGAUUCUCACGGCCGGCAAAAUUUCUGCGUCAGCCUACGACGGCAUAGGACCUUCUUUGCCGUCUGCCCCCCCAAAGCGGACGGCAAAGCUCUUUGCCGUCAGCUUUCCUUAGGAGCAGUCGGCAAAGUGCUCGAGACGGAAGCCGGCAGGCGUUGCCUCCGUUAGGGGUUAACGGAGGCUUUGCCGUCUGCCUCCCCGUCCAUCUUUGCCGUCUGCCUUCUCUUCCCCUCCCCUCCCCCUCCAUCUUUGCCGUCUGCCUCCCCGUCCAUCUUUGCCGUCUGCCAGCUCCUCCCCUCCCCCCUCUCUCCACUCUUUGCCGUCUGCCUCCUCCUCACCCCUCCCCUGUUCCCUCUUCUUUGCCGUCUGCCCACCCUGGAGGCUGACGGCAAAGAGACCCUGGAGGCUGACGGCACAUUAAUAUAAUUCACCACACAUAUAUGAUAUAUAGUUCACCACACAUAUACUUGCCAACACAUAUAUAUAAUUCACCACACAUAUAUGAUUCACCAAUGUACAUCCCCAUAUAUCCAAAGAACCAACAUACCAGGUAUUGCACUGUUUAUCCAUAUAUACAUAUACAUAUAGUUCGACAUUGUUCAUCAACUCAAAUGAAAACUAGAUGAUAUACAUAUAAAGUUCAUCCAUCGACAUUGUUCAACUCCAUGAAUGCCAGCUUCCAUGCAUGUAGUAUAUCCAAUCUGCAAAAAUGUGAAUAAGAAAGUUAGAAGAAGAACAAAAUAUGAUGUUUUUCAGCUAAUUAUGUCAUUUUUAGUGGAAAACCAGCUAAGUAUAUGUGUCGUGAACUAUAUAUCAUUUGUUGGAGCUAAAUUACCUAAUUAUGUCUUUUUGAGCUAAAUGGGCUAAUUAUCRCAUUUUAGAGGAAAACAAGCUAAGUAUAUAAUAUUCAUGAGCUAACCAAGGUUCUUAUGCCAUUUUGAGCUUAUUAUGGUAUUUUGGAGCUAAAUGGGCUAAUUAUGUCAUUGUUGGGUUAAUUAAAGCAAGGAUAAUAUGAAAGAGGAGAAGAAAGAGGAGGAGGAGGAGAAGAAGAAGAAAUCAAGAAGAAGGAGGAGGAGGNNNNNNNNNNNNNNNNNNNNNNNNNNNNNNNNNNNNNNNNNNNNNNNNNNNNNNNNNNNNNNNNNNNNNNNNNNNNNNNNNNNNNNNNNNNNNNNNNNNNAGGAUCAUGUUCAUCAUUUGCGAGUAGUUACUUUUGUUCUUGAUGUCAUCGGAGAAAUCAUGUUACAAGUAAUCAUGUGAACUUGAUACGUGUUCAAUAUUUUGAUGGUAUGUAUGUUGUGAUUCCCUUAGUGGUGUCAUCUGAAUCUCGAUGACAUGACACUUUACCAUAUUUUGGGCUAAGGGAAUGCAUUUUGGAGUAGCUAUUAGAUGAUGGGUUGCUGGAGUGAUAGAAGCUUAAAUCCUAGUUUAUGCUCUACUUCGUAAGGGGCCGAUUUGGAUCCAAACGUUUAAUGCUAUUGUUAGAUAUUUAUCUUAAUACCUUUCUCAUAGUUGUGGAUGCUUGCGAGGGAGUUAAUAAUAAGUAGGAGGUUUGUUCAAGUAAGAAUAUCACCUAAGAACCGGUCCACCCACAUAUCAAACUAUCAAAGUAUAGAACACGAAUUAAGCUAUCAUGGUGAAAGUGACUAGAUGAAAUUCCCAUGUGCCCUCAAGAAUGCUUUGCCCAUUAUAAGAAACCACUUUGUCCUUCCUUUGCCACAAAAGGAUUGGUAUACCUUGCGGCACUUAUUUUUAAUCUAGCUACUCGUUACUUGUUAUAUCUAUCUUGCUAUCAAACAACUUGUUACCGCUAUUUCAGUGCUUGCAGAAAUUACCUUGCUGAAAACCACUUGCCAUUUCCAUCUGCUCCUCAUUGGGUUCGACACUCUUACGUAUCGAAAGGACUACAAUUGAUCCCCUAUACUUGUGGGUUUUAACAGGCUCCAAGAUCUUCAGGCUCAACACUUUGAUCUUCAAAACCAAAAUUGUGAGUAUGAAUCUCGUUUCAAGAGGAUGGGUAUAGUUGUAGAUUUCAGUAUUCCAGAGAUGAGCUCUUUAUUCUUGAUUGGGUAACCUAUGCCAUGGAAGACGAAGGACAAGCUUACCGUAUAAUCACCACCAUCACCCAAGAAUUACUCUUGACUACAUGGGUAUGGGCACCACCCUUAGCUUGUUCCAAGCUCAGGGGAGGUGCCUCGAUGUCGUAUGACCAUCAUUUCUACUAUUACGAUCUAUCUCAGUUCGAUCCUUAGUUAUUUCAUGAUUCAGAGAAAUAAAAUUUCAGAUUUGUUUUGCAUAGAAUGUUUGCUUUGAGUUCUACCUACCCUUGGAGUCGAAUGUGAGAGUUAUAUAAUAAAGAUUAGUUGAGUUUGUGUGCUCUACUUGUGUGCACCCAUCAUCAUAGCAUGGCAGUAAAAGAAAUAGAAAAGAACAUAUGCUUAUCUCGUGGGGAGUAAUGACUUCACAUAAAAAAGGGUGUAAGUGAUAAAAGUAGCUGGAAAUAAACAAACAUAGUAUUAGUCAUUAUUACAAUGUAAUCAUGAUUAUGAUAGAGGAGUGGAGAUUCUCAUACAAAUAAAGUAUCUUGGAUAUGUUUUAUGAUUGUGAGCCAUCACCAAAUAUUAUAUAAUGAUCAAGUGUUGACAUUGGACAUGGAAGAUAAUGUAAUGAUCAUGGUAAUUUAUAUCCAAAUAGAAUUUAUAUGGUUAUGGAUCCUUUAACAUGUGGUGCUUUCUUUAGAUCUUUUGCUAGCCAAAAAAUUCCGCACUAAGUAGAGAUACUACUUGUGCAUCCGUAACCCUGAAAUCUAGUUCCUUGCCAUGAGAGUCCAUCCUGCCUACCUAUGGAUUAAAUAAGAUCCUUCAAGUAAGUUUUCAUCGGUGCAUCAAGCAGUAACAAUUCCUCUUAAAUAUGUAUGAUCUUUUGUUGCAAAGUAAAAUAAUCUUUUUACAAUCUUGUGAUGGCAAAGAAAUAAAAGAGACAAAGUGCAUAAUAAAGUUUGCUAUCAUAAGGGGAAUACAAAGUGACGUUCCUUUGCAAUAAGAGUUUGCACAUCCAAAAACUUAAAAGUGCAUGACAAACUGUCCUUUCCUCUGCGAAGGGCCUAUCUUUUACUUUUAUGUUUUCACUCCUACGUGAGAGUUAACAAAGUUUAUUCCUCUUCCUACCUAUUAAUUCUAUAGAGCCAAGCAUCCAGUGUUGAGGAAACAUUUAAACUUAUAUCUUCAAGUGGGUGUAGAUGAUCAUGAUUUAUUAUUGUUGACAUUAUCCUUGAGGUAAGUUGAGUGGCAAAUUAGUUAAGCCCAUAUCUUCCUAUGUGUCCCAUGGAAACAUGAGCUCCAAAAACAUGUCUUGAACAUGAGCAAUCAUAGAAGACUAAAUGAUAGUUGAGUAUGUGAACUUGCAAAUAAGAAAGAUCUUACAUAGACUCUCCUGUGAAAUUUGAUGAAUUAUGAUUGUCCCCAUGAUUGAGAACAUAGUUUGUUGAUUGUCAAUAAGGUGUAUGCUUCGUACUCCAAUAAUCGUGAAUGGAUUGUUACUUGUUUAUGAGGAAAUAUGUGAUAAAAUACUUGCUUCUAUGCUAAUAUUCAUGAUGAUCUCAUGUUCGUAUUUUGUUUUUAUCAAAUUUCCCCUCUCAAAUCAUGUGGCCAUUACUUCGAAGCUCGAGUUUCACUUGAGGACAAGUGAGGUCUAAGCUUGGGGGAGUUGAUACGUCCAUUUUGCAUCAUGAUUAUUUAUUUAUAUUUGUGUUAUUCUUGUCCAUUAUUACCUAUUAUCAUACAAUUCUUAUGACCUCUCUCUUUGAAUAUGCAAGGUAUAUCACAAAGAGGGAAAUAUCUGGAAACUAGAAUUCUGGACCAGGAAUCCAAGAAAAAGGUAGAAAAAUCAGCGGGCUUCAAUUGAACUGAAACACCAAGGAGAAUUUUUAUCGAACAUGUAAGAAUUAUUGGGACAAAAAUAUACCAAAGGGGGCCCACCUCCUGUCCACAAGCCAACAGGGCGCUCCCACCCCCUAGGCGCGUCCUGAUGGCUUGUGAGGGCCCUCUAGACCUCCCGACCCCCUCGUCUCCUAUAUGGUGUGUUUUACCAAAGAAAAAAAAUCACAAGCUACCUUUCGGGAUGAAGCGCCACCAUCUUGAGGCAAAAACCUAGGCAGAUGCCCUUUUGCUCUCUGGCACACAGAUUCUGCCGGGGAAUUCCCCUCUGGGAGGGGGCUAUCGAAGCUAUCAUCAUCACCAACACAUCCUCCUUCCUUCGAGGACCAAUCUUCAUCGACAUAUUCACCAACACCAUCUCAUAUCCAACCCUAGUUCACCUCUUCUAUUCAAUAUUUAUCUCAAAACCUCAUAUUUGUACAUGUAGGUUACUAGUUGUGCUGAUUACAUCUUGCACUUAAUGCUUGUUGGAUUAGUUGGUGGAAGACAUUAUGUUUAGAUACUUAAUCAUUAUUAUUAUACCUCUGAUCUUGAAUAUGUUGACAAAGUGUGAGUAGUUACUAUUGUUCCUAAGGACAUGGGAUAACUCUUGUUGUAAGUAAUCAUGUAAAGUUGGUACUCGUUCGAUAUUUUGAUGAUAUGUAUGUUGUUACUUCUCUUAGUGGUGUCAUGUGAACGUCGACUAGGUGACACUUGACAAUGUUAUGGGCCUAAGGUAAAUCAUUAUGGAAUUACAAGUACAUGAUGGGUUGCGAGAGUGACAGAAGCUUAAACCCCAGUUUAUGUGUUGCUUCAUGAGGGGUUGAUUGGGAUCCACACGUUUAAUGCGAUGGUUUGAUUUAUCUUAAUUUUGCUUUCGUAAUUGCAGAUGCUUGUGAUAGAGGGUAAUCAUAAGUUCGUUGUUUAUUCAAGUAAGAUCAGCACCUUAGCACCAGUCCACCCACAUAUCUAAUUAUGAAAGUAGUGAACGUGAAUCAACUCAACAUGAUGAACAUGACUAGAUAGAAAUUCCCAUGUGUGCUCGGGAGUGCUUAUAAGAGUACUUUCAGGCAUGUCCUUUGCUACAAAAAGGAUUGGGCUACCUUGCUGCACCUUUGUUACUAUUGUUACUUAUCACUUGUUACGAAUUAUCUUUCUACAAAACUAUCUACCAUUGUUACUUACAUCACUUGUAGAGAAUACCUUUCUAAAAACCGCUUAUCAUUUCCUUCUGAUCCUUGUUGGGUUCGACACCCUUACUUAUUGAAAGAACUACGAUUGAUCCCCUAUACUUGUGAAUCAUCAGUAACCUACUUUCUUGAAAAAUGUGUGAGCAAAGAUACUCAAGGUUGCGAUAGCAGAAACACCCACAAGAAAUGAACCACUACACAAAUUAUAUUAUCAUGGUGGUGUUCGACAUCGCGAUCGCCACUUUAGGGCCUGACUACAUCAGAAAAAAUUACUUGCAUCAAGUUGGCAACUCAUGGCUCCUGCUAGUUGAUCCCUUACUACUACGUAGAUGUCGUAUACCAUGUCGACGAAAAUAGGUAGUCACCACUGGCGGAACCAGCAUCAUUUGAGAUCCAAGCACUCACUUUUAGUACAUCUUAUACGACACGAUCCUUUCUAUUUUGCAUAUGCUUUCAUUCAAGCACAGAGUAUUCGCUACUAAUUUGGCAUCAAAAUUAGGAACAUGAGCUUCACCGAGGUCCAUCCGACCUCCACUUAUGAACCUCAGACCUGGAUCUAUAGACAAGUUAUUUUGGAACCUCAUUUCUGACAUGGAUGACCACCCGAACAACAUGUUUCUCCUGAUUACUGGCGGUUUUGUAAUAGCACAACUGUGAGAGUUUCAUCAUGAAGAUUGAACCGACUGUUCGUACCCGACACUACAUUUUCGGGUGCUCCGUGUCAAAGGAUUGGAUGGAGAUCUCGAAGGUUUAGAGUAGAAGCACUUUUGGAACAUGGGCCCAUGGACCAUGUUCGUUGGACAUAGCUACCAGCUAAUACUAGAGAUGCCUCCUUCUGAUCACGAUGAAUAGGGACUCCCAUUCAUGAACAAAGGUUGUGUUUUCACAGCUCGCAUACGUAGUAGGACUGAGCUCGGCCGCCUGCUUGAGUUAUGACGGUACGCCGUUGAUGAUGGUCCUAUGUUGGAUGUGCACCUUAAGAGUUGUGGAGAAGAACGACACGAACACCGAGUCUGGUUCAUGCCAUCCCUACUAAGGACAGGGGACUGUCAUUACGUACUCAUAGUGUUGGUUUGUGCUGAUAGUUAAGUUAUGUAACACUUUGAAUAAGUCUUGUGAACCAUGUAAUUGGCCUAACAAGUAUGCACUGACUGCUUUUGAACUAUGUGAGUCAUGUGAACCAGUCAUGUGAACCAUGUACAACUUUCUGUAAGUCAUGUUUUGAAAGGACCUAAUUAGGCGUGUGUGUCAUCGUAUUUACGCUAAGUACCCACAUGUGUCAACACGAGGUGAACCGUAGUAGCCAAUAGAUUUGGCGCCUACUACCUAGUGAGACCAUCUGUGUAAAUGAAUCCGCCUGUAGGCCAUAAGUGUUGAUAGAAUGGUGUGCUAUUCACACCACAACUGCUCCUUUCAACGCAUGAAUCUAUCAAAUCAGAAACACUAUCUCCCUUGGCAAUUCUCGUACAGGUAAGAACUUCCAAGUUUUAAUCACGUCACACUAGACAACGAGCUGCCCCGUGAAGUCUCAUCGUCGCAGCCCAAAUAACACACAAAUUCCCCAGGCGCCGCAAGGGGUUCACGUGGGACGCGCGUUCACACUGGCGCUUCAGGAAACCCACACCACCCAGUCUCUCGUGUAGGGUCCGAAACACGGCGCCAUCAAACCUUGGCACAUCUAAUCAAUUGUAUUCGUUUACUGCAUGUUUGCCACGCCUAAGCAACUUGCUCUACCCGAGGCGACGAAUCGAUUGCAUACUUUAAACCGCACUACCCUGGCAGUCCAAUCAAGUUCAUUGUGUCCCAAGGGAAACUCCUCCAAGUUUGAGUAAGUGGAACCGCCCGCCCGCACGGCAGAUGCCAGAGCUACUUCUUCCCCUGCCUCCCAUAGAUCCUCUCUCAUACAAACCACAAUCCUAUCAUUUCGUCUCCAACUUUCACUCAGUCCCUAAGCCAUGGCCAUGUCGGAGCUCCAUGAUGAACCAUUGAGAGGCUUUCCGGCUAUGUUGUACGACACCGUGUGCUCUACGAUGGAGCACAUCGACCUUCUCAACCACAUUCGAGUCGCAUGAACCAACUUCUGCCUUAACCGGGAUGUUCCUCGCGUAAACCAGGAGGUGGCCAACAUGAUGGAGAAGACCACCGUGCUCGACUGUGACAUGACCUAGAUGGUCGCCCCCCCCCCCCAAGCUGGGACAGACACGCUUGUGAGACUUGUGAUCUACAUUGGGUUUUCCAUCAAGAGGAAUGGGUUAUCACAACACAACGUGGGUAAGUAUCUCCCUCUGUUAUGAAACCAAGGUUUAACUAACCAAUAGGAAUAUCAAUCACCAUCGUCUUCAGCGACCGCACACAAAAGAACAAACAACUUGAACCCAACGAGGGCAAGAGGGUUGUCAAUCCCCUUGAUCUCGUUAUUUGCAAGCAAAGGAUGUGUCUAGAUGAUUGUUUAUGAAAGUAAAAUGCAAACUAAAAUAAAAGCAAGUAAAUGGCAGCAAGGUAUUGGAGGUUUUGUAAAUAUAUAGUGAAUAUACCCGACGGGCAUAAUUUUCCCUAAUGGCAUCUCUCAUGAAAAAAUAGCAUACGUUGGGUAAACAAAUUACUGUUGGGAAAUUGAUAGAAAAGCAGCUAGUUAUGCGAUUUUCACGACAAUGAUCAUGUGUAUAUAGCAUCACAUCCAUGAACAAAUAGGCCGACUCCUGCGUGCACCUUUUACUAUUACUUCACUUCAAGAGCGCUUCUAUGCCUUCCACUCUACAUAUUAAGUUCCUGACAAACGAAGUAAUGCAUGGAGAACAAUGACAUGAUGUAGACAAAGUAAACUGAACCAAUAUGAAUAAACCCCAUCGUUUUACCCUUAUUAGCAGCAAUAUAAAGAUGCAUCUUGUCCCCUUCUAUCACUAUGAUAUAGAAAUCCACCAGGUUGAACCUACUGCAACGCACCUCUCUCACCGAAGAAAUAUCAAUCUAGUUGGCUAAACUAUUUCAAUAGAUUGGAGAGAAUUAUGAACCUAUCAUAAUCAUGCACAUAAGAAUCAUAUAAUAUUUCAGACGAGACUCAAAUAUUUAUCAUGAAUAAUCUGAAUAGAACACCAGAAUUCAUCGGAUCCCAACAAACGCACCGCACGAAAUGAUUACAUCAUAUGGAUUAAAGCGAAAAUGCGAUGAUCAUUGUAUUGAAGAUCAAAAGAGAGAGAGAUUGCCACAUAGGUACUGGCCAUGGACACGUACGUCUGUGGUGAAAUACUCACACAUCAUCGUGAGGGCAACAAGGUUGAUGAAGAGGCCCUCCAUGAUCGACCCCCCUCCAACAGAGUGACGGAACGAAGCUCCAGAUGGCCUCCCGUUAGAAUAGAGACUUGCAACGGCUUAAAAAGUGAUUCAGGACCUCCUCUAGGGUUUUUGGAAUAUACCAGAAUUUAUAGGCUAGAGAACGGAGUCGGAGAGGCUACAAGGCGGCCAGAAGCCAUUAGGGUGCACCCCUAGGGCGUGCCCUGUUGUCUUGUGGGCCUCUCAUGUGGCCUCCUGUCUCCUUUCAAUGCUCCUAGGUUUUGUUUUGGUCCAAAAAAUCACCAAAAAGUUUCCGGUCAAUUGGACUGGGUUUGGUAUUGGAAACCUAAAAAGUGAAAAACACGAAAACAAGAACUCGCAUUGCACUAGGUCAAUAGGUUAGUGCUCAAGAAUAAUGUAAAUUGGUAAAUAAAGCUCGCAAAAGUAUUCUAAAAUGAUAAUAUAUCAGCAUGGAACAAUAAAAAAUUUAUAGAUACGUUGGAGACGUAUCACCUUGCUCGUGCUGAUGGACUCGCCGACCAUUACAACAAGGAUAUUGUACGAGCCACCUCCUGAGAAGCCUUGGAGCACGCAGGUAAGCGACCACCCAAAGUAAUCAUAUUCUCCCUCGUCAUACUUCAGGAUGCAUCUGCCGACAACAAGUUCAUGUUUGUGUUGCCAUCUCUGAAAUUUUAAUAUUGUAUGGGAGCAAACAAAGAUUGGUCGACUUCGUUGAUGCAUAUGGCGAUAUGAACCUACACAGUGUGUACACUGGUCGGAAUGUACACCUUCCGCUGAUCUCUGCUCUAGGUUUCUCCGCAGUGGGCCUUUCAAGCACAACAGAUUUCUUGUACAACCGUACCAGGGCGAACCUAAUGAAGGUUGCCAUCUCCCAUCCACCAAAAAUAACAUUCAGCUACACAUAUGUCGUCAUCAUUGUGGUGAUCGACAUAGCGUUCGCCGUGAACAUAGGUUAUAACCAUGCUAGUGUGGAUGAGUGGAUACUAAUGUCUAUGACUGUUAUUGCACCGCACCACUAGGAGGAUGCGGUCUACAUUCAUGGCCGGAUUUGCUGUUAUAGCCAGAGCAUCUAAAUUACAUGUCUUUUUAUCAUUUUGGUUGAACGCUUGGUGAAUCUCAUUGGUUUAAACACCACGAUCCUUCGCUCCACCAAGGUGCCUAGAGGACCUACCCUUGUCGUACCAUGUUGGCAAGCCCAUGUUCUAGAACCUAGUGCUAGACACGGCUCAUCACUCGAACAACAUGUAUCUUGUGCGCUCGGGCGGCAAUGUGACACGUCACGAGCAGGGGGUCAACCAUGAAGGUCAAACGAUGUGUUCCUACCCAAAGCUAAAUUGCCACGUGUUCUGGUUCGACGGACAACAUCGGCAUUUCACAGGAGCACAGUGGAUGCCUGAUACGUCUCAAACGUAUCUAUAAUUUUUGAUGGUUUCACGCUGUUAUCUUGUCAUCUUUGGAUGUUUUGUUUACCUUUUAUAUCUUUUUUGGGACUGACUUAUUAAUUCAGUGCCAAGCGCAAGUUCCUGUUUUUCUGUGUUUAUGACUUUUUCAGAUCUGAUUUUGGAACGGAGUCCAAACAGAAUAAAAUCCCGGAAAUAAAUUUUUCCAGAGCGGAAGAAGAUCAGGAGGCUUGAGGGCCAAGGCAGUGGGCUCUCAGGGGGCCCACAAGCCCUGUUGCCGUGCCCAGGGGGGAGGCCGCGGCAACCAAGCUUGUGGCCCCCCUGGUGCUCCCCUACCCUAGGUCUUUCGCCUAUAAAUUUCCAAAAAAUCCAGAAAAAAUUAGGGCAUCCACGAAAACACUUUUCCGCAACCGCAAGCUUCCGUUUACGCGAGAUCUCAUCUGGAGACACUUCCCGGUGCCCUGCCGGAGGGGACUUUGGAGUUGGAGGGCUUCUACAUCAACAUCAUCGCCUCUCCAAUGACUCGUGAGUAGUCCACUUCAGACCUACGGGUCCGUAGUUAGUAGGUAGAUGGUUUCUUCUCUCUCUUGGAUCUUGAAUACAAAGUUCUCGAUGAUCUUCAUGGAGAUCUAUCCGAUGUAAUCCUCUUUGGCGAUGUGUUUGUGGAGAUCCGAUGAAUUGUGGAUUUGUGAUCAGAUUAUCUAUGAAUUAUAUUUGAGUCUUUGCUUAUUUCUUAUAUGCAUGAUUUGAUAUCCUUGUAAGUCCCUUCGAGUCUUGGGGUUUGUUUGGCCAACUAGAUCUAUGAUUCUUGCAAUGGGAGAAGUGCUUGGUUUUGGGUUCAUACCGUGUGGUGACCUUUCCCAGUGACAGAAGGGGCAGCAAGGCACGCAUCAUGUUGUUGCCAUCAAGGGUAACAAGAUGGGCUUUUAUCGUAGAUAUGAGAUUGUCCAUCUACAUCAUGUCAUCUUGCUUAAGGCGUUACUCCGUUCUUUUGGACUUAAUACACUAGAUGCAUGCUGGAUAGCGGUCGACGUGUGGAGUAAUAGUAGUACAUGCAAAAAGUAUCGGUCUACUUGUUUCGGAUGUGAUGCCUAUAGAUAUAAUCAUUGCCUUAGAUAAUGUCACAACUUUGCGCGGUUCUAUCAAUUGCUCGACAGUAAUUCGUUCACCCACCGUCUACUUGCUUUCAUGAGAGAAGCCACUAGUGAACACUAUGGCCCUCGGGUCUAUUCACAACUAUCAUUUCAACUUUCACUUUUACUUUGCUUGUGUACUUUGUUGCUUUCAGUUCUCACUUUGCAAACAAUCUAUAAGGGAUUGACAACCCCUUCAUAGCGUUUGGUGCAAGCUCUUUGUGCUUUUGUAGGUACUUGUGUCUUGACGAGAUCUUCCAUUGGUUCGAUACCUUGGUUCUCAAAACUGAGGGAAAUACUUACCACCGCUGUGCUACAUCACCCUUUCCUCUUCAAGGGAACACCAACGCAAGGCUGCAAGGCCGCGGGGAAAUCCUUUGCAUAUUUGCCAAGGAAGUCACUAAAGGCGUAGCCGUAGCAGCAGGAUUCCUGGCGCCUUACCAGGGAAGGUCUGUUGUCGUAGUAGCAAUACCCUAUGUCGACCUUGGUUCAUGCUCUCUCUCUCUCUUUGUAGGAGAAACCUAUCCCCUCGUGAUGGACAUACCACCUACACAUCAAGAUGCCAACAGGAUACCAUUCCUCACCCGAGGAUACGUUUUCAUAGCUCGACGGGGGAUUUCUUGCUCGAAUGGUCCACUCCCUCAGCUGUGCCAUUUUAGCCUAGGAAGAAGACUCACGUUGGGCUUCUCCAUCAAGAACUCAGGCUUGCAGGAAAGAGCCAACCACCCGGUGUGGCUUGUGACAUCGCUGUGUAACGCCAAGGAAUGGGUUGAGAAUGACGCAGAGUGAAGAAGAGACUACUGUAGUUGUAUGGACAAUCUAGUGUUUCAUAUAAGAACCUAUGACGAAUGUAUACCUUUUUAUGAGACUAUGUUUUUAUAUGUAAUGUGUUUGGAGAACAACGUUUGCAAAGUGUGUUUUACUAUGUAAUGUUUGUGAACAACUACUUGGCAUUCAUAUGUAUUGUGUUGCACAAAGUUAUUGCAGGCGUCAAGCUUUUACAUGUUAAAAAUAUGUCUUCACGUGAGCACAAAAUACAAGUACGCAUAUGUCACAUGGCAAGUUUGACCUAGUCAAUCAUCUUUACACAAGCGGGGCAUAGAAUGAAUACGAUCAUAUAUGCGACAUGGGGCAUCAAAUUGGCGUCAUUAACUCAAAAUACUAGCUUAGGUUCACAUGACCGGAGUUCACGACCUAACAUCGCUUAUGGUAUUCUGCACCUGAUCGACGAUAUGCUUGAACUCCUGGUUCUCCCUCUCCAACUUCACCGAGGACCUAGUGACAUACUCCAGGGAACGAGGGACAGACUCCAGCUUUUUCACUGCGUUUAUAAUAAGUACGAGCAUGGUGUUGUUUGACGAUCGGUUCAUCAUUGGCUCGCGUGACAUGGUUGCCGGAGGAGUGUAAGAGUUACCUUCCAUUUCCAUGAAAUCCCUCGCAGUGAAACUCUCUUCAAGUAUAACCAAUUCAAACUGGUACUGCUUGUGCUUCGUUGUACACAAAAUCUUCAUGACGGGUGAACAAACAUCAUCGAGCUAAGCCUAGAUAUUGGUGCGGAAGUAAGGCUCCAACUUUUAUCCGCGGUUGCGCUUGUCAUCUUAGUUAAAAUGAAGUGCAUCACCUGGAAGUCCUCCUUGUGGAAUAGCAUUAGCAGGUUGGCAGCCCAUUGGUGGACACUCCCUUUGUCUCCAUGCUUCGGGACGAGUGUGUGAUGUAGCACACGAGAGAGAAUGACAAGGCUAGGCUUCUUGUACUUCAGAUUACCGGCCUUUGAAUCUUUAUGUGAUGCCACUACGUCAACAAAGAAUGACAACACCUGGUCGGGCUCUAGGGGCUCGCCGACUUCGUGUAUCCUUUUCUUCAACUUUUCCCAUUCAUCAUCGAGUGUUAGUAGGCCAAGCACUUUGGCGAAUUGGUCCUACGUCGUCUCAAACUUUUUAUAAUGGGUCAUUGAUACAUCUCCAACAUAUCUAUAAUUUUUUAUUAUUCCAUGUUGAUAUAUUAUCAUUCUAGAAUACGUUUGGGAUAUUUAUUUAUCAAUUUAUAUUACUUUUGAGCAUUAACCUGUUGACCAUGUGCGUAGUACCAGUUAUUGUUUUCCGCAUGUUUUUUACUUUUCAAGGUUUUCCAUACCAAACAAAGUUCAAUUGACCUGAAACCCUCUCGAGAUUCUUUUCGGACCAAAAGAAAGCCAACAAGUGACGUAGGAAGGCCGGGGGCCAACGAGGGCUCCACAAGCUAACCCGGCUUGCCUUGGGGGUGCGUCUUGUUGGCUUGUGGAUCCCUCGAGGCCCUUCCGACUCCGUUCUUUGGCUUAUAAAUUCUCUCUUACCCUAAAACACCUUGAGGAGUCCCGAAACAUGUUUUACGCCACCGCAAGUCCCUGUUCAUACGGGAGGCCAUCUGGAGCUCCGUUCUGGCACUUGACCGUAGGGGAUAAUUCAUGGAGAGCCUCUUUAUGAACCUUGCUGCCCUCACGAUAAUGUGUGAGUAGUUCACCACACACCUACAAGUCCAUAGCUAGUACCUAGAUGGCAGUCUCUCUCUCUUUAUCUUCAAUACAAUGAUCAUCGCAUCUUCGCUUUGAUCCGCAUUAUGUAAUUCCUUUUGUGCGGUGCGUUUGUUGGGAUCCGAUGAAUUGUGAGUUUAUGCAUAUUUUUUAUGCUAAAUAUUUGAGUCUUCUCUCAAUACUUAUAUGGUUCUUAUGUGCAUGAUUAUUAUAGAUUCGUAAUUACCUUCGAUCUAUGGAAAUAGUUUGGCCAACUAGAUUGAUAUUUCUUCAGUGAGAGAGGUGCGUUGUAGUAGGUUCAACCUGGCGAAUUUCCAUAUCCCAGAAAUAGAAGGGGACCAGAUGCGUCUUUGUGUUGCUUCUACUAAGGAUACAAUGACGGGGUUUAUUUAUAUUGCUUGAGUUUACUUUGUAUACAUCAUGUCUUUUUUCUCCAUGCAUUACUCUCUUUUACUUAAUACUUUAGAUGCAUGCUCGAUAAUGGUCGAUGAGUGGAGUAAUAGUAAUAGAUGCAGGCAGGAGCCGACCUAUUUGUUUAUGGACGUGAUGACUAUAUACACAUGAUCAUUGAUGUGAAUAUUGCAUAACUAUUAGCUUUUUUGUCAAUUGGCCAACAGUAAUUUUUUUACCCACCAUACACAAGUAGGAGAAAUGCUAGGCGCUAGUUUUGCCCUUACCAGUACCGCUUGUGCUAGCGCUACUACAAUCGCGCUACAACUAAUCUAUUAGCAGUAGCGCUGAAAAUAAAAGCGCUACUAGUAUGCACAUUAGCAGUAGCGCUGGAAUAAAUAAAGCGCUACUGCUAAUAUUCCAGCUCUACUGCUAAUAUUCCUGUUUUUAAUAUUUAAUUCGCGUCGUAUUUAUGUCCGUCCUACGGAUUUGUGCAUGCUCUAUACAGUGGUUUCAUCAUAUCAUAAUAAUCAUGCAUAAUUUGCAUCACAUCAUACCCAUAAAGUAGUCUCUUCAUUUAUACCAUCAUCACCAUCAUCAUCAUUAUCCAACACAAAUAUCAUCAAAUCUCGCAAAUAGCGAUGCACACAAGUCAUGGCACACCCACAAGUUUCAUCAUCCCUAUCUAAUCCAUCACGUAGAAGAGAAGGGCGAUCAUCAUGAGCAAGAGCGUGACUAUGUAGUACUUCUUGAGGCACCGGUUUCACUCCGUCUCUUGUCAUAGCAUCAUCCACCUCAAGUAACUCAUUUCCGCUUUGGCUCUACUGUUGAACUCUGUGUGGCAAGCCCCCGGGUACCUGUCCACCUGGGCCUGAGCGUCUGGCCAGUGGUCGUACACUCCUGGAACCUCCCAAUGAAUAUGACGUAGCAGCCCUUCGCCAUCUCUGAUCUAUGUACCUGCAUCGUAUGUUGAUUAAUUCAAUGAUAUAUAAUAUGCAACAUAAUGUACUUGAGAAACACAAGCGGUAAACAUAUAUAAAUAAGAAAGUUCCUCAUACACAAACGAAUUAACUAGAGCGAUGUACGGUAGUUCAUAUAAAGACUAGUAGUAUUAGUUAUAACUGAACACACACAUUGUCAUCGUCAAUCACUAUUCCUCAUCGAAGUUCCAAUCUUCAUAUUCAGGGAUGAAGCACCCGAGCUUCUUGAAAGGAUUCAUGUCCAAACCCUGAGCGACUAGCACAUCUCGGACAAUCUCCCGCCUCAUUGUCCCAUCGUAGAACAUCCCUCCUUGUUCGAUGACCUACUUCAUGAUCACCUGGGCAUGUUCACACUGGAUGUGAUAAAACUCAGCUCAGAUUUGAUGAUCCAGUGUGCUUCCUAUGCUUGUGGCCCAGCUGCGAUUCUUAGCAUCACUGGAAUUAGAUGACAUGCCAAGGCGUUAUCUAUCCCUUACGAACUCGAUCAUGUGACGCAUGAGGUAGAAUCCAUCAGCCCUACUACCGUUUGGUUGCUGGAUGCACCAGAAGUUGGUCUUAUGGCCGAAAGUCGACGCUUUGUUCCUGUACUUUUUCACCUUGAUAUAUCCACCAGUAAGGCUAUAGGUGAAAAUGGCACUAUCGAGAACAUUAUUUAUGUGCGUGUAAUCCUUCUUCUUGAUGUUCAUCGAUGAGUCCGAGUAUAGAGCAUAGGAGUAUUGAGGGCACAAACAGAUGAGGAACCCCCCCCCCCCGUUGUGCAAAAUAAGCAGAGCUCAAACUAUCAUGCAUGCUUGCAAAGGAAUCAUCAAAACUUACUAAAGGAUAUUUGUGGAUAACUUACGUGGGAUGAUAAGGCAGGAAAAUCAUUUCCUUGUCCUUAUUAGCGAGCAUGAAGUCGCUGAUGUACUUGCACGCAGAGUCCCGAUGCUCUUGGCACUCUGCCAACAAGCCCUUGUGCAUAUAGUAUGGGUCUGCGACGCUCAUAUAUUAUAUGUUCUCGCGCCUGAUGAUGUAGUUGAGAUACAUCGCAUACAGGCGGAUGAACUGAAAAUCCAGCUUGGUUAGGUGGAACAUGUCGUAGAUGUAGUCAAAUCGCAGGAUGAACUUGACCGUGGGCCAUGUGUCGACGUAUCCACUCGCACCCGGAACCUGAUUUGGGUAAAGCUGAUAUCCUGGCUUUUUCGAGCUGAGAAGUUUCUUCUUUGUGGCCAACACAUCAUCAUGAAGUCUCCUUAGAUCAUUGUUCUUUAUGCUCUCUACCGCUUUCUGAGGUAGGAUCGGGUGGCCGGCGACAUGGAAAUGCUCUGGACCUUCGAAAGGUAUCCUGUCUACCUCCCGGGGCGCGGCUGGUUACAACAUUUCUUUUCCGGUCUCCUCCUUUGCUUCAUGGCGGGUGGCGGUAGUGAUCCCGCCAUACCUUCCCUAACCAUAUCCCCCAGCGUCAUCGGACUAAUUAUCAGUGGACGGCUCCUGUGUUGUUCUUGCUGGGUAAAGGCAGCAUCUAGAGGCGUCUCCUGCGAGGAUCGCACGAAGAGAGACUUUUUGCAAUCAGCCGUCAGACGUUCCGGCUCCGGCAAAUCAGGCAUCAUCAAGUCAUCUGCACGCUCAUAGUGUGAGUCAUAUUGCAGAGCAUCGUGACAGUCGGUAUUGAUAUACUGGUUAGGGUCCUCAUCAUAAUCCUCCUCCAUGACAUCAUCAACAUUUGCUAAUUCGACGGGGGGCGACGUCAUCUUGCACUAAUGGAGGCUCUCCCUCACUGCUUCGUCCGCUAUCUCCCCCCCCACGCAGGUGCAGGUAGUUGGGUAGGUGGGAUGGUGUUCAUACCUUGUUGAUGAGUUGCCAUUGGUGUGCUAUCGGGAACCUCAACAUGAAGGUGAGUCUUCGGCCAAGGCAAGAACCAGUUCUUGCAUGCGCCAAUCAGUUGAGGGGUCUCGUCAUCACCGGAUGUUGUUGGAAGAGCCAAAUACUGGACGCCCGUUUUGACACUAGCCACGCAAACUUUGAAGACGCCAUGGGGCAUCUGCUUGUUGUGGAGCAUGUGGUCCUUCAGCUUGAUUAUCGUUGCCUUUCCCACGUCCACCUUCUGACCGUUGAUAUCGUACAGUAGGGUGUACGGGGUUUCGUCAGCCUGCGAAGACAUGACUACGACGCCAGACAUCCGAAAGGCAACUGAAAUGGAAGACUAUAUAGAUAUGUUGUGACUAGUGUAUGACGCGUAAUUACCGUGAUGGUGUCGAGCUCAGCCAAAGGCGAAGCCCCGCCGAGCACGCCAGAGGGGGAGGGCGGGCUGCUAUGAACCGAAGCGAGACCAGGUACGGGAGGUGUUGGUGGUGCGAUGUUCGCGAAAUUGCUCCCGACAAACCUGAGUAGUGGAAUGCUUGUGACUAGUGCUUCCGUAUUCCUCCUCACAUACUCAAAAACUGCCGGAACCAAUUGGCCCAAAGACGCUGCCACAGCUGCAUUGACCUUAUUGUCGACUACCUUGGUCAUCUCUUCUUUGCUCUGAUCGACCGCCCGCAUGACCUUCUCGUUGAUGGUCAGUUUAGUAUGCUCUUGUCUCUACUUUAUUUCCUACGGCCACUUGUGGUAGAAUUUAUUCCAUGAGGCACCAUCUCUGACGUCGUGCACACGUCCACCUAAUGGAGGUUUGUACACCGAGACAUUUUUCAGUAUGUUUAGGGCCCGGUUGAACGGUUGUCCCACUUGGGCCUCGCUGACGACUGAGACGACUCGUCUCUUUCGGCUGCCUUUUCGUGCUGCUCUUUCUACAAAAGGAACAUAGAUCGUUUACAAAUUAAUUAAAAGCUAAUUAAUAUAAUUAAGGUGGUAAUACAACAAUUACCAGUAGUCUCAUGAACUCCCUCGUGUACGGGUCCGUGUAAAAGAUCUUCUUGACGGUGUCCCACUUGUGCCUGACCCUGAUCCAGUCGUGCUCCAGCGGGUCGGUGAACUCCGCCAAGGGGUCUGGAAUUCUGUGACUUUCACGUUCGGCAUCCUCCUUGGCCCAAGUGCUCCUCUUCCCCUCGUAACCACGGCUUCCGAGGUGGUGGGCAGGCGUGUUCUUGGCUUGGAGCCGCUUCAUUUUCUCGACUUUUCCUAGGCUUCUUCUGUAGAACAAGCCUCUUUGAAAUUUUCGAAGUCCUCAUCCGUUAUUGAUGGAUUGUGAGCAUGAAUCUUGGACCACGGUUCAUUCUUCAGAAUGACUUUUUUCACCCGUACUUUCCAGGCAGACAAGCCAUUGGUGAACGUCACCAUUGCCUUGUUGUUUAUCUUUGUCAUGUUUCUAUCCUUCCACGGAUGUUCUACCUCUUCAUCCCACCCGGGGAACAGGAACCUGUUGUGCAACUUCAUUAGGAGCGUUUGCUCCGUAUGUGGUAUCUUCUUCAACUUUUCGUCGUUGAUGUUGGCGGUUUCCCUGAGGAUGCAUCCUAGUUGAUUGACGUAGCACUUCCACCCUUUCUUCGGCUCCACUGGCUCUAAUUUCAUGGGGUGCAUCGCCGUGACCAUGAUUUGUCUGGUGUCGAGCUCACUUGGUUUUCUUGCCCUCUUCGUUUUCGGUCCUUCACCGACUAAAUCAGCAUCGUUGCCGGACUUAGGGGCAAUGUUGGUGUCGGUGCCGGUGCCACUGUCGGUGGCGGUGCCAGCGUCGGUGUCGGGGUUGGUCCCACUGCCACCCUGCGUGCCCGGCUUGCAUUGGUCCACGUAUUUUGAAUAUCCAUCUGCUUCCUGAAAAUGGCCAUCUCCGGCGCGACCUGAACCCCUGGCUUUGUCGUGGCUGGACAUAUUAAUUUCCUACGAGUGUUUAAUUAUAAUAGUUCAUAUCUAGCCCGCAUAACAUGAAUGAUAAAAGGGACCUAUUAUAAUAGUUCAUGUCAUUUAUGAACAGAAUUAACCUAAAUAAUUCUAAAACAAAAUUAACCUAAAUAAUUCUAAAAACAUGAUUAACCUCAAACAACACUAUUAGUCUCUUCUUCUUCUCUUCCUCCUCUUCUUCCCCUCCUCCUCUUCCUCUAACAAUUCUAAAAUAGAAUUAUCCUAUAUAAUUCUAAAACAGAAUUAACCUAAAUAAUGCUAAAAACAGAAUCAACCUAAAAAUAUAAUCCCCUCUCCUUCCUCCUCUUCUUCCUCUCCUCCUGUCCUUCCUCUCCUUCCUCUUCUACUUCUCCGCUUUUUCUUCUACUUCUCCUCAUCUUUUAUUUUUCCUCUACUUUUCCUCUUCAUUCCCAUUUCCGGCAAUUCCAGGGCACUUCAUAUGUCCACGUUUCUAGCACUAGUAAUACCUAAAUUCACGAAAAAUUUCGGCAUGACCUUUGCUAAAAGUGGACAUAUGGAGCGCCUGAAAUUUGCCGGAACGAAAAUGAAUCAACAUUCCGGCAAAACAGAGGCCACUCGAUCAUUUCAACAAUACUUUCCACAAACUUAGCACAAGUGGAGCACAUUGUAUUACCUAAUAACAAUACUCCUCCUCUUCUUUUCUUAUCCUCUUCUACUUCUCCUCUUUUUCUUCUACUUCUCCUCUUCUUCUAGUUUUCCUCUUCUUCCCAUCUCCUCCUCUUCUUAUUCUUCUUAUCUUCUUUUCUUCCUUUUCUUCCUUUCCUCCUCUUCCCCUAUAUUUCUAAAACAUAAUUAACCUAAAACCUAAUUCUAAAUAUUACUAACCCUAAUAAUUCUAACAAAAAACAAAAUUAAUCUAAAACAAAAUUUCCUCUCCUUCCUCCUCCUCUUCUUCCUCUUCUUCUUCUCCUUCUUCCUCUUCUUUUCCUCCUCUUCUUCCUCUCUUUCCUCUUCUUCCCCUCCUUCCUAUUAUUCCUCUCCUUCCUCUUCUUCCUUUCCUCGUUUUCUUCUUCUCCUCCUCCUCUUCUUCCUCUCCUCCUCCUCUUCUUCCUCUCCUCCUCCUCUUCUUCUCCUCAUCUACUUCAACAGAAGUAGGUUACCAUUGGGAGAGAGGGGCAGGGGUUACCUGGAGCGGGAGAGAGGGGCGUCGGCAUUCAGCCGUGGUGGUGAUGACUACAGGAGGGGUGGCGGUGGCAGAGACUGCAGGAGGGGGAGGCGGCGUCCGGCGGUGACGGCGGCGGCGACUGUAGGAGCGGGAGGAAGUUGUAGAUGGGAGUGGAGGGAGAGGAAAAUUUUGGGCCGGUUAAGUAACAAUAGCAGUUGCGCUGCAUUUAGGCCAUCGCUACUACUAACUUAGUAGUAGCGCUGGUUCUGGUCCAACGCUACUGCUAAAUUCCCUAGGACAGUUAGCAGUGGCAUUGUGGGGUUUCGAGCGCUACUUCUAACUUAGUAGUAGCGCUAUAUUGGUUCCAACACUAGUGAUAACAUUAUUUUCUUUAUUAUUAUUAUUAUUUUAUUAUUAUUAUUUGCCUUUCCUUUUAUGUUUACUUUUGUUUUUAUUUUGUAUUGUUUUCUCCUUUUUGUUUUUAUCCCGACGGCCUGACACGUAGUUGACGCCGAGAACGUCUCCCUCCCGGCCACACUGUGCGACUAUUACCGGAACCAUGUACACAAAAUACAUACAUAUAUAUAUAAAUGAUUAUUUUGAACACAAAAUAGAUACAUAUAUAUAUAAAUGAUUGUUUCUCAGCUGCGUCGAAGACGUUUCAGAUGGAGCUUCUUUCCUUUCUUGUUCGUUGUGUUGAUUCUUCUUUUCCGGCACCAUGGAGUACGAUCUUUCUUAGGUAAUGUAGUCUUGAUUCUUCUUUUCACGUAUGCUUCAUCGUCAUCAUCAUCUUCCCUCAUCGGGUUACUGUAUUGGUUGUAGUCUUCCUCGUUGGCGAUUCCAUCCAUUCCGACGAUGUUUCUUUUGCAUCUCCUCACGACAGCACGACUGGCAUUGGUCGGGUUGGUUAUGAAGAAGCAUUGUGUCACGUGCUUUGUGUGUAUCCAUGGCUCAGUUUUGGCAAUGAUGUUAACGUUGACGGUAGAGCUCUUUGCGUCGGGUAUAGACAUGGUAGUGAAAUACUUGUUUUCUCUUACGACGGCCUUAGCCCACCUGACACGGAACAUUGUCGCAUCAUGCUUUCGAACAAAGUUAAGCUCCCAGAUCACUUCGACCUUUCCAAAGAAUCUUUUAGUUGUGUCGUUGGAGUCGGUCACGCAUUCAGUGGUCACCCCUGAGUUCUGGUAAUCACUGUCCACGUCUCUGGCCUCCAUGAAGAACGUGUACCCAUUGAUAUUGUAUGCCUCGUAGGACACGUGUACGAGAAACCCGUCCGCACUGCCCUCUUCGGGGGGAUUAGCACGAACCUGUUCUUUGAACCAACGCAAGGAAGUGGCGUUGUGCUCUACUGUAACUUCGUCGUCCGUCUUGCGCUUCCCUUGAUCACGGUACUUCCUUGUGAUGAUUUCUUUGUGCAGUGUUACAUAAUCAUCUACCACAUCUCGGUGUUGUAGCACUACUAAGUUAGCCGUGUCAAAGUCGUCCAAUCGAUCCGAGUAGUCCACGUCCAAUUCCCUCCGGCUGUUGUUGUGACCUUCUCCUCCGAGCCUCCCAUGGUGCUUGUUGACGGGAAAACCAACAACAGGAUCUUCUGUACGUAUAUAAUUCUUGCAAAAGGAGAUGCACUCUUGGGUCAGAUAGCCCUGGACGAUGCUCCCCUCGGGACGGACCAUGUUACGAACGAAUCCUUUGAUGACCCCAUUCAUCCUCUCCAAUGGCAUCAUGCUGUGAAGGAAUGUCGGCCCGGGGUCGAUGAUGUCGUCCACAAUGUGGACACACAGAUGCACCAUGAUGUCAAAGAAUGCGGGCGCGAAGUACAUCUCAAGCUCACAUAGUAUGACAACGAUCUCUUCCUGUAGCCUUCGCAGCUGCUUCACACUGAUGGACUUUCGAGAGAUAACGUCGAAGAAGUUGCAGAGACGAUUAAGUGUCUCACAGACGUGCUUGUCCAUUAUUCCUCUAAUGGCAACCGGGAGUAUCUGCGUCAUCAUCACGUGACAGUCAUGAGACUUCAUCCCGCUGAACCUGUUCUUCUUGGUGUCUAGAAAUCUGCUUAUCUUCCCAUAGUUAUUGGAACUAAAUUUGAUUCUCGUAAGGAACAUGACGAAUUCAUCGAUCUCCUUUGGACUUAAGGUGAAGAAAGAAGGGGGCAACAACUCUACUCCUUCUUGUUGACUUUUAUUCCCCUUGGCCCUCUCGCCGUCUCUGUCUCCGUCUCCUCCGUCGACUUUUUACGGGGCAUGUGGAGACCCCUCCUGAUCUCCAAAUCCUCCAAGUCUUUCCUUGCCUUCGGCCCAUCCUUGGUCUUCUCCGGCAUGUUCAUUAGGGUGCCAAUCAAGCUCUCGAGGACAGUCUUAGUUAUAUGAAUUUCAUCAAGGCAAUGAGGUGUGCCAGGAUUGGGCCAGUACUCCAAGUGCCAGAAAACAAACCUCGUUUUCCAUACCUUCAGCAGCAGAUCCGACACCUUUUCCAUCUUUCCCGGCGCGGGGCAUUGUUGCCAGUUAUUCAAUAGCUCGUUGAUUUUGGCGCCGCUCCUCUUACGUGGAGGACCUCGAUACUCAUCCAAACCAUUGAAUAGAUCUCCACGUUUUCUCCACUGGUCAUCCUUUUCGAGCCAUUAACGAUGUCAAUUGUACACGAUUUUCCCAGACCCGUCAUUUUCAUUGACGUAUGUUGCAUCCAUGCACCUCGUGCAUCCGCUGUAUCCGUGGCACACCUGGCCUGAGGUGUAUCCAUAACCGAGAUAGUCAUGAACAGUCAUCAUUAGCGCAGCUCUCAUAUAGAAAUAAUCUCUUGUGCUGAAGUCCCAAGUCUUGACCAGCGAUUUCUAUAACGUGUCUAGCUCCUCUUUCAGAAGCCCCAUAUACAGGUUAAUAUUAUUUCCCGGUUGUUUCGUCCCUUGAAUUAGUAUGCUCAUGUGUAUGUACUUUGUCUUCAUGCACUUCCAUGGGGGGAGGUUGUACAUCUAUACAAAGACAGGCCAUGUGAUGUGGUUGGUGCUCUGGUUUCCAAACGGAUUCAUACCAUCGGUACAUGCACCAAGCACGAUGUUCCUUCCAUCUUCUCCAAAAAAAGGAUAUUCGGCAUUGAGUGAUCUCCACUGGCUACCAUCUGCGAGGUGUCUCAGCUUUGGAUCAUCUCCAUCAUCGGGCUUCUUCCUCUCCACGUGCCAGUGCAUGAGCUUUGCUUCCUUAGGAUCUACGAAAUACUUCUGCACACGGGGAGUGAUCGGAAAGUACCAUACAACUUUCUGAGGAGCUUUCUUUCCUGCCUCCUUUUAUCGAGAAGCAUUGCACACUGGACACCUGGUCUUUUCCCCGUGCUCACCCCGAUAAAUGAUGCAAUCGUUGGUGCAUGCGUGGUAUCUAAUGUGCGGCAGAUCCAGAGGGCAACGAUUUUCUUGGCCUCAUUGACACUAGUAGGACAGAGGUUCCCUGCGGGAAGAACUUUAUUUUGUGGAUACUUCAAGUGCUCAUCGGGGCUUUUGUUUGUCCAUUUGUUUUUGGCCUUCGUCUUUAGAAGUUUGAGCAUGAAGUAUCCACCGAGUAUAGCCAUCAUUGAAACCAUUGAUCAGCAAGUGGGCCUUUAAACUUCCACGAUCAAAAGGGUCCAAAAUUACUCCUUAUUUGCAUCUUGUACACAGACAUCUAAUCCGAGUCCGUUUAUUUUCGUACAUGUCAAUAAUCGCGGAAUGCAAGUAUCGCUCCACCUUGCUACCACUCACCUUCUACAAGGUGUAUAUAACAAGCAAAAGGGUCAUAAACAAAAUGCAUGCAUAUAAAAAAUUUGCAUGACCUUGCCUAAAAAUAGGACAUAUCGAGUUUGCUUGUAAUUCUCCGAAGCAGAAAUAAAUCGACAUUUCGGCAAAACAUAAGCAAAUAAAGGAGAGGUGACAAUGGUGGAGAAAUUAGAGAGAGGAAAGGGAAAAGGAGGGGAUAGGGAAAAGGGGGAGGAAGGUGGAGAGGGGUGUGUGUGGGUGAAAUGAGGGCAACAAUGGUGGAGUAAAGGAGAAAGGAGGGGAUAGGGCCAAGUGGGGGUGGAAGGGGGAGAGGGGUGUGUGUAUGGGUGAAAGGGCAACAAUGGUGGAGGAAAGGAGAAAGGAGGGGAUACGACAAAUGGGGGAGGAAGGGUGAGAGGGUGUGUAUGGGGGUGAUAGGUAGAAGAAAGAGAGAAUAAGGACAAGAAUGGUGGAGAAGUAACAAUGGAGGAGGAAAGGUGAAAGGAGGGCAAAGGGGGAGGAAGGGGAGGGGGUGUGUGUGGGUGUGGGUGUAAAUGAAGCUGCCCACAUGUAGCAGUAGGGCCGGUUCCAGGGGAGCGCUACUACUAUUGCACUUAGCAGUAGCCCUUUUUACAAUCCAGCGCUACUACUACAGAUACUGUUGGUGGCCUCGUUGGGCCCCAUUUAGCAAUAGCGUUGUUCCAAUGAAGCGCUACUGCUAUGCAGUAUCGCUUUUUACAGUCCCGCGCUACUAUUACAGAUACUAUGGGUGGCCUCAUUGGGCCCUGUUUAGCAGUAGUGCUGGAAAUGCAUCCCGCGCUACUACUACGGUAGUUAGCAGUAGCGCGUCCAAUUUCCAACGCUACUGCUAAGUAGCAGCAGUGCGUGCUAUUUUCCAGCGCUACUACUAGGCUCCUACCUAUAAGGUUUUUCCUACUAGUGAUAUGCUAUUUUUCAUGAGAGAUGCCAUUAGGGAAACUAUGCCCCCGGGUCUAUUCACAACAUAUUUACAAAACCUCAAUACCUUGCCGCCAUUUACUGUUUUUUUAUUUUUGUAAUUUACAAUCAUCUACAGUUAUCUACACACCUCACUCGCUUCCAAAUAACAAGUACGAGCGGAUUGACAACCCUCUUGCCCACGUUGGGUGCAAGUUGUUUCUUCUUUUGUGUGCAGCCGCUAAAGACGGUUGUGGUUGAUAUUACUUACCCACACUGUGUUGUGAUAAACCGUUCCUCUUCAAGGAAAACCCAACGGAGAUCACAAGUAUCACGAAGGAUUUGUGGCACCGUUGCCGGGGAAUAUCAUCACGAUCUACCAAGUAACUCCACACAAAAUUUCAUUCACUUGUUCUCCAUUUUAUUGCUGGUAUAUUUAGUAUGUCUCAUUACAAAAUACAUAAAUAUUUACCUUUGCGUGCUUAGCAUGUCACUAGAUUGCAUCUUCGCUCUCUAGUUUGCUUGUCUUACUUGUUACUUUGCUUUCUCGGUCACCAUAUCUCAAGAUACUACUAAGUUGUGUGACUUAUCAAUAGUAAUAACAAAUACUUUAUUAGUACUCCUAUACCACCCGCCACUAGUGUGUACGCUUUUUAUUAAUGUUGCAUUACUGAAUCUUGUCACAAAAGAGCAAUUUUUGGGAAGUCCUAAUUAGGAUCCCGGUUCACAUCUCAAUACCUUUGUUGAACUUUGUAAUAUGCAAACGAAAAAGGAUAUGGAUAAUGAUAUUUUGAAAUUAAAGUUGUUUCCUUUUUCACUAAAAGAGAAAUCUAAAGCUUCGUUUUCAUCUUUACCACGUAAUAGUAUUGGAACAUGGGAUAAGUGUAAAUAUGCUUUUAUUGCCAAGUAUUUUUCCUCCUGCUAAGAUCAUCUCCCUUAGAAAUCAAAUAACGAAUUUUAAACAACAUGAUCAAGAACAUGUUGCACACGCAUGGGAGAAAAUGAAAUUGAUGAUAAGAAGUUGCCCCCUGAUGGUUUAAACUUGUGGAUGAUUAUCCAAAAUUUAUAUGCUAGACUAAACUUCGUGUCUAGAAAUCUUCUAGAUUCUGCUGCACGUGGUACCAUUAUCGAUGUGACUUUGGGAUAAGCCACACAAAUUCUACACAACAUCAUGACUAAUUAAUAUCAAUGGCAUACAGAGAGAGCUCCAAUCGGUGAGAAGGUAUAUUAUGUUGAGGAAAUUGCUACUAUGAGUGAAAAACUGGAUGCUCUUAUGAAUUUGGUUGCUAAUAAAAAUACUUAUGUUGAUCCCAAUUGUAUGCCCUUGUCAACCUUGAUUGAUAAAAAUAAUGAUGCUAUUGAUGUGAACUUUGUUUUGCGAAAUAAUUUCAACAACAAUGCAUAUAGUGGUAAUUUCUAUGCUUAUGGUAAUUCUUCUGCAAAUCCUAAUAGGAUACCCGAUGAUCCUGAGAACACAAUGAAGGAAUUCAUUAAUUCCCAAAAAGCUUUCGAUAGUAUGGUAGAAGAAAAAGUGCAUGUUGUUGAUACUUUGGCUAUAAACAUGGAUAAAAUUGCUCUUGCUAUAGAAACUCUUAUAAAAACUUUUAUCUGCUAAGCAUGAAAGUUUCUAUUAAUGAAAUUAAGGAGAGGACUGUUAAUGUGAAAGCUAAGGGGGCAUUCCUAGAAAAAAGCUCUUACACCCGUUUUUACCGAAAUCAUGAUGAAGAUCUUAAAACUAUUGGUGCUUCCCCUAUUGAAUCUUUUUUUACAUCUCUGAAUAUUAAUGAUAAAGGGACUAGAUAUGAGUCAACUCUAGUGAAGGUGUGUCUCGUUUGCUUGGUCUAUUAAAUCAAGACAUUAACUAGUGACGUGUCCACUAUCUUGGGUUACACGGACUUUAAUUAUGAUAAUUUAUAUUUAGUAGAAUUUAUUUACUUUCCUCAAUACAUUAUUAGCUCACCCAAUGCUUAUGAAGAAAACAAAGCUUUUACUCAACAUAUAAUAGAAGCUAUGGCAAAAGCUUAUGCUGAGAAACUUGAUCUUGAAGCUAUUAUUCCUAGAAAGUUGCAUGAUGAGUGGGAAACUACUAUAAAAUUAAUAUCAAUAAAUAUAAAUGCAAUGCUUUGUGUGACCUUGGUUCUAGUGUUUCAACUAUACCUAAAUCUUUAUGUGAUGUGCUUGGUCUCACUAAUAUUGAAGAAUGUUCCCUAAACUUGCAUCUUGUGGAUUCUACCAUUAAGAAACUUGUAGGUAGAAUUAAUGAUGUGAUGAUAAUUGCAAAUAAAAAAUUAUGUGCGUGUAGAUUUCAUUGUGUUUGAUAUUGAUUGCAAUCCUAAUUGUCCAAUUGUACUUGGAAGGCCCUUCCUACGAACUAUAGGUGCAACCAUUGACAUGAAAGAGGGAAACAUAAGGUUCCAAUUUCCACUAAAGAAAGGAAUGGAACACUUCCAUAUAAAGAGAACUAUAUCACCUUAUGAAUCAAUCAUGAGAGACACUUAUGGGUGGAGUGUCAAAGGUGACAACAUUUCAAACUAUGCAAUAUGCCUAGCUGGGGGCGUAAAACAAUAGCGCUUGUUAGGAGGCAACCAAAUAAUUAUCUUUAUUUUUGUAUUUUUUACUUUCUGUUUGUUUCUAUUAACAUGAUUAUUUUCUCUGUAAUUAUUAUGUUUUCAUGUUUUAAUUAAUGUUUAUGUCAAGUAAAGCCUUUGGGAUGAUUUGUAUGAUGAGUAGAAUUGAUACGGUGCAAAAAUAGAAACUUUGAUGCUCAGUGCAAAAUUUCUUUGAUUUUACUGAAAUGACUAUUUAAGCUGAAUAUUUUACAUAGUAUUCUAAUUCCAAAUUCCUCGGGUCUUCCUAAUUGUUCAGAUUGUUUGGAGUUAUAGAAGUAUAGGUUCAUUAUAGAUUACUACACACUAUUCUAUUUGAGUCAGAUCCUUUUUUUCCUUGCAUAGUUUGCUUGUUUUGAUGAUGCUAUGGAUUGUAUGAGGGGUAUAAGCCAUGGAUAAGUUAGAAUACAUUACCUUAUGCUAAAAUAAAAUAAGUAUCAACUUACAACUAUACCUGAAAGUAUUUCAUAUGUUUCUUGUACUAGUGAAUCUCAUGGAGUUUUGUUGAGUUUGAUGUGAUUGAAGAUUUCAAGUUUUGGGUAUUAUCCCGAUGGACUAAGAAAUGAGGAGAAGCAAAAUCCUAAGCUUGAUGAUGCCCAAGGCACCUCAAUGUAAUAUUCUAGAAAGACUCGAGCGUUAUAGCUUGUGGAUGCCCCGGAAGGAAUCCCCUCUUUUUGUCUCAAUCCAUCGGUAUGUCACUUGGAGCUACAUUUUUAUUUAUCACAUGGUAUGAGUUUUGUUUGGAGCGUCAUUUUAUUUUACUUUCAGUUUUCAACAAUCAUUGUUUCAGGUACACACCUAUUUCAGAGAGAUAUCACAUCAUUAUAAUUUGUUAGGAUACUCUAUGUGCCUCACUUAUAUAUUUUGAGCUUAGUAGUUGCUCUAGUAGUCACUUAUAUAUUUUUGAGCAUGGUCAAGUGUAGAUUUUAUAGAAGUAUUAUGCUAUCAUUAUUCACUUACGUUUGUUUGAGAAUUAAAUAAAUAGUGAUGGUAAUAUUCUUGGGUCAUAAGACUAGAUAAAAAUAAUAGGUCUUCAAUGAGUGAUAAUUAAAACCACCAUGUAGCACAUAUAGAGAAAUUGUGGGUUAAUGAUAUUGAUGUGAUGAUAUGAAAAAGGUGUGAGUGCAUUAUUAUUAAUUUAGAGAGGUGUCGAUACUAAGAGAUGUUAAACUUCUUGUUCAUCUAAAAAUCAAAAGCGCAUGCUGAUGAUGUGUAAGCAUUUCUAUUCCUUGUGGAAAUCCUAGUGCUGUUUUGAGUUGGAGUCGUGCGAUGGUUAAUUCCUAACAACCAUCUCCCUCGAGGCAUGUGAGUAGUACUUUGAUUUGUGAUAAAACUAAUAAAACUUUGCAAUAAUUACAUGUGUUCUUCAUGACUAAUGUGACACAAUCUCACCUCCUCAUAUUUCUUAACCUCGUCGGUAUCGUGCAUCGCCCGUUCUCCCCUUGAGGAUCGGUGCAACUUUCGUCGGUGCAUCCAAACCUCGUGACAUGGCACGCUCUAUUGCACAUAAGCCUUUUUAUAUCCUCCUCAAAACUGCCACCAUACCUACAUAUCAUGGCAUUUCCCUGUCCAUUCCAAGAUAUAUUGCCAUGCAAAUGCCAUCGUCACUUCACACGACUAGUUCGUUCAUCAUCAUAGUGCUUUGCAUGAUCAUAUAGAGCUGACAUAGUAUAUGUGGAAAACCUACCAUUCAUCAUAUUUUUGAUACAUGUCAGCCUAGAUCUUUGCACAUCCUGGUUCACUACCAGAGUCAUUCAUACAGAGUCAUAUCGUCCUAUCAUUUUUCAUAUUGAGUUGUAAGUAAAUAAAAAUUAUAUGAUCAGCAUUAUUAAAGCAUUGUCUGAGUGAGGAAAUAAAAAUGGGGGAGGCAAAAUGAUCCCACAAUAAAAAAAUGAAAACAGAAAAAAAUGAAUGAGAGAAAGAGAGAGAAGGGGCUUUGCUACUAUCCUUUACCACACUUGUGCCUAAAGUGGCACCUUGUUCUUCAUAUAGUGUCUCAUGUUAUGUCAUUCAUAUGCUAGUCGGAAUCACUUUUUCAUAAACUUGGCAUGUAUAUUGCAAUGACGGGCUUCCUCAAAUUCCCGAGGUCUUCAUGAUCAAGCAAGUUGGAUGCACACCCCACUUAGCUUUAGUGGAGCUUUCACACACUUAUAGAUCUAGAGCAUCAUUUGCAUGGAAAUCCCUACUCCUUGCAUCGAUAUCUAUCAACAGACAUCUCCAUAGCCCGUUGGUACGCCUAGUUGAUGUGAGACUAUCUACUCCACCUUUUACCCCCUUUGACACCUACCACCAUAUUAUGUUCCACCUAUAUGCUAUGUCCAUUGAUUCAAGCUCAUGUAUUGCAUGAAGAAUAAAAUGUUGAUGCAUAUUGAAAAAGUACGACCCAAUUGCCUGACUUGGACAUUGUGGUGCUUCACAUUUGUAUUGAUGUGGUGAAGAUGGAGCCAUGCCUUGGUAAUAUAAUAAUACGAAUGGGGUAAAACAAUCUUUGAUGAUCAUAAACUCUGAUGGAUUAAUGAUUUUGCUGCUUAUACCUAUAAGUACUACUAUGUUAAUGUUGGUUAAUUCAUUGUUUCUCUAUAAGCAUACAUGCAUGUCACAUAAUUGUUUUAUCAUUUACCUACUCGAGCGCGAGGAGGUAUUGAUCUUGGAAUGCUUGAUACGUCUCCAACGUAUCUAUAAUUGUUUAUUAUUGCAUGCCGAUAUAAUAUCAUUCUAUAAUAUUUUGUGGUACUUAUUUGCCAAUUUAUAUUAUUUUUGAGUACUAACAUAUUGACCCAGUACUCACUGCGAGUUGAUGUUUUCUGUAUGUUUUUCGCUUUCUAGGUUUUCCAUACCAAACGAAUUCCAAUUGACGUAAAACUUUUUGGUGAUUUUUCUCGACUAAAAUAAGACCAACAAACAUCAGAGGAAGGUUGGGGGCCACAUGAGGGCCCUACAAGCCAACUCGGCGCAACUUGGGGCGCGACGUGUUGGAUUGUGGCCCCUCGUGGCCCUCUCAACUGUGUUAUGUGUCUUACAAAUUCUCUCAUAGCCUAAAAACACCAAGAAGUGUCCCGAAACACUUUUUACUAUGCUGCAAGUCUCAGUACCUACGGGUGGCCAUCUGGAGUUUCGUUCUGGCACACUGUUGAAGGGGGGUCGAUCUCGGAGGUCCUCUUCAUCAACCUUGCAGCCCUCACAAUGAUGCAUGAGUUGUUCACCACAAACCUGCGGGCCCAUAGCAAGUACCUAGAUGGCAAUCUCUCUUUCUUGUCUUCAAUACAAUGAUCAUGCCAUAUUCUCUUUGAUCCAAAUGAUGUAAUUCAUUUUGUGCGGUGCAUUUGUUGGGAUCCGAUGAAUUGUGGUUUUAUGUACAUAUUAUUCAUGAUAAAUAUUUGAGUCUUCUCUGAAUACUUAUAUGAUUCUUAUGUUCAUGAUUAUUAUAGCUUUUGUAAUUCCCUCUGAUCUAUUGAAAUAGUUUGGCCAACUCGAUUGAUAUUUCUUCGAUGAGAGAGCUGCGUUGUAGUAGGUUCAACAUGGCGAAUUUUAUAUCCCAGUGACUGAAGGGGACAAGACGCGUCUUUGUGUUGCUGCUACUAAGGACAAAAUGACAGGGGUUCAUUCAUAUUGCUUGAGUUUACUUUGUCUACAUCAUGUUAUUGUUCUCCAUGCAUUACUUUGUUUUAGUUAAUACUCUGGAUGUAUGCUAGAAAGCGGUUGAUGAGUGGCGUAAUAGUAAUAGGUGCAAGCAGGAGUCAGCCUAUUUGUUUAUGGACAUGAUGCCUAUAUACACAUGAUCAAUGUCGUGAAUGUCAAAUAACUAUCCGCUUUUCUAACAAUUCCCAACAAUAAUUUGUUUACCCACUUAUAUGUCUCCAAUGUAUCGAUAAUUUAUGAAGUAUUCAUGCCAUGUUUGCCUAUGUUUACAACAAUUUUAUAUGGUUUUGCUGCACUUUAUAUGAUUUAUUUAUAACUAACCCGGACUGAUGAUGUUUUCAACAGAACUACCGCGGUGUUGUUUUUGUGCAGAAAUAAAAGUUUUCAGAAUUGGACAAAACUUUUUGAUGAUUUUUCUCAGAAGACAUCGAGACGAGCAAAGAACCACCAGAGAGUAGGCCUAAGGUGCCCAUAGCGCACGAGGGCACGCCAGCCCCCUUAGUGCGGCCUGGUAGCUAGUGGGCACCUCGUGGCCCACCUUAGUGUGAUUCCAAGGCCGAAAAACCCUAAUAAAUAUAGAAACCUCCAGAAAUUACCAUACACGAGAAGUUCCACCGCCGCAAGUCUCUAUAGGCACGAAAAACCAAUCGGAGGCCUAUUCCGGUACCCUAUCGGAGGGGGAGAUCAUCUUGGGUAGCCAUAUUCAUUAUGCUGGCGUGGGCCAUGAUGAGGAGGGAGUAGUCCACCCUCCGGGCUGAGGGUUUGUACCAGUAGCUAUCCGUUUAAUCUCUCUCUCUCGUGUUCUUGAGAUGUCAUGAUCUUGAUACAUCACGAGCCUUGUUAAUAUAGUUGGAUCAUAUGGUGUUUAUCCCAUACUAUUAUUGUGAUGAAUUGAGUCUUUUCCUUUAAGAUGUCGUCAUGUUGGAUUGAAUAUUCAGGUUUGAGAGCACAUGAUAUAUGUCUUGCAUGUGAAUACCCGUAGUGCCAUUGGGGUAUUCAAGUGAUUCACUUGAUAUUUGUUGUGGCAUCAACUUCCGGAUUCCGGUGAACUUGGAGGUCUAGUCAUAGGGGUUGAUGGCAUGUUUUCCAUACUAUGUUCUCCGAUAGAAAUCUUGGGGUGCUCCUUGAAGUUCUCUGUGUUGGAUUAAAUAUGAAUAAUGUGAAACUAUUUAUGCAUUUCAUAUAAUUAGCCCACAGAUACUUGAGAUGACAUUGGAGUAUCUAUUUGACAUUAGGGUUGAUUGUAUGCAUAAACGGUGUUAUUUUAGUAUGAACUCUUGGAUAGAUUGAUCAGAAAGGCUAACUUGUUAUCUUAGUACGAACUCUUGGAAAGAUUGAUCGGAAAUAAUAAUUUUGGGGUGGUUUCGUACCCUACAAAUAAUUUCUUCUUAUGUUCUCCGCUAGAUAGGGACUUUGGAAUUAUUCUUCAUCGCAUGUUGAGUGAUUGUUAUGUGAUCCAAUUAUAUUAGUAUUGUUCAGAGAUUGCACUAGCGAAAGUACGGACCUUAGGCCAUAUUUUCAAGCAUUGCAAUACCUUUUGUGCUCACUAUUGUUACUCAUUACCUUGUUGUUUUUUAUUGUUCCUAUUACAAAAAUCAAUAUCUACUAUCAUUACUACACUUGUAUGACCAUCUCUUCGUCGAACUAGUGCACCUAUACAAUUUACCAUUGGAUGUACAAACCCUAGUACAUGGGGACACAAGAGAAUUUUUAUUAUUUGGUUGUAGGGUUGUUUGAGAGGGACCAUCUUCAUCGUACGCCUCCCAUGUAUUGAUGAACCUUAGCUCAUCUACUUGAUGGAAAUUUGCUACUCUCCUACAAAACUCUUCGCUUGGAGGCCCAACACGACUCUACAAGAACAAUUUGUGUAGUAGACAUCAAGCUCUUCUCUCGUGCCAUUGCCGGGGAGGUGAGUGCUUGAAGGUAUAUCUUUACAUCUUGUAAUUGAAUCUUUUAGUUUCUUGUUUUAUCACUAGUUUGAUUUUUAAAAAGAAAAUUACAAUAAAUGGAAUUGAGGUGGCCUCAUAUUGUUCAUCUUUAUAUUGUCUUUCUUGAAAAUGAUGGAAAUGAAAAUUGUGCUUAAUUGUUAGAGGAAGAAUUUAUGAAAAUGAUUAAUGUGAAAUCCUUGAAUGAUGCGCAUGAUAGUAGUAUUGUUCAUAUGGAUUCUUUGAAUAUCCAUGAUGCUAAUGAUAUGCAAAGCCACAAGCUUGGGGAUGCUAUGUUUGAUAAAUAUGAUAUUUUUAGUCCCCCAUGUUUUGAUGAGCAAAUUUAUUAUGAUGAAAGUAUGCCUCCUAUUUAUGAUUAUUAUAUUGAUGAAAGUGGGUUUGGAAGAGUGACAAUUGUUGGGGAACAUUGCAUGGGAAACAAAAAAUUUCCUACGCACACGCAAGACCUGUCCAUGGUGUUGAUCAUCUACGAGAAGGGAGAUCAGAUCCACAUACCUUUGUAGAUCACUAAGCGGUAAGCGUUAAUAAACAUGGUUGAUGUAGUCAAACGUCUUUGCGAUCCUAAUCGCAAGUGUCGCACGAACUCUGAUCCUAAUCGCAAGUGUCCCACGAACUCUGUCCCAAUCUAGCGCUAAACGGACGACUCCCCCAUGUUCGGCACGGGUGCAACUCGAUAACGAUCUCCGCCUUCUUUAUCCAGUAAGAGAGAUGAAGAGGUAGCUGAAUUCUCCGACAGCAUGAUGGCGUGGCGGUGAGGAUGGUGGAGCUACUCCGGCUGGGGUUCGUCAUACCGUACUGAAUUAGCUACAGGGUGUCCCGAAGUGGUGGAGGGAGAGAGGGUUGCGCCUUGGCUUGAGAUGCCAAAAGCCUCUCUCAGCUCCACUAUAUAUAGGAGGGAGGGGAGGGGUUGCGCCCUAGGGCAAAGUCCUAGGGUUUUGCCAGUGCAAGAGGAGGAGGAGGAGGAGUCCUCCAAUACAAUUUGGAAGGAGGAGUCCUCCUUCCCCAAUUCGGUUUGGCCCACCCUCCUUUCCUUUUCUCCCUUGGCCGAAAUAGGCCUCUUUGGGCUGGCCACCAGCCCAAUAGGGGCUGGUGCCCCACCCUUGGGCCUCUUAGGUUCUCUCGUGGGUGGGUGGCCCCUCCCGUUGGAACUUCGGAACCCAUUUCUAACUCCCGGUACUUUAUUGGUAAUGCCCGAAAACCUUCCAGAAGCAAAAUUGAUAAUUCCUAUAUAAUAAUCUUCGUCUCUGGACCAUUUCGGAAACCCUCGUGACAUCCAGGAUCUCAUCCGGGACUUCGAACAACAUUCGGUUACCAACAUCAAUAAUGCAACUAUACUGAAACAUCAGUGGACCUUUAGUGUGCAGACCCUGAGGCACUCUUCGGUCAAUAUCCAAUAGCGGUAGCUAGAUGCCAAUAUUGAAUCCUACAUAUUCUACGAAGAUCUUUAAUGGUUGAACCUCUAUGUCUAGGAUUCAUUUAAUCCCAUAUAAAAUUUCCUUUGUCCUUCAGUAUGUGAUACGUCUCAAUGUAUAUAUAAUUUUUGAUUCUUCCAUGCUAUUAUAUUAUCUGUUUUGGAUGUUUUAUAUGCAUUAGUAUGCUAUUUUAUUUUAUUUUUGGGACCAACCUUUUAAUCUAGAGCCUAGUGCUAGUUUCUGUUUUCCAUGUUUUUGAGUAUUGCACGUAAGGAAUAUUAAUUGGAGUCCAAACGGAAUAAAAUCUUUGGAAUGAUUUUUCUUGGACCAGAAGACAUCUGCCAGACUUGUAGAAGGGGACAACAGACCUGCCGGGAGGUGAUAAGCCUGCAGGACGCGCCCUGGGGGGGGUCGCGUCCCCUAGCUUUUAGGUCCCCUUCAGCUCUCCUAACACUAAUCCUUCACCUAUAAAUUCCCAAAUAUUCCCCUAUUACCGAAGGGAGCCACAAAAAUACUUUUCCGCCGCCGGGAGCCUCUGUUCUUGUGAGAUCCAAUCUAGGAGCCCUUUCUGGUAAUCUGCCAGAGAGGGAAUUGAUCACGGAGGUGAGAGGGAAUUGAUCACGGAGGUCAUCUACAUCAACUCCAUUUCCCCUACGAUGAUGUGUGAAUACUUCACCACAAACCUACGGGUCCAUAGCUAGUAGCUAGAUGGCUUGUUCUCUCUCUUUGUUCUGCAUGAUCUUCAUGAAGAUCUAUCCGAUGUUAUAAUCUUUUGCGGUGUGUUUGUCGAGAUCCUAUGAAUUGUGUGUUUAUGUUCAGAUUAUCUAUGAAAAUUAUAUGAAUCUUCUCUGAAUUCUUAUAUGCUUGAUUUCAUAUCUUACCAAGUCUCUUCGAGUUAUUGGUUUGGUUUGGCCAACUAGAUUGGUAAUUCUUGCAAUGGGAGAAGUGCUUAGGUUUGGGUUCAAUCUUGCGGUGUCCUUCCCCAGUGACAAAGUACGGGUAGCGAGGCACAUAUUGCAUUGUUGCCAUCGAGGGUAAAAAGAUGUAGUUUUCAUCGUAUUGCUUGAGUUUAUCCCUCUACAUCAUGUCAUAUUACUUAAUGGACUACUCUGUUCUUCAUGAACUUAAUAUUGUAGAUGCAGGAAGGAGUCGGUCGAUGUGUGGAGUAAUAGUACUAGAUGCAGAAUCAUUUCGGUCUACCUGACACGAACAUGAUGCCUAUAUGCAUAAUCAUUGCCUUGGAUAUCUUAUUCGCUUUUCUAUCAAUUCCUCGACAGUAAUUUGUUCACCCACCGUAUUAUUUUCCUUCAUGAGAGAAUCCUCUAGUAAAACCUAUGGCCCGCGGGUCUAUUUUCCAUAUUGUAAUUUCAGAUCUAUAGACCAAAAAUACCAGAAAUAUGUUGCUGCUAUUUACUUACUUUUGUUUUGUUUUAGUUCUAGCAAUCUUUUAUCUAUCUCUAUCAGAUAUCAUCCUUGCAAAUAACUCUGAAGGGGUUGACAACCCCUUUUUAGUGUUGGGUGCAAGUGUUUUAUUGUUUGUUUAGGUACUACAAUUGGGGCCUUGCUUGUUCCUCCUACUGGAUUGAUACCUUGGUUCUCAGCAAACUGUGGGAAAUACAUAUCUACUUUGUUGCAUCACCCUUUCCUCUUUAAGGGAAAACCAACGCAAUCUCAAGAGGUAGCAAGAAGGAUUUCUGGCGCCUUUGCCGGGGAGGAUCCAUAGCAAGAUCAAUCUUACCAAGUACCCAUCACAAACUAAUCUCUUGCAUCUACUUUAUUUGCCAUUUUCCUGUCGAUUUCCUCUCCCCCACUUCACCAAUUUGCCAUUUUAUUCGCCUUUUUCUCACCGGAUAUCUUUUUUUCUACUUUUUUUUCCAUGUACCUUCCAUUUGCUUGCAUCUUUUAUUGCUAAAAAUCUGUUGAUAUGGAUCCUGAUCCACUUGCUGAUCUUUUUAAACGGCCAAAUUAUGAUGAACCAAUUGCGAGUGAGUUGAGUGCAGUUUAUUAUCUCUAUGAAGUUUCAUUUAAAAAUCAUGAAUGUGAAAUUUUUGAUGAAGUGUGGAAAGAAGAAAUUUAUAAAAUGAUUCAUGAUAGCUCCUUGAUUGAAAAGCAUGAUUGCAAUGACGUACCUAUAAAUUCUAUUAAUGUCAAUUAUGUGAAAUAUAUGCAAAACUACAAGCUUGCGGAUGAUAAUUUUGUCAUGUCCAUUACUCAUUGUAAUGAUCAUGAUUGGGAUGACGCUUCUUAUGAUCUUGAAAAUUUAUUUAAUCCUCAUGAUGAAUAUGUUAUUGAUAAUAAGGUUUGCAAUAGUAUCAAAAGUGGGUUCGGAAUAGUGUCAAAUUUAGGUAAAAAUAAACCCACAUAUUUGGACAGUGUUCAAUCUUAUGAAUUUUUUAAUAAAAGUGGGUUUGGAGAGGUCAUGACUUUAGUUAAUGUUAAUCUCACUACCGUGCAAGAUUGUUGGACUUCUAUGCAUGUGGAUCAUGAAAAUAAUGCUUUAUGUGAUAGUUAUAUUAUUGAAUUUAUUCAUUAUGCUACUGAAAAUUACUAUGAGAGAGGAACAUAUGCUUUUACAUAUUGCAAUACUAUCAAGUUUCUUGUCCAUGUGUUUGAAAUUUUGAAGUUAUACUUGUUUUCCCUUCAUAUGCUAAUUGAUUCUUGUUCUCAUAAUUUGUUUGCUCACAAAAUACCUAUGCAUAGGAAGUGGGUUAGAAUUAAAUAUGCUUGCCAUGUGAUUCAUGAUGCUCAGAUUAUGUUUCAGUUCUUUAUCUUUAUGCGAGCAUCAUUGAAAUCGUUAUGCCUAGCUAGGGGCGUUAAACAAUAGCGCUUGUUGGGAGGCAACCCAAUUUUAUUUUUAUUAUUUUGUGUUUGCUUCUGUCUUUUAGUGUUGCACACGUUAUUACCUCUGUAGUAAUUUUGUUUUCUUGUUUUAAUUAGUGUUUGAGCCAAGUAAGACCUUUGGGAUGGUGUAGAAUGUUUGCAAGUUGAUUUUGCUGAAAAACAAAAACUUUCGCUGUCAGUCUAGGAAUUUUGUAAAUUCAGUGGAACGUUAUUUUCAUCUAUUUUUUUACAAAAUGUUGAUAUAAAAUGUUUCCAGAGUUUCCUAAAUUUUCAGAAUUUUUCGUGGUACAUAAGUAUUCAAAGUUUAUAGAUUGCUACAAGACGUUCUGUUUUUGACAGAUUAUGUUUUCUUUGUGUUGGUUGCUUAUUUUUAUAAAUCUAUGGGUUGUAUCAGGGGGUAUGAACCAUGGAGGAGUUGGAAUACAGUAAAUAUUAUAUAAACAUAAAUAAAUAAUGAGUUCACAACAAUACCUAAAGUGGUGAUUUAUUUUUCUUAUACUAAGGAUCUCAUGAGUUUUCUGUUGAGUUUUGUGUUGUGAAGUUUUCAAAUUUUGGGUACAUAUUUGUUGGACUAUGGAAUAAGGAGUGGCAAGAGCCUAAGCUUGGGGAUUACCAAGGCACCCGAAGCCAUAUUCAAGGAUACCAAAAAGCCUAAGCUUGGGGAUGCCCCGGAAAGCAUUCCAUCUCUCGUCUUCAAUCCAUCGGUAAAUUUACUUGAGGCUAUAUUUUUAUUCACCACAUGAUAUGUGUUUUGCUUGGAGCAUCUUGUAUGAUAUGAGUCUUUACUUUUUGGAUUGCCACAAUCAUCCUUUCUGCACACAUAUUUUGAGAGAGACACGCUGAAUAGUGAAUUUAUUAGAAUACUCUAUGUUCUUCACUUACAUCUUUUGAGCUAGGCAAAGUUGCUCUAGUGCUUCACUUAUAUAGGCGGUGAUUUAUUUUAUAUAAUUAUUAAACUCACAUACCUCACUUAUAUUAUUUUGAGAGUCUUUAAACAGCAUGGUCAUUGGUUUAGGUUAUGAAUUUAGUCCUAAUAUAAUGGGCAUCCAAGAGGGAUAUAAUAAAAACUUACAUACUAGUGCAUUGAAUAUGAUGAGAAGUUUGAUUCCUUGCAUAUAGUUUUGAGAUAUGAAAAUGGUAAUAUGUGAUUCAUGCUACUAAGUAAUUAUGAAUUGGAAGAAAUACUUGUGUUAAAGUUUGUGAUUCCCAUAGCAUGCACGUAUGGUGAACCUUUGUGUGAUGAAGUCCGAGCAUGAUUUUUAUUAUUGAUUGUCAACCUUUGUGUGGAGGUCGGGAUCGCGCGAUGUUUAACUCCUACCAACCCUUCUCAUAGGAGCAUGCAUCUAAUACUUUGCUUCGAUAACUAAUAGGCUUUUUCGAUAAGUAUGUGAGUUCUUUAUGUCUAAUCUUGACUUCAUGGAUUAUACGCACUCUCACCCUUCCAUCUUUGCUAGCCUCUCUAAUACUGCGCAACUUUCGCUGGCACAUUAAACCCACCUUCCCCAAAAUGGCCACCGUACCUACCUAUUAUGACAUUUUCAUAGCCAUUUCGAGAUAUAUUUCCAUGCAACGCCAUUGUCCCGUUUUUUGUGACAUGCACCAUCACUUCCAUAUUGCUUAUAGAGUCAUAUUUCGUUCUAGAUAUCGAGUUGUAAUCUUUGAGUUGUCAGUAAAUAAAACUGUGAUGAUUUGCAUUAUGAGAGCAUUGUCUCAUGUGAGAAAAAGAUGAUGGAAGCUAUGAUUCCCUCACAAGUUGGGAUGAGUAUCCAGACUUUAAAAAAUAAAGGAGGCCAGCUAAGCCCAUAAAAAAAGAGGCCAAAGAGGCCCACCAAAAAAAUGAGAGAAAGAGAGAAGGGACAAUGCUACUAUCUUUUUACCACACUUGUGGUUCAAAGUAGUAGCAUGUUCUUCAUAGAGAGUCUCUAUUUUGUCACUUUCAUAUAACUAGUGGAAUUUCAUCUUUUGCACAACCACUUAGUUUUCUUUUGGAGCUUUCAUACACUUAUAGCUCUAGUGCAUUUGUUGCAUGGCAAUCCCUCCUCAAUCACAUUAAUAUCUAUUGAUGGGCAUCUCCAUAGCCUGUUGAUAUGCCUAGUUGAUGUCAGACUAUCUUCUCCUCUUUCUUUUUGCAACCUCCAUCAUAUUCUAUUCCACCUAUAGUGAUAUGUCCAUGGCCUACGCUCAUGUAUUGAAUGAGAGUUGAAAAGGUUUGAGAACAUAAAAAGUGUGAAACAAUUUCUUGACUUUCAUCGAGGAUGUAAAUGAUUUAGAUACUUUAUAUGGUGAAGAUGGAGCAUAUCCAAACCAUAUGGUUUUGUAGGGGUAACUUUCUAAGACCAUGUUAUUUCGAAAGGAAGCAGUUGCCUUGUUAGUAUGCUUGAAGUAUUAUUGUUUUUAUGUCAAUAUUAUACUUUUGUUUUUAAUUUUAUGGAUAUGAAUAUUCAUGCCACAAUAAAGAAUAUUACAUGGAUAAAUAUGUUAGGUAGCAUUCCACAUCAAAAAUUCUGUUUUUAUCAUUUACCUACUCGAGGCUGAGCAGGAAUUAAGCUUGGGGAUUCUUGAUACGUCCCCAACGUGUCUAUAAUUUUUUAUUGUUCCAUGCUAUUCUAUUAUGUGUUUUGUAUGUUUUAUAUGCAUUAAUAUCCUAUUUUAUAUUAUUUUUGGGUCUAACCUAUUAAUCUAGACCCUAGUGCCAGUUUCUGUUUUUUCCAUGCUUUUGAGUAUUGAAGAUAAGGAAUAUUAAACGGAGUCCAAACAGAAUAAUAUCUCCGGAAUGAUUUUUCUUGGAAUAGAAGAUAUCUGCGAGACUUGGAGAACGGGGCAGGAGACCUCGCAGGGGAUUGCGCCCCCUGGCUUGUGGGUCCCGUGCAGCUCUCCUAACCCUAAUACUUUGCCUAUAAAUUCCCAAAUAUUCCCCCAUUAGCGAAGGGAGCCACAAAAAUACUUUUGCGCUGUCGAGAGCCUCUGUUCCCGUGAGAUCCAAUAUGGAAACCUUUUCCUGUAAUCUGCCGGAGAGGAAAUUGAUCACGGAGGGCAUCUACAUCAACUCGAUUGCCCCUCUAAUGAUGCGUGAGUAGUUCACCACAAACCUACGGGUCCAUAGCGAGUAGCUAGAUGGACUCUUCUCUCUCUUUGUUCUUCAAUACCAUGUUCUUCAUGAUCUUAAUGGAGAUCUAUCCGAUGUAUUACUCUUUUGUGGUGUGUUUGUCGAGAUCCGAUGAAUUGUGGGUUUAUGUUUAAAUUAUCUAAGAAUAUUAUAUGAAUCUUUUCUGAAUUCUUAUAUGCAUGAUUUCAUAUCUUAGCAAGUCUCUUCGAGUUAUUGGUUUUGUUUGGACAACUAGAUUGGUAAUUCUUGCAAUGGGAGAAGUGCUUAGUUUUGGGUUCAAUCUUGUGGCCUCCUGACCCAGUGAAAAUGUAGGGAUAGAGAGGCACUUAUUGCAUUGUUGUCAUCGACGAUAAAAAGAUGGGGUUUAUAUCAUAUUGCUUAAGUUUAUCCCUCUACAUCAUGACAUCUUACUUAAUGUUUUACCCUGUUCUUCAUGAACUUAAUACUCUAGAUGCAGGCAGGACUCGGUCGAUGUGUGGAGUAAUAGUAGUUGAUGCCGAAUCGUUUCGUCCUACUUGACACGGGCGUGAUUACUAUAUGCAUAAUCAUUGCCUUGGAUAUCUUCAUAAUUAUUCGCUUUUCUAUCAACAGCUCGACAGUAAUUUUAUCACCCACCGUAUUAUUUUCCUUCAUGGGAGAAGUCUCCAGUGAAACCUAUGGCCCCGGGUCUAUUUUCCAUAUUAUACUUUAAGAUAUGUAAACCAAAAAUACCAAAAAUAUAUUGCUGCUAUUUAUUUACUUUUGUUGAACCUUUAGUUCUAGCAAUCUUUUAUCUAUCUCUAUCAGAUCUCAUCCUUGCAAAUAACUCUGAAGGGAUUGACAACGCCUUUUUAGCGUUGGGUGCAAGUGUUUGACUGUUUGUGUAGGUACUACAAUUGGGGCCUUGCUUGUUCCUCCUACUGGAUUGAUACCUUGUUUCUCAACAAACUGAUGGCAAUACUUAUCUACUUCGCUACAUCACCCUUUCUUGUUCAAGGGAAAACUAACGCAAGAUCAAGAGGUAGCAGAAUGUUACUUGCUCGAGAUUCGAUCGUCGGUAUCUCCAUACCUAUUUCAAUCUCGUUACCGGCAAGUCUUUUUACUCGUUCCGUAAUACAAGAUCCCGUGACUAACUCCUUAGUCAAAUUGCUUGCAUGGCUUGUUGUGAUGUUGUAUUACCGAGUGGGCCCCAAGAUAUCUAUCCUUCAUACAGAGUGACAAAUCCCAGCCUUGAUCCAUGCUAACUCAACGGACACUUUCGGAGAUACCUAUAGAGCGCCUUUAUAGUCACCCAGUUACAUUGCGACCUUUGAUACACACAGGGUAUUCCUCUCGCGUUAGUGAGUUACAUGAUCCCAUGGUCAUAGGAAUGUAUACUUGACAUGCAGAAAAUAGCAGCAAUAAAAUAACACGAUCACAUGCUAUGUUCAUAGUUUGGGUCUUGUCCAUCACAUCCUCCUCCUAAUGAUGUGAUCCCGUUAGGAAACCUUAACCAUCUUUGAUCAAGGAGCUUGUCAAGUAGAGGCUUACUAAGGAAGUGUUUUGUCUAUGUAUCCACACAUGUAUUUGCAUUUCCAUUCAAUACAAUACUAGCAUGGAUAAUAAACGAUUAUCUUGAAAUAUAAAUAUAAUAAUAACUAUUUUAUUAUUGCUUCUAGGGAAUAUUUCCAACAACAACUCUAGGUACUAACGAUCCAAUUAUUUCCGAGGGUCUUUAAUCUUUUCAUAGUGGUAAAAGUGGAUUUGGAGAUCUCAUGACUUUAUUUAGUGAAGAGUCCACUAUGUUGGAAAAGGCUUCAAUUGACUAUGCCAACAAAUUUUCUAUCUAUGAUGAUUAUGGUGAUGACAUUUAUGUUAUAAUGAAUAAGGAUAACCAUGAAACUUGUUAUCAUAAUUUUAAUUUUUCUCAUGGAUUAUAUCGAUCAAGUAUCUCAUGAUUCUUAUUUUGUUGAGUUUGCUCCCACUACUAUGAAUGAUAAGAAUUUUGCUUGUGUGGUUAGUAAUAAAAAAUCUAUGUUUGUGCAUCAUGAAAAUAAUGUUGUAGGUGAUAGUUAUAUUAUUGAAUUCCUUCAUGAUGCUACUGAAAAUUAUUAGGAGGGAGGAAAAUAUGCUUGUAGGAAUUGCAAUAAUAUCAAGUUUCCUCCCUAUGUGUUCAAAGUUAUGAAACAUGAUUCUUGCUCCCAUAAAUUCUUUGCUUGUUGAAUCCCUAUGCAUAGAAAGUGGGUUAUAUUUAAAUGUGCUUGUCAUGUUAUUCAUUAUGCUCUCUUGCAUGUUUCAAAUAUUAUUCCUAUAUGAGGAUCAUUGAAAUCAUCAUGCCUUGCUAAAAGGCAUUAAAGAAAAGCAUUUGUUGGGAGACAACCCAAUAUUUAUACUUUAUGUUUUUGUGUGUUCACAUGAUUAAUAUACUGUAAUAAUCAUGUUUUGUGUAUUUUAUUUCAAUACAGUUCCAAGUAAAAUCUUUGGGAUAGUGCGGAUACUUCCUUGUUUCAUUUUGUGUAAAAACACAAACAUUUACAUCGAGUGCAGAAUUUCUAUGAUUUUACUGGAGCAUCAAAAAAUUCUGAAUUUUUACACAGUUUUUGUAUGCACAUUCUCAACGUUUUCCUUAUAUUUCAGAAUGUUUAGACUAGGGGAAGUAUGGUUUUCAUUCAGAUAUUCACAGACUGUUCUGUUUUUGUCAGAUUUUGUUUUGUGUGCAUAGUUUCUUAUUUUAGUGUUUCCAUAGCUUAUAUUGAGUGAUAUAAAUUAUGGGAAUGAUAUAAUACAAUAGGAAUUAUGUGAGAACAAUUAUGAAUCUUGUCUUUGCAUUACCUAUGUGAAUGAUCUAAAUUUAUCACACUAACCCAUCUCACGAAGUUCUAUUAAGUUCUGUGUGAUUGAAGUUUUUCAAGUUUUGGGUGAGAUACCAAUAUGAGGAGAAUAAGGAGCAGCAAUAACCUAAUCUUGUGGAUGCCCAAGGCACCCCAAGGUAAUAUCCAAGGAAUACUCAAUCGUCUAAGCUUGGGCAUGCCCCGGAAGGCAUCCCCUCUUUCGCCUCCAACAUUACCGGUAUAUCUUACUUGGAGCUAUACUUUUAUUCGUCAAAUGAUAUGUGUUUUCCUUGGAGCGUAAUUUUUUUUGUUCUCUGUUAGAUGUUAUUUAUAAUAUUAUUUUUCAAGAAAGUUCCAAGAGUUGCCUUCAAAAUGCUUGAAUUACAUGUGUCAUGUGUGUUGCACAAAAACAGAAACUUUUGCUGCAGUAUUUGAAUUAUCAUAUUUUACUAGAACGUGGAAAGUUUCUAAAAGUUUUACACACUGAUGUCAUAUAAAGUUUUUAUCACUUCCUAAUUUUUCAGAAGUUUUGGACAUACAUAAGUAUACUGUUUAUAUAAAUUGCUACAGAAUGUUCUUUUUGGACAAAUUGUUGUCAUAGUUUUGUUAUCUACUUAUGCUAUAGUUUCCCACAAUGUUUAUAAAUAUAUUGUUUACAGUAUUUGAAUUGUCAUAUUGGUAGAUCAAAAUUGUGGAAAUGAUAGUAUACAAUACCUUAUGUUUGAGAAUUAUUAUGCAACUUGUCUUGUGAGUACAUGAAGUGUUGAUUUAUUUCUGUGUGUACUAACCUAUCUCACGAGUUAUUUUCAAGUUUUGUGUGGAUGAUGUUUUUGAGACUUAGGUGAAACCGACAUAGGAGAGGAUUGAAAGAGAUACAAAAGAUCAAGCUUUGGGAUGCCCAAGGAACCCCAAGUAAAUAUUUCAAGAAGUCUCAACCAUCUAAGCUUGGGGAUGCUACGCAUCCCACCACUCUUCAUCAAUAACUAACGGUUGGCCUAUGUUGAGCCAAAAACAUUAUUUGUCCAAAUGAUAUGUGCUAUUCUUGAAAUCCAUUUUUGUUUAGUUUUCUGUUUGAAUAAAAUUAUCAGAUCUAAAAAUCUUUUUUGAGAGAAAGUCCUUACUUGAUUCUUUAACUACUCAUUGAUUUUCACUUAUAUCUUUUGAGAGCAGUUUCAUUGUUUGCUCUUGUGCUUCACUUAUAUCCUAUGAGUAAAUUGUUGAAUAAAUUGAAUGCCAUGAAGUUUAAAUUAUAUGUUCGUUUCAUGCCUAGUAGUAGCUUCACAUUGGGUUUAGAAAGUGAAAUCUUUUGAAGCUUGACAAUCAUAAUAUUGGUCAUACAAGCAAUUCACGCAUGAUUGGUAUAAGCAAGAGAACUUUCACAUAUAAAUAUAUUACCUUGGACAUAUUCUAUGAUUUUGAAUUCUCAUUAAUUAUUUUCUAAUUUGAGCAAAUUAGUUGAAGUUGGACAAGGAAGACAAUGUAAUGACUUAUGGUUGUGUUUAUUUGCAUAGAAGUUAUAUUGUUAUGGAUCAUCCAACAUGUGGUGUUUGCUAAGAAUCUUUUUCUAAACAAAAAUUCGUAUUAAGUAGAGAUACCACUUGUGCAUCCAAUAACCCUUAAACCCAGUUUAUUGACAUGAGUGUCAGCAAUACAUACCUAUGGAUUGAAUAAGAUCCUUCAUGUAAGUUGUCAUCGGUGCAAAAAUGCAAUAAAAAUUGCUUCUAAAUAUGUUUGAUCAUUUAGUGUAAGAAAAAAUUGAGCGUUUUACGAACUUGUGAUGGCAAAGUAAUAAAAGUGAUGGACUACAUAAUAAAGGUUGUUAUCAUAAGGGGCAAUAUAACGUGAUGUUCUUUUGCAUUAACGGAUUGUGCCUACAAAAUAAAAAAGUGCAUGACAACCUCUACUUCCCUCUACGAAGAGCCUAUCUUUUACCUUUCAGUAUUUAAUUUUAUGCAAGAGUCAAUAGUAUGCAUUCUCAUUUCAACCUAAAUUAUUCUCUAGUUAGCAAGAAUCAUGUGGUGGGGAAAUAUCUAGGCACAUAUAGCUAGUCAAAUAUAUUUGAUCAUGACGUAUUACUGUUGACAAUUAUCUCUAUGAUAAAUGAGUUGGGAGGCGAAACAUUAAGCCCCUAUCUUUCUCUGUGUUUGAUGGAUGCCAUUUAUUCUAAAAAUAUGUUUUGAGUACUAGCAAUCAUAGAAGGCUAUAUGAUGACUGAGUAUGUGGAGCUCUUACCUAGACUUUGUUGAGAUUAAGUUGAAUUGCAAUUGUUUGGUGACUAAGAACAUAAGUUGUUAAGUUUCAAGAGAGUUCAUUGUUUGAACCAUAACAUGUCAAUUGCUUGCUACUUUAUCAUGAUGAGUUUUAUGAGAAAUAGUUUCUGUUAUGAUGCUAGGAAAAGUGGUUGAAAUUACCAUGAUUAAACUUAUGCACUAUGCUAGCAUUCACACUUCAUAACUUAUUUCUUUUAUCAUUUACCUACUCGGGACAAGAAGUAAUUAAGCUUGGGGAGGCGGAUACAUCUCCAAUGUAUUGAUAAUUUAUGAAGUAUUCAUGCCAUGUUUGCCUAUGUUUACAAUACUUUUAUAUGGUUUUGCUGCACUUUAUAUGAUUUAAUUUGAAAUAACCCAGACUCACGCUUUUUCAGCAGAACUACUGUCGUGUUGUUUUUUGUGUAGAAAUAAAAGUUCUCAUAAUUGGACGAAACUUUUUGACGAUUUUUUUCUGAACAGAAGACAUCCAAAGGAGCAAACAACAACCAGAGAGGAGGCACAGGCUGCCCAGUAGGUACCAGGGUGCACCAGCCCCACUGGCGCGGCCUUGUACCUAGUGGGCACCUCGUGGCCCAUCUUAGCGUGAUUCCAACGACCAAAAAUCCUAUAAUUAUAGAAACCUCCAGAAAUUACCCUAAACGAGAAGUUCCACCACUGCAAGUCUCUAUAGCCAUGAAAAAACAAUCGGGAGCCCAUUCCAGCACCCUACCGGAGGGGGAGAUCAUCUCCGGUGGCCAUCUUCAUCAUCUCGGCGGAGGCCAUGACGAGGACGGAGUAGUCCACCCUCGGGGCUGAGGGUUUGUACCAGUAGUUAUGUGUUAAAUCUCUGUGUGUGUGUGUGUUGUGUUGUUGAUAUGUCAUGAUCUUGAUACAUCACGGUCAUUGUUAAUAUAGUUGGAUCAUAUGGUGUUUGUCCCAUGCUAUUGUUGGAUUGAGUGUUUCACUUUAAGCUCUCGUUAUGUUGGAUUGAAUAUUCAGUUUUGAGAGCACGUGAUAUACGUCUUGCAUGCGGAUACCCAUAAUGACAUCGAGGUAUUCAAGUGAUUCACUUGAUACAUAUUGUGGCAUCAACUUGCGGAUUCCGGUGACCUUGGGAUCUAGGCAUAGGGGUUGAUUGCAUGUAUUCAUACUAUGUUCUCCUGUAGAAAUCUUGGGGUCCUCCUUGAAGUUAUUUGUGUUGGAUUGAAUAUCUGAAUUGAUUGAUGUAUGUUGUAUAAUUAGCCCAUGGAUACUUGAGGUGACAUUGGAGUAUCUAGGUGACAUUAGGAUUGAUUGAUAAGUAUCAAUGGUGUUAUUUUAGUACGAACUCUUGGAUAGAUCGAUCGGAAAGGAUAACUUGUUAUCUUAGAACGAACUCUACAAACAAUUUCUUCUCAUGUUGAGGUGGUUUCGUACGCUACAAACAAUUUCUUCUCAUGUUCUCCGCUAGAUAGGAACUUUGGAGUGAUUCUUCAUUGCAUGCUAAUGGAUUGUUAUGUGAUCCAAUUAUAUUAGCAUUGUUGAGAGAUUGCACUAGCAAAAGUACGGACCCUAGGGCUCAUUUUGAAGCAUUGCAAUAUCAUUUGUGCUCACUUUUGUUACUCAUUACCUUGUUUUUUUAUUGUUCCUACUACAAAAAUCAAUAUCGACUAUCAUUACUACACUUGUAUCACCAUCUCUUCGCCAAACUAGUGCACCUAUACAAUUUACCUUUGUAUUUGGUGUGUUGUCGACACAAGUGACUUUUUAUUAUUUGGUUACAGGGUUGUUUGAGAGAGACCUUCUUCAUCCAACGGCUCCCAUGGAUUGAUAAACCUUAGGUAAUCCACUUGAGGGAAAUUUGCUACUGUCCUACAAAACUCUGUGCUUGGAGGCCCAACACGAGUCUACAAGAACAAGUUUUGUAGUAGACAUCACCCACCGUAUGAUAUUUCUCAUGAGGGAUGCCAUUAGGGAAAACUAUGGCCCCCGGGUCUAUUCACAACUCAUUUACAAAACCUUAAAUACCUUGCUGCCAUUUACUUGUUUUUGUUUGAUUUUGCAAUUAACAAUUAUCUACACACCUCACACGCUUGCAAGUAACAAGUACAAGAGGAUUGACAACCCUCUUGCCCGUGUUGGGUGCAAGUUGCUUGUUCUUUUGGGUGCACCCAGUGAAGAUGGUUGUGGUUGAUAUUCCUAUUGGUUCAAUAAACCUUAUUUUCAUAACUGAUAGAAAUAUUUAAUCACAUUAUGUCGCGAUAACCUAUUCCUCUUCAUGGAAAACCCAACGUAGAUCACAAGUAUCAUUCAUCCAGUACAUUGUCAUAGUUUGCUCAUCCAUGAACAAGGUGGAGUAAAACUGCAUGAUCGCCUCCUCGCACUGAUCCUUCCUGAAAGUGGUCAGCCCAAGCACACCUCUGCUAUGGUCUCACAUGAUCCCAGUCGAUGGUCUUCCUUUGUACCACCCGGUUCUUCAACCCCAUCACAAUGAUUUCAUGAUAGUCCGAAUGUUUAAUGGAUUGGAAUCUAGCAUCCGUCGCACUCCUCCCCUAAUUAUAAGGCUUGGACAUGCAUCAGAUCCGACGAAGUACAUGGCAACUCUUGUUCUUCAUGUUUGUGGGUUGCCGGUCUACUAUGCCUCGUGCUGGAGUGCAGGGCAUCAGAUCAACUGUCUUCGGUUUGUCGUGAAGACGCUCAUGGACGACGAGCGCCUUUUCACUGUUAGAUGGAUUUGGGACCAGAUAAUAUUUCGUCUUGAUCUGCAUCCUCACAACAGGUGCAGAUGCUGGUUGGUUCUUUGCUUUAACCCUAGCCAUGUUCACUGAAUUUGUAGCAGUACCGACUGGGCGAGGUGCAAGUCUGAGGCAAGUUGAUGUCGCAGCACUUGGUGCAUGAGGUGAAAGGAGCAGCACAUUUGAUGUUGAAGGUGUGGUUGACACACUGUGUAUGCAAAUUGUGGACUGAGGCAAUUGUUUCUUGAGAGACAGUAGGCUUGCCUUCGACGACUGUGGAGGACUACCUUGGAAGGUUUUGAUUGCCUUAGUCUUCCACCUAAAUGUCUUAUUACUGCUACCUAACACUGAUUGUUCCAUGCACUUUCUCCUCUCUGCCUCUUGGUCUGCCUUUCUGUUCUCCGACUCAUGGAUGGACUGUAUUCGUGGACGCUUCAAACUACGUGCUUUGUAUCGAGGUGACGGAUUGGUGUUGAUGGCUUACUUCCCUUUCUACUAUGCCUGUGAAGGUUCAGUGAAAUCAUCAGUGACAAACUACGAAACAAAAUGGACAACUAUAUGCAACUCCAAAGCAGUUGCGCGAUCCAUGUUAUGUUCACCAUCACUCGUACUAAUGUUCACCGAUACAUGACUUGGAUGAACUCCUUCAUUGCCAGAAUCUAGGCGAGGUACGGAUUUCUCCUUGGUGUACAUGAUCGUCUCUGACCCAACAAAUUGGAAAACCACAGGGUUGAAAAAAUCAUCCAUCAUCAAGGUUGUGCUCGUGUUUCCAUCCACUACUUCUAGUGCCGAUUGGUCAUCACUUCUUAGUUCCUCUGUUGCUCUACGAGUGGACUAUUGCAGAGUCGUAUCAGCACAGUUGAUUAGUCUAGUUGUCCCCCUAGUCUGGUUGUGAGCUACAUUCGUUAUGGCCAACUGCAAUGCACAUGAUCUGGCAACUCCCCCGCCGCGCAUACCGUAAACCUUUUCACAAAUCAGACCUUAACACUUAUGAACAAUACGUACAAUGCAACCUUUUAGAUCAAUGCUACUGCAAAAAAAGACCUUCCAACGGCGCCAAAAACAAGCGUGCUGACGGGAGACUAUUCCUGUCUUGAUUCUCCUCAGCAACGGGACCAGGAAUCCUUCUGCUACGGCUACGCCUUUAGGGACUUCCUAGGAAAAUAUGCAAAGGAUUCCCUCGUGGCCUUGGAGCCUUGCGUUGGUGUUCCCUCGAAGCGGAAAGGGUGAUGUAGCACAGCGGAAUUAAGUAUUUCCCUCAGUUUUGAGAACCAAGGUAUCGAUCCAGUGAAGGAGUAUCACAAGUGCCUGCACAAACACAAAGAGCUUGCUCCCAACGCGAUUAAGGGGUUGUCAAUCCCUUAUAGAUUGUUUUCCAAGUGAGAACUGAAAGCAACAAAGUAACAAAGCAAAGUAAAAGCCAAGGUGGAAACGAUAGGUGUGAAUAGACCGGGGGGCCGUAGUGUUCACUAGUGGCUUCUCUCAUGAAAGCAAGUAGACGGUGGGUGAACGAAUUACUGUCGAGCAAUUGAUAGAACCGCGCAAAGUUGUGACGAUAUCUAUGACAAUGAUUAUAUCCAUAGGCAUCACGUCCAAAACAAGUAGACCGAUACUUUCUUCAUCUACUACUAUUACUCCACACAUCGACCACUAUCCAGCAUGCAUUUAGUGUAUUAAGUCCAAAAGAACAGAGUAACGCCUUAAGCAAGAUGACAUGAUGUAGAUGGACAAUCUCAUAUCUACGACAAAGCCCAUCUUGUUACCCUUGAUGGAAACUACAGGAUGUGUGCCUUGCUGCCCCUAUUGUCACUGGGAAAGGUCACCACACGGUUAGAACCCAAAACCAAGCACUUCUCCCAUUGCAAGAAUCGUAGACCUAGUUGGCCAAACAAGACCGAAGACUCGGAGAGACUUACAAGGAUAUGAAAUCAUGCAUAUAAGAAAUCAGCAAAGACUCAAAUAUAUAUCAUAGAUAAUUUGAUCUCAAAUCCACAAUUCAGCGGCUCUCGACAAACAUACCACCAAAGAGGAUUACAUCGGAUAGAUCUCCAUGAAGAUCAUGGAGAACUUUGUAUUGAAGAUCCAAGAGAGAGAAGAAGCCAUCUAGCUACUAACUAUGGACCCGUAGGUCUGAAGUGAACUACUCACAAGUCAUUGGAGGGGCGAUGAUGUUGAUGAAGAAGCCCUCCAACUCCAAAGUCCCCUCCGACAGGGCACCGGGAAGGGUCUCCGGAUGAGAUCUCGCAGAAACGGAAGCUUGCGGUGGCGGAAAAGUGUUUUCAUGGACGCCCUGAUUUUUUCUGGAUUUUUAGGGAAUUUAUAGACCAAAGACCUAGGGCAGGGGAGCGCCAGGGAUUCCACAAGCUUGGUUGUCGCUGCAAGGGCUUGUGGGCUCCCCGUGGGCCCACUUUCUUGGCCCUCAAGCCUCCCGAUCUUCUUUCGUUCUGGAAAAAAUCAUUUUGGGGUUUUAUUCCAUUUGGACUCCGUUCCAAAAUCAGAUCUGAAAAGAGUCAAAAACACAGAAAAAACAGGAACUCGCACUUGGUCCUAAGUUGACAAGAUAACAGCGUGAAACCAUCAAAAGUUAUAGAUACGUUUGAGACGUAUCAAUCAACAACCUAGUCAAACAUAACAAUGUACGGAGUUGGCUGUAAUGGGGCUGUGACAUCCCCGGAUUAGGCUACAGUAAUCCCGGUAAGUGAACUACAGUACACCUAUGCAAAGGAUGCCAUGUCACCGUGUUUCCUAUCAUUGAUCUCGCGAUUGUUUGAAUCAGUUCGAAUUUAAGACUUAAGUUUAAAAUCAAACGAUAAAAGUUAUAGGGUUGAAAUAAAAAUUUCGGGGGAGUUAUACAAAAAUUCCCUAAUGAAUUAUAUAACUGAACCGGGCUUCUUAAGAUUUAUUGCAAUAACCAUAUAAUUAAAACAGAAAGCUAUAUAUAUUUAUAUAUAUAUAAUAGAAUAAAAGAAAGUAUUAAAAAAUAUAAUAAAUGGUAAUAGAAUAAUAAUAAUAAUAAAAGAAAAAUAAUAAAAGAAAAAGGAACAGCAACAAACAAAAAACAAAACAAAAAANNNNNNNNNNNNNNNNNNNNNNNNNNNNNNNNNNNNNNNNNNNNNNNNNNNNNNNNNNNNNNNNNNNNNNNNNNNNNNNNNNNNNNNNNNNNNNNNNNNNUUUUGGGCGGUCCCACCAGCCCACUAAGGGCUAGUGCGCCACCCUCAUGACCAAUGGGCUUCCCCGGGGUGGGUUGCCCCCCCCCCCCGGUGAACUCCCGGAACCCAUUCGUCAUUCCCGGUACAUUCCCGGUAACUCCGAAAACCUUCCGGUAAUCAAAUGAGGUCAUCCUAUAUAUCAAUCUUCCUUUCCUGACCAUUCCGAAAACCCUCAUGACGUCCGUGAUCUCAUCCGGGACUCCGAACAACAUUCGGUAACCAACCAUAUAACUCAAAUACGCAUAAAACAACGUCGAACGUUAAGUGUGCAGACCCUGCGGGUUCGAGAACUAUGUAGACAUGACCCGAGAGACUCCUCGGUCAAUAUCCAAUAGUGGGACCUGGAUGCCUAUAUUGGAUCCUACAUAUUCUACGAAGAACUUAUCGUUUGAACCUCGGUGCCAAGGAUUCAUACAAUCCCGUAUGUCAUUCCCUUUGUCCUUCGGUAUGUUACUUGCCCGAGAUUCGAUCGUCAGUAUCCGCAUACCUAUUUCAAUCUCGUUUACCGGCAAGUCUCUUUACUCGUUCCGUAAUACNNNNNNNNNNNNNNNNNNNNNNNNNNNNNNNNNNNNNNNNNNNNNNNNNNNNNNNNNNNNNNNNNNNNNNNNNNNNNNNNNNNNNNNNNNNNNNNNNNNNGUAAUCAAAUGAGGUCAUCAUAUAUAUAAAUCUUCGUUUCCAGACCAUUUCGGAAACCCUCGUGACGUCCAUGAUCUCAUCCGGGACUCCGAACAACAUUCGGUAACCAACCAUAUAACUCAAAUACGCAUAAAACAACGUCGAACCUUAAGUGUGCAGACCCUGCGGGUUCGAGAACUAUGUAGACAUGACCCGAGUGACUCCUCGGUCAAUAUCCAAUAGCGGGACCUGGAUGCCCAUAUUGGAUCCUACAUAUUCUACGAAGAUCUUAUCGUUUGAACCUUAGUGCCAAGGAUUCACAGAAUCCCGUAUGUCAUUCCCUUUGUCCUUCGGUAUGUUACUUGCCCGAGAUUCGAUCGUCAGUAUCCGCAUACCUAUUUCAAUCUCGUUUACCGGCAAGUCUCUUUACUCGUUCCGUAAUACAAGAUCCCGCAACUUACACUAAGUCACUUUGCUUGCAAGGCUUGUGUGUGAUGUUGUAUUACCGAGUGGGCCCCGAGAUACCUCUCCGUCACACGGAGUGACAAAUCCCAGUCUCGAUCCAUACUAACUCAACUAACACCUUCGGAGAUACCUGUAGAGCAUCUUUAUAGUCACCCAGUUACGUUGCGACGUUUGAUACACACAAAGCAUUCCUCCGGUGUCAGUGAGUUAUAUGAUCUCAUGGUCAUAGGAACAAAUACUUGACACGCAGAAAACAGUAGCAACAAAAUGACACGAUCAACAUGCUACGUCUAUUAGUUUGGGUCUAGUCCAUCACGUGAUUCUCCUAAUGACGUGAUCCAGUUAUCAAGCAACAACACCUUGUUCAUAAUCAGAAGACCCUAACUAUCUUUGAUCAACUGGCUAGUCAACUAGAGGCUUGCUAGGGACAGUGUUUUGUCUAUGUAUCCACACAUGUAUAUAAGUCUUCAUUCGAUACAAUUAUAGCAUGGAUAAUAAACGAUUAUAUUGAUACAGGAAUUAUAAUAAUAACUAUAUUUCUUAUUGCCUCUAGGGCAUAUUCCAACAGUCUCCCACUUGCACUAGAGUCAAUAAUCUAGCCCUCACAUCAUCAUAUGAAUUACAUUGUAAUAAAUCUAACACCCAUACAGUUCUGGUGUUGAUCAUGCUUUGCCCGUGGAAGAGGUUUAGUCAGCGGGUCUGCUACAUUCAGAUCCGUGUGCACUUUGCAUAUAUUUACGUCCUCCCCUUCGACGUAGUCGCGGAUGAGGCUGAAGCGUCGUUUGAUGUGUCUGGACUUCUUGUGAAACUGUGGUUCCUUUGCUAGGGCAAUGGCACCCGUGUUGUCACAGAACAAGGUUAUUGGAUUCAGUGCGCUUGGCACCACUCCAAGAUCCGUCAUGAACUGCUUCAUCCAGACACCCUCCUUAGCCGCCUCCGAGGCAGCCAUGUACUCCGCUUCACAUGUAGAAUCUGCUACGACGCUUUGCUUGGAACUGCACCAGCUUACCGCACACCUAUUAAGAAUAAAUACGUAUCCGGUUUGCGACUUAGAGUCGUCCGGAUCAGUGUCAAAGCUUGCAUCGACGUAACCUUUUACGGCGAGCUCUUCGUCACCUCCAUACACGAGAAACAUCUCCUUAGUCCUUUUCAGGUACUUCAGGAUAUUCUUGACCGCUGUCCAGUGAUCCACUCAUGGAUUACUCUGGAACCUGCCUGCCAUACUUAUGGCCAGGCUAACAUCCGGUCUAGUGCACAGCAUUGCAUACAUGAUAGAACCUAUGGCUGAAGCAUAGGGGACGGUGCUCAUAUGCUCUCUAUCCUCAUCAGUUGCUGGGCACUGAGUCUUACUCAAUCUCGUACCUUGUAAAACUGGCAAGAACCCUUUCUUGGACUGUUCCAUUUUGAGCCUCUUCAAAACUUUAUCAAGGUAUGUGCUUUGUGAAAGUCCUAUCAGGCGUUUUGAUCUAUCCCUAUAGAUCUUAAUGCCUAGAAUGUAAGCAGCUUCUCCUAGGUCCUUCAUAGAGAAACUUUUAUUCAAGUAAUCAUUUAUGCUCUCCAAAAACUCUACGUUGUUUCCAAUCAGCAAUAUGUCAUCCACAUAUAAUAUUAGAAAUGCCACAGAGCUCCCACACACUUUCUUGUAAAUACAAGAUUCUCCAACCACUUGUAUAAACCCAAAUGCUUUGAUCACCUCAUGAAAGCGUUUGUUCCAACUCCGAGAUGCUUGCACCAGUCCAUAAAUGGAUCGCUGGAGCUUGCACACCUUGUUAGCAUUCUUAGGAUCGACAAAACCUUCGGGCUGCAUCAUAUACAACUCUUCCUUAAGGAAACCGUUAAGGAACGCCGUUUUGACAUCCAUCUGCGAGAUUUCAUAAUCGAAAAAUGCAGCUAUUGCUAACAUGAUUCUGACGGACUUAAGCAUCGCUACGGGUGAGAAUGUCUCAUCGUAGUCAACUCCUUGAACUUGUGAAAAACUCUUUGGCACAAGUCGAGCUUUAUAAACGGUCACAUUGCCGUCAGCGUCCGCCUUCCUCUUAAAGAUCCAUUUGUUCUGAAUAGCCUUGCGGCCCUUAGGUAGUACUUCCAAAGUCCACACUUUGUUCUCAUACACGGAUCCUAUCUCGGACUUCAUGGCUUCUAGCCAUUUGUUGGAAUCUGGGCCCACCAUUGCUUCUUCAUAAUUUGCAGGUUCAUUGUUGUCUAACAACAUGAUUGACAAAACGGGAUUACCGUACCACUCUGGAGCAGCACAUGGUCUCGUCGACCUGCGUGGUUCGACGGGAACUUGAACCGGAGUUUCAUGAUCAUCAUCAUUAACUUCCUCCUCAACUGGCGUCGCAACGACACAGGUUUCCCCUUGCCCUGUGCCACCAUCUAGAGGGAUGAGAGGUUCGACAACCUCAUCAAGUUCUAUCUUCCUCCCACUCAAUUCUCUCGAGAGAAACUCCUUCUCGAGAAAAGCUCCGUUUUUAGCAACAAACACUUUGCCCUCGGAUUUGAGAUAGAAGGUGUACCCAACUGUCUCUUUUGGGUAACCUAUGAAGAUGCACUUUUCCGCUUUGGGUUCCAGCUUUUCAGGCUGAAGCUUUUUGACAUAAGCAUCACAUCCCCAAACUAUAAGAAACGACAACUUUGGCCUUUUGCCAUACCACAGUUCGUAUGGUGUCGUCUCAACAGAUUUUGAUGGUGCCCUAUUUAAAGUGAAUGCAGCUGUAUCUAAUGCAUAACCCCAAAACAAUAACGGCAAAUCAGUAAGAGACAUCAUAGAUCACACCAUCUCUAAUAAAGUACGAUUACGACGUUCGGACACACCAUUACGUUGUGGUGUUCCAGGCGGUGUCAACUGUGAAACAAUUCCACAUUGUCUUAAGUGAGUACCAAACUCGAAACUCAGAUAUUCACCCCCACGAUCAGACCGUAGGAACUUGAUCUUCUUGUUACGAUGAUUCUCAACUUCACUCUGAAAUUGCUUGAAGUUUUCAAAUGUUUCAGACUUGUGCUUCAUUAAGUAGACAUAACCAUAUCUACUCAAAUCGUCAGUGAAGGUGAGAAAAUAACGAUAUCCGCCGCGUGCCUCUACGCUCAUCGGACCGCACACAUCGGUAUGUAUGAUUUCCAACAAGUCACUGGCACGCUCCGUUGUUCCGGAGAACGGAGUUUUAGUCAUCUUGCCCAUGAGGCAUGGUUCGCACGUGUCAAGUGAAUCAAAGUCAAGUGACUCCAAAAGUCCAUCGGCAUGGAGUUUCUUCAUGCGCUUUACACCAAUAUGAGCUAAGCGGCAGUGCCACAAAAAUAUGGCGCUAUCAUUGUUAACACUAACUCUUUUGGUCUCAAUGUUAUGUAUGUGUGUAUCACUAUCAAGAUUCCAUAUGACCAAUCCUCUCACAUUGGGUGCAUGACCAUAAAAGAUGUUACUCAUAGAAAUAGAACAACCAUUAUUCUCUGACUUAAAAGAGUAACCGUCUCGCAAUAAACAAGAUCCAGAUAUAAUGUUCAUGCUCAACGCAGGCACUAAAUAACAAUGAUUCAAGUUCAUAACUAAUCCUGAUGGUAACUGAAGUGAAACUGUGCCGACGGCGAUUGCAUCAACCUUGGAACCAUUUCCUACGCGCAUCGUCACUUCAUCUUUCGCCAGCCUUCAUCUAUUCCGCAGUUCCUGUUUCGAGUUGCAAAUAUGAGCAACAGAACCGGUAUCGAAUACCCAGGCACUACUACGAGAGCCGGUUAAGUAUAUAUCAAUAACAUGUAUAUCAAAUAUACCUGAUUUUUCUUUGGCCGCCUUCUUAUCAGCCAGAUACUUGGGGCAGUUGCGCUUCCAGUGACCCAUACCCUUGCAAUAGUAACACUCUGUUUCAGGCUUAGGUCCAGCUUUGGGUUUCUUCGUUGGAUUGGCAACAGACUUGCCACUCUUCUUUGGAUUACCCUUCUUGCCUUUGCCGUUUCUCUUGAAACUAGUGGUCUUAUUCACCAUCAACACUUGAUGCUCUUUAUGGAGUUCAGACUCUGUGACUUUCAGCAUCGCAAACAACUCGCCGGGUGACUUGUUCAUCCCUUGCAUGUUGUAGUUCAACACAAAGCCUUUAUAGCUUGGCGGCAGUGAUUGAAGGAUUCUGUCAGUGAUAGCCUCUUGCGGGAGUUCAAUCCCCAACUCAGCUAGACGGUUUGAGUACCAAGACAUUUUGAGCACAUGUUCACUGACAGACAAAUUCUCCUCCAUCUUGCAAGCAUAGAAUUUAUCGGAGGUCUCAUACCUCUCGAUCCGGGCGUUCUUAUGAAAGAUGAACUUCAACUCCUGGAACAUCUCAAAUGCUCCAUGACGCUCAAAGCGAUGUUGAAGUCCCGGUUCUAAGCCAUAGAAGACUGCACAUUGAACUACUGAGUAGUCCUCCUUACGUGUUAACCAAGGGUUCUUAACAUCCUGGUCAGCCGUAGCGGGUGGUUCAUCUCCUAGCGCAGCAUUAAGGACAUAAUCCUUCUUCCCAGCUUGUAAGAUUAGCUUAAGAUUACGAGCCCAGUCUACAAAGUUGCUUCCAUCAUCUUUCAACUUAGCUUUCUCUAGGAACGUAUUAAAAUUCAGGGUGACUGUUGCGUGAGCCAUGAUCUACAACACAAAUAUAUUCAAAGUGGACUUAGACUAUGUUCAAGAUAAUUAGAGUUUAACUUAAUCAAAUUGUUCACUAAACUCCCACUCAAAAAGUACAUCUCUCUAGUCAUUUGAGUGGUUCAUGAUCCACUUACACUAGCUCAAGUCCGAUCAUCACGUGAGUUGAGUAUAGUUUCAGUGGUAAGCAUCCCUAUGCUAAUCAUAUCAUCUAUAUGAUUCAUGAUCGACCUUUCGGUCUCAUGUGUUCCGAGGCCAUGUCUGCACAUGCUAGGCUCGUCAAUUUUAACCGAGUGUUCCGCGUGCGCAACUGUUUUGCACCCGUUGUAUGUGAACGUUGAGUCUAUCACACCCGAUCAUCAUGUGGUGUCUCGAAACGACGAACUGUAGCAACGGUGCACAGUCGGGGAGAACACAAUUUCGUCUUGAAAUUUUAGUGAGAGAUCACCUCAUAAUGCUACCGUCGUUCUAAGCAAAAUAAGGUGCAUAAAAGGAUUAACAUCACAUGCAAUUCAUAAGUGACAUGAUAUGGCCAUCAUCACGUGCUCCUUGAUCUCCAUCACCAAAGCACCGGCACGAUCUUCUUGUCACCGGCGCCACACCAUGAUCUCCAUCAACGUGUCGCCAUCGGGGUUGUCGUGCUACUCAUGCUAUUACUACUAAAGCUACUUCCUAGCAAAAUAGUAAACGCAUCUGCAAGCACAAACGUUAGUAUAAAGACAACCCUAUGGCUCCUGCCGGUUGCCAUACCAUCGACGUGCAAGUCGAUAUUAUCUAUUACAAUAUGAUCAUCUCAUACAUCCAAUAUAUCACAUCACAUCAUUGGCCAUAUCACAUCAUAAGCAUACCCUGCAAAAACAAGUUAGACGUCCUCUAAUUUUGUUGUUGCAUGUUUUACGUGGUGACCAUGGGUAUCUAGUAGGAUCGCAUCUUACUUACGCAAACACCACAACGGAGAUAUAUGAAUUGCUAUUUAACCUCAUCCAAGGACCUCCUCAGUCAAAUCCGAUUCAACUAAAGUUGGAGAAACUGACACUUGCCAGUCAUCUUUGAGCAACGGGGUUACUCGUAGCGAUGAAACCAGUCUCUCGUAAGCGUACGAGUAAUGUCGGUCCAAGCCGCUUCAAUCCAACAAUACCGCGGAAUCAAGAAAAGACUAAGGAGGGCAGCAAAACGCACAUCACCACCCAAAAAACUUUUUUGUUCUACUCGGGAAGACAUCUACGCAUGAACCUAGCUCCUAAUGCCACUGUUGGAAAACGUCGCAUGGGAAACAAAAAUUUUCCUACGCGCACGAAGACUUAUCAUGGUGGUGUCCAUCUACGAGAGGGGAUUUCCGAUCUAUGUACCCUUGUAGAUCGCACAGCAGAAGCGUUAAGAAACGCGGUUGAUGUAGUGGAACGUCCUCACGUCCCUCGAUCCGCCCCGCGAACCGUCCCGCGAUCAGUCCCACGAUCUAGURCCGAACGGACGGCACCUCCGCGUUCAGCACACGUACAGCUCGACGAUGAUCUCGGCCUUCUUGAUCCAGCAAGAGAGACGGAGAGGUAGAAGAGUUCUCCGGCAGCGUGACGGCGCUCCGGAGGUUGGUGAUGACCUUGUCUCAGCAGGGCUCCGCCCGAGCUCCGCAGAAACGUGAUCUAGAGGUAAAAACCGUGGAGGUAUGUGGUCGGGCUGCCGGGGAAAAGUCGUCUCAAAUCAGCCCUAAAACCUCCGUAUAUAUAGGUGGGAGRCAGGGGAGCCUUGCCUUGGGGCUCAAGGAGCCCCAAGGGGGUCGGCCGRGUCCAAGGGGGGGAAGGCUCCCCCCCCCCGAAMCCGAGUUGGACUUGGUUUGGUGGGUGGGAGUCCUUCCUUCCCUUCCCACCUCCCUUUUUUCUCUUUGAUUUUUCUUUCUAUUGCGCAUAGGGCCCUUUUGGGCGGUCCCACCAGCCCACUAAGGGCUAGUGCGCCACCCUCAUGACCAAUGGGCUUCCCCGGGGNNNNNNNNNNNNNNNNNNNNNNNNNNNNNNNNNNNNNNNNNNNNNNNNNNNNNNNNNNNNNNNNNNNNNNNNNNNNNNNNNNNNNNNNNNNNNNNNNNNNUCCGAGACGUCGGAUCGUGAUCGUUACCGACUCGGACUCUUCCACCCAGCCGUCUUUAUAAGCACGCGAUCGCCUACCCUAGCCGUCACGAAAUCAGAUCACAUCUGCCUCACGCGUUCGUUCCUUGAACUGCUGCUGCCGCCGGCGACUCCGUCCCGUUUACCGCGUACACGGUCGACGGGAGAGCAGGCCUCCGAAACCUCGCCUCUCCGGUUCCUGUACGGGAGAGGGGCGAUUAGGUUUUUGGGGAGCGAUCACGCGACUGCUCGCCUCCGUCCGUCUGCUUCGUCUACGUCCGCGUCGCCCUCGUCAUCGCCAUGUCUUCACCAAGCGAAGCUGAUCGUCUCCGCGAGGAAGCCGAAAAGAAGACGGCAGAGGAUACUGCCGCCGCCGCCGCUGCUGCUGCUACGGCCAACUGGCCGAUUGGAGGGUAUGACUCGUUUAUCCUCUUGUUCGUAUUUAUUCUAGCAGUACUACUUGUUUGCAUAGAUGUAUCCACUAUAUGCGUAGUAUGUGCUAGGUUAGCUCAACAUCAGUAUGUCAUUAGUCUAGUCAAUGCCAUGCUAGUUAUUAUUUUGUGGAUUAAUCUACUCGGAAAAUUGCCUAUUUACUCAACACUUCAUUCACGCAUUUCCGUUGGACGUGUGACUUGCACGUCUGCAUAAUUUCCAAUUAGACGGCGUCGAUGGUCGUCGGUCACGUCGUCACCGUGACACCGCCCUAAAGAGCCGGAUAAAACAACGCUAUGCGAGUUUUUAUGUCACACCUUGUAGUUAGGCAUUGUUGAUCCUUGAAACACCUUUUUCUAAGCGUUGUUGAGUCUCAACACACAUGUUCUCCACGCAUUGAUAAAAACGUAACCGGAUCAUCUGGUUUUCUAUCUGUGGCUUCAUUAUCUCGAUUACCCGUCGUACAUACUGACGCUUUUUAAUUGCGAGAGCAUUUGACAUAUUUAACAUGCGUUAGAUCAUCUGAUAUUGUGUAGGGGUAUCAUUACUCACAGAGUAGUCAAAUGAAUCGGUGUCUUUCGUCUGUUUAAAUAUUGUUGCAUUUCACUAGUGGAAAACACACCUUUCGUAUGGAGCUUUAGUCCCGGUCUGGUUUGGGCCCGGGACUAAUGUGAGCAUUAGUCCCGGUUCCAAUGGCUAGGAACGGACGGGGGGCACAACCACCUUUAGUCCCCAUGGAAAUGGGACCUUUAGUUCCGGUUGGUGAUAUCAACCCCGAACUAAAGGGGUUGCGGCAGGCUGGGGCCACUGCGAGCCCCUUUAAUCCUGGUUGGUAUCAUCAACCUAGACUGAAUAUAGACCUUUAGUCCUGGUUGGUGAUACCAACCGAGACUAGAGUCUUCCCUAUGUAAAGCUCUGCUUCUUCCAGCCUGAAUCCAAGCUUUCUUUCCUCUUUGUUUCAUUCCUUCCCCAAGCUCGAGUUCAUCCUCCAUUUUCUCGAGAUUUGUCAAGAUUGACGGCUCCCCAUCUAUCCAAGUGUUCUAAAAGGUUAGCAACUUCAUCCUUUCAUCUAUCAUUGCUAUUUUAGCUUGUUUCAUACUCUAUAAGUAUAGUGAUUUGCUGGUUUUAGUUUCAUGUUGCUCGUAUCGUUCUGCUGAUCAACUUUCAUGUUGAAAAUAUUUUGAUCUGACUUACGGUUUAUUUAUUAUCAAUUAUUUUAAAGUUUUAUUCAAUAUUUAGGAAUUAACAGAUUUAAUUAUAUUAGAUAAUUAAAUAUGACAUCACGCUGAUGUCAGCACGACAACAGCAGUCAACAGGGGUUGACUGGUCAGAUAUGGCCAGCGGGACCCAUCUGUCAUAGACAUAGGGUUAACAAAUGUUUAUUAUUAACUAAAAUAGGUUAUUUUAGCAGGGAAGGCCCACAUGUCAUACCCAACAUAAAUAAUUUAACUCAUAGAUUUGAUUUAAUUAAAUUAGGUUUAGUUAACCAAAUCAGUUAUCCAAUUUAAUUAUUCUAUUUAAUUAAGCACGUUAAGCACACAUUUGAUUAGACUAACUAAUUAACUUACUAAUUAGUCACUUUAAAAUAAUUUAAUAAAUAAUUUCAUUAAUUAAUUAAAUUAUAAUUCACAUAUUGUUUUAUUAAUUUAUAUUGUUGUCCUAACAUAUUUUUGGAUGGGGGGGGUCCCCACUUGUCAUUGUGUGAGUGAGAGGGGGAUUAGCCCCUAGCUUAAUCAAGGCCGGCCCUAGCCGUGGUUGUGCCCGCGAGCGCCAUGGGAGGCCACAGCAAGAAGGUCCCGCCCGUAUGCAGGAGCCCGGGAAGGCGCCCACAAGGACGAAGCGGGACUGCGGCGGGAGGCAACAGUGAGUCGGGCAUGGGAGCAGAUUCAGCUGGGCGUGCGCGACAAAAGGGGGGCAAUGCACGGUGCGGCUAGCGGGGCACAGGGCAUCGGAGGAGCUCGCCGGAGUGGCGAGGCACUGCAGUGCCAAGUUGGCCGAGCCGAAGGGGGAGAGGAGGAGUGACAGGAGGAGCCCAAGGAUCACCAGCAUUGUAGUGGUAGCAGAGGCGCGAGGAGGCGCGAGGUGGUGGUCCAGUGAUGGCCGGCGCGAGUGGGGCGAGGGAGAGGCGCCAGGGGAGAGGAUCUGGUGCGGGGUGGCCCAGGGCAGGGCGCCGCAGCGUCGUCGGCGUGGCCUUGGUGGGUGGAGGCGGCGAGGUCGGUCGGUGGCGAUGGGAGGACCCGGCCGGCAUGGGGCUGAAGGAGGCUGUAGGAGGAUGGGGUCGCCGAAGGGCCGGUCAUGCCCGGAGGGCGACAUACCCGACGUGGGGCUGGCCCUAGCGCGGCAGGGAGCGGGGCAGGGCCAGAGCUAGGAUGUGAUAACCUACAAGUAUAGGGGAUCACAACAGUUUUCCAGGGUAGAGUAUUCAACCCAAAUUUCUUGAUUUGACACAAGGGGAAGCCAAAGAAUAUUCUCAAGUAUUAGCAGUUGAGUUGUCAAUUCAUCCACACCUGAAAGAUUUAGUAUCUGCAGCAGAGUAUCAGUAGCAGAGUAGUGUGAUAGCAAGAGUAGCAACAGUAACCAAUAGCAAUAGUGACAGCAGUAGUGACAGAGUACCAGUAGCAGCAGCAGCAAAGUAACGGAGCAAGGAUCAGUAGGAAAAGACUCGUAGGCAUUGGAUCGGUGAUGGAUGAUUAUGCCGUAUGAUAUUCAUCAUGCAGCUGUUAUAACACGGAGAGAUAUGUAACUAGCACCAGUUCGUCAAUGUAAUGUAGGCAUGCAUUCCGUAUAUAGUCAUACGUGCUUAGGGAAAAGAACUUGCAUGACAUCUAUUGUCCAUCCCUCCCGUGGCAGCGGGGUCCUAAUGGAAAAUACGAGAUAUUAAGGUUCUCCUUUUAAUAGAGAACCGGAAGAAAGCAUUAGCACUUAGUGAAUACAUGAACUCUUCAUACUAUGGUCAUCUCCGGGAGUGGUUCCGCCUAUUGUCACUUUGGGGUGAUCGGGUCAUAACAUAUUGUAGGUGACUACAACUUGCAAGAUAGGAUCAAGAACACACAUAUAUUGACGAGAACAUAAUAGGUUCAGAUCUGAAGUCAUGGCACUCGGGCCCUAGUGACAAGCAUUAAGCAUAGCAAAUUAGUAGCAACAUCAAUCUCAGAACAUAGUGGAUACUAGGGAUCAAUCCCCAUCAAAACUAACUCGAUUACAUGAUAGAUCUUAUCCAACCCAUCACCGUUCAGCAAGCCUACAAUGAGAUUACUCACGAACGAUGAAGAGCAUCAUGGAAUUGGCGAUGAAGGAAGGUUGGUGAUGAUGAUGGCGACGAUCUCCCCUCUCCGGAGCCCAGAACGGACUCCAGGUCUGCCCUCCAGAGGAAGAACAGGAGGUGGCGGCGCCUCCGUAUCGUCAAACGCAAUGAAUUAUUCUCCUUUAUUUUUUUCCGGACGAAAGGGACUAAAUAAAUCUGGAGUUGGAGGCGGUGGAGCUCCGUGGGCCCCACAAGCCUGCCAGGCGAGGCCAGGGGGCCCGCGCCUGGUGGGCUUGUGGGCUCCACGCUCCACCUCUUCGGUUGAUUCUUGCGCCAGUAUUUUUUAUAUAUUCCACAAAAAAUCCUCGUAAAUUUCUAGGUCAUUCCGAGAACUUUUAUUUCUGCGCAAAAACAACACCAUGGCAAUUCUGUUGAAAACAUUGUUAGUCCGGGUUAGUUCCAUUCAAAUCGUGCAAAUUAGAGUCCAAAACAAGGGCAAAAGAGUUUGGCAAAGUAGAUACGACGGAGACGUAUCGGAGUGGUAGCGAAGAGCGGAGCCGAGGGAAGAUGGGGGUCUGGCGCGUGAGGCUCGCGUUGGGAACGACGAGGGGAGGGAGAGUGGCGGCGCUAGUGGGGGAAGUGGGGAGGGCUGUGGGUGGUUAGGGUUAGGAGGGGGGGGUUAAAUACCCCCCGGUUAGGUGGGUUGGCUGGGCCGGUUGGCCCAGUUUGGCCGGGGAGGCAUUCCCCCUUUUUUUUAUUUCUCUUUUAYUUUUUUUCUAUUUGUUUUAGUUUUAUUUACUUUACUUUUUUGUUUUUUUAAACAAGAGUAUUUUAGUCUUAUAAAACAUGGAACUUGCGUCAUUUACUAUAAUGCAUUAUUAGGAACUAUCACAAAAAGGUUUGUGAUUUAAUUGAUGCGGUUUGGAAUUGAUAUAGUUUAUAAGCACAUUAGAAUAUUGUUUAGACCUCUGUUUUAAUUAUUUUGAGGCACUUAGACACUCAAAAAAAUGUUGGCUUCAGUUUUAUAAUUACUAGGAGAACAUUUCUAACCUAAACAUGAUUUUUAUUUUAUAGUUUGAAGAAAUAAUUUAUUUGACUUAAAUUUUAAUUUUAAUUUAGUUUUGGCUUUCCAAUUGGAAAUUUGGCUUAGUUAAUCUUGAUGACACGGCACCAUUAGCGUGUAAUUACUGUAGCCUAACUACAUUAACUACUGUAGCUUAAUCCGAGGAUGUCAGAACUCUCCCCUACUAACAAGAAUUCUCGUCUCGAGAAUUAAGAGGUAGAAGGAAUGAGCUCGGGGUAUUCAUCAUGAAGAUGAUCCCCGCGUUCCCAAGUGGCUUCAUCUUUAGAAUGAUUUGACUACUGCACUUUAAGGAACUUGGUGACUUUGCGACGAGUCUGACGUUCAACCUGGUCGAGAAUGCGAACCAGAUGCUCUUUAAACGAGAGGUCUUGUUGCAGCUCAAGCAUAUCAUGAUCCACUGCUCGAAUAGGAUCCUCGAAGCAGCGGUGGAGCUGAGACACAUGGAAUACAUCGUGUACCUGAGAAAGGUUUGCUAGCAGUUCCAGUUGAUAAGCUACUUUUCCAUGCCUUUCGAGAACAAUGAAAGGAUCAAUAUAGCGAGGAGCUAACUUGCCCUUGAUCCCAAAAUGGUGUGCACCUCUCAUUGGUGUGACACGAAGAUAAGCCUUUUCGAUAGGUUGAUAGACGGUAUCUUGAUGACGACAGUCAUACUGACUCUUCUGACGAGACUGAGCAGCCUUCAGAUUCUCAUGAAUAAUGCGGACUUGAUCUUUGGCAUGUUGAAUAAUAUCUGGACCGAAGUGUGAUCGGUUCAAUGAACGGUGGCUUUGGAAUUUCAUACGAAGCCAAGUGUACGGGAUACCUUGGAGUCAAAGAUGUACAAGAGAGUCAGGUUUCAAUCCUGUGGAACUUUGCGUUAUGGGUCCACCAUGUGAACCGAGAGUAGGCAGAGCGGUGGCAUCUUAUACGGCCUUGGUAGCAAUACAUGUCAGAGGAUAACCUGUCAGUUAUGUUGGCAACAACGUCGGUACCAAGGGCGGGGAACGACUAGAACCAUUUUCCUGCUCGUUGCAACGAGGCGGACCAAUAUGCAAGGCUCUCGUCCACUGGCGGCUACCGGAAUGUUAUCCAUUAUAGUAACAGGGUCUUAUUGACAGAGUUGUAUACCGAGAUUUUUUUACCUAAGCAGGGAAUUAACACUUCUUUGAUAAGUAAUGCCACAAGAAAGGUCAAACAGACCAAUGGGAAAGAAAAUGUGUUACCACACAUGUAUUAAAGUAUACCAUUCCCGAGGAAAAAUAGGGUAUGGUAUACAUGAUUAGUCAUCAAGUACGUAACCUUUUAGAUAAAGAUGCAAGAAAAAUCAUGAUGUUCACCCGUACCAUACGGUUUGGAUAAUUGAUCAAGAACAAUUUAGCAUUACGUUUCCAAUGUUCUUGUUGAGAUUUGAAGUACCGCAUCCGUGCUUCGGGGUAAUAUCGACAUGGUCAUCAGCUAAAGGCCGGACCAAUGGGUACACAAAGAGGAUCCAUGAUGAACAACUUAUGAAAUAAGUCAUAUAGUUUCUGCAUGGUAGAAUGGCUAACCUUAUGUAUGAAGAAUUUAUAACAAUAGGUCCUUCGGCCCGGUGUGUUGGAAAGAGAGCACCGUACCGGUUUACCUAAGGACCAAAGUUAUAAUUAUUGGGAAAUGUUCCAACCAUCAUAUAUGUCCGAGAUUCAGAUCUAAUUGGUGUCGGGACACCUCAGACUCAAGAUGCCUAAGAAGAAAGAUGAAGAUGCAAGAUUCUCAUGAUAUGAGCUACACAAGCAAUUCUUGAAUCAUGAGUUCGACUGUAAGACAUAUGAACACAAUGUCAAGACAUUCAUGCCCACAUAGAAUUCCUACGUCAAAAUGCCAUUGAGUUGUCAUUUGGAAAACAUCAUCGAGGAUAACAAGGUUCCAUGUGUAAGCCUGGAUUGGAUCUUAUGAAAGAACUUCUUUUCCUUGAUCAAAUCAGUCAAUAGCUUGGCAUGCUAAGAGAAGUUAUAUGAAGUGAAGAUAACAAAUCUUCAAAACAUAUAACACUUCGCACAUGCGUGAAUGAUUUGGUAUUUCCCGAGAAGAAGCGAAACAAAACUUUCACAUAUUCACGGCGGCAAGAGUUCAUGUGAACUUUGGGAAAUACACUUCUUCUAUCCAACAUAUUCUUCAUGAGCUGGGCACAAGGAUAAUGCUUUCAAGAGCUUCAUCAUGGAACAUGGAGAAGUUGAGGGUGUGGCUGAUGGGCUCAGCAACAAUCCCUCAAGAUUUUGACAGGGAUGAAUUUCCAAAAUUAUAACAUCAAGGAGAUAACAUUUGUCAAGUCAAAUGGUAUAAUGUUGUAUGCUUGAGGGAACAACAACAAUUAAACAUUGGUCGAAGGGUGCACUCGGAAAUACGGGCAGAGUAGCACAACCAAUGUCCAAAAUGAUGAGUCAACACCCAACACAUUAAGAAUGAAACAAUCAGUUGUUAACCUCAAGGCAAUAGGGUUGCCAGAAGUAUUGGGAUCACACAUCAGAGUUCAUUUGUUGGUAUUCCGGUUUGAAAUAACACUGGACCAAGAAAUGAAUGGUGAUGACGAGAAGUAUUACUAUAUCAAGAAUUCUUAAGAGGGACAAUGAUCCUCACAACAUUCUUGACAUAAAGAUGGUAAUACUCCAAGGUAGAAGAUAACAUAAUUUGCAUAGCAAGGAACUUAAGGGACAACACAAAACAUGAACAAGUUUGUGUUGGAGGGAAGUCAAUAAGGUUGACGAUGAUUUCACAAAUCAUCGAGGGGCAAGGAUGGUAUUCCUCAACAUGUAUUCGAUUGAUACCCUGCAAGAGAUCGGGAUGCUGAUGAUGAUCACGACACCUUUGUCGAGAAGCUUCACAAAGAUGUCAUCGUUCAGCGACGACAUCAAGGAAGGGAAUGAUGAAGCAAGGGGUUGCCGAAAUCACAAAUAAGUCUACUAGCUCCGAAUUAAAAUUGCUUUUCAAAACAACCAACAUGGUAUUGAAAACCCGAUGUAAGCUUAUCGCAUAGUCGGAAAUGUGCUCGAGGGAUGGAGGACAUAGAUAGCAUGGUCAAGCUUUCACAUGACGAUGAUGUUGUAGCUUAAUGCUACGGCAACAAAAGUCCUUCCUUGGCGCUAGGAAUUCUUCUUGUUACUUCUCUGGUUUGCGUCGGUUUUUCCCUUGAAGAGGAAAGGGUGAUGCAACACAGGAGCAGUAAGUAUUUACCUCAGUUUGAGAACCAAGGUAUCGAUCCAGAAGGAGGGCCUCGUCAAGUCCAGAGUACCUGCGCAUACACAAACAAGCUUGCACCCAACGCUUCAAAGGGGUUGUCAAUCCCUUCAAUAUUGUUUGCAAAGUGAGAUCUGAAGGCGGAAAGUGCAACGAAAUAAAAAGUGUAAGGCUGAAAAUGUGAUGUGCAGUAGACCCUGGGGGCCAUAGUGUUCACUAGAGGCUUCUCUCAUAAUAGCAAAUAUCACGGUGGCUGAACAAAUUACUGUUGAGCAAUUGAUAGAACCGUGCAAAGUCAUGAUGAUAUCUAAGGCAAUGAUCAUGCAUAUAGGCAUCACGUCCGAGACAAGUAGACCGUUACUUUCUGCAUCUACUACUAUUAGUCCACACAUCGACCGCUAUCCAGCAUGCAUCUAGUGUAUUGAGUUCAUGACGAACAUAGUAACGCUUUAAGCAAGAUGACAUGAUGUAGAGGGAUAAUCUCAAACCAAUGAUGAAAACCCCAUCUUUUUACCCUUGAUGGCAACAACACGAUGCGUGCCUCGCUACCGCUUCUGUCACUGGGUGAGGUCACCGCACGGUAUGAACCCAAAACCAAGCACUUCUCCUAUUGCAAGAAUCAUAGAUCUAGUUGGCCAGACCAAACCCACAAGUCGAAGAGAAUUACAAGAAUAUUAAAUCAUGCAUAAGAGAGAUCAGAAGAAACUCAAAUAAGAUUCAUAGAUAAUCUGAUCAUAAAUCCACAAUUCAUCGGAUCUCGACAAACACACCGCAAAAGAAGAUUACAUCGGAUAGAUCUCCAUGAAGAUCAUGGAGAACUUUGUAUUGAAGAUCCAAGAGAGAGAAGAAGCCAUCUAGCUACUAGCUAUGGACCCGUAGGUCUAUGGUGAACUACUCACGCAUCAUCGGAGAGGUCAUGGUGUUGAUGAAGAAGCCCUCCAUAUCCGAAUCCCCCCUCCGGCAGGGCACCAGGAUGUGCCCCAGAUGGGAUCUUGCGGAGACAGAAGCUUGCGGCGGCGAAAAAGCGAUUGCGAUGAUCUCUUGAUUUUUUUUGGGAAUAUUUGGGAAUAUAUAGACGCAAGACCUAGGUCAGGGGACCUCCAGGGGGCCCACAAGCUUGGAUGGCGCGCCCCCUGGCCACGGGGUGGGGUCUUGUGGGGCCCCUGGAGCUCCUGGAGCUCCUGGUUUGGCUCCCAAGUUCUCCGAUCUUCUUCCGUUCCAGAAAAAAUCUUUUUGGGGAUUUUCUUCCGUUUGGACUCCGUUUCAAAAUCUCCUCCGAAAGGGGUCAAAAACAUGGAAAAAACAGGAACUGGCACUUGGCACUGAGUUAAUAAGUUAGUCCCAGAAAAUAAAUAAAAAGCAUGCAAAACAUCCAAAGUUUGACAAGAUAAUAGCAUGAAACCAUCAAAAAUUAUAGAUAUGUUGGAGACGUAUCAAGCAUCCCCAAGCUUAACUCAUGCUCGUCCUCGAGUAGGCAAGUAAUAAAGAAUGAAUUUUUGAUGUGGAAUGCUACCUAGCAUAUUUGUCCUUUGCAACUUCUUUCACGUGGCAUGAAUGUUCAGAUCCGUAAGAUUCAAAACAAUAGUUUGCUAUUGACAUGAAAACAAUAAUACUUCAAGCAAACUAGCAAAGUAAUCAUGAACUUUCAAAAUAACAAGGCCAAAGAAUGUUAUCCCUACAAAAUCAUAUAGUCUGGCUAUGCUCCAUCAUCCUCACACAACUAAUGUAAAUCAAGCACAACCCCGAAAUUGGCCAAGUAAUUGUUUUCACACUCUUACUUUCUCAAACUUUUUAUAACUAUCACGCAAUACAUGAGCGCGAGCCGUGGAUAUAGCACUAUAGGUGGAAUAGAGUGUGGUGGUGGUUGUGAGACAAAAAGGAGGAGAUGGUCACAUUGACUCGGCAUAUCAAUUGGCUAUGGAGAUGCCCAUUAAUAGAUAUAAAUAUGAAUGAGUAGGGAUUGCCACACAAGAGAUGCACUAGAGCUAUUAGUAUGUGAAAGCUCAAGAGGAGAACUAGUGGGUGUGCAUCCAACUUGCUUGCUCACAAAGACCUAGGGAAAUUUUGAGGAAGCCCAUCAUUGAAAUAUACAAGACAAGUUAUAUAACGAAGAUUCCCACUAGCAUAUGGUAGUGACAAAGCAAGAAGCUCUCAAUCAUGAAGAACAUGGUGCUAUCAUGAAGCACAAGUUUGGAAAAAGAUAGUAGCAUUGUCCCUUCUCUCUUUUUCUCUUUUUUUAUUUUGGAUCUUAGGCCUCUUUUUUAUUUUAUUUUAUUUUCUCUUUUUUUGGGCUCUUUGGCCUCUUUUCUUUUUAAUUUCCUCACAUGGGACAAUGUUGUAAUAAUGAUGAUCAUCACACUUUUAUUUACUCACAGCUCAAAGAUCACAAUGAUGACGACUCCAUAGGAAAUGCCUCCGGCAGUGUACCGGGAUGUGCAACGAUCUACCAUGGCGUAUGACGUUGAAACAUCUCGCUAGCUAUCUUACGAUCAUGCAAUGGCAAUAUGAGAGUGACGCCACAAGUCAUGAGACGGACGGUGGGAGUUGCAUGGCAAUAUAUCUCAGAAUGGCUAUGAAAAUGCCAUAGUAGGUAGGUAUGGUGGCUGUUUUGAGGUAGGAAUUUGGUGGGUUUGUGCACCGGCGAGAAUUGCGCGGCACUAGAGAGGCUAGCAAUGGUGGAAGGUGAAAGUGCAUCUAUACCAUGCCCUAACAUUACUCAUGAAGAACUCACAUACUUAUUGCGAAAGUUUUUAUUAGUAAUCGAAACAAAGUGCUAAACACAUACUCCGAGGGGAAGGGUUGGUAGGUGUAAACCAUCGCACGAUCCCGACCUCAACACAAAGGAUGACAAUCAAUAGAUCAAUUAUGCUCCGACUUCCUAACAUAGUGGUUCACCAUACGUGCAUGCUACGGGAAUCACUAACUUCAACACAAGUAUUUCGAGAUUCACAACACCCUACUAACAUAACUCUCAAUAUUACUGAAUCCAUGUCUCAAAACUAAUUGAGAGGAAUAAAAACUUCUCUUACUACUCAAUGCACAUGAAGAUGGAGGUUUUUGCAUCCUCUUUGGGUACCUAGCACAUUUGGGACUACUUUCAUAGCAUAAGCCAACUACCAAAUCAUGCACCGCCGUGCUCUAAAGAUAUAAGUGAAGCACAAGAGCAAAAUUAUCUAGCUCAAAAUAUAUAAGUGAAGCACUAGAGCAAAAGUAUCUAGCUCAAAAGAUAUAAGUGAAGCACUAGAGCAAAAUUAUCUAGCUCAAAAGAUAUAAGUGAAGCACUAUGAGCAUUCUACCAAAAUCACGAUGAGUGCAUGUCUCUCUCUCUCAAAAAGGUGUGCAGCAAGGAUGAUUGUGACACAAAAAAAAGAAAAGACUCCUAAGAUAAAAGAGACUCCAAGCAAAACACAUAUCAUGUGGUGAAUAAAAAUAUAGCUCCAAGUAAUGUUACCGAUGGAUUGAAGACGAAAGAGGGGAUCCCUUCCCGGGGCAUCCCCAAGCUUAGGCUUUUUGGUGUCCUUGAAUUUGGCUUGGGAUUCCUUGGGCAUCCACAAGCUUGAGCUCUUUCCACUCCUUAUAUCUUUGUCCAUGAGAACAUCACCCAAAACUUGAAAUCUUCACAACACAAAACUUAAAUAGAAACUUGUGAUAACAUUAGUACAAGAAAACAAACUACCACUUCUUUUGGUACUGUAGAAAACUUGAAUUCCAUCCAUAUUGAUGAUGGGCUACUGUAUUCUGACUUUUACAUGGCUAGUACCCCCAUAUACUAACCAUAGUUUCAUCAAAACAAGCAACCAACUCAACAACAACAGAAUUUGUCAAAAACAGACUAGUCUGUAGCAAUCUGUAUACUUCGUAUACUUCUGGUACCUCACAAAAUCUGAAAAAUUUCGACGGCCUGGGGAGAAAGCAUAUAAAUCAGCAUAAAAAAGAAUCAACUCAAAAUCUAUUUGUGAACAAAAAUGAAAAAUCAUCUCGUGAGCGAAAAGUUUCUGUCUUUUUCCAGGAGGAUCAAACAACCAUUACCGAGACUAGUCAUAAAGGUUUUGCUUGGCUCAAACACAAAAAGAAACAUAUAAAACACAAUCACAACAGAAUUAUGAAAGUGUGGACGCAUAAAACAGAAAGAAAAAGGUUCAUUGGGUUGCCUCCCAACAAGCGCUAUUGUUUAAUGCCCUUAGCUAGGCAUAGGAGCGAUAGAAUCACAUAUCGUCGUCUUUGGUGCUCAUACCAUAAGUGUCCCUCAUCAUGGAUUCAUAAGGCAAUCUUAUUUUAUUUCUAGGAAAGUAGUCCAUGCCCUUCCUUAAAGGAAAUUGAAAUCUAAUAUUUCCUUCCUUCAUAUCGAUUAUAGCACCAAUAGUCCUUAGGAAAGGUCUACCAAGAAUAAUAGGGCAUGUAGGAUUGCAAUCAACGUCAAGCACAAUGAAAUCCACGGGUACAUAGUUCCUAUUUGCAAUAAUAAGAACAUCAUUGAUCCUUCUCAUGGGUUUCUUGAUAGUCGAAUUAGCAACAUGCAAAUUAAGAGAACACUCUUCAAUCACAUUGAAACCCAGAACAUCACAUAAAGACUUUGGAAUCGCAGAAACACUAGCACCCAAAUCACAUAAAGCAUUGCACUCAUCGUUUUUUAUUUUGAUAUUGAUGGUAGGUUCCCACUCAUCAUGAAGCUUUCUAGGAAUAGAGACCUCCAAUUCAAGUUUCUCUUCAAGAGCUUUUAUCAUAGCUUCGACGAUAUGAUCGGUAAAGGCUUUUUUUGGCUAUAAGCGUGUGGAGAGUUCAACAUGGAUUGCAUAAAAGAAAUGCAUUCAAUAAAUGAGAAACUAUCAUAAUUGAAUUUCUUGAAAUCCAUGGUAGUGAUUUCAUUACUACUCAAAGUUUUAACGUCUUCUACUCCACUUUUAAUGCUUUUAGCAUCAAGAUAGAUGGACUCCGAAUCCUUGGGGCACUUUUCAACCAAAGUGGAUUCAUAUCCAGCCCCAUAAUCAUUAGGUUUGACACAAGAAAACAAAGAUUCAAUGGGAGUCACACCAAGCACUUUAAGAUCUUCGUGACUCUCAUCACGAGAACACGCCUUUUUAAGCCAUUCAUGUCUAGCACGAAUUUGGGCGGUUCUUUCUUGGCUCUCAAUCAUGGAAACACGCAUAGCUUUCAAAGUUUCAUCCAUGUUGAUUUUUGGAGGAGCACAUCUCACUUUCAAAGCAUCAACAUCACAAGAAAUCCUAUCCACGCUCUUAGCCAAAUUGUCAAUUUUGAGUAGUUUUUCCUCUAGGGACGCAUUGAAAAUCUUUUGAGAGUUGAUGAACUCUUUGAUAUUACUCUCUAGAUCAGAGGGUAAUCUAUUGUAAUUUCCAUGAAUAUUGUUGUAGGAGUUGCCAAAGUUAUUAGAGGAGUUCCUAGGAAAAGGCCUAGGAAUAUAGUUUGCUCUAAAGGCAUUGUUGUUGCCAAAGUUAUUCCUACCAACAAAAUUAACGUCCAAGCUAGCAUUGCUACUCUCAAUCAAAGAAGACAAAGGCAUAUCAUUAGGAUCCAAAGGAGCACUUCUACUAGCAACCAAAUUCAUUAACUCAUCCAUCUUAGCACUCAACGAGUUAAUUUCUUCUAUAGCGUGUACCUUCUUACUAGUAGGUGACCUUUCCUAACGUGAUUUCCACUGAGAGUAGUUUGUCAUGAUGUUGUCUAAGAGCUUUGUGACUUCUCCUAACGUGAUUUCCAUGAACGUUCCACCUGAGGCGGAGUCCAAGAUAUUCCUAGAAGCGAAAUUCAAGCCAGCAUAAAAGAUUUGAAUAAUCAUCCAAAGAGUCAAGCCAUGAGCGGGACAAUUUCUAAUCAUUAAUUUCAUUUUCUCCCAAGCUUGUGCAACAUGUUCAUGAUCAAGUUGCUUGAAAUUCAUGAUAUCAUUACGAAGAGAGAUGAUCUUAGCCAGCAUAAAGUACUUGGAUAUAUAAGCAUCUUUGCACUUAUCCCAAGAAUCGAUAGUAUUUUUGGGCAAAGAGGAAAACCAAGUUUUUGCGCGAUCUCGCAACGAGAAAGGAAAAAAGCUUCAAUUUAAUCACGUCAUUAUCCACAUCUUUUUUCUUUUGAAUAUCGCAAAGCUCAAUGAAGGUAUUGAGAUGGGAUGCGACAUCUUCACUAGGAAGGCCAGAGAAUUUCUCUUUCAUAACAAGAUUCACCAAAGCAGCAUUGAUUUCGUAUGACUCCGCACUAGUGGCAGGAGCAAUCAGAGUACUAAUAAAAUCAUUAUUAUUAGUAUUCGAGAAGUCACAAAGUUUGGUGUUUUCGUUCAUGGUGACUUCUGCAAGCAAGCAAGCACACAAGCAAACAAAGAGGAGGCGAGAAAAAGGGAGAACGAAAGGGCGAACGAAAAGGCGAACGAAAAGGCGAACGAAAAAGGAAAAUUGGUGAAGUGGGGGAGAGGAAACGAGAGGCAACUGGCAAACAAAGUAAAUGCAAGAGAUGAGUUUGCGACACCUACUUGGAUGAGUUCUUUACUUGAUCUUCCUCCCCGGCAACGGUGCCAGAAAUUAUUGUGCUACAGCAACAAAAGUCCUUCCUUGGCGCUAGGAAUUCUUGUUCUUACUUCUCUGGUUUGCGUCGGUUUUUCCCUUGAAGAGGAAAGGGUGAUGCAGCACAGGAGCAGUAAAUAUUUCCCUCAGUUUGAGAACCAAGGUAUCGAUCCAGAAGGAGGGCCUCGUCAAGUCCAGAGUACCUGCGCAAACACAAACACGCUUGCACCUAAUGCUUCAAAGGGGUUGUCAAUCCCUUCAAGAUUGUUUGCAAAGUGAGAUCUGAAGGCGGAAAGUACAACGAAGUAAAAAUUGUAAGGCUGAAAAUAUGGUGUGGAGUAGACCCUGGGGGCCAUAGUGUUCACUAGAGGCUUCUCUCAUAAUAGCAGAUAUCAUGGUGGGUGAACAAAUUACUGUCGAGCAAUUGAUAGAAUCGCCCAAAGUCAUGACGAUAUGUAAGGCAAUGAUCAUGCAUAUAGGCAUCACGUUCGAGACAAGUAGACCGAUACUUUAUGCAUCUACUACUAUUACUCCACACAUCGACCGCUAUCCAGCAUGCAUCUAGUGUAUUGAGUUCAUGACGAACAGAUUAACGCUUUAAGCAAGAUGACAUGAUGUAGAGGGAUAAUCUAAAACCAAUGAUGAAAACCCCAUCUUUUUACCCUUGAUGGCAACAACACAAUUCGUGCCUCGCUACCCAUUCUGUCAUUGGGUGAGGUCACCGCAUGGUAUGAACCCAAAACCAAGCACUUCUCCCAUUGCAAGAAUCAUAGAUCUAGUUGGCUAGACAAAACCCACAACUCGAAGAGAAUUACAAGGAUAUGAAAUCAUGCAUAAGAGAGAUCAGAAGAAACUCAAAUAAGAUUCAUAGAUAAUCUGAUCAUAAAUCCACAAUUCAUUGGAUCUCGACAAACACACCGCAAAAGAAGAUUACAUCGGAUAGAUCUCCAUAAAGAUCAUGGAAAACUUUGUAUUGAAGAUCCAAGAGAGAGAAGAAACCAUCUAGCUACUAGCUAUGGACCCGUAGGUCUAUGGUGAACUACUCACGCAUCAUCGGUGAGGUCACGGUGUUGAUGAAGAAGCCCUCUGUAUCCGAAUCCCCCCUCCGGCAGGGCACCAGGACGUGCCCCAGAUGGGAUCUUGCGGAGACAGAAGUUUGCGGCGGCGGAAAAGCAAUUGCGAUGAUCUCUUGAUUUUUUUGGGAAUAUUUGGGAAUAUAUAGGCGCAAGACCUAGGCCAGGGGACCUCCAGGGGGCCCACAAGCUUGGAUGGCGCAGCCCCCUGGCCAUGGGGUGGGGGCUUGUGGGGCCCCUGGAGCUCCUCUCGCUUGGCUCCCAAGUUCUUCGAUCUUCUUCCGUUCUAGAAAAAAUCUUUUCGAGGAUUUCUUCCGUUUGGACUCCGUUUCAAAAUCUCCUGUGAAAGGGGUCAAAAACGUGGACAAAACAGGAACUAGCACUUGGAACUGAGUUAAUAAGUUAGUCCCAGAAAAUAAAUAAAAAGCAUGCAAAACAUCCAAAGUUUGACAAGAUAAUAGCAUGAAACCAUCAAAAAUUAUAGAUACGUUGGAGACGUAUCACUUAACAGCUUGGAAAGACAUGAUCGAGUACAAACUUAUAAGCAAGGAAUAUUACUAAGAUUUGUUGAAUCGUAGUGCAUACCCGAUUCAGUUAUCGAUGUCCUUGAGUAUCCAACAACUCAAACAUGAGGAAAUUGGAAUUAAUGAAAAUAUCAUAGUUGAUGAGGUGCUCACAAGAACUUAUGUAGCUCCGUGAUAUUCUCGGGAUACGAGGCAUAAUACUCGGAGGUAGAUCAACAUUAAAGCUUGGACCGAUGUAUUGAUCUGAAGAAGACAAGUACUUUAACUAUAAAAAUGAAAUCAAGGUAGGACAACAUGGCCGGAACCAUGGUUGCAAAGUACCAAACCACAGAUACGAGAUAAAAUCAUAGAAAGGAUGAUUAUUGAUACGAGAAGCUUAUAUGAUAGGAUCAACAUCGUUUCCAUGGGCAUGAACACAAAGUUCAAGGUUCACUCCCACUUCAUCAAUACAUCACAUGCCAUUUACUCCUUGACUUUGAUGAGGUUGUAUCUUGGGAAGAUUAUCUGGCAAAACACCAGAAGAGCAAGACUCGUGAAAACUCGUCGGAUCAUAUUGUUUCAUGCAGGCGUAGGUUCAACCCGUCGGGGCAUCUUAGGAACAUAUACCAAAAACUUCAAGAGUAAUUAACAUAUGCUUGAAGGGCAUGGCUGACAAAAGCAAAGUAUAGAACUUAUUAGAGGAAGAAGACACAAUUUACCAAUGACAUUAUGUAUAAGGGGAACAAUAUCCCAAGAAUUUAUGAAUGCAAAGGUUCCCAUCGGAUAAUAACCCAGAAUGAGUCUCGCAGUCCACAACAGAUUUGAUGUGAGUAUCGGUACUCAAUCAGAGGGGGUAAAACGCAAGGCAUGAGAUUAUAGAACAUCUGAAAAAUAUUGAUACUUAAUUAGCCAAGGAAUUAGGAUUUCGAGGUUGGUGUAUCUUAAUCAGAUGCUCCGAUGAAGUACAAGUAAGUUGAAUGGACUUAGAUGGACAACCAACCAAAGUUGAUUUGGCGAGAACCAGCUCUGUUUGAAAGGACGUCUAAGCCAGAAAAUAAUACAUGAGUAUCUGCAGAUGAUUGAGUGCAUUCACACAAAGGUAGAAUCAAUAAGAUCACAGGAAAUCACAAAGGAUUUUAAUGAAUGCUGCUAGACAUAUGGAUUUAACCAUAACACAAGCAGGUGAGAAAGGUCAAGAGGAAUAGGUUACCGGGAAUUCCGAAAGAUCGAAUAGUAAUUCGAAGAACUUUCGAAACCCAUGACAACUGAUGACGGACGACUCCCCGAUAAGAUAAUUCGUUGCAUCUCGUAAAACAAGAGCAAUCGGAAAGAAAGUAUGGACGGCAUUUGUAUGUCGUCAUCCAUAGGGGUUUAUGGAGGAAAAUAAUUCGCAGAAGCGAUGAGCAACAGCUCUUGAGGGAACAUGGGAGAGUAUCAGCAGUUCUUCUGACGGAUAAAGCAACCGUCUGGAAUACGGGGCUCUCCGGGAGGAAGUAUUUACGAGAACCUAAUGUUAGAGUCCGAAACAGAAGAGAGAGUAGAGCCCAGAGUAUAGGAAAGGAGUAAAAGAUACUAAUACCACCCGAUUGAGAUCUGGGCCCGUAACCCACAACAUGAGUGUUAGUAAAGUUUUUCAAGCACUAGACUCAACUUCGGCCAAGGAGUUGGAAAGGGGGCUAACUAUAGGCAGUCGGCUCUGAUAUCAACUUGUGACGCCCUCAAUUUAAUCAUACGCUAAUCAUACACGCAAAUGCAUACGAUCAAACUCAAGGACUCACGGGAAGAUAUCACAACACAACUCUAGUCACAAAUCAAACAAUACAAGCUUCAUAUUACAAGCUAGGGGCCUCGAGGGCUAGAAUACAGAAGCUCGAUAAACACACGAGUCAGCGGGAGCAACAAUAUCUGAGUAUAGACAUAAAACAAGGGGGUGCCUUAGAGAAGGCUAGCACAAAACAAACUCGAUCGAACGAGGCGAGGCCUCCUGCCUGGGAACCUCCUAACUACUCCUGGUCUUCAGGGGCCUCCAUGAAGAAGACACCAUUGGGGGGCAGACGUUGGCAGGAAAUCUCCUGGGCUUCAUUAUCUUGUCGCAACAACGGAUCAAGGGGAGAAAGGGGAGCAAAGCAACGGUGAGUACUCAUCCAAAGUACUCACAAGACUUAUAUCAGAACUAUGCUAAGUAUGCAUCAGUAUCAAAGAAAGGGGUUUAAUAUGUGGACUGAUUGCAGCAAUGCAAGAAUAGGCCUAGAGAAUGCCUAGUCCUAGCGAAGACUAGCAUCUUCACGGGUCUUGCAGCAAUAGACGAGAGUAGAAGAAGGUAACACAAGUAAUAGUCAUAUUGUUGCAGCAAUAUUAAUAUGAGGUUACGCCUAGAGAUCCUUCCUCGACUCCCUGCCAGGAAGCAAUCCCAGGGCAACUAAAUCCAGUUAAGUAACAGUUGUAGUUGUAUAAGAUUAGGGCACAACUCUAAGUUGUCGAAUAACCUUGGACACGGCUAUCCGAAUAGUUAAUUUUCAUCCCUGCAGGGGUGCACCAAGUUUCCCGUCAAGCUCCAUAACACUCUGGCCGGACACACUUUUGGGUCAUGCCCGACCUCGAAAAAUCCACACGUCGCAACCCCACCUAAGCUCAGUAGAGAGGCCAUCCCGCCAGUAUAACUCCUAAGCACAAAGGGUUCAUGGGCCCACUUGCCCUCCGCGCUCCUGCAUGAUGCGUGGGCGGCUGAUGUCAAUCCUAGAACCCCUUAAUACAAGAGGAUGCAUCUCGGGACCGCACGGGCGUGCGCCGCUCCAUCGCUGACGUCUGAAGAGCUUCGGCUCAUACCACGACGUGGAGUACCCAUAAUUCUUCCCGCGUAGCCGGUUAGUGCGAAAAGGUCUCCGACCAACCCAGAUCAAAAACCCAAAUCCAUUAUCAAUUUAAUUAAGUCCUCGACACAAACACGCGGGAAAUCACCCGCCUAACAUAUAUUCAUCAAAGAUCCCAGUAACAUGGUCAAGUAACUGUGUGGUAGAAACAUCAGGGGGAAUCCGAGGUAUCACCCUCGUUGGAUUCUGAACGAUGUAUCCAUCAAGGUGGACCUAGAGGAAUCACCCUCGAGGGUCCCACACUUAAGUGGUUGCACGACAAAGACAUCGUCGGGAAUGGUGAAAGAGGAAUCACUCUCGAUAACCACGACCGACUAGCUACAAUACAGAGGAUUCAUCAUGAGUAGUUCGCGAGGUGUUACCCUCGGUACCCGAUAGUAUCUCUGUAGCGUCGUACAACUAAGGGGGGUGUAAGUGUUGUGUCGGGUCUGGCUCAUCGAUCAUGUUGGAAUUAUACCCUAGAGGCAAUGAUAAAAUAGUUAUUAUUAUAUUUCAUGUUACAAGAUAAUCGUUAAUUAUCCAUGCAGUAAUUGUAUUGAAUGAAAACAUAGAUACAUGUGUGGAUACAUAUACAAAACAAUGUCCCUAGAAAUCCUCUAGUUGGCUAGCCAGUUGAUCAAUGAUAGUCAAGGUUUUCCGACUAUAUGCAAGUGUUGUCACUUGAUAACUGGAUCGCAUCAUUAGGAGAAUCAUGUGAUGGAUUAGAACCAAACUAUGAACGUUGCAUAUUGAUCGUGUCAUUUUGUUGCUAUUAUUUUCUGCGUGUCAAGUAUUUAUUCCUAUGACCAUGAGAUCAUGUAACUCACUGGCACCGGAGGAAUACCAUGUGUGUAUCAAACGUCGCAACGUAACUGAGUGACUAUAAAGGUGCUCUACAGGUAUCUCCGAAGGUGUCCGUUGAGUUAGUAUGGAUCAAGACUGGGAUUUGUCACUCCGUGUGACGGAGAGGUAUAUCGGGCCCACUCGGUAAAACAACAUCACACACAAGCCUUGCAAGCAAUGUGACUAAGUGUAAGUCACGGGAUCUUGUAUUACGGAACGAGUAAAGAGACUUGCCGGUAACGAGAUUGAAAUAGGUAUGCAGAUACCGACGAUCGAAUCUCGGGCAAGUAACAUACUGAAGGACAAAGGGAAUGACAUACGGGAUUAUAUGAAUCCUUGACACCAGGUUCAACCGAUAAGAUCUUAGGAGAAUAUGUAGGACCCAAUAUGGGCAUCCAGGUCGCUCUAUUGGAUAUUGACCGAGGAGUAUCUCGGGUCAUGUCUACAUAGUUCUCGAACCCGCAUGGUCUGCACACUUAAGGUUCGAUGAUGUUUUAGUAUAGUUGAGUUAUAUGUGUGGUUAACGAAUGUUGUUCGGAGUCCCAAAUGAGAUCAUAGACGUCACGAGGGUUUCUAGAAUGGUCUGGAAUGAGGAUUGAUAUAUAGGAUGGUUUCAUUUGGUCACCGGAAAGUGUCGGGCAAUUCUGGCAGUGUACGGGAGUGACGAAUGGGUUCCGGGUGUUUACCGGGACAGGCCCACCCACCCGAGAUUGAGCCCAAGGCCCUAGGGUGGCGCACCAAGUCUUUAGUGGGCUGGUGGAGUCAGCCCAAGAGAGCUAUGUUGCCACAAGCAAAAAUACCAAAGGAAAGAAGAAGAAGAAAAGGAGGAAAGAGGGAGGUGGGAAGGAAGAGGAGGACUCCUCCUUCCCAAACCAAAUUGGAGGAGGAGUCCUCCUUCACCCUUGCGGCCGGCGCACCCUUCGGGCCCUUGUGCCCCAAGGCUAGCCCCUCCCCUGCUCCUAUAUAUAUUGGUCGUUUAGGGCUUUUUGAGAUACAACUUUGCCACGUGCAACUCAAGCCUAUUCCACAUAGUUUUACCUCUAGAUUGGAUUUCUGCGAAUCUCGGGUGAAGCCCUACAGGAGUAGAUCAUCACCACCACUAGAGCACCAUCAAGCUGCUGGAGAACUCAUCUACUUCUCCGUCUUGCUUGCUGGAUCAAGAAGGCCGAGAUCAUCGUCGAGCUGUACGUGUGCUGAACGCGGAGGUGCCGUCCGUUCGGUGCUAGAUCGGAACAGAUCGUGAGACGACAGUGAUUUGAAUCACGAAGUUGUACCACUACAUCAACCGCGUUUCUCAAUUCUUCCCUCUUAGCGAUCUACAACGUAGAUCUAAUCUCCUCUCGUAGAUGGACAUCACCAAGAUAGGUCUUCGUGGCGUAGGAAAAGUUUUGUUUUGCAUGCAACAUUCCCCAAUAGUGGCAUCAUGAGCUAGGUUCAUGCGUAGAUGUUAUCUCGAGUAGAACACAAAAGGUUUUGUGGACGGUGAUGUUCAAUUUGUUGCCCUCCUUAGUCUUUUCUCGAUUUGGCUGUAUUGUUGGAUUGAAGCGGCUCGGACCGACAUAACUCGUACGCUUACGAGAGACUGGUUUCAUCGACUGACAUGCAACCUCGUUGCAUAAAGAUGACUGGCGGGUGUCGGUUUCUUCAACUUUAGUUGAAUUGGUUUUGACCGAGGAGGUCCUUGGAGAGAGGUUAAAUAGCAAUUUGCACAUCUCCGUUGUGGUUUUUGCGGAAGUAAGAUGCGAUCAUACUAGUUACCCAUAGCAGCCACGUAAAACAUGCAACAAUAAAUUAGAGGACGUCUAACUUGUUUUUGCAGGGUAUGCUUGUGAUAUGAUAUGGCCAAUGACGUGAUGUGAUAUAUUGGAUGUAUGAGUUGAUCAUGUUGUAAUAGUUAAUAUUGACUUGCACGUGGAUGCUACGGCAACCGGUAGGAGCCAUAGGGUUGUCUUUAAACUAACGUUUGUGUUUGCAGAUGCGUUUACUAUAUUGCUAGGUCGUAGCUUUAGUAGUAAUAGCAUAUAUAGGACGACAACCUCCAUGGCGACACAUUGAUGUAGAUCAUGAUGAUGGAGAUCAUGGUGUCGCGCCGGUGAUAAAAAGAUCAUGCCGGUGCUUAAGUGAUGGAGAUCAAGAAGCACAAGAUGAUGGCCAUAUCAUGUCACUUAUGAAUUGCAUGUGAUGUUAAUCCUUUUUUGGACUGGUGCAAGCAUCUCGGAGUUGGAAUAAGCGCUUUGAUGAGGUGAUCAAAGCAUUUGGGUUUAUACAAGUGGUUGGAGAAUCUUGUAUUUACAAGAAAGUGAGUGGGAGCUCUGUGGCAUUUCUAAUAUUAUAUGUGGAUGACAUAUUGCUAAUUGGAAACAACCUGGAGUUUUUGGAGAGCGUAAAGGAUUACUUGAAUAAAAGUUUCUCUAUGAAGGACCUAGGAGAAGCUGCUUACAUUCUAGGCAUUAAGAUCUAUAGGGACAGAUCGAGACGCCUGAUAGGACUUUCACAAAGCACAUACCUUGAUAAAGUUUUGAAGAAGUUCAAAAUGGAUCAGUCCAAGAAGGGGUUCUUGCCAGUGUUACAAGGUAUAAAAUUGAGUAAGACUCAAUGCCCAACAACUGCGGAAGAUAGAGAACAAAUGAGUUCCGUCCCCUAUGCUUCAGCCAUAAGUUCUAUCAUGUAUGCAAUGUUGUGCACUAGACCAUACGGCGGUCAAGAAUAUUCUGAAGUACCUGAAAAGGACUAAGGAAAUGUUUCUCGUUUAUGUAGGUGACGAAGAGCUCAUCGUAAAGGGUUACAUCGACGCAAGCUUUGACACUGAUCCGGGUGACUCUAAGUCUCAAACGGAUACGUAUUUAUUCUUAAUGGGGGUGCGGUAAGCUGGUGCAGUGCCAAGCAAAGCGUCGUAGCAGAUUCUACAUGUGAAGAGGAGUACAUGGCUGCCUCGGAGGCAGCUAAGGAGGGUGUCUGGAUGAAGCAGUUCAUGACGGAUCUUGGAGUUGUGCUGAGCACACUAAAUCCAAUAACUCUAUUCUGUGACAACACUCGUGCCAUUGCCUUAGCAAAGGAACCAAGGUUUCACAAGAAGACCAGACAUAUCAAACGACGCUUCAACGUCAUGCGCGACUACGUCGAAGGAGAGGACGUAAAUAUUUGCAAAGUGCACACGGAUCUAAAUGUAGCACGCCCGCUGACUAAACCUCUUCCACGGGCAAAACAUGAUCAACACCAGAACUGUAUGGGUGUUAGAUUUAUUACAAUGUAAAUCCCAUGACGAUGUGAGGAUUAGAUUAUUGACUCUAGUGCAAGUGGGAGACUGUUGAAUUAUGCCCUAGAAGCAAUGAUAAAUUAGUUAUUAUUAUAUUUCUGUUACAAGAUAAUCAUUUAUUGUCGAUGCUAUAAUUGUAUUGAAUGGAAACAUAGAUACAUGUGUGGAUACAUAGACAAUACAAUGUCCCUAGCAAGCCUCUAGUUGGCUAGCCAGUUGAUCAAUGAUAGUCAAGGUUUUCUGACUAAAUGCAAGUGUUGUUACUUGAUAACUAGAUCACAUCAUUACGAGAAUCAUGUGAUGGAUUGGACCCAAACUAUGAACGUAGCAUAUUGAUCGUGUCAUUUUGUUGCUAUUGUUUUCUGCGUGUCAAGUAUUUAUUCCUAUGACCAUGAGAUCAUAUAACUCACUGGCACCGAAGGAAUGCCUUGUGUGUAUCAAACGUCACAACGUAACUGAGUGACUAUAAAGGUGCUCUACAGGUAUCUCCAAAGGUGUCCGUUGAGUUAGUACGGAUCAAGACUGGGAUUUGUCACUCCGUGUGACGGAGAGGUAUCUCGGGGCCCACUCGGUAAUACAACAUCACACACAAGCCUUGCAAGCAAUGUGACUAAGUGUAAGUCAUGGGAUCUUGUAUUACGGAACGAGUAAAGAGACUUGUCGGUAACGAGAUUGAAAUAGGUAUGCGGAUACCAACGAUCGCAUCUCGGGCAAGUAACAUACCAAGGACAAAGGGAAUGACAUACGGGAUUAUAUGAAUCCUUGAGACCAAGGUUCAACCGAUAAGAUCUUCGAAGAAUAUGUAGGAUCCAAUAUGGGAAUCCAGGUCCCGCUAUUGGAUAUUGACCGAGGAGUAUCUCGGGUCAUGUCUACAUAGUUCUCGAACCCGCAGGGUCUGCACACUUAAGGUUUGAUGACGUUUUAGUAUAGUUGAGUUAUAUGUGUGGUUAACGAAUGUUGUUCGGAGUCCCGGAUGAGAUCACGGACGUCAUGAGGGUUUCCGUAAUGGUCCGGAAAGGAAGAUUGAUAUGUAGGAUGGUUUCAUUUGGUCACUAGAAUGUUUCGGGCAAUUCCGGCAGUGUACCGAGAGUGACGAAUGGGUUCCGGGUGUUUACCGGGAGGGGCCCACCCACCCGGGAGUGAGCCCAAGGCCCUAUGGUGGCACAGCAAGUCCUUAGUGGGCUGGUGGAUUCAUCCCAAGAGGGCUAUGGCGCCACAAGAAAAAAUACCAAAGGAAAGAAGAAAAAAAAGGAGGAAAGAGGGGGUGGGAAGGAAGAGGAGGAUUCCUCCUUCCCAAACCGAAUUGGAGGAGGAGUCCUCCUCCACCCUUGCGGCCGGCGCACCCUUGGGGCCCUUGUGCCCCAAGGCUAGCCCCUCCCCUCCUCCUAUAUAUAUUGGUGGUUGAGGGCUUUUUGAGAUACAACUUUGCCACGUGCAACUCAAGCCUAUUCCACAUAGUUUUACCUCUAGAUCAGAUUUUUGCGUAGCUCCGACGGAGCCCUGCAGGAAUAGAUCAUUACCACCACCGGAGCACCGUCACGCUGCCGGAGAACUCAUCUACUUCUCUGUCUUGCUUGCCGGAUCAAGAAGGCCGAGAUCAUCGUCGAGCUGUACGUGUGCUGAACGCGGAGAUGACGUCCAUUCGGCGCUAGAUCAGAACGAAUCAUGGGACGGAUCAUGGGACGACGGUGAUUUGAAUCACGAAGCUGUGCUACUACAUCAACCGCGUUUCUCAAUGCUUCCCUCUUAGCGAUCUAGAAGGUACGUAGAUCUAAUCACCUCUCGUAGAUGGAGAUCACCAUGAUAGGUCUUCGUGCGCAUAGGAAUUUUUUUGUUUCCCAUGCAACGUUCCCCAAUAGAUCAGGGAUCGAGACUUGACAAUAAAGCAAGGCAACUGUACUACGGGGUCAGAGGGGAUGACUACUCCACCUAUACUAAAUAGAUUAAAAGUACAGUACUGAAAGUAGCAGUUCAUGAAAAAUAGACUAUGCAUUAGAUAUAGGAGCUAACUACAACAGUAGCAAAAUUCUAAUGCAAGCACGAGGAAGAAAGAAUAGGCGAUAUAGGGAAGAUCAAGGGGGUUUUCUUGCCUUGUUUCUCUGUGGCAAAGGGCUGAUCGGCAGGGUCGUAGAUGUACCCAGCGGCAACGUCAGUCUCAAGGUCUACUGGUAAGAAAGGGGGGGGGGAAACAAUAAAUAACAGCAAUAGGUGCAACACUAAGCAUGACAUUACAAUAUGCAGGCUAGACAUGAUCUAACGCAGUAACAUACAUCAUAGACGGGUCGGGAAAAUAUCAGAUGAUAUUUUCCGGGUCUGUGGCUACUACGGGUCAGACUGAAAACGAUGGAAAAGUUCCACAUUAUAUUUGCUAUGCUAGGGACACGUGACACACGAAUGGACCGCGUAACCGGGUUCGUCUCGUUCUGCUGAUCAACUUUCAUGUUGAAAAUAUUUUGAUCUGACUUACGGUUUAUUUAAUAUUAAAAUUUUAAAGUUUUAUUCAAUAUUUAGGAAUUAACAAAUUUAAUUGUAUUAGAUAAUUAAAUAUGACAUCGCGGUGUUAUCAGCACGACAUCAGUAGUCAACCGGGGUUGACUGGUUAGAUAUGACUAGUGGGACCCAUUUGUCAUAGACACAGGGUUAACAAAUGUUUAUUCUUAAUUAAAAUAGGUUAAUUUAGCAGGGGAGGCCCACAUGUCAUACCCAACACAAAUAAUUUAACUCAUAGAUUUGAUUUAAUUAAAUUAGGUUUAGUUAACCAAAUAAGUUAUCCAAUUUAAUUAUUCUAUUUAAUUAAGCACGUUAAACACACAUUGAUUAGACUAACUAAUUAACUUACUAAUUAGUCACUUAAAAUUAUUUUAAUGAAAAUUUCAUUAAUUAAUUAAAUUAUAAUUCACAUAUUAUUUUAUUAAUUUAUAUUAUUUUCUUAACAUGUUUUUGGAUGGGGGUCCCCACUUGUCGUUGUGUGAGUGCGAGAGGGAUUAGCCCCUAGCUUAAUCAAGGCCGACCCUCACCUCGUAGUGGCACAACCGACUCUGGCCGUGGUUGUGCCCGCGAGCGCCAUGUGAGGCCACAAUGAGCAGUUCCCGCGCGUAUGCGGGAGCUAGGGAAGGCGCCGACAAGGGCGCAGCGGGACUACGGUGGGAGGCAACGACGAGUCGGGCAUGGUAGCAGAUUCGGCUGGGCGUGCGCGACAAAAGGGGGGCAACACGUGGUGCGGCUAGCGGGGCACCGGGCGUCGGAGGAGCUCGCCGUAUCAGCGAGGCAUUGCAGUGCCAAGUUGGCCGAGCCUAAGGCGGAGAGGAGGAGUGACGUGACGAGGACAAGGCUCACCACCGUUGUAGUGGUAGCAGAGGUGCGACGUGGUGGUCCGGUGAUGGCCGACAUGAGUGGGGCGAGGGAGAGACGCCAGGGGCGAGGAUCCGGUGCAGGGGUGGCCCAGGGCGGGGUGCCACGACGUCGCCGGCACGGCCUUGGUGGGUGGUGGCGAUGGGAGGGCCCGACCGGCAUGGGGCUGAAGGAGGUCGUAGGAGGAUGGGGCCGCCGGAGGGCCGGUCUUGCUCGGAGGGCGACAGGUCCGGUGCGGGGGUGGCCCUAGCGCGGUGGGGAGAGGGGUAGGGCCGAAGCCAGGGUGGCAGGGAGGAGCGGAGCCGAGGGAAGAUGGGGGUCUGCCGCGUGACGCUCGCGAUGGGAGCGACGAGGGGAGGGAGAGUGGCGGCGUUAGUGGGGGAAGUGGGGAGGGCUCUGGGUGGUUAGGGUUAGGAGGGGGGGGUUAAAUACCCCCGGUUAGGUGGGCUGGCUGGGACGGUUGGCCCAGUUUGGCCAGGGAGACAUUCCCCUUUUUUUUAUUUCUCUGUUUCUUUUUUCCUAUUUGGUUUAGUUUUAUUUACUUUCUUUUCUAUUUUUUAAACAAGAGUAUUUUAGUCUUAUAAAACAUGUAACUUGCAUCAAUAACUAUAAUGUAUUAUUAGGCACUGUCACAAAAAGGUUUAUGAUUUAAUUGAUGCAGUUUCGAAUUGAUAUAAUUUAUAAGGACAUUAGAAUAUUGUUUAGACCUCUGUUUUAAUUAUUUUGAUGCACUUAGACACUCACAAAAAUGUUGGUUUCAGUUUUAUAAUUACUAGGAGAAUAUUUGUAACCGAAACAUGAUUUUUAUUUUACAGUUUGAAGAAAUAAUUUAUUUGACUUAAAUUUAAUUUUAAUUUAGUUUUGGCUUUCCAAUUGGCAAUUUGGCUUAGUUAAUCUUGAUGACAUGGCACCAUUACUGUAGCCUAACUACAUUAACUACUGUAGCUUAAUCCGAGGAUGUCACAACUCAACUCCUUCAUGUUGAUCAUUUUUUGCGAUUCCUCGCGGUUUGAGAACAGUUUCGAAAAAGGUGGGCCCAUGACGGGACGCAGAGAUCGUAUUUUUGCAUUUUUUUAAACCGCCCGUCGUAAUGAAGCAAGCGAUACGGCAUUGAAAAUAUAUCGUCGAGCCGCAUAUUUUUCAUGUAGAUUGAUCUCUCUAAAUCCUCACGGUUUGAGUGUAAUUUCAAAUUUACAAAAAAAUAGAAUUCUGUUUUAGGAUUUUUUCCUUUUUUGGACUGUUUUCGCCACGGUUUUUAAAUAGUUCAUCGGAACAAGGCAUGUGAUACCGAGUUGAAAAGCUGGGGAAUAGGCGCACCUUUCAUAUGUUGGUCAUUUGUCGAGAUUCCUCGCGCUUUUAAAUGAAUUUUGAAAACGGUGUGACUGGCUACGAGUGGCAGCAAGCGUAUUUUCGUCCAUUUUUCGAAACUGCUUGUUGGAAUGACCUAAAUUAUACAUCGCUGGAAAGAUAUCGAAGAGGCUCAACAUUUUCAUGUAGAACACCCUAUCUAAUUCCUUACGUUUUUUAAAUUACCAAAAUGUGGACACUUUGUUUUUCGCAACACACAAAUCAACGUGCGAACAACAUCGGAUAGAAGAGCGCAGUGAUUUUUGAUGGAAAAUUGCACUGCACCGUACGGGAAAGCGAAAUACAUCAUUUUCUUUUUUUGUUUGUUUUUACUAUACUUUUCAUGGCACCAAAUCAAUGAAAUGAACUACAUCACACAGAACCGUACUAUUUAACACAAAAAACCACACGCAUCCAACGGGAAAACGAACUUCAUAUUUUUAAUCAGUUUUUGUUUUAAAUGGAAUGUACUAAAGAGUCCUUCAUAUUGGAAUUUUUAAGACCAGAGUGCGCUGCAUUUGCUUCAAGAUUUCUUUACUAGUGAACUACAUUCAAAACGAAGCAAACUUCUUGCGAUAUUUUUCUUCUUUAUACAAAGAGAACCACAUUUGCGCAUUAUGGUUUUGAAACCAUGCAAUAUAUACAUCUUGUACAACAUAACCAAACCGCUACUUUCAUUUUGACUAAUCUGCAGUGCACCAAAGACCAAACUAUAUUCACAGAAGUGAACUACAUUUUUUUGCAUGACUACUAAAUCAAAAAAAAUCCGCUUUUUAGAUCUUCAGAUAGGUCCAACCAGCUACACAAUUUAGCUACAGUGAGCUGCACAUCUCACUCGUGCAAGCUACAACUCGAGGUACAGGGAGACGCAAACCAAUCCACAAAUUGGUCACCAGCGCACUGCAUGUCCACCCUUGCAAAUUGGCUACUUUAAGAAAUAAAUCAAAAAAUUCCAUGAAACGCAAGUCAAUCGCUGGUGCACUCAUGUCCACCUCCACAACACUGCACCUGUCGUGCCCAUGGGACUGCAACCAAGUUUAUUGAAGAUUCCCGAAAAAGAAAAUACAAAGCAAUCGGAGUUCUUGUUGACCCCUGCACGAGAGCUAGCAAACUUUGCUUGGCAAACCAAACUGCAUGCCAUGCUGCAGCUGCACACGCCAAGGAGCUGCACUGAAUCACGAUGGCGAGCGAACUACAUCGAGAACAAAGAGGAGGGGCUCGAUCCCAUUUUUUGGAACAGGCUUCGAAAGGGGAGUGUGAGCCAGAUCGGAACUGGCACGGACAUGCGGUGUCGCGCGAGAGGGAGGUUUCGUGGUGCCUCAUCGAGCCUCUAGAAGAAGGCCUGUCAGGAGGACGGCGCGAGCCUGGGGGCUUGGUUGCCGGUCUGGAGAGGUCGGGCCGUGGUAGAAGAUGGCGGAUCUGCCGAUGUGUAAGAGGGUUGGGGUGGGCUGCGACGCUAGGAUCCUUCGCGUGGAGGGGGUGAGGUGGGCGGGGGAGCUAGGAUCCCGCGCGAAUGAAGUGGGUGGGCUGCCGUGAUGGUCGGAGCCAUCCCUGUGGUGGCUGGCUACCGACGAGGGAAGAAGGUGGGUUGAGGGGGCGGGGGUCGUCGCCUGACAGGGAAAGAAGGUGGGUUGAGGGCGCGGGGGUUCCUUUCUUGGCCAACAGAUGGAGGAGGGAGAGGGUGGAGGUGGCAUUUGGUAGCUGGGGAAGCUGAUCUGGGUCCAGGGGUCGCCAGGCAUGGUUAUCACGCGAGAGGGAGGGGCCAGAGGCCAGAUCCGUUAAUGUGGGGGGAGGAGGCCCGCGGAUGAACCAUGCGGGGUGAUGUGGAGGAGGCCCUCGUGGCCUGGGCAGAUCUCGGCGGGGGUAGGUGCCGACGGGGAAGACCGGUGCCGUGUGGGCUGCUGGCGCAGCAAUGGUGGAAGAAGAUGAGGGGGAUUGGGGGCAGGGUGGUGCGGGAGUUGGGAGGAGAGAGAGGAAGGUGGGAUAGGGAGGGGGAAGUUCAUUUUUGUUUCUUUGGGUGUUUUAUCUAUAUGCUGGCGCGGGACGGGAGGUGGCGCGGAUAGAGGGGCACGGGGUGGGAGGUGUAUUUAGAAUAAGUGUGUGUAUAUAUAUAUAUAGAAAGACUAUUCAUCACCGAGGAUGCAGAAUAAGUUAUUCUUCACACGAGGUAAUCUUACGAUCGUUUCAUAAUUAUAUUACAUUCAAAAUGCAAAUAGGUACAUUUAUACUGAUUCACUACCUAAAGUUUUACAUAAGAAAAAAAUAGGUCAUAAGACCAGAAGAACGCAUUUAAUGUAUAUUUUACAUGACAUAAAAUAUUUUUAUGGUGUCUAUAUAUUUUCUUAUGGUCUCUUUUUACNNNNNNNNNNNNNNNNNNNNNNNNNNNNNNNNNNNNNNNNNNNNNNNNNNNNNNNNNNNNNNNNNNNNNNNNNNNNNNNNNNNNNNNNNNNNNNNNNNNNUACGACUCGUCUACGUUCGUUGAUGACCGACACCGGCUUUGUUGGGUCAUGUAUGCUUGUCCUUGUGCGGAACUGCCACUUUGGUUUAUGACUAGACAUGUCGAUCCGGGUUCUUUGACAUUGGAAUGCUAGCGACACUAUCGCAUACGUGAGUCAAAACACACAAACGGUCCCGGCUAAGGUAAGGCUGCAACCGUGGAGUUAACCGUGCGUGAGACCACAAAGGGAUGCGAUGUGUUACAGGCUGGAUUCCUAUGGCUUAAGAUCGGGGUCCCGACAGCGUUGGUAUCAGAGCCUGACUGACUGUAGGAUUACUAAGCCAAACUGGUCGAAGUUGAGUCUAGAAUUGCUUUAGUUAUAUAUAAGGGAAUUGUUUGUGGAAGGGAACGUAACACUCUUGUUCUCUUCUCAAGAUAUUCUAUUCUGGUCAUCCUCGUCUUUUCUGCGGGAAUUAAGGACUAGGUUACUCAUCUUCUCCUAGGCUCGGAUUUUUGAUCGGUAGAUUAUAGGACUAAGGGUCGAGAGAUAUUGGGUUUCUUUUAUUCCUGGGAAGAAGGAAGUAAGUUUGAUGAUCAGGGAGUUGAACUUGAUAGUUGAGUGGUGACGCUAUUUCAUUUUGGGUUGUCUCAAAAUUUGUUUUGAACAUUUACAGCUGUUAUGCUGCCCAAUUUUUCAUUCAGAGCUCUAAUGCUUUUUUGCAUUACUCUCUAUUUACAGAUGCCUGGCCGUCCUUCUCGUCAGGUGGUACGUUUGACCAGGUGCAUUGAUGUACCGGGUCAUACGGCCAUGCUGGUCAGGGUGAUGUCGGUGUGCGGUUACCGCUGGUACCCCGAGUACACGGUAGAGGAACAGUACCGAGACUUCAACCAGAGCCAGUACAUCUGCACUGUUAGGGUAUUUCCAGAUUACCCUGGAGCGGAGAAGCCAAUCCAUUGGUCCUAUGGGUUGGGAGUCACUGUUGACAUGGCAGUACAAGAUGCUGCCUAUUCAAUGCUGACUAUCAUGAGAGAGAGACAUGCAUUGCUGCAGAAUUCAGAGUUCUGCUAUGUUCCGGCCUCUCAGUCUGGCGAAGAGGGAUACCUCAGUGGAGUCUAUUUUGAUUCCUCUAUGGAGGACCCACUUCUGCAGUCCACUGUUGAGAUGCUAGAGAACAGAGACAAGGAUGCUCGUGCUCUCCGCAUGGAGCUUUAUGCUACCCGUGCCCGUCUGUGGACAGCUUUGACGCAGCUGGCACCGGUAGUCCAGACAGGGUAUGGAGAGAUGGAGAUGCUGAACCCUGUUAGGACCCAUCUUCCGGCUCAUGUUGACUGGCCAGCUAUAGGAGGAGUCACACCUCUUCGGGGACCCCUCUUACCACCAGUCAGGGGACCAAGGCCACAUCUGUGUCCUUAUGGAUCCCAGGGAUCUCAGGCUAGAGUGUUUCCUGAUCCGCAGGUUGAGCUUCCAGGUCAUGGAGGUAAUCUCUAUGAGAUGUUCUAUGCGGAUGCGUGAGCUAUGAGCGGAAGGAUAGUAUGGUGGUAGCCGUAUGUUCACAGUCCUGCGUGACUUGUGUAGUAUGGUUGUAAUGUGAAACGAAUUCCGGAGGCCUAGAUAAAUAAUGUAUAGGAAGCUUGUACGCCUCUGAUGAGUAGUUCCACCAUUUCGGUAGUUUGCUCUUCGAGUAAGUUUGUACUGAACUAUGUAAGGGUGUGUAUGAACCAUGGUGUAUAUAUAGCAGUUGCUUGUUACCAUGUUGUUCGGAUAUUCAUUUCCGCAUUCCGUGUGUUCAGUACAUUCUUAAUCCAUAGAUAGUUUUGAUAUGAUUUUGGUUUAAGCUAUGAGUUUGUUUGUUAGGAUGGUGUUCACCAGGUUGAACCGUGCCCCUGCUCAUGAGCAAGGUGAGGGUAGUCAAGCGUCGCAGGAAGACCUGCCUCACCCACCUUCUCUGGUAGAAGUGAUGCUUGAGGCAGAAAGAAUCAAAAGGGAGACCAACCGACUGCUAGAGCGUAUUGAGCAGAAUACGGCUCGAGAGCCUAGGAAUGCUGCAGUGUCCCUCAAUGACUUUGUGAAGCUGAAUCCUCCAAAGUUUCAUCAUUCCGUCGAUCCCCUCGACGCUGAUGACUGGCUGUGCAGCAUUUCAUGCAAGAUUCGCUCUGCGAAUGUGUCUGAGGCCGACAAGGUGACCUUUGCGGCGUAUUUCCUGGAGGGACCCGCCAAUCUAUGGUGGGAGAAUUUUGAAGCUAUGCGUCCCGCUGAACCAGUGGCCACAUGGGCAGACUUCAGUGCAGCUUUUCGUCUGCACCAUAUUCCAGAGGGCCUGAUGGACAGAAAGAGAGAGGAGUUAUGUGCCUUCACUCAGGGCAAGUUGUCUGUGGAUGCCUAUAGCCGCGAGUUCGGUAACCUCGCCCGCUAUGCAACAGAGGAGGUGUCUACUGACGCCAAGAAGCCAGCAAGAUUCCGUAAGGGUCUGAGCCCUGAGCUCCGUCGAGACCUGCGCCUCCAUGAGUGUGCAAGCUUUCAAGCCCUGGUCAACAAAGCGAUCAGUGCGGAGACUGGUCAUACUGACUUCGAAGCCACAAGGAAGCACUCCCGUGACUUUGGCUCGUCUUCUGGUUCCGCGUUUCCAAAACGCAGGCUGUGGGUUCCAAACAGUUCUCUGCCGCCAAGAUACACUCCGAGGCCAUCCUACGUGGCGCCUCAGACGAAUCAGGCCAACCCUCCAGCAAAAGCUUAUGGUGGUCCAGCUAGCAAUGCUGCACCACGUGCCAACCAGGUGAUAUGCUACAAGUGUGGAGAACCAGCGCAUUAUUCCCGUGAGUGUCCUCAGAAUGUGGGUGCCAAGCAACCCGGAAAGUGUGUCGGGCAGGCCAAGUCGGGCAAAGCGUUUUAUGUGAAACCAACUCCUGCACGUGGCCGUGUGAACUAUGUGUCAGCAGAAGAAGCUGCAGAGGAUCCCGACGUCAUGCUGGGUACGCUUCUUGUUAAUCAUCACCCAGCGUCCGUUCUCUUUGACACUGCGUCUUCUCAUUCCUUCAUUUCAAAAAGUUAUGCACAGUUGCAUAACAUGUCAUUUUGUGAUAUGCCAAUCCCAUUGGUUGGCCAAACCCCUAGUAGUAAAUGGCAAACCUCUAGGAUUACCUAUGACAAUGAAAUUCUAGUAGACACGCUAGUUUUUCUAGCCUCAUUGAUAGCGUUGAAAUCUUCGGAUAUUAAUAUCAUCUUGGGCAUGGACUGGAUGUCAGCUCACUAUGCCAAGAUUGAUACUCGCUCUAGAAAUGUCCAGCUUACCCAUCCCUCGGGUGAGAUAGUAAAUGUCUCUACUCGAGUUGCCAAAUGCCAGCUCUAUUCCCUAAAUGCCAACCCUCUUCCGGAACUUGAAGACAUUCCGGUAGUCCGUGACUUCCCGGAUGUUUUUCCAGAGGAACUGCCAGGAAUUCCACCUGACAGAGAUGUAGAGUUUGUGAUAGAUCUUGUUCCGGGAACUGUCCCAAUAGCUAGAAGACCUUAUAAGAUGGCACCCCUGGAGCUAGCCGAACUUAAGAAGCAAUUAGAUGAGGCCUUGAACAAGGGUUUCAUUCGUCCUAGCUCUUCUCCUUGGGCUUGUCCCGUCCUCUUCGUCAAGAAGAAAGACGGAAUGGAUCGGAUGGUUGUAGAUUACCAACCAGUUAACCUGGUCACCAUAAAGAACAAGUAUCCGCUCCCCAGGAUCAACGAUCUGUACGAUCAGCUCGCUGGAUCCUCAGUCUUCUCCAAAAUGGAUUUGAGGUUGGGAUACCAUCAAAUCAAGAUUAAGAACGGGGACAUUCCAAAAACGGCUUUUGUUACUCGUUAUGGCCAAUAUGAGUACACCGUUAUGUCCUUCGGUUUAACCAAUGCCCCAGCCAGCUUCUCUCGACUGAUGAAUUCAAUCUUUAUGGAGUAUUUGGAUAAAUUCGUCGUAGUAUUCCUCGAUGAUAUUCUCAUCUACUCCAAGAAUGAACAAGAACAUGCCGAGCAUCUAAGGCUGGUAUUGAUGAAACUUCGAGAGCAUCGCCUUUAUGCCAAAUUUUCAAAAUGUGAAUUCUGGUUACCAGAAGUGACCUAUCUAGGCCACGUAAUCUCUGGUAAGGGUAUUGUUGUCAAUCCCGAGAGAGUUCAAGCUGUCCUUGAUUGGACUCAACCUGAAUCGGUUAAGCAAGUUAGGAGUUUUCUUGGUCUAGCGAGCUAUUGUCGCCGCUUCGUCGAGAAUUUCUCCAAGGUUGCAAAGCCUCUAACUGAACUCCUCAAGAAGGAUAAAAAGUUCGAGUGGACACCACAGUGUGAGCAUAGUUUUCAGGAACUGAAAAGACGCCUGACUUCCGCACCUGUGUUGCUACCACCAGAUUUUUCUAAGGACUUUGUUAUCUAUUGCGACGCCUCGCGACAAGGAUUAGGUUGCAUUCUCAUGCAAGAUCGUCAUGUGAUCGCAUACGCAUCUCGCCAGUUGCGUCCACAUGAGGAUAAUUAUCCCACACAAGACCUUGAGCUUGCAGCUGUGGUCCAUGCACUAAAAACCUGGCGACAUUACCUUCUGGGUAAUCGUUGCGAAAUAUUCACUGAUCACCAAAGUCUGAAAUAUAUCUUCACCCAGCCGGAUUUGAAUCUCAGGCAAAGACGAUGGGUUGAGUUGAUCUCGGAUUACGACUUAGGGAUAACUUACACCCCGGGGAAGGCCAAUGUUAUGGCCGAUGCACUAAGUCGUAAAUCUUAUUGUAACAAUCUGAUGCUACAACAAGGACAACCACUUCUCCAUGAGGACUUUCGGAAGUCGAAUCUUCAUAUUGUUCCUCAAGGAUUCCUUUCUACCCUGGUGGCGAAGCCUACUCUUAAGGAUCAAAUUAUAGCUGGCCAAAAGCGUGACAAGGGUAUAUCACGGAUCAAGGAGAAUAUUUUUAGCGGAAACGCUAAAGAAUUUUCCAUGAAUGAUCAAGGUGUGGUAUUCUUCCAGAAUCGUUUAGUGGUUCCUAAGAACCCACAUCUAAGGCAGUUAAUCCUUAAGGAGGCUCAUGAUUCCCCUCUCACCAUUCAUCCUGGUAGUACUAAGAUGUAUAAAGACCUACGCCAGAGGUUCUGGUGGACUAGGAUGAAGAGAGAAAUUGCUGAGUUCGUUGCUAACUGCGAUGUUUGUCGUCGAGUUAAGGCAGAACAUCAAAGGCCUGCUGGCACCCUUCAACCUUUAGCUAUUCCUGAAUGGAAAUGGGAUAAAGUUAGCAUGGAUUUCAUUACCGGAUUUCCCAAGACCAAGAAAGGAAAUAAUGCUAUCUUUGUGGUCAUUGACCAUUUUUCCAAAGUGGCUCAUUUUCUUCCUGUUCGUGAGAGUUUAACAGCUAGCCAGCUAGCAGAGUUAUAUAUCUCUCUAAUAGUGUCUCUUCAUGGUGUUCCCCUGGAAAUUAACUCGGACCGUGGAAGUAUCUUCACUUCUCGUUUCUGGGAAAGUUUUCAGAAUGCCAUGGGGACUCACUUAUCUUUUAGCACUGCUUUCCAUCCCCAAUCAAGUGGUCAAGUAGAAAGAGUGAAUCAAAUCCUAGAAGAUAUGCUCCGAGCUUGUGUUAUUUCGUUCGGUAUGAAUUGGGAGAAGUGCCUUCCAUUCGCCGAUUUCGCUUAUAACAACAGUUAUCAAUCAAGCUUGGGCAAAGCCCCUUUUGAAGUUCUCUAUGGACGAAGAUGUCGAACACCUCUUAAUUGGUCAGAAACCGGAGAGAGGCAACUCUUUGGUCCGGACAUGAUCCAGGAUGCAGAAGAGCAGGUUCGCAUUAUUCGUGAAAAGUUGAAAACAGCCCAAUCUCGUCAAAAGAGCCAAUAUGAUCGUCAUCAUAAGGCUGUGACCUUUGAAGUUGACGAGAAGGCUUACCUUCGGGUUACACCUUUGAAGGGUACCCAUCGUUUCGGUAUCAAGGGCAAGUUGGCUCCUCGUUACAUUGGUCCUUUUCGCAUUCUUGCCAAACGAGGAGAAGUUGCCUACCAGUUGGAACUUCCUCCGCAUCUUUCCAAGGUUCAUGAUGUUUUCCACGUCUCGCAACUCAGGCGUUGCUUUUCGGAUCCUAUCCGUGAAGUGGACCACGAAACGCUUGAUCUCCAAGAUAACCUUUCUUACCGAGAAUAUCCCGUGCGUAUUCUUGAUCAAGCUGAGCGUACCACUCGACGUCGAAACCUCAAGUUUCUUAAAGUUCAAUGGUCAAAUCAUUCUGAAAAGGAGGCAACUUGGGAAAGAGAGGAUCGUCUCCGACUCGAAUAUCCUGCGUUAUUCCCGACGACUUCUAAAUCUCGGGACGAGAUUCUUUUGAGUGGGGGUGAGUUGUCACAUCCCUAACCCUUAAGCAAGAUAGCAUUGUGCUCAUGUCUUCUUUGCAUUUGCAUCUAAGAAGUUUCAACAAAAACAACAAAGUGGCAAAGGAGAAACUCAAAACCCUAGCCACCAUUUCAAUUAAAGGAAAUUUCAACUAGUUCAAAAUCAAUGAACCCAAAAUGGCCUCAAGAAAUGUUCAAACUUUCUGAUAAAUCACGAAAGUAAAUGAGCAUUGGAGAAAACUAUUUUCUUGACACUUUAAGCAUUUUAAAUAAAUGCAAAAGCCACUGGUUUCAAAUUUAAAAAUUUGAAAUCAGAAACUAUAAUUUUCCAAAAAUGUUGAAAGUCUUGGAAAUGAGUGGGGAUAUUAUAACAAAUAUUUCAGGAGGUCAAAAUCAGUUUUUACCUUUUGUUUUGGAGCUGAAAUAAUUAGCAAAGCAAUAAACAGCAAAACAGAAAAAACCAAAAAAAGAGAAAAUGGGAAAAGCUUACCUCACGCCCAAGCCAGGCCCAGCCCAUCUCGCCGCUCGUCCCCUUCCCCGCGCCAGUAGGCAGCAGGAGGUGGCCGCCGCCUCCUCCGGCGCGGCCACGCACCUGCGUGCCUGCCUGGUCGCCGGUUCGCGCUGGCGACGACGGGGAUAAGCUCCCCAGAGCCUCCCCUAUCCAUUCCCCGCCUCGGUUCUCCUCCUCCGCCCGGAUCCCCUCCUUCUCCCUGCUGCCGCCAUUAGAGCCGAGCUCGAGCUCGAGCUGGCCGUGCCCCUGGCCAUAGGAUCCCCUCCGCGAGCACGCCAUUAGCUCCGCCUCGUCGCCCUGGUCAUUCCUGCAGAAGGCGAAGCUUCCUCGCGCCCUGCAACGCCCGCAACGCCGUCGUCUUCUUCCUCCGGCCGCCGGACAUCUCCCGUCGAUUCGUCGCCCCCAGGCCUUCCCCGAGCCGUCUGAGCUCUUCUCUGCACUCCCUGUGAGCAUGCGGUGGUUUUCCCUAAGUUUUCCCCGUCGAUCCCCUCCUCUAGCCCUAGUUUCACCGGAGCCCGACGAGCACCGCCGCUGCCGCUCGUCGCCGGUAGCCCUCCGAUGUCCAGCUCGUCCUCCCGAGAGCACCAGCAGCUCCAGGACGACGCGUAGAUGCCGUAGCAGCUAAGAACUAAGCGCGGAUCCCCCUGUUUCAAAGCCCCCGACGACGCCCGAGCUUCGUCCGCCGCUCCGGCUCGUCGCCGACGCCUCUUCCGGCGAACCUAGCCUCCCAAGUUGGUCCUGCCAGAUCGGCCACUUCGCGGGCUUGCUGUAGCUGCCAACCGCGUGCGUUUUCGUGCUGUGCAACGCCGUCUAGAUCGCCUCCGGCGAGCCCUCCGCCGCGGGUUUGGUCGCCGGCGACACCCUCCGGUGGCCGUCGACGUGGCCGACCAUUAGGGCCUAAUCUCCCUCCCCUGAGUCGCUGCCAGAGGGCCCCACGCCUGGACAAACCCCAAUUAGGGGUUGGUCAGUGCGGGAUUAGUCCCAGAGAGGCUGACCAGGGGGACCCCCCUGUCAGGUUUGACCUGCACAGGUCGGCUGACCUGCUGACGUCAGCCUGAUGCAAUAAAUGAAAUUUCCAGUAUAAAAAUAAUUCAGGAAAUUGCUAAAAAUUGCAAAAUUCAUAGAAAUUAAUCUAUAACUCCAAUGAAAAUAAUUUAUAUAUGAAAAAGUAUCAGAAAAAUUCAAGGAUUCUGAUUAUGCUAUUUUCAACUAUGUUUGAAAAAGUUGCAGAACCCUAAAUUGUGAAAUAAGGAAUAAUUCAAUUCUUUUAAUCACUUUAUAAAUGGAAUUUGCAAAAUAUCCAAAUUUCAUUAUAAAUACAAUGAUCACACACUGCCCUAGAUGUAAAUCAGUACCAUAACAUGACAUUUCAUGCAUGUUAACAUUAGGUUGAUCUGAGCAUCAGGUCGAAUCAAUUAAACCGGUAUGCGGGAAUACCCGUUUGAAUUGCUUUUCGAAUGUGAUUCAAAUCAACUCUAAACCUAAAACAUCUUGAUUAUAAUAACUUAUCACCUGCAUUCUCAUGCCUUGCUCAUGCAUCAUUUUGAUUGCAUAUGAUUGUUAUUGAAUGUUGCCAUUCCUUUCGGUAGGCUCCGCACCCCCGGAUUCCACCGAAUAUCCGUCUGACGGAUAUCAUUCCUCCUCUCAGCAACAAGGCAAGCAACCCUUUUGAUCAUCCCGAUAACACCUAUGUUCUUGCUCCUGCACCUAUUUAUUGCAUUAGGAUCAAAUGCUUCAAUUGCUUUUGCCACGAUAGUUGGACCCACUUCCUUUGCAUGACUUAACCUUGUCACAGUAAAUAGCCGAACCUUGCAACCUAGCAUACCUGGUAGUUCCUUGAGCUCUAAUGUGCCUUAUCCUGCCAUGCAUGCUAUGCUUAGAGUUGUGUAUGGUCUGUCAUCUGGGAGAUGAACAGAAAUGUGGAAUGUGUUCGGUGAGCAAAGGUCGUGUGUUGAAUUUGAUUUGGUAAAGGUACCGGUGAAAGGCUGUGUAGGAGUACAUGGCGGGUUGUUUCAUUGGAACCGUCCUUAGGAACUGAGUUCCGUGUAUGUAAUCCAAGACUAGAUACUACCACAUGCUGGGCCCUGAAAUAUGACCCCGCUCGGCCUAUUAAUCGCUUAGUACUCGGUCCAGGAGUUGCAAGUAGUUUCUGGUGUUUAUAGUAAUGCUGGAGGCCGUGCAUGGUGCUGACCUGAGAGGUGGACCGUGAUGCGGUAGGUAGUGGCACCCGGAUGGUGGGCUUGGGAACCCUGCGCACAACGUUUGAGGCCGUGGCGGAAACCUCGGCCGGACUUCCGUACGGGUUACUCUCAGAUAGGCGAUAAACCUGGACUAGGUACUAGUGUGGUUAACGGUCGUGGCCGACUCCGUCGCUGGGCUUCCGCUUGAAGGUUGCCGAGGUGCAUGACGUGCACAUGUCGAUAAGUGGCGGAAGCGUGUGUGACGAAGUACACCCUUGCAGGGUUAUGAUCUAUUCGAAUAGCCGCGCCCACGGAUAUGGACUACUUGGAGACAUAUGUUGUUCAUAGAUAACUUCAAUGGCUACUCACAAAAUUGUCAAGAUAAGCUUGAGUGUCGUGGACGGUAUUUCCGUAUGGAGACGGAAUGAUUCCACGAUAGUGUAUUGUUGUGGUGUUAGUGGACUCGUGUGCGAGAAAUCAAGUUGUCAAAACUAAUUUCAAAAAGCAAGUUGUCUAGCCACGAGUCAAAUGCUGGCUUUCCGCAUGAAAUCCCACAAUACCUUCUUGAUACCUUGCAUGAGUAGUUAGUCAUCCUAAAGUCUUGCUGAGUACCUUCGUACUCAUGUUUUCUUAAUAAAUGUUGCAGAGAUUGUUAAUGACCCUAAUGGAGGGUUCUUCGUAGACAUCGACGACGACGAGUAGCUGGUGUCCCAGCUACGAUCUGGCCCUACGUCGACUCUGUAGUAUAGUCAGGCCAUGUGCCUUCUAGUUGCUCUGUCGGUACCCAGACAGUUUAUAACUCUUCCGCUAGCUUGUAUUGUAUGACUGCUAUUAUGGGUCGUGAGACCCUUAAUGUGUAAUAAUAUGUGUGUGGCUCUUCCGAGCCUCUUAAAUAAAGCUUGUAUGUUUAUGGUUAUGUUGUGAUGCCAUCGAUGUAUCUAUACAUAUCGGUAUGCCAUGCAUACGUGUGUCUUACUUGAUAUGUAUGGGGUUCGAAUACCUAGUCGUGAACUUUAGUAGCACUCCUUACAAGGAAAUGCCCCUUUGUGAUCCAACGAGCCUUGGUAGUUCGCUACUGCUCCGGACACAUUGGUUGACCGGCAUGUGUCCUUCUUAGAUGCUGUGUCUGUCCCCUUUGGGGAAAUGUCACGCGACGUAAUGGAGUCCUUGUAGCUUGCUACGACUCGUCUACGUUCGUUGAUGACCGACACCGGCUUUGUUGGGUCAUGUAUGCCUGUCCUUGUGUGGAACUGCCACUUUGGUUUAUGACUAGACAUGUCGAUCCGGGUUCUUUGACAUUGGAAUGCUUGCGACACUAUCGCAUACGUGAGUCAAAAGACGCAAACGGUCCCGGCUAAGGUAAGGCUGCAACCGUGGAGUUAACCGUGCGUGAGACCACAAAGGGAUGCGAUGUGUUACAGGCUGGAUUCCUAUGGCUUAAGAUCGGGGUCCCGACAGCGUUGGUAUCAGAGCCUGACUGACUGUAGGAUUACUAAGCCAAACUGGUCGAAGUUGAGUCUAGAAUUGCUUUAGUUAUAUAUAAGGGAAUUGUUUGUGGAAGGGAACGUAACACUCUUGUUCUCUUCUCAAGAUAUUCUAUUCUGGUCAUCCUCGUCUUUUCUGCGGGAAUUAAGGACUAGGUUACUCAUCUUCUCCUAGGCUCAGAUUUUUGAUCGGUAGAUUAUAGGACUAAGGGUCGAGAGAUGUUGGGUUUCUUUUAUUCCUGGGAAGCAGGAAGUAAGUUUGAUGAUCAGAGAGUUGAACUUGAUAGUUGAGUGGUGACGCUAUUUCAUUUUGGGUUGUCUCAAAAUUUGUUUUGAACAUUUACAGCUGUUAUGCUGCCCAAUUUUUCAUUCAGAGCUCUAAUGCUUUUUGCAUUACUCUCUAUUUACAGAUGCCUGGCCGUCCUUCUCGUCAGGUGGUACGUUUGACCAGGUGCAUUGAUGUACCGGGUCAUAUGGCCAUGCUGGUCAGGGUGAUGUCGGUGUGCGGUUACCGCUGGUACCCCGAGUACACGGUAGAGGAACAGUACCGAGACUUCAACCAGAGCCAGUACAUCUGCACUGUUAGGGUAUUUCCAGAUUACCCUGGAGCGGAGAAGCCAAUCCAUUGGUCAUAUGGGUUGGGAGUCACUGUUGACAUGGCAGUACAAGAUGAUGCCUAUUCAAUGCUGACUAUCAUGAGAGCGAGACAUGCAUUGCUGCAGAAUUCAGAGUUCUGCUAUGUUCCGGCCUCUCAGUCUGGCGAAGAGGGAUACCUCAGUGGAGUCUAUUUUGAUUCCUCUAUGGAGGACCCACUUCUGCAGUCCACUGUUGAGAUGCUAGAGAACAGAGACAAGGAUGCUCGUGCUCUCCGCAUGGAGCUUUAUGCUACCCAUGCCCGUCUGUGGACAGCUUUGACGCAGCUGGCACCGGUAGUCCAGACAGGGUAUGGAGAGAUGGAGAUGCUGAACCCUGUUAGGACCCAUCUUCCGACUCAUGUUGACUGGCCAGCUAUAGGAGGAGUCACACCUCUUCGGGGACCCCUCUUACCACAAGUCAGGGGACCAAGGCCACAUCCGUGUCCUUAUGGAUCCCAGGGAUCUCAGGCUAGAGUGUUUCCUCAUCCGCAGGUUGAGCUUCCAGGUCAUGGAGGUAAUCUCUAUGAGAUGUUCUAUGCGGAUGCCUGAGCUAUGAGCGGAAGGAUAGUAUGGUAGUAGCCCUAUGUUCAAGUCCUGCGUGACUUGUGUAGUAUGGUUGUAAUGUGAAACGAAUUCCGGAGGCCUAGAUAAAUAAUGUAUAGGAAGCUUGUACGCCUCUGAUGAGUAGUUCCACCAUUUCGGUAGUUUGCUCUUCGAGUAAGUUUGUACUGAACUAUGUAAGGGUGUGUAUGAACCAUGGUGUAUAUAUAGCAGUUGCUUGUUACCAUGUUGUUCGGAUAUUCAUUUCCGCAUUCCGUGUGUUCAGUACAUUCUUAAUCCAUAGAUAGUUUUGAUAUGAUUUUGGUCUAAGCUAUGAGUUUGUUUGUCAGGAUGGUGUUCACCAGGUUGAACCGUGCCCCUGCUCAUGAGCAAGGUGAGGGUAGUCAAGCGUCGCAGGAAGACCUGCCUCACCCACCUUCUCUGGUAGAAGUGAUGCUUGAGGCAGAAAGAAACAAAAGGGAGACCAACCGACUGCUAGAGCGUAUUGAGCAGAAUACGGCUCGACAGCCUAGGAAUGCUGCAGUGUCCCUCGAUGACUUUCUGAAGCUGAAUCCUCCAAAGUUUCAUCAUUCCAUCGAUCCCCUCGACGCUGAUGACUGGCUGUGCAGCAUUUCACACAAGAUUCGCUCUGCGAAUGUGUUUGAGGCCGACAAGGUGACCUUUGCGGCGUAUUUCCUGGAGGGACCCGCCAAUCUAUGGUGGGAGAAUUUUGAAGCUAUGCGUCCCGCUGAACCAGUGGCCACAUGGGCAGACUUCAGCGCAGCUUUUCGUCUGCACCAUAUUCCAGAGGGCCUGAUGGACAGAAAGAGAGAGGAGUUAUGUGCCUUCACUCAGGGCAAGUUGUCUGUGGAUGCCUAUAGCCGCGAGUUCGGUAACCUCGCCCGCUAUGCAACAGAGGAGGUGUCUACUAACGCAGAGAAGCAAGAAAGAUUCCGUAAGGGUCUGAGCCCUGAGCUCCGUCGAGACCUGCGCAUCCAUGAGUGUGCAAGCUUUCAAGCCCUGGUCAACAAAGCGAUCAGUGCGGAGACUGGUCAUACUGACUUCGAAGCCACAAGGAAGCACUCCCGUGACUUUGGCUCGUCUUCUGGUUCCGCGUUUCCAAAACGCAGGCUGUGGGUUCCAAACAGUUCUCUGCCGCCAAGAUACACUCCGAGGCCAUCCUACGUGGCGCCUCAGACGAAUCAGGCCAACCCUCCAGCAAAAGCUUAUGGUGGUCCAGCUAGCAAUGCUGCACCACGUGCCAACCAGGUGAUAUGCAACAAGUGUGGAGAACCAGGGCAUUAUUCCCGUGAGUGUCCUCAGAAUGUGGGUGCCAAGCAACCCGGAAAGUCUGUCGGGCAGGCCAAGUCGGGCAAAGCGUUUUAUGUGAAGCCAACUCCUGCACGUGGCCGUGUGAACUAUGUGUCAGCAGAAGAAGCUGCAGAGGAUCCCGACGUCAUGCUGGGUACGCUUCUUGUUAAUCAUCACCCAGCGUCCGUUCUCUUUGACACUGGGUCUUCUCAUUCCUUCAUUUCAGAAAGUUAUGCACAGUUGCAUAACAUGUCAUUUUGUGAUAUGCCAAUCCCAUUGGUUGUCCAAACCCCUAGUAGUAAAUGGCAAACCUCUAGGAUAACCUAUGACAAUGAAAUUCUAGUAGACAUGCUAGUUUUUCUAGCCUCAUUGAUAGCGUUGAAAUCUUCGGAUAUUAAUAUCAUCUUGGGCAUGGACUGGAUGUCAGCUCACUAUGCCAAGAUUGAUACUUGCUCUAGAAAUGUCCAGCUUACCCAUCCCUCGGGUGAGAUAGUAAAUGUCUCUACUCGAGUUGCCAAAUGCCAGCUCUAUUCCCUAAAUGCCAACCCUCUUCCGGAACUUGAAGACAUUCCGGUAGUCCGUGACUUCCCGGAUGUUUUUCCAGAGGAACUGCCAGGAAUUCCACCUGACAGAGAUGUAGAGUUUGUGAUAGAUCUUGUUCCGGGAACUGUCCCAAUAGCUAGAAGACCUUAUAAGAUGGCACCCCUGGAGCUAGCCGAACAUAAGAAGCAAUUAGAUGAGGCCUUGAACAAGGGUUUCAUUCGUCCUAGCUCUUCUCCUUGGGCUUGUCCCGUCCUCUUCGUCAAGAAGAAAGACAGAACGGAUCGGAUGGUUGUAGAUUACCGACCAGUUAACCUGGUCACCAUAAAGAACAAGUAUCCGCUCCCCAGGAUCAACGAUCUGUACGAUCAGCUCGCUGGAUCCUCAGUCUUCUCCAAAAUGGAUUUUAGGUUGGGAUACCAUCAAAUCAAGAUUAAGAACGGGGACAUUCCAAAAACGGCUUUUGUUACUCGUUAUGGCCAAUAUGAGUACACCGUUAUGUCCUUCGGUUUAACCAAUGCCCCAGCCACCUUCUCUCGGCUGAUGAAUUCAAUCUUUAUGGAGUAUUUGGAUAAAUUCGUCGUAGUAUACCUCGAUGAUAUUCUCAUCUACUCCAAGAAUGAACAUGAACAUGCCGAGCAUCUAAGGCUGGUAUUUUCAAAAUGUGAAUUCUGGUUACCAGAAGUGACCUAUCUAGGCCACGUAAUCUCUGGUAAGGGUAUUGCUGUCAAUCCCGAGAGAGUUCAAGCUGUCCUUGAUUGGACUCAACCUGAAUCGGUUAAGCAAGUUAGGAGUUUUCUUGGUCUAGCGAGCUAUUGUCGCCGCUUCGUCGAGAAUUUCUCUAAGGUUGCAAAGCCUCUAACUGAACUCCUCAAGAAGGAUAAAAAGUUCGAGUGGACACCACAGUGUGAGCAUAGUUUUCAGGAACUGAAAAGACGCCUGACUUCCGCACCUGUGUUGCUACCACCAGAUUUUUCUAAGGACUUUGUUAUCUAUUGCGACGCCUCGCGACAAGGAUUAGGUUGCAUUCUCAUGCAAGAUCGUCAUGUGAUCGCAUACGCAUCUCGCCAGUUGCGUCCACAUGAGGAUAAUUAUCCCACACAUGACCUUGAGCUUGCAGCUGUGGUCCAUGCACUAAAAACCUGGCGAGAUUACCUUUUGGGUAAUCGUUGCGAAAUAUUCACUGAUCACCAAAGUCUGAAAUAUAUCUUCACCCAGCCGGAUUUGAAUCUCAGGCAAAGACGGUGGGUUGAGUUGAUCUCGGAUUACGACUUAGGGAUAACUUACACCCCGGGGAAGGCCAAUGUUAUGGCCGAUGCACUAAGUCGUAAAUCUUAUUGUAACAAUCUGAUGCUACAACAAGGACAACCACUUCUCCAUGAGGACUUUCGGAAGUUGAAUCUUCAUAUUGUUCCUCAAGGAUUCCUUUCUACCCUGGUGGCGAAGCCUACUCUUAAGGAUCAAAUUAUAGCUGGCCAAAAGCGUGACAAGGGUAUAUCACGGAUCAAGGAGAAUAUUUUUAGCGGAAACGCUAAAGAAUUUUCCAUGAAUGAUCAAGGUGUGGUAUUCUUCCAGAAUCGUUUAGUGGUUCCUAAGAACCCACAUCUAAGGCAGUUAAUCCUUAAGGAGGCACAUGAUUCCCCUCUCACCAUUCAUCCUGGUAGUACUAAGAUGUAUCAGGACCUACGCCAGAGGUUCUGGUGGACUAGGAAGAAGAGAGAAAUUGCUGAGUUCGUUGCUAACUGCGAUGUUUGUCGUCGAGUUAAGGCAGAACAUCAAAGGCCUGUGGGCACCCUUCAACCUUUAGCUAUUCCUGAAUGGAAAUGGGAUAAAGUUAGCAUGGAUUUCAUUACCGGAUUUCCCAAGACCAAGAAAGGAAAUAAUGCUAUCUUUGUGGUCAUUGACCGUUUUUCCAAAGUGGCUCAUUUUCUUCCUAUUCGUGAGAGUAUAACAGCUAGCCAGCUAGCAGAGUUAUAUAUCUCUCGAAUAGUGUCUCUUCAUGGUGUUCCCCUGGAAAUUAACUCGGACCGUGGAAGUAUCUUUACUUCUCGUUUCUGGGAAAGUUUUCAGAAUGCCAUGGGGACUCACUUAUCUUUUAGCACUGCUUUCCAACCCCAAUCAAGUGAUCAAGUAGAAAGAGUGAACCAAAUCCUAGAAGAUAUGCUCCGAGCUUGUGUUAUUUCGUUCGGUAUGAAUUGGGAGAAGUGCUUUCCAUUCGCCGAAUUCGCUUAUAACAACAGUUAUCAAUCAAGCUUGGGCAAAGCCCCUUUUGAAGUUCUCUAUGGACGAAGAUGUCGAACACCUCUUAAUUGGUCAGAAACCGGAGAGAGGCAACUCUUUGGUCCGGACAUGAUCCAGGAUGCAGAAGAGCAGGUUCGCAUUAUUCGUGAAAAGUUGAAAACAGCCCAAUCUCGUCAAAAGAGCCAAUAUGAUCGUCAUCAUAAGGCUGUGACCUUUGAAGUUGACGAGAAGGCUUACCUUCGGGUUACACCUUUGAAGGGUACCCAUCGUUUCGGUAUCAAGGGCAAGUUGGCUCCUCGUUACAUUGGUCCUUUUCGCAUUCUUGCCAAACGAGGAGAAGUUGCCUACCAGUUGGAACUUCCUCCGCAUCUUUCCAAGGUUCAUGAUGUUUUUUUACGUCUCGCAACUCAGGCGUUGCUUUUCGGAUCCUAUCCGUGAAGUGGACCACGAAACGCUUGAUCUCCAAGAUAACCUUUCUUACCGAGAAUAUCCCGUGCGUAUUCUUGAUCAAGCUGAGCGUACCACUCGACGUCGAAACCUCAAGUUUCUUAAAGUUCAAUGGUCAAAUCAUUCUGAAAAGGAGGCAACUUGGGAAAGAGAGGAUCGUCUCCGACUCGAAUAUCCUGCGUUAUUCCCGACGACUUCUAAAUCUCGAGACAAGAUUCUUUUGAGUGGGGGUGAGUUGUCACAUCCCUAACCCUUAAGCAAGAUAGCAUUGUGCUCAUGUAUUCUUUGCAUUUGCAUCUAAGAAGUUUCAACAAAAACAACAAAGUGGCAAAGGAGAAACUCAAAACCCUAGCCACCAUUUCAAUUAAAGGAAAUUUCAACUAGUUCAAAAUCAAUGAACACAAAAUGGCCUCAAGAAAUGUUCAAACUUUCUGAUAAAUCAUGAAAGUAAAUGAGCAUUGGAGAAAACUAUUUUCUUGACACUUUAAGCAUUUUAAAUAAAUGCAAAAGCCACUGGUUUCAAAUUUAAAAAUUUGAAAUCAGAAACUAUAAUUUUCCAAAAAUGUUGGAAGUCUUGGAAAUGAGUGGGGAUAUUAUAACAAAUAUUUCAGGAGGUCAAAAUUAGUUUUUACCUUUUGUUUUGGAGCUGAAAUAAUUAGCAAAGCAAUAAACAGCAAAACAGAAAAAACCAAAAAAAGAGAAAAUGGGAAAAGCUUACCUGACGCCCAAGUCAGGCCCAGCCCAUCUCGCCGCUCGUCCCCUUCCCCGCGCCAGUAGGCAGCAGGAGGUGGCCGCCGCCUCCUCCGGCGCGGCCACGCACCUGCGUGCCUGCCUGGCCGCCGGUUCGAGCUGGCGACGACGGGGAUAAGCUCCCCAGAGCCUCCCCUAUCCAUUCCCUGCCUCGGUUCUCCUCCUCCGCCCGGAUCCCCUCCUUCUCCCUGCUGUCGCCAUUAGAGCCGAGCUCGAGCUCGAGCUGGCCGUGCCCCUGGCCAUAGGAUCCCCUCCGCAAGCACGCCAUUAGCUCCGCCUCGUCGCCCUGGUCAUUCCUGCAGAAGUCGAAGCUUCCUCGCGCCCUGCAACGCCCGCAACGCCGUCGUCUUCUUCCUCCGGCCGCCGGACAUCUCCCGUCGAUUCGUAGCCCCCAGGCCUUCCCCGAGCCGUCUGAGCUCUUCUCUGCACUCCCUGUGAGCAUGCGGUGGUUUUCCCUAAGUUUUCCCCGUCGAUCCCCUCCUCUAGCCCUAGUUUCACCGGAGCCCGACGAGCACCGCCGCUUCCGCUCGUCGCCGGUAGCCCUCCGAUGUCCAGCUCGUCCUCCCGAGAGCACCAGCAGCUCCAGGACGACGCGUAGAUGCCGUAGCAGCUAAGAACUAAGCGCGGAUCCCCCUGUUUCAAAGCCCCCGACGACGCCCGAGCUUCGGCCGCCGCUCCGGCUCGUCGCCGACGCCUCUUCCGGCGACCCUAGCCUCCCAAGUUGGUCCUGCCAGAUCGGCCACUUCGCGGGCUUGCUGUAGCUGCCAACCGCGUGCGUUUUCGUGCUGUGCAGCGCCGUCUAGAUCGCCUCCGGCGAGCCCUCCGCCGCGGGUUUGGUCGCCGGCGACCACCCUCCGGUGGCCGUCGACGUGGCCGACCAUUAGGGCCUAAUCGCCCUCCCCUGAGUCGCUGCCAGAGGGCCCCACGCCUGGUCCAACCCCAAUUAGGGGCUGGUCAGCGCGGGAUUAGUCCCAUAGAGGCUGACCAGUGGGGCCCCCCUGUCAGGUUUGACCUGCACAGGUCGGCUGACCUACUGACGUCAGCCUUAUGCAAUAAAUAAAAUUUCCAGUAUAAAAAUAAUUCAGGAAAUUGCUAAAAAUUGCAAAAUUCAUAGAAAUUAAUCUGUAACUCCAAUGAAAAUAAUUUAUAUAUGAAAAAGUAUCAGAAAAAUUCAAGGAUUCUGAUUAUGCUAUUUUCAACUAUGUUUGAAAAAGUUACAGAACCCUAAAUUGUGAAAUAAGGAAUAAUUCAAUUCUUUUAAUCACUUUAUAAAUGGAAUUUGCAAAAUAUCCAAAUUUCAUUAUAAAUACAAUGAUCACACACUGCCCUAGAUGUAAAUCAGUACCAUAACAUGACAUUUCAUGCAUGUUAACAUUAGGUUGAUCUGAGCAUCAGGUCGAAUCAAUUAAACCGGUAUCCGGGAAUACCCGUUUGAAUUGCUUCUCGAAUGUGAUUCAAAUCAACUCUAAACCUAAAACAUCUUGAUUAUAAUAACUUAUCACCUGCAUUCUCAUGCCUUGCUCAUGCAUCAUUUUGAUUGCAUAUGAUUGUUAUUGAAUGUUGCCAUUCCUUUCGGUAGGCUCCGCACCCCCGGAUUCCACCGAAUAUCCGUCUGACGGAUAUCGUUCCUCCUCUGAGCAACAAGGCAAGCAACCCUUUUGAUCAUCCCGAUAACACCUAUGUUCUUGCUCCUGCACCUAUUUAUUGCAUUAGGAUCAAAUGCUUCAAUUGCUUUUGCCACGAUAGUUGGACCCACUUCCUUUGCAUGUCUUAACCUUGUCACAGUAAAUAGCCGAACCUUGCAACCUAGCAUACCUGGUAGUUGCUUGAGCUAUAAUGUGCCUUAUCCUGCCAUGCAUGCUAUGCUUAGAGUUGUGUAUGGUCUGUCAUCUGGGAGAUGAACAGAAAUGUGGAAUGUGUUCGGUGAGCAAAGGUCGUGUGUUGAACUUGAUUUGGUAAAGGUACCGGUGAAAGGCUGUGUAGGAGUACAUGGCGGGUUGUUUCAUUGGAACCGUCCUUAGGAACUGAGUUCCGUGUAUGUAAUCCAAGACUGGAUACUACCACAUGCUGGGCCCUGAAAUAUGACCCCGCUCGGCCUAUUAAUCGCUUAGUACUCGGUCCAGGAGUUGCAAGUAGUUUCUGGUGUUUAUAGUAAUGCUGGAGGCCGUGCAUGGUGCUGACCUGAGAGGUGGACCGUGAUGCGGUAGGCAGUGGCACCCGGAUGGUGGGCUUGGGAACCCUGCGCACAUCGUUUGAGGCCGUGGCGGAAACCUCGGCCGGACUUCCGUACGGGUUACUCUCAGAUAGGCGAUAAACCUGGACUAGGUACUAGUGUGGUUAACGGUCGUGGCCGACUCCCUCGCUGGGCUUCCGCUUGAAGGUUGCCGAGGUGCAUGACGUGCACAUGGCGAUAAGUGGCGGAAGCGUGUGUGACGAAGUACACCCCUGCAGGGUUAUGAUCUAUUCGAAUAGCCGCGUCCGCGGAUAUGGACUACUUGGAGACAUAUGUUGUUCAUAGAUAACUUCAAUGGCUACUCACAAAAUUGUCAAGAUAAGCUUGAGUGUCGUGGACGGCAUUUCCAUAUGGAGACGGAAUGAUUCCACGAUAGUGUAUUGUUGUGGUGUUAGUGGACUCGUGUGCGAGAAAUCAAGUUGUCAAAACUAAUUUCAAAAAGCAAGUUGUCUAGCCACGAGUCAAAUGCUGGCUUUCCGCAUGAAAUCCCACAAUACCUUCUUGAUACCUUGCAUGAGUAGUUAGUCAUCCUAAAGUCUUGCUGAGUACCUUCGUACUCAUGUUUGCUUAAUAAAUGUUGCAGAGAUUGUUAAUGACCCUAAUGGAGGGUUCUUCGUAGACAUCGACGACGACGAGUAGCUGGUGUCCCAGCUACGAUCUGGCCCUACGUCGGCUCUGUAGUAUAGUCAGGCCAUGUGCCUUCUAGUUGCUCUGUCUGUACCCAGACAGUUUAUAACUCUUCCUCUGGCUUGUAUUGUAUGACUGCUAUUCUGGGUCGUGAGACCCUUAAUGUGUAAUAAUAUGUGUGUGGCUCUUCCGAGCCUCUUAAAUAAAGCUUGUAUGUUUAUGGUUAUGUUGUGAUGCCAUCGAUGUAUCUAUACAUAUCGGUAUGCCAUGCGUACGUGUGUCUUACUUGAUAUGUAUGGGGUUCGAAUACCUAGUCGUGAACUUUAGUAGCACUCCUUACAAGGAAAUGCCCCUUUGUGAUCCAACGAGCCUUGGUAGUUCGCUACUGCUCCGGACACAUUGGUUGACCGGCAUGUGUCCUUCUUAGCUGCUGUGUCUGUCCCCUUUGGGGAAAUGUCACGCGACGUAAUGGAGUCCUUGUAGCUUGCUACGACUCAUCUACGUUCGUUGAUGACCGACACCGGCUUUGUUGGGUCAUGUAUGCUUGUCCUUGUGCGGAACUGCCACUUUGGUUUAUGACUAGACAUGUCGAUCCGGGUUCUUUGACAUUCGAAUGGUAGCGACACUAUCGCAUACGUGAGUCAAAAUACGCAAACGGUCCAGGCUAAGGUAAGGCUGCAGCCGUGGAGUUAACCGUGUGUGAGACCACAAAGGGAUGCGAUGUGUUACAGGCUGGAUUCCUAUGGCUUAAGAUCGGGGUCCCGACAAAACGGGGCUCCGAUCCGUCGACGUUUGACUCCGGUAGGAGGAGAUGAAGUUGGCUCUCUUCUAUGUUGAGGAGGUUAACAGAGACUCUCUGUUGUGUUCUCUGUUGUGUGUUAACAGAGAGAGAUGAGAGUGUGGGAGUUAAAUACAAUAAAAACAAAUGAUGUAUUCCAUAUAUAUGAAUGUAUGUAUGUAUGAGAUGCGAUGUAUGUAUUGCGUAUAUAGGUAUUUGGAGGAAUACGAUAUUUGCAUGUUUAUAUCUAUGAAUAAAAUCGAGUAUUUGGCCUAAGGUCACUUACCGGUGGGGCCAACGCACCCGCUGUCUAUGACAGGGAGGCCCCACGCGAUAAUUAAAAAAAUAAAGAUAAUGUUAAUGUUUUUAUUAAAUAAAUAAAUAGAUAUAUAUUAGUUAAAUUAAUUAAUUGGAUCUUUAGGAUAAUUGGAGUAUGACACGUGGGUCACCCACUAAAUUAAUCUGAUUAAUUAAUAUUUAAUCUAUAUUAAAACUUGUGGCUGUGACGUUCGGGACCCGUUGGUCAGUUGACCAGUCAACUGUUGAUGUCAGCAUGCCAUCAUGCUGAUGUCAUAAUAGAUUUUUAUUAAAUUAUUCAAAUUUGUUUUUAAUUCCUAAUUAUUGAAUAAAACAUUAAAAAUUAAUAUUAAAUAAUCCGUAAGUCAGAUCAAAAUAUUUUCAACAUGAAAGUUGAUGAGCAGAACGAGACGAACCCGGAUACACGGUCCAUUCAUCUGUGACGCGUCCCUAGCAUAGCAAACAUGGAACUUUUCUAUCGUUUCCAAUCUGACCGGUAGUAGCCCGAGACCUGGAAAAUAUCGUCAGAUAAUCUUCUGACCCGUCUAUGACGGAUGUUGCUGCAUUAGCUCAUGUCUAGCCUGCAUCUUGCCAUGUCAUGCUUUGUGUUGCACCGUUGCUAUUAUUUAUUGUUUCUUCCCCCUCUUCUUAUGGGUAGACCCCGAGACUGACGCUGCUGCUGGGAACAUCUACGACCCUGCCGAUCAGUCCUUUGCCGCAGAGCAGCAAGGCAAGCAAACCCCCCUUGAUCAUUCCUAUAUCGCUUAUGUCUUUCUUCCUACUGCUUGCAUUAGUAUUUUGCUACUGUUGUAGUUAGCUCCUAUAUCUGAUGCAUAGCCUAUUUUUUAUGAACUGCUACUUUCAGUCCUGUACCUUUAAUAUGCCUAGUAUAGGUGGAGCAGUCAUCCCCUAUUACCCCGUAGUUCAGUUGCCCCGCUUGUUUUCAAAUCUCGAUCUCUAAUCGACGAGCCAGACCCGACACAGCACAUUCACCCCCUUCGUUGUACGACGCUACACAGAUACUAUCGGGUACCGAGGGUGACACCUCGCUAAGUACUCGUGAUGAUAUCUCUGUAGUAUAGCUAGUCGGUCGUGGUUAUCGAGGGUGAUUCCUCUUUCACCAUUCCCGAUGAAGCCUCUGUCGUGCAACCCCUCAAGUGUGGGACCCUCGAGGGUGAUUCCUCUAAGUCCACCUUUAAAUUCCCGGGUACAUCGUUCGGAGUCCAACGAGGGUGAUACCUCGGAUUCCCCCUGAUGUUACAGCCACACAGUUACUCGACCAUGUUACUGGGAUCAUUGGUGAUUAGUUGUAAGACGGGUGGAUUCCCGUGAGACUAUGUUGGCCUAUUUAAAAUGUUAAUGGAUUUGGGUAUUUGAUCUGGGUUGGUCGGAGACCUUUUCGCACUAACCGGCUACGCGGGAAGAAUUAUGGGUACUCGGCGUCGCGGUAUCAGCCGAAGCUUUUCAGAUGCCAGCAAUGUAGCGGCGCACGCCCGAGUGGUCCCGAGAUGCAUCGCUCUUGUGAUUAAGGGAUGCUAAGACUGACGUCGGCCGCCCACGCCACGUGCAGGAGCGCGAAGGGGAACUGGGCCCACGAACCCUUUGUGCUUAGGAGUUAGACCGGCGGGCUGGCCUCUCUGAUUAGUCUUAGGUGGGGCUGCGACGUGUCUAUAUUCCGAGGCCGGGCAGGACCCAGAAAAGUAUGUCCGGCCAGAGUGUUAUCGGGCAUGACGGGACAUGUGGUGCACCCCUGCAGGGAUGAAAGUUAACUAUUCGGAUAGCCGUGUCCACGGUUAUAGGACGACUUGGAGUCGUGCCCCGAUCUUUGACAACUACAAUUGUUACAUAACAAGAUCAUUAGUUUGCCUCGUGAUUGCUUCCUCGCAGCGAGUCCAGGGAGGAUCUUUAGGCGUGACCUCACUUCAAUAUUGCUGCAACAAUAUGACUAUUAAUGUGUUACCCCUGUUCUACUCUCGUGUAUUGCUGCAAGACCCUGAAGAUGCUAGUCUUCGAUAGGACUAGGCCUUCUCUCUCUAUUCUCGCAUUGCUGCAGUCAGUCCACAUAUAACCCCCCCUUCUUUGAUACUGAUGCAUAAUUAGAAUAGUUAUGAUGUAAGACUUGCGAGUACUUUGGAUGAGUACUCACCGCUGCUUUGCUCUCCCCUUGUCCCCUUGAUCCGUUUGCUGCGACCAGAUGAUGGAGCCCAGGAGAUGGAGUUUUUCCUGCCGACGCCUGUCGUCCCGAUGGUGUCUUCUACGUGGAGGCCGCUCAAGAUAGGAGUAGUUUAGGAGGUUCCCAGGCAGGAGGCCUCGCCUCGUUCGAUCGUGUUUCUUUUGUGCUAGCCUUCUCUAAGGCACCCCUUGUUUUAUAUCUGUACUCAGAUAUUGUUGCUUCCGCUGACUCGUGUGUUUAUCGAGCUUUCGUAUUCUAGCCCUCGAGGCCCCUGGCUUGUAAUAUGAAUCUGAUGUUAUUUUAUUUGUGUCUAGAGUUGUGUUGUGAUAUCUUCCCGUGAGUCCUUGGGUUUGAUCGUACGCAUUUGCGUGUAUGGUUAGCGUACGAUUAAAUUGAGGGCGUCACAAGUUGGUAUCAGAGCCGACUGCCUCUAGGUAGUCCCCUUUCCAACUCCUUGGCCGAAGUUGAGUCUAGUGUUUGAAAAACUUUACUAACACUUAUGUUGUGGCUUACGGGCCCACAUCUCAAUUGGGUGGUAUUAGUAUCUUUUACUCCUUUCCUAUACUCUGGGAUCUACUCUCUCUUCUCUUUCGGGAUAAAGAUUUUGCUAACUCUAACAUUAGGUUCUCGUAAAUACUUCCUCCCGAAGAGCCCCGUAUUCCAGACGCUGGCUUUAUCCCUCAGAAGAACUGCAGUUACUCUUCGAUGUUCUCUUGAGCUGUUGUGCUCAUUGUUUCUGCAAUUUUCCCUUCCUUCGUCAACCACUAUGGAUGACUACAUGCAAAUGUCGUUCAUACUUUCUUCUCCAAUUGCUCUUGUUUACGAGAUGCAAUGAAUUAUUUUAUCGGGGAUUCGUCCAUCAUCAGUUGUCAUGGGUUUAGAAAGUUCUUCGACUUACUAUUCGGUCUUCGGAAAUCCUCCGUAGCCUAACGUUCAUGACCUUUCUCACCUGCUUGCAUUAUAGUUAAAUCCACAUGUCUAGCAGCAUUCAUUAAAAUCCUUUGUGAUUUUCCUGUGAUCUUAUUGAUUCUACCUUUCUGUGAAUGCACACGAUCAUCUGUUGUGGCUCGUAAAUUAUCUAUCGGCUCAGACGUCCUUCCAGACCGAGUUGGUUCUCGACAAAUCAAUUUUUAUUGAUUGUCCAUCUAAAUCUAUUCAACUUACUUGUAUUUGAUCGGAGGAUCUGAUUAUGAUACACCAACCUAGAAAUCAUAAUUCCUUUGGUGAUUAAGUAUCGAUAUUUUUCAGAUGUUCUAUAAUCCGAUGCCUUGCGUUUUACCCCCUAUGAUUGAGUACCGGUACUCACAUCAAAUCAUUUGUGGAUUGCCACACUCAUUUGGGUUAUUAUCCGACGUCAUCCUUUGCUUUAGAAAAUUCUUGUGAUUGCUUCCCAUGACACAUGAUGCCAUUGGUAAAUUGUGUCUUCUCCCUUUGAUAAGUUGUACCAUAUGAUUUGUCAGCCAUGCCCUUCAAGCAUGUGUUAAUUACUCAUGGAGUUUGUGGUAUAUGUUCCUAAGAUGCCCCGAUGUGUUGAACCUAUGCCUUCCUAAAUCAAUAUGACCCGAAGAGUUUUCUCGAGUCUUACUCUUCUGGUGUUAUGCCGGUUAUUCUUUCAAAGCUACAACUGAUCAAAGGCGAGGAAUAAAUGGCAGGUGAUGCAUUGAUGAAGUGGGAGUCGACCUUGAACUCUGUGUUCAUGACCAUGGAAACGACGUUGAUCCUACGAUAGAAACUUCUCGUAUCAAUAAUCAUUCAUUAUAUGAUUUGAUCUGGUAUCUGUGAUCUUGUACUUUACAACCGUGGUUCCGACCAUGUUGUCCUACCUUGAUUUCAUUCUUAGAUGAGUUAAAGUACUUGUCUUCUUCAGAUCAAUACAUCGGUCCAAGCCUUAAUGUUGAUCUACCUCCGAAUAUUAUUCCUUGUAGCUUGAGGAUAUCACGAAGCUAUAUAACUUCUUGUGAGCUCCUCAUCAACUAUGAUGUUUUCAUUAAUUCCAGUUUCCUCAUGUUUGAGUUGUUGGACAUGCGAGUACAUCGAUAACUAAAUCGAGUACGCAUUGCGAUUCAACCAUCUUUUAGUAAUCUUCCUUGUUUACGAGUUUAUACUCGAUCCUGUCAUUCCAAGCUGUUAAGCUACAUCAUCAUUGUCAUGUUGUAGCUCGACCAUGCUAUCUAUACCCUUCAUCCCUGGAACACAAUUCCAACCGUGCGUUAAGCUUCCAUCGAGCUUUCCACAUCAUGUUGGUUGUCUUGAAAGGCAAUCUCAAUUCUAAGCUAGCAGUCUUAUCUGUGUUUCCGACAACCUCUUGCUUCAUCAUUCCCUUGCUUGAUGUCGUCGCUAAACGAUUACAUCUUCAUGACAUUUCUCGACAAAUGUGUCGUGAUCAUCAUCAGCAUUCUGAGCUCUUGCAGGGUAUCAAUCAAAUGCAUGUUUACAAAUACCAUCCUUGUCCCUCGAUGAUUGUAUUAUCAUCGGCAUCAUUAUUUACCUUCCCUCCAACACAAAUGUGUUCAUGUUUUGUGUUGUCCCUUAAGUCCCUUGCUAGUUCAGCUUAUGUUAUCUUCUACCUUGGAGUAUUACUAUCUUUUUUAUCAAGAAUGUUGUGAGCAUCAUUACACCUCUUAAGAAUUCUUGAUAUAGUGAUGCUUCUCGGCAACGCCAGUCAUUUCUUGGUCCCGUGUUGUUUCAAACCGGAAUACCAACAAGUGAACUCUGAUGUGUGAUUCCAAUACUUCUGGCAACCCUGUUGCCUUGAGGUUAACAACUGAUUGUUUCAUUCUUAGUGUGUUGGGUGUUGACUAAUAAUUUUAGCAUUUGUCGUGCUACUCACUCAGUAAUUCCGAGUGCACCCUUUUACCAAUGUUUAAUUGUUGUUGUUCCCUCGAGCAUACGACAUUAUACCAUUUGAUUUGACAAAUGCUAUCUCUUUGAUAUUAUAAUUUUGGCUGUCAAAAUUUUGACGGAUUGUUGUUGAGCCCAUCAGCCACACCCUCAACUUCUCUAUGUUCCACGAUGAAGCUCUUGAAAUCAUUAUCCUUGUGCCUAGAUCAUGAAGAAUAUGUGGAUAGUAGAAGUGUAUUUCCCAAAGUUCACGUGCACUCUUUCCGCCGUGAAUAUGGAAAGUUUUGUUUCACUUCCUCUCGUGAAAUACCAAAUCAUUCACGCAUGUGCGAAGUGUUAUAUGUUUGGAAGAUUUGCUAUACUCACUCCAUAUAAUUUCUCUUAGCACGUCAAGCUACUGACUGAUUUGAUCAAGGAAAAGAAGUUCUUUCAUAAGAGCUAAUCCAAACUUACACAUGGAGCCUUGUUAUCCUCGAUGAUGGUGCCCAAAUGAGAACCCAGUUGCAUUUUGAUGUACGAAUUCUAUGUGGGCACGAAUGUCUUGACAUUGUGUUCAUAUGUAUUAAAUCAAACUCUUGAUUCAAGAAUUGCUUGUGUAGCUCACCUCAUGAGAAUCUUGCAUUUUCAUCCUUCUUCUUAGGUAUCUUGAGCCUGAGGUGUCCUGGCACCAAUCAGAUUUGAAUAUCGGGCACGUAUCCCAAUAAUUAUAACUUUGGUCUUUAGGAACACCGGUACAGUGAUGUCUUGUCUGGCACACUGGGUCGGAGGACCUAUUGUUAUAAAUCCUUCCAUAUGUAAGGUUCGCCAUUCUACCAUGGGGAAAUUGUAUGACUUAGCUUUGUAAGUUGUCCCUCCUAGUUCCUCUUUGUAUACCCAUAAGUCCAACAUUUAUCUGAUGACCAUGUCGAUGCUACCCCAAAGCACGGAUGUGGUACUUUAAAUUCCAACAGGAACAUUGGAAGCGCGAUGCUAAAUUGUUCCUGAUCAAUUAUCCAAACUACAUGGUAUGGAUAAACAUGAUGAUUCUUCUUGUCUCUUUACCAAGAUGGUUAUGUACUGGAUGACCUAUCAUGUAUACCAUACUCUAUGAUUUCCUCGGGAAUGGUAUACUCUAAUACUUGUGUGUGUGAACACAUUUUCCCUUCCCAUUGGUCUGUUUGAUUUUUAUUGUGGCAUAACUUAUCUAAGCAGUGUUAAUUCCCUGCUUAGGUAAAAUUCUCGGUAUAUAACUCUGUCAGUAAGACCCUGUUACUAUUAUGGAUAACAUCCCGGUAGCCGCCGGUGAACGAGAACCUUGCCUAUUGGUCCGCCUCGUUUCAACGAGCAGGAAAAUGGUUCUAUUCGUCCCCCGCCCUUUGUACCGACGUUGUUCCAACAUAACUGACAUGCUAUCCUCUGACAUGUCUUGAUACCAAGACCAUGUAAUAUGUCACCCCUCUGUCUACUCUCGGCCCACAUGGUGGACCCAUAACCCAAAGUUCCUCAGGAUUGAAACCAGACUCUCUUGUACAUCUUUGACUCCAAAGUAUCCUUUACACUUGGCUUCGUAUGAAAUUCUCGAGCCACCGUUCAAUGUACCAAUCACUCUUCGGUCCGGAUAUUAUCCAACAUACUAAAGAUCAAGUCCACAUUUUUCAUGACAAUCUGAAGGUUGCUCAGUCUCGUCAGAUGAGUCGGUAUGACCGUCAUCAUCAAGAUAUGGUAUAUCAACCUGGCAUAAAGGCUGAUCUUCACGUCACACCAAUGAGAGGUGCACAUUGUUUUAAGAUCAAGAGCAAGUUAGCUUCUCGCUAUAUUGGUCCUUUCAUUUUUUUCGAAAGGCGAGGAAAAGUGGCUUAUCAAUUUGGAACUGCCGGCGAACCUUUCUCAGGUUCACGAAGUCUUCCAUGCUUCUCAGCUCCGUCGCUGCUUCAAGAAUCCUAUCCGAGCAGUGGAUCAUGGUAUGCUUGAGCUGCAACAAGACCUCUAUUAUAAAGAGCAUCCGGUCCGCAUUCUCGACCAAGCUGAACGUAAAACUCGUCGCAAAGUCACCAAGUUCCUUAAGGUGUCGUGGUCAAAUCAUUCUGAAGAUGAAGCCACUUGGGAACGCAGGAUCAUCUUCGUGAUGAAUACCAGGGGCUCUUUCCUUCUACCUCUUAAUUCUCGGAACGAGAAUUCUUGUUAGUAGGGAAGAGUUGUGACAUCCCCGGAUUAGGCUACAGUGAUCCCGGUAAUUGAACUACAGUACACCUAUGCAAAGGAUGCCAUGUCACCGUGUUUCCUAUCAUUGAUCUCGCGAUUGUUUGAGUCAGUCCGAAUUUAAGACUUAAGUUUAAAAUCAAACGAGAAAAGUUANNNNNNNNNNNNNNNNNNNNNNNNNNNNNNNNNNNNNNNNNNNNNNNNNNNNNNNNNNNNNNNNNNNNNNNNNNNNNNNNNNNNNNNNNNNNNNNNNNNNAUAUCUUUUAUAACUAUUUGUUUCAUUUCGUGUUUACGAUUAUGCCCAUCAAGUUGAUAUAUAUAUUUUUAUCUAGGAGGUAUGUGAACCAGAAAUUGCAAUCGACCCUCUUAUCGAGAAGUUAAAUUUAGUUGAAAAAGAAAAUGGUUAUUUGAAAGAAAAAUUGAAAAGAAUUGAAGAAGAGAAAAUGAAAUUGGAGUUGUAUGUUGCCCAUGUCGUUGAUGAUCAUAAGAUCAAGAUGGAUGCAAUGCGCUUGACGGUUAGAAAGAUUAGAAAAUAUGAUAUUAAUAAAGAGGCUUGUUAUCAUUAUGUUGUUGGAUCAAUUAUUACCUUAGCUGCGAUUUUGAUUGAAUAUGUUGUUGCAUUUAAAUUCUUUAGAUAGUUGUAUGUUGUUUUAUGAGAAGUAUAUAUAUAUAUUUUUGCAGUAAUAACAUUUGGUCACUACUCUACUUUAGUUUUAGUGUGGUGAAAUUGUAUUAAUUUGGUCACUUCAAUGGUGUGUAGUGAAGAUGAGCCGGCAAUGUAUGUACAAUGAUCGACGCUCUCCCGAGUUCAUUAAUGGCCUGCACAAUUUUAUGCGUGUGGCUGAGGCGAACAAGCAGAAUGGUUUUAUGUGUUUUCCAUGUGGUGUCUGUAAGAAUAAUAAGAUUUAUUGUACCUCAAAGAUCCUUCACAACCAACUGCUUCAGUCCGGUUUCACGUCCGACUAUAAUUGUUGGGCCAAGCACGGAGAAAGAGGGGUUAUGAUGGAAGACAAUGAAGAAUAAGAAGAUGAUGACAACUAUCCUAUGUUUCCUGAAUACGGUGAUACUUAAAAGGGGGAAGAUGAAGAUCAAGAGGCGCCAGUGUUGAUGCAUAGAGAAAAUGCGAAAGUAAAAGGAGAGGUUGAAGUUGGAGCGCAAGUUAUAGGAUAAAAAAAAAUUUGUACCCAAAUUGCGAAGAUGACAAGAAAAAGUUGGGUACCACACUGGAAUUGUUGUAAUGGAAGGCAAAAAAUGGUGUAUCUCACAAGGGAUUUGAAAAGUUGCCGAAUAUUACAAAUAAGAUGCUACGAAAAGAUAAAGAAUUGCCCACCAGUAUGUACAAAGCAAAGAAGGUUGUCUUCCCUCUAGGAUUAGAGGUGCAGAAGAUACAUGCAUGCCCUAAUGACUGCAUCCUAUACCGCAAUGAGGAGUAGGGGAAUUUGAAUGCAUGCCUGGUAUGUGAUGCAUUGCGGUAUAAGAACAACCACGAUGACUCUAAUGAUGUUGAGGGAGAGCGCCCUAGGAAGAGGGUUCCUGUGAAGGUGAUGUGGUAUGAUCCUAGAAUACCAUAGUUGAAACGUUUGUUCCAAAACAAAGAGCAUGCCAAGUUGUUGUGACGGCACAAAGAAGACCGUAAGAAAGAUGCGAUGUUUUGAGUACCUGUUGAUGGGUCGCUAUGGAGAAAAAUCGAGAGAGAAUUCCCGGAAUUUGCAGUUGACACAAGGAAUUUAUGGUUUUCUCUAAGUACAUAUGGCAUGAAUCCUUUUGGGGAGCAGAGCUGCAGUCAUAGCACGUGGCAUGUGACUCUCUGUAUCGACAACCUUCCUCCUUGGUUGUCCAUGAAGUGAAAGUUCAUUAUGAUGUCAGUCCUCAUCCAAGGCCCUAAGUAACUCGACAACAACAUUGAUGUGUACCUAAGGCCAUUAGUUGAAGAAGUUUUAAAGUUGUGGGAUAAAAAAGGUGUAUGUGUGUGGGAUGAGCACAAACCGGAGGAAUUUGACAUGCGAGUGCUGUUGUUUGUAACCAUCAAUUAUUCGCCCGCUCUUAAUAACCUUUCAGGACCAACAAGCAAGGGAUACAAUGCAUACAUAUACCGUUUAGAUGAGACUAAAAGUAUAUAUUUUGAUAAAUGUAAGAAGAAUGUGUACCCGGGACAUCGUCAGUUUCUUCCGACCAGACAUCUCUUAAGAAAGAAAGUCAAGCAUUUCAAAGUUGAGGAAGAUCACCGUAAGAAGCCUCGCCACCGUACUGGUGAUGAUAUAUUUGAUAUGACCAAGCAUUUAUAAGUAAUCUUUGGAAAGGGUCCUGGCGGACAAUCUGUUCUAAGUGACGCGAACGGACACACACCCAUGUGGAAGAAGAAAAUUAUAUUUUCGGAGCUACACUAUUGGAAAGUCCUAGAGGUCCGCAAUGCAAUCGAUGUGCUGCACGUGACAAAGAAUCUUUGCGUGAACCUGAUAGGCUUCUUUGUGUGUGUGUGUGUGAAUACAAAAGAUAGACCGUAGGCAUGGGAGGACCAUCAAAGUAUCAACGAAAAAGAUGGCAUGCAUCCAAAGUCGUAUCAAGGUCCUGCUAGGUAUGCUCUUGCUAAAGAAGAGAAGGAAAUCUUUUUUGAAUGCCUUAGCAGUAUGAAGGUCCCGUCUGGCUUCUCAUCGAACAUAAAGGGAAUAAUAAAUAUGGAAAAGAAAAAAAAAUCCAAAACCUAAAGUCUCAUGACCGCCACGUGAUUAUGAUGCAAGUACUUCCGGUUGCAUUGAGGGGGAUUCUAUCGGAAAAUGUUUGAGUACCCAUUGUGAAGCUAUGUGCAUUCCUCAAUGCAAUUUCUCACAAGGUAAUCGAUCCAGAAAUCCUGCCAAGGUUACAUAAUGAUUUUCUCCAAUGUCUUGUUAGUUUUGAGGUUGUGUUCCCACCAUCCUUCUUCAAUAUUAUGACACACGUCAGAGUUCACCUAGUCCAAGAGAUUACCAUUCUAGGUCCUGUAUUUCUACACAAUAUGUUCCUCUUUGAUAGGUUCAUGGGAGUCUUAAAGAAAUAUGUUCAUAAUCGUGGUAGGCCAGAAGGAAGCAUGUCCAAGAUGUAUGGAACAGAGGAGGUUAUUGAGUUUUGUGUUGACUUUAUUCCUAACCUUAAGCCGAUUGGUGUUCCUCCGUCUUGGCAUAUGGGGAGAUUGAGUGCAAAAGACAUGCUAGGAAAUCAAGCAGUAAUAUGUAUGGACGAGCAUUCUUUCACUCAAUCACACUACAUAGUUCUACAAAAUUCCACAUUGGUGGCUCCAUAUAUCGGGGAACACAUGGAUAUUAUACACUCCAAGAACCUGGAGCAGUCUAACUCCUGGAUUAAACGUACACACAUGGCGACUUUCGGUGAUUGGUUGCAAACACAACUCAUGAAUAAGACCAUCGUUGAAGAUGAGUUGUACUUGUUGGUUAAGUCACCAUCUUCGACUAUAUUGACUUACCAAGGGUAUGAGAUAAAUGGGAAUACAUUUUACAUGAUCACCCAAGAUAAAAAGAGCACCAACCAAAACAAUGGUCUACGCUUUGAUGAAACAUACAACGAUGGGAAAAGGAACACAUAUUAUGGUUACAUAGAGGAGAUACGGGAACUUGACUAUGGAAGUUCUUUUAAGGUCCCUUUGUUUUGGUGCAAAUGGGUCAAUCUGACAGGAGGUGGGCUAGAGGCAGACCAAUAGUACGGAAUGACAACAGUGAAUCUGAACAAUCUUGGGUACACAGUCGAACCAUUCGUCCUAGACAAUGAUGUGCUCGGAUUUUCUAUGUGAAUGACAUGUCAAUCAUACCGAGAAAAAGAAAAGAUAAGGAAAUGAGUACAUCAUACGAUGAGCCAAAGUGCCACAUAGUUCUUUCAUGGAAAAUAAACAUCAUGGGCGUGGAGGACAAGACACACAUGUCUGAAGCUUAUGACAAGUUUUAUGAAAUUCCUCCCUUCAAAGUGAACACUGACCCAAGCAUCCUUUUCCAUGAUGAAAAUUCUCCAUGGUUACGGCACAACAUAAGGAAGGGACAUACACGAAUAAAAAGUCUUAUAGCCAAGAUCCAACUCACGUAUGUGACAGGCUUCAUCGUCAUCACUUUCUCUCAAGUGAGUUUCUGGACUUAUAGCUGGAAAAUCCCACUCCAAACUUUGCUACCCCUUUGUGAUGCCAGAAUCUUUGUAAGAGCUAGGGCAUUUUGUUUUUGGAAUAUUUUGGUGAAUCAAAUUAAUUUGGAUUGAUAUGAAAUUUGAAAAGUCACCGUAUAUAUCAUUUGUGACCUGCUAGAACUUUCCUAGAAUUAUCUGAGGAUAUUUCUUAUAGAAAUAUUUCAAAUACUUGAAAUGAACAAAAAGGGUUUUGGAGGGAUUUGUCCAAUAUUUUGAAACAUACUCAUAAAACACCUAUUGAAAAUAUCCUACAAAUUUUGAAUCAACUCUUUUGGUUUAUUUUCAAAUUGUUAUGCAUUUUACAAUGGAUUUUGAGAUCAAGGGGAAUAAUAAAAGGGGUUAAAACAAGUUUUUUUACUAAAUCUCCAGAAGGUGUAUAUGGAAAUGAGGUUGAUCACCCAUAGUGGGAUUGUAUGACGAAAGUUGCCAAUGUAAACUUUAUAAACCCUAGAAAAGGGCAGAAAUAUAUUUUCCUAGAUCUGGUUUUGCAAACUUGUCCCCCCUAAUGCACCACUUGGUGUUGUGGCAUUAUUUGAGGAUUAGAGCAUAUGACCAAAAAGUUUGGGGUCAAUUGAGGAAACUUGACAAUGCAAAUUUUUCAAUUCUAGAAAUCAGCAGAAAUGGGUUUAGGGAAUUUGGACAAGUGGAUCUGUUCUCCUUGAUGCACCACUUGGUGUGGAUGCAUUAUUAGGUUAUUAGAACAUGUCCACAAUGUUUGAGAAUAAUUGGAGAAAGUUGUCAAUGUAAACUUGUCCAAGUUUGGACCUGGACAAAGAUGGUUUUGGAAUAUUUUGGUGACUCAAAUCAAUUUGGAUUGAGAUGAAACUUGGCAAGGUCACCAUAUAUAUAUCAUGUGUGACUUGCUAGAAUUUUACAAGAAUUAUUUGAUAAUAUUUAUUAUUAAAUAUUUUAAAUACUUGAAAUGACCACAAAUGGUUUCGGAGGGAUUUCUCCAAUAUUUUGAAAUGUACUGAUAAAAAACUAUUUAAAAUAUCCUACAAAUUUCCAAAUUGAACAUACUCAUAAAUCACACUAAUAUUAAACAACGAGGAAAUUAAUCAUUCAAAAAUCUAUUUUUGGACUAAAGUUAUUCACAAACUAGUGAUUCACACAAAUUUCAAAGAAUUCAAAUUUAAACAAUUCAAAUUUGAAAGCUACUACCAUUAACCGUGAGUUUAAAAUUUUCUGACCUAAAGACAAAAGAUUCACUAAAAAACUCUAAAUAUUCUAAAAGUUAUUAAAAAUCUAAAAGCAAAAACAAUUCUGUUUAAAAAGGAACCUUUACUCCCGGUUGGCGAUAUCAACCAUGACUAAAGGUCGACCUUUAGUCCCGCCUCCCGGUUGGGGAUACGAACCGGGAUUAAAGGGGCUUUAAUCCCAUAUGGUAAUACCAAGAGGGACUAAUGGUCCCGUCUAUAUAAGUGCAUGUUCUCCCGAUGCCAGUUACCACGCGGGAGAACACAACAACGCCGCCAGGCCGCCGAACCUCGACGCCGAACUGCUCGUCACCAUCGCCGCUCGUCGUCCGUGCUCCAUCGACGAAGGGUUCCCUAUGAUGUCGGUCGUUUCAUGCUAUCCAACGCCAUCCCUAAUCCACUCCUCCCCACGCGCUGGUGAGCUCCCCUCACCAUCCCGACCCCCUCUGCUCCCCACGCGUCCAUUCCCCAUCAUCGCCAUAUUCUUCGGCGAAGGACCCCCGUUCCCCCUCCACUCCUCCCUGUCCGGCGCAAGACCCCUGACCACCUGAUCCUAUGUAUUUAUUUUUGCCAAAAAUUGCAUGAGGAGUCUGGUUCUCUCCCAUGCUUUGUUCAAAUGGUGGUGGCAAUGUCAGUACCGAUAAUUUCUCUUCCUAAGGGUUUCUUCCUGAAUUGAUUGUCUAUUGGUGAAUGGAGACAUGUUUGAAGUGUUGAUCCUCUAAGAAUGUCAUUGUAGUUGUACACUACUCAAAGUUCUGUCCAUUUAGUGGCAGACUAAAAAUUGCAUUUUUUAUUUAUCCAUUGAUGUGGAAGAGCAUAGCUAAAAAAUUCUCAGGAGUGGAGUAGGGUUAUCAUAAAAUAGAAACCACUAUAUAACUUCUAUUACGGGAGGAGUCCCCGAUGAUCGCGGGAGAGGAAUCCCAUACGAUCGCCGGUGAGGAGUCCCCGGCGACCGCUAGUGGGGAGUACGACGAUCACCGAUGAGGAUCGAGUCCACGAUGACCGCCAAUGAGGAGUCCCCGAUGAUCACCAGUGAAGAGUCCUCGACGAUCGCCGGAGGAGUCCACGACGAUCGCUAGUGAGGAGUCCUCGACAAUUGCUGGUAAGGGUCAAGUCCCCGAUGGGCAGCUAGAGCAACCAGAUCCAGCAUUGGAUGAUAGUGCCGUCCCAUCUAUGCGGAAAAGUAGCAUGUGACACAAGGGGCUUCGGUCCGAUGAUGCACUGCUGGCUCUCUACCCCUGGAUGAUAUCAAAGAGAGGACAGAUUGUGAGCUACACCAAAAAAUGAAGAACAUAUCCACGAAGGUGUCGGUCGGCUUUGCUUUACCGAAUGCACCUGAAGCAACUAUCCAUUGCAAUCCGAUUCCAGCUAGCUAGGAUAAAGUCGGGGUGGGUGAAAUUCUGCCGAGAUAUGAGACACUACAGCUUGACAUUCCUAGAGGUGAAGUGAGUGAGACGUUGGGAGAACUCAUACAUUGUGUCAUUUUAUGGAGUAAGGAAUGCAUCAUGUUUCGAUACUCGGCACCAAGGAAACCGACUUCUCCGAGCAACAAUACACCUCGAAGUACACCCAACGUUGCGAUCCCUAGUGCGAGUCCAGGUCGAUCGCUGCCGCAUCAGCCGACUCCACCCCGUAUGUCCCAGAUGGGCCAAAAGCGGAAGACCACUCCUCCGUCGACAAUUAAUCCUAUUGAGAAGAGAUCUACAAAGAAGAAAGCUUAAUGCAAGCCUCCUACCAAAAAUAAGUUAGCGUAUGAUAUGACUGACGAGGAACUCAACGAGAUCGUGGUUUCUGAAGUAAAGUCCCAUUUUGCACCGAAACGGCUCCAGCCGCCAAAGGAGAUAAUACUUGAGAAAACCAUAGUCCACUUUGUGGAAUUUCAUCAGCGACCCCCCAUCACAUGUGGACAAUAGGCCAUCAGACUGUGACCGCUCUAUUAGGAUGUUAUAUGAAAAACAAAUGCAGUAGUCGAAACCUACAAAUAGUUAAAAAAGAGGGAAAACAGUUCCCCAGUUCGGAGAAAAUGCAAUGAAAUUGACCCCCCCUCGCUCAAGGUGACGACUGAUGCUACUAAAAACAUCGGUCUAAGUGUUAAUUAACUCCUAGGCACCGAGGAAGUCCCCGUAGAUGAAGUAGCAUGCGAUAUAUCGCCAAGCAAUCUCUGGUGAGACCUGAGCAGGUCCCGCAACUAUCAACGCAAAUGUGAAUAUUGCAUGGGUGGUACAUGAAAGAAGUUUCCCUCGGGCGAUUGUAGAUCAUGAUGAAAGUCAAGAAAGAGCAGUACUUCUAUGAAAACGAGCUAUACAUUGAGUUUGAUGUAUUAUUUCAGUUAUACAAUCAAGACGCACUCGACAAAUCUAUCGUGAGUUUCUAUUGUCUAUAAGUGAUUUCUUUCUGUAAUUUAAGUCUCGAACUCGGCUCGUUCAUUGACUGUAAUUAUCCUCACUAUAUUAUUUUGUACGCUAUUAUGCAGAAUGAAGAUUACCAAUGCAAAAGAAAGGGAAUCUAUGCCAUUGGGUACAUUGACCCAUACAUUCUUACUAAAAAAUUGAUAGAAGACCGCCCCGAAGACUCAGAGAUGAACUUGCUAAGGUUUUUAAAGGCAUAAAAUACCAAAAAAAUACUAUGGCCUUACAAGUUCAGGUGAGUGUUACUAUCUUGUACUACAAAUUCUGUUUUGCUUACUUGAUGUUAAGUGUAGUUGAUGAGUUAUGCAUACUUUCUUAUAUAAACGUGUGUCGGGUUCCACUGGAUGCUGCUAAUCAUUAGAGUUGAUGCUGGAAUGGUUGAAGUCCUAGACUCACUAGGUAAAAACACUCAAGAAUACACCAGCAUGGUUAAAAUGUACCAUAGGUAAUUUCAAUCAUUAUCGCACUAUAUCACCCUCUUUCGUUCAUUUCCUGAUAUCAAGUACUCCCUCCGCCCGGAAAUACUUGUCGGAGGAAUGAAUGUAUUUAGAUGUAUUUAUUUCUAGAUACAUCCAUUAUUAUUCACUUUUGUGACAAGUAAUUCCAGACGGAGGGAUUAAUUAAUAACUCUUUUAUUCAUUUAAUUUGCCGGGCAGGGUUUGGAAGCGAUUCAUUAGAGAGGUUGUUAGUGAAUGGAAACUGGAGCUCCGUUGGAAAAUGGUCAAGGUAAUUAAAUAAGAACUACUAGCUAGGUUCGUGCAUCUUUUUAAUUUUAUACCAAAUUGUAAAUAUAUAUGUAUGUAUGAGAAAUUAUAUUAUAUAUGCACCAACAUGUACAAUAUGUAGUAGCGUAAACUAUGUUUCAAAUGAAAAAGAAUUGAAUGAAAAACACAAAAUGAAAAGGAAAAUAAACUAUAAACCCUAAACCCUAAAACCCUAAACUCCAAACAAAAAACAAAAUCUUUAGUCUCGGUUUGUGACACCAACCGGGACUAAAUGUCCUCCAGCCCCCGGCGCACGCCCGUGGCCACGUGGAGGGACUUUAGUCCCGAGGUGUGGCCAACCGGGACUAAAGGUCGGACCCUUUAGCCCCAACCCUUUAGUCCCGGUUGGUGACCUAGGACUAAAGGUAGUUCCCAACUCGGACUGAAUCCCCGUGUUCUACUAGUGUUUGCAUCCACCCAUCUGCAGUACCUCGCAAAUCCGACAUUUUUUGCUCGCCUCAUAUUCUUCCACUCUCAGUCCGUCCAUCAAGGAAGGAUAUCGUCGUUGUUAACCAUCAAGGACGUCGUGAGUCCCUGUGUCCGUCGGAGCUUGUUCGCAUCCUCAUCCACGAAGGAGGUAUUUGCCCAUGUUCUCUUCGUCAACUCAUUUUUUCAUAUCUGCAGCAUGAACUUCUUUUGUAGGAUUUAGUCGAUGUUGUAAAUAUUGUAAAAAAUCGUUAAAUGUGAAGAUAGAUAAGUUGUGGAUGGUCUGGUUCAUUGUGCAUAAACCAUCUUUACGUUAACCACCACCUGAGGCAUGGCUAGAAGACUCGAUGACCAUUUAUAAUUUGAGACAAAAGCUUGUGGAUCAUGGUUUACUCUAUAAUGAUUUCAUUUACUAUUGAAGCUGGGUUUACCCAAGUGACAAGAUCAAGUGGAACUUCAGCAACAAGAAUAAGUUUAGCUCAGGUUACAAGAGGAUGUUGAAGUCAAGCAACGAGGUGGUGAUGAGGAACCCCAGGUGCAGGACCAGGUUCAGCUCAAGUGAGUGGCUGCCGAGCUUCAACUCGAGUUGGUGUUUGAGGUUAAACAUUGGUGGAAGGAUUAGUUUGACUGAACUCACAAACGAUAGCACAGUCGGGAAGAUGAUUGAAGAAUACAAACCAUUUCACAUGGUUGAAUUGCAUUGUUACAGUAGACCAGAUUGGUUUGCAGACCCUCCUCCAAUUACAAAAGCAGAUGUUGUUAACAACUCUUAACAUCAUGUUUGAAGUUGUUUCGUUAUGAUUUGCCACUGAUUGAGAACAUGUACCAUCUCUUGUGUGAAAACUCUAAAUUUGCCAUCGCGGUGGCAUACGGUUAUGAUUUGCUCUAUUCAUGUUCAUUUUAUCUUCAAUGUGUUUUUAAUUACACUACGGUAGCAUUGAAAUAACAGUACAUAGUGCAAUAAAUUUAGAGAAACCAACUUUAGAGCAACCCAGUUUAUUCCCUCUCUUCAAACUUAACAAAGCAUAUUGUUACAUGAAUCUGAAUCCAGUCUCACUCACUAGGUCUUUGCUGGCCUUUUUCCGAGCGCAACACUCUUUGACUUGCUUUUGAUACUUCACUUUGUGUUUACUCUUUUGCUUCUCCACCAACAUAUUCUUAUCUUUUCUCUCCACGUACCCGACACCGAACCAAUACUGCUCAUAUCGUUUCUUGUUUUCAAGCUAGCAUUUGCUUGGCCACCUAGCACCUUCCUGCAACGAGUUCAUAGGUGUUUUUCAAAAACUCGAGCAAGAAUUCGGAUUUGAGAGGAUAUGGACAGUUUGACUUACAAAGUAUGCCGCGGGCCCCUGGGUGUGUUUGGAGACAAAUCCCGACUAACCCGUUUCUCCUUUUGUUCGUACCUGGAAUAACUCUAUGAUGUAGCAGGCUAGAACACCGCAAUGAAAGUGUACUACAUGUGGCACAAAGGAAUCUAGUUCGUCGAGGGAUGGCAUAUCUGCUGGUAGGAAGGUGCCGCUGUGGGGUCCUACAAGUUCAUUCAAACUCCCUUUUUCUUUCAUGCAAAGAGUAUCCCAUGGUUACGAUGCAGAUAUGCAAAAACAAUGUCGGUGCGUGAGAGUUAAAGAUGGUCCGAGUGUCUGUAUUCAAAAGUCAAUACGUCUGAUAUUAUAGAUGGAUGGUCUCAACCUCACGGGCUCUCUUUAACAGUUUGGCGGCCUCGCUCACUAUGUGGGCUUUGGUGGGCUAGCCUUUGUCCUCAUUAUCCUUGUGUUUUCUUCACCCGGGGCGACAACCUAGCUCCUCCACAUUCUCCUUUCCCCAAAUCUUUCUCAUUGAUAUGCUACCACCGCUUGACCUUGGUUCUGAAGGAAGUUACGGCCGGUUGGCCGGCGUUACGCCUAUACACACACCCUAAGCUGGCCCUGACCCGUCGUACACAUCGUCAAGACUCCAUACGACAUGAAAUGUCUACCGGUGUUGUUGUUUCAGGGCAGAUUCAACCGUGGUAGGAAGUAAGUUACCGUAGUUGUCAAAGUUUUUCCCUUUUGUCCGGUGUACUAUCGAAUUAGUUGGGUAGGGCGUUGUCAAAGCUUGUUGUCUUUCAAGUUAUCUUAGAUCUAGUUCCCUUCUUAUUCCGCGGCUCCUGUGUGGAACACUUACAAUAGUUUGCCGUGUUCUUGCACAGAGUACAAACGUGAAUAGGUUUGGUGCUUCUUGUGCUAGCCAAUAUUUGGAUUUGGUCCCUCAUUUGUACCAUACAACAACAAAUGAUUCGCUCGAAGAUGGUAACACUACUACCUUUGAGAUAGUUGUUUUCAACUUUAUGUUACAAAUGAUUCAUCACCACUUGGUGAUAAUGGUAAUAAUCUUUGAUUUCCAGACGAUAGCGAUAAGGUUGCAAUUCCCGAGUAGUAUGGAAGUGCAUCAAGCAUAACUUCCACCUUUUAACACGGGAGUCGGGCACAUGAGGAAGCUACCGUGGCCUCAACUAAUGUUCAAUAGUCUAAAUCAAUCCAGCAACAACAGGUACUACCUUGUUGUAGGACAAGACUAGCACUGUUUGACUGUUGAUGCCGCUCUGGUAUGUACAUUUAUUUUUACAUCCUUUUAUCUGUGAUUUGAUCAGUCAUAGUUAAUGCAGGUGGUUCCAGCGUUGAACCAACUUCACAUAUAGAAGCACCAGGUGAAUGCACCCCAAUAUUGAACUUUCUGUCGAUCAUAAUGCACAUGGUAAUGACCAGAUCUAUGAUGGUCCCAGUACCGAUUACCCGGUAUCUGAACAAAUACACGAAACAAAUGUAGCAGAGGAUGUUGGUGGCUGCAUCGACAACCCGUUAUCCCACAAUCAAUUCGGGCCAUUGGAAUGCAAUGUAGCGGAGUAUGUUGACGUAGGAUAGGAUGUUGAUGUAGCUUUAUUAUUAGCGGCCAUGCCUAGAUAUGCAGUAACACAAGAUUCCACAAACGCAUCUGAAGGAUGUACUCAGAAGCAUCGUACGAUUUCAUCGCCCCUGUGACGCCCUCGAUUUAAUCGUACGCUAACCAUACACGCAAAUGCAUACGAUCAAACCCAAGGACUCACGGGAAGUAUCACAACACAACUCUAGACACAAAUAAAAUAACAUCAGCUUCAUAUUACAAGCCAGGGGCCUCGAGGGCUAGAAUACGAAAGCUCGAUAAACACACGAGUCAGCGGAAGCAACAAUAUCUGAGUACAGACAUAAAACAAGGGGUGCCUUAGAGAAGGCUAGCACAAAAGAAACACGAUCCAACGAGGCGAGGCCUCCUGCCUGGGAACCUCCUAAACUACUCAUAUCUUCAGCGGCCUCCAUGUAGAAGACACCAUCGGGACGGCAAGCGUCGGCAGGAAGAACUCCAUCUCCUGGGCUCCAUCAUCUGGUCGCAGCAAACGGAUCAAGGGGACAAGGGGAGAGCAAAGCAGCGGUGAGUACUCAUCCAAAGUACUCGCAAGUCUUACAUCAGAACUAUUCUAAUUAUGCAUCAGUAUAAAAGAAGGGGGGGUUAUAUGUGGACAGACUGCAGCAAUGCAAGAAUAGAGAGAGAAGGCCUAGUCCUAUUGAAGACUAGCAUCUUCAAGGUCUUGCAGCAAUAGACGAGAGUAGAACAGGGGUAACACAUUAAUAGUCAUAUUGUUGCAGCAAUAUUAAAGCGAGGUCAUGCCUAAAGAUCCUCCCUCGACUCCCUGCGAGGAAGUAAUCCCGAGGCAAACUAAUGAUCCAGUUAAGUAACAAUUGUAGUUGUAAAAGAUCGGGGCACAACUCCAAGUCGUCCUGUAACAGUGGACACGACUAUCCGAAUAGUUAAUUUUCAUCCCUGCAGGGGUGCACCACAUGUCCCGUCACGCUCGAUAACACUCUGGCCGGACAUACUUUUCUGGGUCCUGCCCGGCCUCGGAAUAUCGACACGUCGUAGUCCCACCUAAGACUAAUCAGAGAGGCCAGCCCGCCGGUCUAACUCCUAAGCACAAAGGGUUCGUGGGCACAGUUCCCCUUCGCGCUCCUGCACGUGGCGUGGGCGGCCGACAUCAGUCCUAGCAUCCCUUAAUCACAAGAGCGACGCAUCUCGGGACCACUCGGGCGCGCGCCGCUACAUUGCUGGCAUCUGAAAAGCUUCGGCUGAUACCGCGAUGCUGAGUACGCAUAAUUCUUCCCGCGUAGCCGGUUAGUGCAAAAAGGUCUCCGACCAACCCAGAUCAAAUACCCAAAUCCAUUAACAUUUUAAAUAGGCCAACAACACAGUCUCACGGGAAUCCACCCGUCUUACAACUAAUCACCAAUGAUCCCAGUAAAAUGGUCGAGUAACUGUAUGGCUGUAACAUCAGGGGGAAUCCGAGGUAUCACCCUCGUUGGACUCCGAACGAUGUACCCGUCAAGGUGGACUUAGAGGAAUCACCCUCGAGGGUCCCACACUUGAGGGGUUGCACGACAGAGGCGUCAUCGGGAAUGGUGAAAGAGGAAUCACCCUCGAUAACCAGGACCAACUAGCUAUACUACAGAGAUAUCAUCAGGAGUACUUAGCGAGGUGUCACCCUCGGUACUCGAUAGUAUGUGUGUAGCGUCGUACAACAAAGGGGGUGAAUGUGCUGUGUCGGGUCUAGCUCGUUGAUCAGGGAUCGAGAUUUGAAAACAAGCGGGGCAACUGAACUACGGGGUCAUAGGGGAUGACUGCUCCACCUAUACUAGGCAUAUUAAAGGUACAGGACUGAAAGUAGCAGUUCAUCAAAAACAUGCUAUGCAUCAGAUAUAGGAGCUAACUACAACAGUAGCAAAAUACUAAUGCAAUCAGUAGGAAGAAAGACAUAGGCGAUAUAGGAAUGAUCAAGGGGGUUUGCUUGCCUUGCUGCUCCGCGGCAAAGGACUGAUCGACAGGGUCGUAGAUGUACCCGGAAGCAGCGUCAGUCUCGGGGUCUACCGGUAAGAAGAGGGGGAAGAAACAAUAAAUAAUAGCAACGGUGCAACACAAAGCAUGACAUGGCAAGAUGCAGGAUAGACAUGAGCUAACGCAGCAACAUCCGUCAUAGACGGGUCGGAAGAAUAUCUGACGAUAUUUUCCGGGUCUCGUGCUACUACCGGUCAGAUUGGAAACGAUGGAAAAGUUCCAUGUUUGCUAUGCUAGGGACGCGCGACAAACGAAUGGACCGUGUAUUCGGGUUCGUCUCGUUCUGCUGACCAACUUUCAUGUUGAAAAUAUUUUGAUCUGACUUACAGAUUAUUUAAUAUUAAUUUUUAAUGUUUUAUUCAAUAAUUAGGAAUUAAAAACAAAUUUGAAUAAUUUAAUAAAAAGCUAUUAUGACAUCAGCAUGAUGGCAUGGUGACAUCAACAGUUGACUGGUCAACUGACCAGCGGGUCCCGAACGUCAUAGGCACAAGUUUUAAUAUAGAUUAAAUAUUAAUUACUCAGAUUAAUUUAGUGGGGGACCCACGUGUCAUACUAUAAUUAUCCUAAAUAUCCAAUUAAUUAAUUUAACUAAUAUAUAUCUAUUUAUUUAUUUAAUAAAAACAUUAACAUUAUCUUUAUUUUUUUAAUUAUCGCGUGGGGCCUCCCUGUCAUAGACAGCGGGUGCGUUGGCCCCACCGGUAAGUGACCUUAGGACAAAUACUCGAUUUUAUUCAUUGAUAUAAACAUGCAAAUAUCGUAUUCCUCCAAAUACCUAUAUACGCAAUACAUACAUCGCAUCUCAUACAUACAUACAUUCAUAUAUAGGAAUACAUCAUUUGUUUUUAUUUUAUUUAACUCCCACACUCUCAUCUCUCUCUGUUAACAGACAACAGAGAACACAACAAAGAGUCUGUGUUAACCUCCUAAACAUAGAAGAGAGCUAACUUCAUCUCCUCCUACCGGAGUCAAACGUCGACGGAUCGGAGCCCCGUUUGCCGGAACGGAACCGGGACGGUGAGGGGAACGCGAUGGUGGGAGGAGCCCGAGGAGGGGCUCACCAACGUUGAUGAGACGGCCCGGUGAAGCUGGAGUUCUAGUGAGGCGGAGGUGACGGCGGUGAUGGCGCGGUUCCGGUGGUAAAGGUGACGGUGAGGACGGUGGUGACGGCGGUGACGGUCGUCGGAGAGGGCCUCCCGGAUUCGUGGCCGGAGAGGAGAGCCCUCCGGUGAAGAAGGGGCCAGCCGGAUCCGGCGAGGGUUGCCCCGGCCUCAAGGGGAGGGAGGCCGGCCGGGUGGGAGGCAGGGGAGGCCCGGUGGGGGAGGGGGGCUUGCCGGCGGGGUGGAGAUGUWGGGGAGGGGCUCGACCGGCGGUUAAAGGGGCCGAGAUGGGGAGGCUCGCCGGCCGGUGAGGGAACCGGCGGUGGAGGGUGAUGCGUGGGGAGGGACUGGGAGGCCGACGGGGGGAGUGGAGCUCGCCGACCGGGGUGGGGGCCGAGGUGGAGAGGAGGGCCUCGGUGGGGGAGAACGAGAGGUGGGGAGGAGGGGUUACCGAGAGAGACAGGGGAUCGUGGGGUGUUGGUGGGGGGGUCUGGUGACCGAGUAGGUGGGGGGGCCUCGAGGGGUGAUGUUGGCGGGAUGGGAGGCGAGCGGGAGGGGGGCUGGCGGCGGCCACUAGGAAACGGGAGGAGUGGUUUGGUCGCUUAGGGUUUUCCCCNNNNNNNNNNNNNNNNNNNNNNNNNNNNNNNNNNNNNNNNNNNNNNNNNNNNNNNNNNNNNNNNNNNNNNNNNNNNNNNNNNNNNNNNNNNNNNNNNNNNGCUGGUUCCCUUCCCCACUUGGCCCAAUUUACCUCCCGGGGUCGUUGACCCCCCUUCGGUGGACCCCCGGGGCCACCUCCGGUGGUCCCGGUGGUCCCGGUACAUUACCGGUGAUGCCCGAAACACUUCCGGUAUCCGAAACCAUCCGUCCUAUAUAUCAAUCUUUACCUCCGAACCAUUCCGGAGCUCCUCGUGACGUCCGGGAUCUCAUCUGAGACUCCGAACAACUUUCGGUAACCUCGUAUAACAAUUCCCUAUAACCAUAGCGUCAUCGAACCUUAAGUGUGUAGACCCUACGGGUCCGGGAGACAGGCAGACAUGACCGAGACGCCUCUCCGGCCAAUAACCAUCAGCGGGGUCUGGAUACCCAUGGUGGCUCCCACUUGCUCGACGAUGAUCUCAUCGGAUGAUCCACGAUGUCAAGGAUUCAAUCAAUCCCGUAUACGAUUCCCUUUGUUUGUCGGUAUAGAACUUUGCCCGAGAUUCCAUCGUCGGUAUACCUAUACCUUGUUCAAUCUCGUUACCGGUAAGUCUCUUUACUCGUUCCGUAGCACGUCAUCGUGUGACUAACUCCUUAGUCACAUUGAGCUCAUGAUGAUGUUCUACCGAGUGGGCCCAGAGAUACCUCUCCGUCACACGGAGUGACAAAUCCCGAUCUCGAUUCGUACCAACCCAACAGACACUUUCGGAGGUACCCGUAGUGCACCUUUAUAGUCACCCAGUUACGUUGUGACGUUUGAUACACCCAAAGAACUCCUACGGUAUCCUGGAGUUGCACAAUCUCACGGUCGAAGGAAAAGAUACUUGACAUUAGAAAAGCUUUAGCAUACGAACAAUACGAUCUAGUGCUAUGCUUAGGAUUGGGUCUUGUCCAUCACAUCAUUCUCCUAAUGAUGUGAUCCCGUUAUCAAUGACAUCUAAUGCCCAUGAUCAGGAAACCAUGAUCAUCUAUUGACUAACGAGCUAGCCAACUAGAGGCUUGCUAGGGACACUUUGUGAUCUAUUUAUUCACACAUGUAUUACUGUUUCCUGUUAAUACAAUUAUAGCAUGAACAAUAGACGAUUAUCAUGAACAAGGAAAUAUGAUAAUAACCAUUUUAUUAUCGCCUCUAGGGCAUAUUUCCAACAGCGCGUGGCAAAGUUGUGUCUCAAAAACCCUAAAACCUCUAGUACAUAUAGGAGGAGGGGAGGGGCUAGCCUCGGGGCUCAAGGGAGCCCCUAGGCUGCCGGCCGAGAGAGGAGGAGGAGACCCCAACUCCAAUUCGGUUUGGGAAGGAGGAGCCCCCUCCUUCCUUCACACCUCCCUCUCCUUUUUUUUCUUUUCUCUUUGGUUUUUUUCCUUAGCCGACAUAGCCCACUUGGCCUGGCCUCACCAGCCCACUAAAGGCUGGUGCGCCACCCUUGGGCUAUUAGGCUCACUCCCGGGUGGGUGGGCCUCUCCCGGUAAAAACUCGGAACCCAUUCGUCACUUGUGUUACACUGCCGGUAAUGUCUGAAAUCCUUCCGAGACCAAAUGAAACAAUCCUAUAUAUCAAUCUUCGUUUCCGGACCAUUCCGUAAACCCUCAUGACGUCCGUGAUCUCAUCCGGGACUCCGAACAACCUUCGGUUACCAACACCUAUAACUCAACUAUACCGAAACGUCACCGAACCUUAAGUGUGCAGACCCUGCGGGUUCGAGAACUAUGCAGACAUGACCUGAGACACUCCCCGGUCAAUAUCCAACAGCGGGACCUGGAUGUCCAUAUUGGAUCCUACAUAUUCUACGAAGAUCUUAUCGGUUGAACCUCUGUGCCAAGGAUUCAUAUAAUCCCGUAUACCAUUCCCUUUGUCCUUCGGUAUGUUACUUGCCCGAGAUUUGAUCGUCGGUAUCUCUAUACCUAUUUCAAUCUCGUUACCGGCAAGUCUCUUUACUCAUUCCGUAAUAAAAGAUCUCGUGACUAACACAUUAGCCACAUUGCUUGCAAGGCUUAUAUGUGAUGUUGUAUUACCGAGUGGGCCCCGAGAUACCUCUCUGUCACACGGUGUGACAAAUCCCAGUAUUAAUCCAUGCUAACUCAACGGACACCUUCGGAGAUACCUGUAGAGCACCUUUAUAGUCACCCAGUAAAGUUGCCCUUUGGAGAUACCUGUAGAGCACCUUUACAUGAUCUCAUGGUCAUAGGAAUGAAUACUUGACACUCAGAAAACAAUAGCAACAAAAUGACACGAUCACAUGCUACGUUCAUAGUUUGGGUCUUGUCCAUCACAUGAUUUUCCUAAUGACGUGAUCGAGUCAUCAAGUGACGACACUUGCCUAUGGUCAGAAAACCUUAACCAUCCUUGAUCAACUGGCUAGUCAACUAGAGGCUUACUAGGGACAUUGUUUUGUCUAUAUAUCCACACAUGUAUCUAUGCUUUCAUUCAAUGCAAUUUUAGCAUGGAUAAUAAACGAUUAUAUUGAAACAGGAAACAUAAUAAUAACUAUUUUAUCAUUGCCUCUAGGGCAUAUUUCGUACAGUCUCGCACUUGCACUAGAGUCAAUAAUCUAGUCUCACAUCGCUAUGUGAUUUACAUUGGAAUGAAUCUAACACACAUACAGUUCUGGUGUUGAUCAUGCUUAGCUCGUGGAAGAGGUUUAGUUAGCGGAUCUGCAACAUUCAGAUCUGUAUGCACUUUGCAAAUAUUUACGUCCUCUCCUUUGACAUAGUAGCGGAUGAGGUUGAAGCGUCGUUUGAUGUGUCUGGUCUUCUUGUGAAACCGUGGUUCCUUUGCUAGAGCAAUGGCAACAAUGUUGUCACAGAACAGAGUUAUUGGAUUUAGUGCACUCGGCACAACUCCAAGAUCUGUCAUGAACUGCUUCAUCCAGACACCCUGCUUAGCUGCCUUCGAGGCAGCCAUGUACUCCGCUUCACAUGUAGAAUCUUCUACGACGCUUUGCUUGGAACUGCACAAGCUUACCGCACCCCCAUUGAGAAUAAACACGUAUCCGGUUUGAGAAUUAGAGUCAUCCGGAUCAGUGUUAAAGCUUGCAUCAACGUAACCCUUUACGACGAGCUCUUCGUCACCUCCAUAUACGAAAAACAUUUCCUUAGUCCUUUUCAGGUACUUCAGAAUAUUCUUCACCGCCGCCCAGUGUUCCACUCCUGGAUCACUUUGAAACCUGCGUGCCAUACUUAUGGCCAGGCCGAUGUCCGGUCUUGUGCACAACAUUGCAUACAUGAUACACCCUAUGGCUGAAGCACAGGGGAUGGUACUCAUCUUUUCUCUAUCUUCCGCAGUUCCUGGACACUGAGUCUUACUCAACUUUAUACCUUGUAACACUGGUAAGAACCCCUUCUUGGACUGCUCCAUUUUGAAAUUCUUAAAAACUUUAUCAAGGUAUAUGCUUUGUGAAAGUCCUAUUUGGCGCCUCGAUCUAUCCCUAUAGAUCUUAAUGCCUAAUAUGUAAGCAACUUCUCCUAGGUCUUUCAUUGAAAAACAUUUGUUCAAGUAAUGCUUUACGCUCUCUAAAAACUCCACAUUGUUUCCAAUCAGCAAUAUGUCAUCCACAUAUAAUAUUAGAAACACUAAAGAGCUCCCAAUCACUUUCUUGUAAAUACAAGAUUCUCCAACAACUUGUAUAAACCCAAAUGCCUUGAUCACCUCAUCAAAGCGCUUAUUCCAACUCCGAGAUGCUUGCACCAGUCCAUAAAUGGAUCGCUGGAGCUUGCAUACUUUGUUAGAAUUAUUUGGAUUGACAAAACCUUCAGGUUGCAUCAUAUACAACUCUUCCUUAAGAAAACUAUUAAGUAACGCCAUUUUGACAUCCAUCUGCCAGAUUUCAUAAUCGAAAAAUGCAGCUAUUGCUAACAUGAUUCGGACGGACUUAAUCAUCGCUACCGGUGAGAAUGUCUCAUCGUAGUCAACUCCUUGAACUUGUGAAAAAUUCUUUGCCACAAGUUGAGCCUUAUAAACAGUCACAUUAUCGUCCGGGUCCGUCUUCUUCUUAAAGAUCCAUUUGUUCUGAAUAUCCUUGCGACCUUCAGGUAAUACUUCUGAAGUCCACACUUUGUUUUCAUACAUAGAUCCUAUCUCGGACUUCAUGGCCUCUAACCAUUUGUUGGAAUCCGGACCCACCAUUGCUUCUUCAUAAUUCAGAGGCUCAAUGUUGUCUAACAACAUGAUAGAUAAGACAGGAUUCCCGUACCACUCGGGAUCAGUAUGUGAUCUUGUCGACCUCCGAGGUCCGACAGUAACUUGAUCCAAAGCUUCAUGAUCAUCAUCAUUAGCUUCCUCCUCAACAGGUGUUGCCUCGACAGAGAUUUCUCUCUGCCCUGCGCCAUCAUCUAGAGGGAGCAGAGGUUCCACAACCUCAUCAAGUUCUAUCUUCCUCCCACUCAAUUCUUUCGAGAGAAACUUCUUCUCAAGAAAAGCUACGUUCUUAGCAACAAACACUUUGCCCUCGGAUCUGAGAUAGAAGGUGUACCCAACUGUCUCUUUUGGGUAACCUAUGAAGACGCUUUUUUCCGCUUUGGGUUCCAGCUUUUCAGGCUGAAGCUUUUUGACAUAAGCAUCGCAUCCCCAAACUUUAAGAAAUGACAACUUUGGCCUCUUGCCAUGCCAUAGCUCAUAUGGUGUCCUCUUAACGGAUUUUGAUGGUGCCCUAUUUAAAGUGAAUGCAGCUGUCUCUAAUGCAUAACCCCAAAACGAUAAUGGCAAAUCGCUAAGAGACAUCAUAGAUCGCACCAUAUCUAACAAAGUACGAUUACGAUAUUCGGACACACCAUUAUGCUGUGGUGUUCCAGGCGGUGUCAACUGUGAAACGAUUCCACAUUGUCUUAAGUGAGCACCAAACUCGAAACUCAGAUAUUCACCCCCUCAGUCAGAUCGUAGGAACUUGAUCUUCUUGUUACGAUGAUUUUCAACUUCACUCUGAAAUUGCUUGAUAUUUUCAAAUAUUUCAGACUUGUUCUUCAUCAAGUAGAUAUAUCCAUACCUACUCAAAUCAUCAGUGAAGGUGAGAAAAUAACGAUAUCCGCUGCGCACCUCCACACUCAUUGGACCGCACACAUCAGUAUGUAUGAUCUCCAAUAAGUCACUUGCACGCUCCAUUGUUUCGGAGAACGGAGUCUUAGUCAUCUUGCCCAUGAGGCAUGGUUUGCAUGUGUCAAGUGAUUCUAAAUCAAGUGACUCCAAAAGCCCAUCAGCAUGGAGUAUCUUCAUGCACUUUACACCAAUAUGACCUAAGCGGUAGUGCCACAAGAAGGUGGUGCUAUCAUUGUUAACUCUACAUCUUUUGGUCUCAAUGUUAUGUAUAUGUGUGUCAUCACAAUCAAGAUUCAAUAUGAACAAACCCCUCACAUUGGGUGCAUGACCAUAAAAGAUAUUACUCAUAAAAAUAGAACAACCAUUAUUCUCUGACUUAAAUGAGUAACCGUCUCGCAAUAAACAAGAUCCAGAUAUAAUGUUCAUGCUUAACGCAUGCACUAAAUAACAAUUAUUUAAGUUCAUAACUAAUCGUGAUGGUAACUAAAGUGAGACUGUGCCGACGGCGAUUGCAUCAUCCUUGGAACCAUUUCCUACGCGCAUCGUCACUUCAUCCUUCGCCAACCUUCGUUUAUUCUGCAGUUCCUGCUUCGAGUUGCAAAUAUGAGCAACAGAACCGGUAUCAAAUACCCAGGCACUACUACGAGAGUUGGUUAGGUACACAUGAAUAACAUGUAUAUCACAUAUACCUGGUUUGGCGUUGGUGGCCUUCUUAUCAGCCAAAUACUUGGGGCAGUUGCGCUUCCAGUGACCCAUCCCCUUGCAAUAAUAUCACUCUGUUUCUGGCUUAGGUCCAGCCUUGGUUUCUUCGUCGGAUUGGCAACAAUUUUGCUGCUCUUCUUAGAGUUACCCUUCUUGCGUUUGUCGUUUCUCUUAAAACCAGUGGUCUUAUUGACCAUCAACACUUGAUGUUCUUUCCGGAGUUCUAACUCUACAACUUUCAGCAUCGCGAAUAACUCGCCCGGUGACUUGUUCAUCCCUUGGAUGUUAUAGUUCAACACAAAGAUCUUAUAGCUAGGUGGGAGUGAUUGCAAAAUUCUGUCAGUGAUAGCCUCUUGCAGGAGUUCAAUCCCCAGCUCAGCUAGACAGUUUGAGUACCCAGACAUUUUUAGCACAUGUUCACUAACAAACAAAUUCUCCUUCAUUUUGCAAGCAUAGAAUUUAUCGGAGGUCUCAUACCUCUGGAUCCGGGCGUUCUUCUAAAGGAUAAACUUCAACUCCUGGAACAUCUCAUAUGCUCCAUGAAAUUCAAAGCGUCGUUGAAGUCCCGGUUCCAAGCCAUACAAGACUGCACAUUGAACUACUGAGCAGUCCUCCUUACGUGAUUGCCUAGCGUUCAAAACAUCUUGGUCAAACGUAGCGGGUGGUUCAUCUCCUAGCGCUGCAUCAAGGACAUAAGUCUUUUUCCUAGCUUGUAGGAUGAACCUUAGAUUAUGAGCCCAGUCUACAAAGUUGCUACCAUCAUCUUUCAGCUUAGCUUUCUCUAGGAACGUAUUGAAAUUCAGGGUUGCUACUGCGUGAGCCAUUGAUCUACAACAUAAAAUAUUGCAAAGUGGACUUAGACUAUGUUCAAGAUAAUUUAGAGUUUAACUAAUCAAAUUACUAAUAAAAUCCCACUCAAAUAGACAUCCCUCUAGUUAAUUGAGUGUUAUGUGAUCCAAAUUCACUAACUCAAGUCCGAUCAUCACGUGAGUUGAGUAUAGUUUCAAUGGUAAAAAUCUCUAUGCUAAUCAUAUCAACUAUACAAUUCAUGCUCGACCUUUCGGUAUCUUGUGUUCGAGGCCAUGCCUGUACAUGCUAGGCUCUUCAAGUUUAACCCGAGUGUUCCACGUGUGCAACUGUUUUGCACCCGUUGUAUGUCUACCUUGAGUCUAUCACACCCGAUCAUCACGUGGUGUCUCGAAACGACGAACUAUCGCAACGGUGCACAGUCGGGGAGAACUCAAUUUUAUCUUGAAAUUUAGCGAGGGAUCACCUUAUAAUGCUACCGUCGUUCUGAGRAAGAUAAGGUGCAUAAAAGKAUUAACAUCACAUGCAAUUCAUAAGUGACAUGAUAUGGCCAUGAUCCUGUGCUUCUGGAUCUCUAGCACCAAGCACCGGCAUGAUCUUCAUCGUCACCAGCGGCACCCCAUGAUCUCCAUCAUCAUGAUCUCUAUCAUCGUGCCGCCAUCGAGGUUGUCGUGCUAUCUAUGCUAUUAGUACUAAAGCUACAACCUAGCAAUAUAGUAACCGCAUCUGCAAGCACAAACGUUAGUUCAAGGACAACCCUAUGGCUCCUGCCGGUUGUCGUAGCAUCGACGUGCAAGUCGAUAUUUAACUAUUACAACAUGAUCAUUUCAUACAUCCAAUAUAUCACAUCAUGUCUUUGGCCAUAUCACAUCACAUGCAUACCCUGCAAAAGCAAGUUAGACGUCCUCUAAUUUGUUGUUGCAUGUUUUACGUGGCUGCUACGAGUAUCUAGUAUGACCGCAACUUACUUAAGCAAAGACACAACGGUGAUAUGCAAAUUGCUAUUUAACCUUUCUCCAAGGACCGUCUCGGUAAAAUCUGAUUCAACUAAAGUUGAUGAAACAUACACCCGCGAGUCAUGUUUAUGCAACAAGUUGCAUGUUAGUCGAUGAAACCAGUCUCUUGUAAGCGUACGAGUAAGGUUGGUCCGGGCCGCUUUAAUCCAACAAUACCGCCGAAUCGAGAAAAGACUAAGGAGGGCAGCAAAUCGUACAUCAACGCCCACAAAAACUUUUGUGUUCUACUCGAGAUUACAUCUACGCAUGAACCUAGCUCAUGAUGCCACUGUUGGGGAACGUUGCAUGGGAAAAAAAAAUUCCUACGCACACGAAGACCUAUCAUGGUGAUGAUCAUCUACUGGAGGGAUAUCGGAUCCACAUACACUUGUAGAUCACUAAGCGGAAGCGUUAAUAAACGAGGUUGAUGUAGUGGUACGGCUUCACGAUCCGUCCCACGAACCGUCCCACGAUCCCUCCAUGAACGUUCUCAAGAUCCCUCCCACGAUCCGUCCCGAUCAAGUGCCGAACCGACGGCACCUCCGCGUUCCGCACACGUAUAUCUCGAUGACGAUCUCCACCUUCUUGAUCCAGCAAGAAAGGCGGGGAUGUAGAUGAGUUCCCCGACAGCGUGACGGCGCUCUGGUAGUGGUGGUGAUCUAUUCCUGCAGGGCUCCGCCCGAGCUCCGCAGAAAACCGAUCUAGAGGAAGAACUACGAUCUAUAUGAGAGGGCAGCACGUGGCAAAGUUGUGUCUCAAACAGCCCUAAACCUCUAGUAUACAUAGGAGGAGGGAGGGGCAGGCCUUCCGCCACAAGGGAGGAGCCCUUGGGCCGGCCGAAGUGGAGGAGGGAGGAGUCCUCCUCCAACUCCACUUGGAUUAGGACUCCUUCCUUAAUUUCCCACCUCUUUUGGAUUUCUCACUUUUUCCUCAUGGGCUUUCCUUGGAUGACUUUGUCAGCCCAUUGUGCCUUAUUAGGCAUCCAAUAAACCCACGUGGACCCCUUGGGGCGUGGUGGGCUCACCCAGUGGGACCCCGGAACCCAUUCGUCACUCCCGGUACACUGCCGGCAAUGCCCGAAAACCUUCCGGAAUCCAAAUACCAACUUCCUAUAUAUCAAUCUUCGUUUCCAGACCAUUCCGGAACUCCUCGUAACGUCUGGGAUAUCAUCCGGGACUCCGAACAAAAUUCGGUCACCAACACAUAUAACUCAACUAUACUGAAAUGUCACCGAACCUUAAGUGUGCAGACCCUCCGGGUUCGAGAACUAUGCAAACAUGACCUGAGACACUCUCUGGUCAAUAACCAAUAGCAGGACCUGGAUGUCCAUAUUGCCUCCUACAUAUUCUACGAAGAUCUCUAUCGGUUGAACCUCUUUGUCAAGGAUUCAUAUAAUCCCGUAUACUAUUCCCUUUGUCCUUCGGUAUGUUACUUGCCCGAGAUUCGAUCGUCGGUAUCUCUAUACCUAGUUCAAUCUCAUUACCGGCAAGACUCUUUACUCGUUCCGUAAUACAAGAUCCCGUAACUAACUCCAUAGUCACAUUGCUUGCAAGGCUUAUUGUGAUGUUGUAUUACCGAGUGGGCCCCGAGAUACCUCUCCGUCACACGGAGUGACAAAUCCCAGUCUUGAUCCAUGCCAACCCAACAGACACCUUUGGAUAUACCUGUAGAGCACCUUUAUAGUCACCCAGUUACGUUGCGACGUUCGAUAACCCACAAGGUAUUCCUCCGGUUUCCAGGAGUUGCAUGAUCUCAUGGUAAUACGAACAGAUACAUUGACAUGCAGAAAACAGUAGCAAUAAACUGACACGAUCAUACGCUACGUUUAUAGUUUAGGUCUUGUCCAUCACAUUAUUCUCCUAAUGAUGUGAUCCCGUUAUCAAGUGACAACACUUGUCUAUGGUUAGGAAACCUUAACCAUCUUUGAUCAACGAGCUAGUAAACUAGAGACUUACUAGGGACAGUGUUUUGUCUAUGUAUCCACACAUGUAUUUGUGUUUCCAAUCAAUACAAUUAUAGCAUGGAUAAUAAAUGAUUAUCAUAAAAAAUAUAUAAUAAUAACUAAUUUAUUAUUGUCUUUAGGGCAUACUUCCAACAUCGGCUAACCGAUCCAAGUCCAAGGCGCCACCACCGACCACCAUUGGCCUUGUGAUCUGCCGGCAACAACAACGGUGAGCGUUUUUGGUCAUCCUGGGAUGCAGUGCACCAAAGAACGGAGAUGACCCUUAUCACUCUAGCCAUCCUCCGGUGAACGUCCCUAUACACAUCUAUCCGUGCGCACAAAUCAUUCUAGCCUUACACCGAUGCAUGAAGAUCUCUGUUGAAUUGUUUUUCGUCUCACACACUCUUCCGCGCCUUUCGUCGAAGCCGUUGCCCACAGCCUGGCUACCGCCGUCAGCCAAACAGGCUUUGCUUGGCUUGUUUUUUAAGAGAUGAGAUAUAGGCUUGUUUUUUUUCUUUUUUCCGGGGUAGAUAUAGGCUUGUUGAUGUGCCUAGGGGCUCCUUUUCCUUUCCUUCGAACGUUGAUCAACCUUUUUUCUUUAAACGCGGUCCCUUAAGGACCUAUUCACUAAAAUAGGUUGAAGAGAAUUGCCGAGUUAAUUAACGAAAAACCGGGUGAAAUCGGAUACAACACGCCCGAAAAAACAAGGCCCACUGGGUGACUUGGCAACCCACACAUGUUUUCGAAGAGACAAGCAUCGAAGCCUGCGCCGGCGAAAGCCAAACAGUACACCGCACACACGGACAACCAGGCAGCUCCGACUCCAACCACGAGCAUUACAGGAAAAAAGCAUUAGACCCGCGACGAGCCGGUACCACAACCGACCAUCCGUCUCAUGUCAUCGUCACCGCGGAGACACCUCCUCUGCAGCUCCGACUUCAGGAAGACAAGUGAGGCACAGAAAUCCCUCGAACACGCCGGAAGAGAUCGACUACCAAAGCCCAACAGCAAACCAACUCCCCCGCAGCCACCAUCGUUGCCACCGAAUAAGCUGCACUGUAUCACCAUUGCCGGACGAACACCUGUCGAACGCAAUGUCGCGCGCGUCCAGCCCAAGGAGCGCGCAAACGAGAUCCAAAGCUCUUCAGGAUGAUGCCCCAAAGAAGGAAGCGACGAUGUCGACACCGUCGCCCGACCCGACUGGGCCUUAGGCUUUCACCCGAAGAGCUAGAACCGAGGGCGUGUACGGGGUGGACUCCACAAUGACUCCUCCAUGGAGGUAUCACAACAUCCACGGACGUCGACGCCGCCGGCCGGUAAGACCGGCGAACUUUCGCGCCGAGCACCGCCAAACACCACACCCACACGCAAAGCACCGCACCGCUAACCCGCACACCUCCCACGAAGUCAUCACGACAUGACAAGAGAAGCUAGUAGAAACCUCAUCGAUGACCAGAGACACCAUCGAGCCCGAGCCAGCCGAAAACGACCAGAUCCGGUAUCCCACCGCUGGUGCAACACCCGGAAGUCCACCAAAGACUGACACGUCGUUGGACAACGCAAAAAUGAGCCCUAUAUAGCAGGAAGGGGAGGGCCGCACACGCCCCGACUCGUCGGAGAUGUGCGUCCGGGCCUAAGAACCGAAGCCCGCGGACGAAGCAAAAGUGGCUGCCACCCACGAGAGACGCUGCUCGGAGCCGAAGGAGCCAUAGGGACGAGUCCGAGAGGCCAACCUGCACUGUUGCCGAGGCCACUGGCCCGCCUGGAGCCGCCUAGCCGCGCAACCGGAAGGGGAUCGAACCACCGCUACGUCGAGCUCCCACCGCCAGACAAGGAGAGAUGACCCCGUCGCACGCCGCGCCCUGCCCUCCCCCGUCGCGACGACCCCGACCGCGACGACCCACGCCGGAGAAGCCUACGCGAGCGCCGCGUCGAACUCCCGAAGGAGCGGACGGCCCACGCUGUCCAAGUCCGAUCUGGAGGAGGGGAGGGCCCUGCUGCCGCCGAGCCACGCGGGCUUUGCCCGGCGACCCCGCCGGCGACGGCAAGGAGAGGAGGGGACAUGCGGGACGGCGCUGGCGACGGCUAGGGUUCACUCCCUGGCCGCCGGUGGGAGCGACCUGGAGGUGGGUGGGUGUGUUUCGUCGUUGAUCAACAUUAUUUUCCUGCUUCCAUAAAUCAAUGAACGCGAGCAAGUCUGGAUCUUUCAAAAAUAAAAACCGGGCCCAUUUUUAUCAAAUUCGGCAGAUACAUCUCUCAGGCCGAUCAUAAAGAAAAGUUUUAGCUUUCAGUAAACGUUUGCUUCCCGUUUGAGCUGACGCUUAGCUGCAUGUUUAGUUGUGAUAUGGGAUCACGCCAUGUUGAAUGUGAACAGAUUUUGUCGAACCAAGUUUAUAUAUGAACGAAUACAUUCGGGGAUGAGCUGUCUCUCUUACUGAUUGCUCAACUAUACAUAAACACAAUCAAUAUUUUAUUUUGUAUUAUCACAAUGAUAAGGGAAACAAUAACACACAACCAUCGAUCAUUCUUAACAACCCGUACGAUCGAUGCACUAAACGUAAGCAACUAUUGUGCGCACGCAAAUUUAAAAACCUCUACCGGCAAGCCGGCAUCGGUCAAGCCGUCGGGUAGAAGGGCGAGGUGGCGAGGGCACAUGUGCCCGUCGGCCCGACAACGUCCUUGGCGAGGUAGAUGUAUCCCUGGUCGCCCCAAUCGUUGCUCCACGAGUUCUUGGCUAUCCAAAACUUCUCACCGAACUCCUCGCAGUAGCCGACAAUGGUGACGGCGUGGUUGACCCUCGCGGCGUCGGAGGAGCAGGGGCCCCGGAAGAUGCCGCCGGAGUAGAACUGGAACUCCCACGUGCUGGCGUCGAUGUACACCGUCACGGGCUGCCGCGCCACUGCCACGCGCCGAGCGUGCCGCUCGUUGUUGGGCGGCACGGCCUUGAAUCCCUUGACGGACGCCUGGUGGUCGAACAACAGCUUGUCCACGUCGCACGGUGCCCGUUCGAAGCCGCUGUACGGGUACCGUCUCCUCUGACGUGAUGCCGCCGCGGGCAGCCACGAGGCCCAGGGCAGUGUCUGUGCGGCCGCCGCUGCAGCCACUGCUACCGGUGUCGCAGUCCACAAGCUGCUGCUCCGACAGAGACACCAGUUCGCCGGUCCUGAUCUUGUUCAUGCCCUCGAUGGCCGCCACGGCCGCGAAUGCCCAGCAUGACACUGCCAUAUACAUGUUCGUUAGUCGUUACUCUACGAGAACUGACCAAAAUAUGUAAAGUUAUAAACCUGAGCAGGAGUUUGCUAGCUUGACUUACAGCAAGAACCCUGAAACUUGACGCCGGUGACGGCGCCGCUCGAGCGCCAGUCAACGCAGCACGGUUUCCAUGAGUCGUAGGGGAGCGGGGUUGGAGGCUCUGGGGUGAAGACGGAGUUGUUGAACCCGGUGAACUGCUCGGCGACCUCGCUGGGGUUGAGAUCGCCGAAUCUGUUCAUGCCGACCCUGACCGUCGUGACGGUCUGGGGGCCGAACGAGCCGACGCCGCCGUUGACCGUUGUCUGGCUGGCGAAAGCGCCGAUGGAGUUGGUGUUCGUCUUGAAGAUUCCGAACCGCUUCUCCUGCUCCUCGUGGCUCGGGUAGCGCUUCGAGUACUUGGUUUGCCACCUCGUCCACCUGGACCUCACCUCGGAUUCCGGCAGCUCCCAUGAUGGCCGCUGCGGCGGGUCUGCCGCGGUCAGCGAUGCCUGCAGCAGGCAGGCGAUGCCCAAGAGUAGGACUAGGCAAGGCAUUGAAGAAGCCAUUUUGAUUGAUUAACUUAGGCUGUGUGGAAAUGCAUGCACCGGGUUAAUGUUUAUAUAGGCGCUUUGGUGAUGCGUGGGUUAGCACGUCGCUGUGGCUGCAGGCUGAGUCAUUAGGUGUGGCCAGCGGAGCUAAUCCUUGAAGACGACUAUGGGUCAUGGAGGUGUGUCAGAUGAGUACCCAGUAGGAUGGUUCAAUUAGCUAGUGAAGGGAAAUGCCUUACAUCUGUAAUCUGAUCCCACGUUUUGUUAGGACUCGUUUCUACUCCCUCCGUUCCUAAAUAUAAGUCUUUAAAGAUGUUUCAUUAGUGAACUACAUACGGAUGUAUAUAAACAUACUUUAGAGUGUAGAUUCAUUCAUUUUACUCCGUAUGUAGACUUCUAAUGAAAUAUACUUAAAAGACUUAUAUUUAGGAACGGAGUGAGUACUGAACAAGCGAAACGUUUUCGUUUAUAAAAACAAUAAUUCAUUACACUAAGUUUGUUACGCAAACAUAUGCAAACAUAUAGGGGGCUGCUACACANNNNNNNNNNNNNNNNNNNNNNNNNNNNNNNNNNNNNNNNNNNNNNNNNNNNNNNNNNNNNNNNNNNNNNNNNNNNNNNNNNNNNNNNNNNNNNNNNNNNNNNNNNNNNNNNNNNNNNNNNNNNNNNNNNNNNNNNNNNNNNNNNNNNNNNNNNNNNNNNNNNNNNNNNNNNNNNNNNNNNNNNNNNNNNNNNNNNNNNNNNNNNNNNNNNNNNNNNNNNNNNNNNNNNNNNNNNNNNNNNNNNNNNNNNNNNNNNNNNNNNNNNNNNNNNNNNNNNNNNNNNNNNNNNNNNNNNNNNNNNNNNNNNNNNNNNNNNNNNNNNNNNNNNNNNNNNNNNNNNNNNNNNNNNNNNNNNNNNNNNNNNNNNNNNNNNNNNNNNNNNNNNNNNNNNNNNNNNNNNNNNNNNNNNNNNNNNNNNNNNNNNNNNNNNNNNNNNNNNNNNNNNNNNNNNNNNNNNNNNNNNNNNNNNNNNNNNNNNNNNNNNNNNNNNNNNNNNNNNNNNNNNNNNNNNNNNNNNNNNNNNNNNNNNNNNNNNNNNNNNNNNNNNNNNNNNNNNNNNNNNNNNNNNNNNNNNNNNNNNNNNNNNNNNNNNNNNNNNNNNNNNNNNNNNNNNNNNNNNNNNNNNNNNNNNNNNNUUGUCGAAUAUGCUAGCGAUUGCUCGUCCUUGUUCUUUCUCGAGGAAAAAGUGACUAAAAACAGUAGGGGGACUAAUUAUUGCACAUGCAGUAAGUUCACAAACUGGGUUUUAAUUUUUUAUUUAAUAAAAUUGUUGAAGAGAUAGUGCGCGAUUUGGUCUAAUCGCUUGAACAGUUACGUCACGCCCCCUGCCCCCUUCUCCUUAGUGUAGGGCGUAACACUGACCUGAAAUGCAAUGAUGUGUGUGUAUGUCUUUCGUGGAUCAGAAGGUUGCAUUCUCACAGGGAUCAACCAAUUUGGGGAUACAAGUAGCUAGGGUUCUACAUCAAGAAGGGGGUUAGGAUUAGAGUCGAGGGAUGGGAAGGAAGGUCUCACCCAACGGCACCGUUAGUUCGGUGAUCCAGCGAUGUCCACACACACACACACGUAGAGACUAGCCCUAAAUACACUCACUCUACCCAGUCAUUACCACACACGCGAUGUUGGGGAACGUUGCAUGGAAAAAAAAUUCCUACGCACACGAAGACCUAUCAUGGUGAUGUUCAUCUACGAGAGGGAGAUCGAAUCCACAUACCCUUGUAGAUCGCUAAGCGGGAAGCGUUAAGAAACGCAGUUGAUGUAGUGGAACAACUUCGUGAUUCAAAUCACCGUCGUCCCAUGAUCCAUUCCGAUCAAGCGCCGAACGGACGGCACCUCCGCGUUCAGCACACGUACAGCUCGAUGACGAUCUCCGCCUUCUUGAUCCAACAAGAGAGACGGAGAAGUAGAUGAGUUCUCCGGCAGCGUGACGGCGCGCCGGUGAUGGUGAUGAUCUAUUCCUGCAGGGCUCCGUCCGAGCUCCGCAGAAAACCGAUCUAGAGGAAGAACUACGAAGUAGAGGUUCAGGGUUGUGCGUAGUUGGGUAACGUAGCAUAAAUUCAAAAUUUUCCGACGCAUAUUCAGAUCUUCCUAUGGAGAGACCAGCAACGAGAGAGGGGUAAGAGCAUCUUCAUACCUUUGAAGAUCGCUAAGCGGAAGCGUUGCUAGAACGCGGUUGAUGGAGUCGUACUCGCAGCGAUUCCGAUCUAGUGCCGAACUACGACACCUCCGCGUUCAACACACGUGCAGCCCGGUGACGUCUCCCGCACCUUGAUCCAGCAAGGAGGAGGGAGAGGUUGGGGAAGAACUCCAGCAGCACGACGGCGUGGUGUCGAUGGAAAGACGAGGUCUCCCGGGAGGGCUUCGCCAAGCACCGGCAGAUAGGAGGAGGAAGAAGGGCAGGGCUGCGCCGAGAGAGAGGNNNNNNNNNNNNNNNNNNNNNNNNNNNNNNNNNNNNNNNNNNNNNNNNNNNNNNNNNNNNNNNNNNNNNNNNNNNNNNNNNNNNNNNNNNNNNNNNNNNNCCUCUCUCUCGGCGCAGCCCUGCCCUUCUUGCUCCUCCUCUCUGCCGGUGCUUGGCGACGCCCUGCCGGGAGACCUCGUCUCUCCAUCGACACCACGCCGUCAUGCUACUGGAGUUCUUCCCCAACCUCUCCCUCCUCCCUGCUGGAUCAAGGUGCGGGAGAAGUCACCGGGCUGCAUGUGUGUUGAACAUGGAGGUGUCGUAGUUCGGCACUAGAUCGGAAUCGCUGCGAGUACGACUCCAUCAACCGUGUUCUAGCAAUGCUUACGCUUAGAGAUCUUCAAAGGUAUGAAGAUGCUCUUACCCCUCUCUCGUUGUUGGUCUCUCCAUUGGAAGAUCUUUAUAUGCGUAGGAAAAUUUUGAAUUUAUGCUACGUUACACAAUAGUGGCAUCCGAGCCAGGUUUUCUAUGCGUAGAUUCUAUGCACGAGUAGAACACAAAAGUUGUGGGCGAUGAUUUGUCAAUUUGCUUACUGCUACUAGUCUUAUUAUUUUCCGGCGGUAUUGUGGGAAGAAGCGGCCCGGACCGACUUUACACGUACGCUUACGUGAGACUAGUUCCACCGACAGACAUGCACACCGUGCAUAAAGGUGGCUAGCGGGUGUCUGUCUCUCCUACUCUAGUCGGAUUGGAUUUGAUGAAAAGGGUCCUUAUGAAGGGUAAAUAGCUUUGGCAUAUCAUCGUUGUGGCUGUCACGUAGGUAAGAAGGCGCUCUUGCUAGAAACCCAAAUCAGCCACGUAAAACUUGCAACAACAAUUAGAGGACGUCUAACUUGUUUUUGCAGGGUUUGACAUGUGAUGUGAUAUGGCCAAAGUUGUGAUGUUGCAUGUAUGAUGUAUGAGAUGAUCAUGUUAUUGUAAUAGGUUUCACGACUUGCAUGUCGAUGAGUAUGACAACCGGCAGGAGCCAUAGGAGUUGUCUUAAUUUAUUGUAUGAGAUGCAACGCCAUGUGCUUACUACUUUUACUUCAUUGCUAACGGUUAGCUAUAGUAGUAGUGAUAGUAGUAAUUGGCGUGACGACUUCACGGAGACACGAUGAUGGAGAUCAUGGUGUCACGCCGGUGACGAUGAUGAUCAUGCGAUGCCUGAAGAUGGAGAUCGAAAUGGCGAAGAUGAUAAUGGCCAUAUCAUCUCACUAUAUGAUUGCAUUGUGAUGUUUAUCAUGUUUUACAUCUUAUUGCUUAGAACGACGGUAGCAUAAUAAGAUGAUCCCUCUUAAAAUUUUGAGAACGUAUUCCCCUAAGUGUGCACCAUUGCGAAGGUUCGUUGUCUCGAAGCACCACGUGAUGAUCGGGUGUGAUAGAUUCUAACGUUCGCAUACAACGGGUGUAAGCCAGAUUUACACACGCGAAACACCUAGGUUGACUCGACAAGCUUAGCAUGUACAUACAUGACCUCGAAUACAAGAGACCGAAAGGUCGAACAUGAGUCGUAUGGUUGAAUACGAUCAGCAUGAAGUUUCUCACCAUGGUGACUAGUCCGUCUCACGUGAUGAUCGGACACGGGUUAGUCAACAUGGAUCAUGUAUCACUUAGAUGACUAGAGGGAUGUCGAUUUAAGUGGGAGUUCAUACUUAAUUUGAUUAAAUGAACUUAAUUGUCAUGAACUUAGUCUAAAAGUUGUCUUUAUAAAUAUUGUAGAUGGCCAACGUCAACCUCAAUUUCAACGCAUUCCUAGAGAAAAACAAGCUGAAAGAUGACGGUAGCAACUAUGCGGACUGGGUUCGCAACUUGAAGCUCAUCCUUGAAGCAGCUGAAAAGGCUUAUGUCCUUGAUGCGCCGCUAGGUGACCCUCCCACUCCCGCAGCAGCCUAUGACAUUCUGAAUGUCUAGCAAACGCGGAGUGAUGACUACUCUCUGGUUAGGCGUGGCAUGUUAUACAGUUUAGAAACGGGGCUCCAAAGGCAUUUUGAGCAACACGGGGCAUAUGAGAUGUUCCAGGAGCUGAAGCUAGUUUUUCAAGCUCAUGCCCGUGUCGAGAGAUAUGAAGUCUCCGACAAGUUCUUUAGCUGUAAGAUGGAGGAGAACAGUUCUGUCAGUGAGCACAUACUCAAAAUGUCUGGGUUACACGGUCGUUUGACUUCACUUGGAGUCGAACUUCCGGAUGAUGCUAUAAUUAACAGAAUCCUCGAGUCUCUCCCACCAAGCUACAAAGGCUUUAUGCUUAACUACAACAUGCAAGGGAUGGAGAAUACCAUUCCCGAGUUGUACUCGAUGCUCAAGUCUGCAGAAGUAGAAAUCAAGAAAGAGCAUCAAGUGUUGAUGGUCAACAAGACCACUAGUUUCAAGAAAGGCAAGGGUAAGAAGAACUUCAAGAAAGACGGCAAAGCUGUUGCCGCGCCCGGUAAGCUAGAUGCCGGGAAGAAGAAAAAGAAUAGACCCAAGCCUGAGACUGAGUGCUUCUAUUGCAAAGGAAAAGGUCACUGGAGGCGGAACUGCCCCAAAUACUUAGCGGACAAGAAGGCCGGCAACGUUAAAGGUAUAUGUGAUAUACAUGUUAUUGAUGUGUACCUUACCAGCGCUCGUAGUAGCUCCUGGGUAUUUGAUACCAGUGUUGUUGCUCACAUUUGCAACUCAAAGCAGGAACUGCGGAAUAAGCGGAGACUAGCCAAGGACGAGUGACGAUGCGCGUCGGGAAUGGUUCAAAGGUCGAUGUGAUCGCCGUCGGCACGCUACCUCUACAUCUACCGUCGAGAUUAGUUUUAAACCUUAAUAAUUGUUAUUUAGUACCAGCUUUAAGCAUGAACAUUGUAUCAGGGUCUUGCUUAAUGCGAGACGGCUACUCAUUUAAGUCAGAGAAUAAUGGUUUUUCUAUUUAUAUGAGUGAUAUGUUUUAUGGUCAUGCUCCGCUGGUGAAUGGUUUAUUCUUGAUGAAUCUCGAUCGUGAUGUUACACAUAUUCAUAGUGUGAGUACCAAAAGAUGUAAAGUUGAUAAUGAUAGUCCCACGUACUUGUGGCACUGCCGCCUUGGUCAUAUCGGCGUUAAGCGCAUGAAGAAGCUCCAUACUGAUGGACUAUUAGAGUCUCUUGACUUUGAAUCAUUUGACACAUGCGAACCGUGCCUUAUGGGCAAGAUGACUAAGACUCCAUUCUCAGGAAUAAUGGAGAGAGCAACCGACUUAUUGGAAAUAAUACAUACUGAUGUGUGUGGUCCAAUGAACGUUGAAGCUCGCGGUGGCUAUCGUGAUGUUCUCACUCUCACGAUGAUUUGAGUACGUAUGGGUAUAUCUACUUAAUGAAGCACAAAUCUGAGACGUUUGAAAAGUUCAAGGAAUUUCAGAGUGAGGUCAAGAAUCAACGUGACAGAAAAAUUAAGUGUCUACGAUCUGAUCGUGGAGGAGAAUAUUCGAAUCAUGAGUUUGGCACACACCUAAGGAAGUGUGGAAUCAUUUCACAAUUGAUGCCACUGGCACACCGCAACGCAACGGAGUGUCUGAACGUCGUAAUCGCACUUUAUUAGAUAUGGUACAAUCUAUGAUGUCUCUUACCGACUUACCGCUAUCAUUUUGGGGAUACGCAUUAGAAACUGCAGCAUUCACUUUAAAUAGGGCACCAUCUAAAUCCGUUGAGACGACACCGUAUGAACUAUGGUUUGGCAAGAAAUCUAAGUUGUCGUUUCUUAAAGUUUGGGGCUGCGAUGCUUAUGUGAAGAAACUUCAACCAGAAAAGCUCGAACCCAAAGCGGAGAAAUACGUAUUCAUAGGAUACCCUAAGGAAACUAUUGGGUAUACCUUCUAUCUUAGAUCCGAAGGUAAAACCUUUGUUGCCAAGAAUGGAUCCUUUCAAGAGAAAGAGUUUCUCUCGGAAGAAGUAAGUGGGAGGAAGGUAGAACUUGAUGAGGUAAUUACACCCCCUCUCGAAUAGGAUAGUAGUGCAGGGCAGGAAGUUGUUCCUGUGGCGCCUACACCAACUGAAGAGGAAGUUAAUGAUGAUGAUCAUGAAGCUUCGGAUCAAGUUACUACUGAACCGCGAAGGUCCACAAGGGCACGCUCCGCACCAGAGUGGUACGGCAACCCUGUGAUGGAAAUCAUGUUGUUAGACAACGGUGAACCUUCGAACUAUGAAGAAGUGAUGGCGGGCCCGGAUUCCAACAAAUAGCUUGAGGCUAUGAAAUCCGAGAUAGGAUCCAUGUAUGAGAACAAAGUAUGGACUUUGGUGGACUUGCCCGAUGACCGGCGAGCCAUAGAAAAUAAAUGGAUCUUCAAGCAGAAGACUGAUGCAAACGGUAAUGUAACCGUUUACAAAGCUCGACUUGUCGCAAAGGGUUUUCGACAAAUUCAAGGAGUUGACUACGAAGAGACUUUCUCUCCCGUAGCGAAGCUGAAAUCAGUCCGAAUCAUGUUAGCAAUUGCCGCCUUUUUUGAUUAUGAAAUUUGGCAAAUGGACGUCAAAACAGCGUUCCUUAACGGGAACCUUACACUAGUAGAAAAAGGGCCUUUGGCCUGGACCCUUUAGUCCCGGCCUACCUCUGGGCCGGGACUAAAGGCUCGGCCACGUCGCCCCAAAUCACACGAGGCUUUGGUCCCGGCCCGUAAGGAGCCUUUAGUCCCGGUUUGUGUCUCGAACCGGGACUAAAGGGUUUGGAGGAUUUAGUCCCGGUUCGUGUCUUGGACCUUUAGUCCCGGUUCGUGUCUCGAACCGGGACUAAAGGGUUUGGAGGAUUUAGUCCCGGUUGGUGUCUUGAACCGGGACUAAAGGGUAGACCUUUAGUCCCGGUUCGUGACUAGUCCCAGUUCGUGUCUUGGACCUUUAGUCUCGGUUCGUGUCUCGAACCGGGACUAAAGGGUUUGGAGGAUUUAGUCCCGGUUGGUGUCUUGAACCGGGACUAAAGUGUAGACCUUUAGUCCCGGUUCGUGACACGAACCGGGACUAAAGGUGUUCAGAUUUUUUUUGUGUUUUUAAAUUCUUGUUUGUAGUUUCUAUUUUAAAUUGCUUAUAUCUUUUAGGAUAUUUGAUGUUUUUGAUUGAUUCUUUUUGCAUUAGAUUCAAAAUUUUGUCUAGUUUCUGUUUGUGCCAUUAGUUUUCAAAUUUGAAUGGAUUAAAUUUGAAUUUGUUUAAAUUUGCUUCAAACCCAGUUUUGAAUAACUUGAGUUUACAAAUAGUUUUGAAUUUAAUUCUUUUUGCUCCCACUCAUGUGUUAGAUUGUUGUCACAGUAAUAUUUAUUUGGUUAUUUUUAGAAUAAUUUAAAUUAGGAUUUUAAUUAAAGAAAUAUUGUUUUUCUUAUAUAGUUGUUUUAGUCAUUUAAUUGUUGUUUUUUAUUAUUUUUAGUUAGUUCUUUCUGUAGAUUUUUAACAUGUUGUAGUAUGGUGCAUAUUUAGUGCACAAAAAAAUCUACAGUUCAAUUGAUUGUAAAAAAAAUGCCUUUGUAGCAGAUGGGUUUUCGUCUGAAACCUUGAUACUUUGAGUUUUGUAGAAAAUAAACAAAAAUGAUAAAAUCUUCAAAAAAUAAACAAAAAUGAUAAAAUCUUCAAAAAAUAAAAUCCUUUGAGAUGUUGUUAGGUUUUAGUGUCUAGUCGGUAUAGAAAUUUUGAGAUAUGAAUUUUGACCGUUUUUGCAAAAAAAAGGAAAAAAUAAACGACCAUAACUUUUGCAUACGAUGUCCAAAAAAAAUUAAUAUAUCAAAAAAAACUAGAAAAAAUUGGUACUCGAUUUCACCCGUGCUUGCCCGGUGAAGUUUUCUCACAUGCUCAAAAUUCGAAAUGGAAAAAAAGUUAUUUCAAAAAGAAGUUUUUCCAAAAAAAAGAAAAAUAAUUUUAUUUAAAAAUAUUAGGUUGUUUUCAUUGAAAUUCACUAUUAUUGUUACUUAUUAAGUUUAUUUGAAUAAUUAUUUGUAAUUCAAAAAAUUAAAUCAUGUGACAUGACAUCAAGACCCAAGUUGUUUAGGAUUGAUAGCUUACUAUUGUCAGGAAAACAACAAGUGCACACUUGGCAACUAGGGAAGAUAGAACGAGAAAGUUAAGCGUGCUCGGGCUGAAGUAGUGAAAGGAUGGGUGAUCGGCCGGGAAGUUAGACGAUUUGAAAUGAGUGAUCCACGCUAGAGCAGUGAGGAUGGGUGAUUAGAGAUUAAAUUGUCAAAUAAUUCAAAGAUUAGAAAAUUGGAAUAAAACAUAAAAAAUAUUCAAAAAUAAAAUUUGAAAAAAAGUAAAAAAAAAUCUACCUUUUCGGAUCAAACAAACAAAAAAACAGACGGAUCCUUUAGUCUCGGUUCGUAAGUAGAACCGGGACUAAAGGUACUCCCUCCGAGGCGGCCACGUGGAGCACCUUUGGUCCCGGCUUGGAAUAGGGCCGGGACUAAAGGUUAGGCCUUUAGUCCCGCCCCUUUAGUCCCGGUUGGUGAACCGGGACUAAAGCCCCUUACGGGCCGGGACUAAAGGCCAUGUCCCCACUUAUGUUAAGGAAGAGUUGUAUAUGAUGCAACCAGAAGGUUUUGUCGACCCUAAGGGUGCUAACAAAGUGUGCAAGCUCCAGCGCUCCAUCUAUGGGCUGGUGCAAGCAUCUCCGAGUUGGAACAUUCGCUUUAAUGAGGUGAUUAAAGCGUUUGGGUUCAUACAGGUUUACGGAGAAGCCUGUCUGUACAAGAAAGUGAGUGGGAGCUCUAUAGCUUUCCUCAUACUGUAUGUGGAUGACAUAUUAUUGAUGGGGAAUAAUAUAGAGAUGUUGGAGAGCAUAAAGGCCUAUUUGAACAAGAGUUUUUCAAUGAAGGACCUUGGAGAAGCUGCAUACAUAUUAGGCAUCAAGAUCUAUAGAGAUAGAUCAAGACGCCUCAUAGGUCUUUCGCAAAGUACAUACCUUGACAAGAUAUUGAAGAAGUUCAAUAUGGAAAACUCAAAGAAAGGGUUCUUGACAGUUUUGCAAGGUAUGAGAUUGAGUAAGACUCAGUCGCCGACCACGGCAGCAGAUAGAGAGAAGAUGAGUUCUGUCCCCUAGGCUUCAGCCGUGGGCUCUCUAAUGUAUGCCAUGCUGUGUACGAGACCUGAUCUAAACCUUGCCAUAAGUUUGGUAGGUAUGGAACACUGGACAACGGUCAAGAAUAUCCUUAAGUACCUGAAAACGACAAGGAAAUGUUUCUCGUUUAUGGAGGUGACGAAGAGCUCGUCGUAAAGGGUUACGUCGACGCUAGCUUCGACACAGAUCCGGAUGACUCUAAGUCACAGACCGGAUACGUAUAUGUGUUGAAUGGUGGGGCAGUGAGCUGGUGCAGCAGCAAGCAAGAAGUCGUGGCAGCAUCUACAUGUGAAGCGGAGUACAUAGCUGCCUCAGAAGCACCUCAUGAAGGAAUUUGGAUGAAGGAGCUCAUCACCGACCUUGGAGUGGUUCCAAGCGCGUCGGGUCCAAUGACACUCUUCUGUGAUAACACUGGGCCAUUGCCAUAGCCAAGGAGCCCAGGUUUCACCGGAAAACAAAGCACAUCAAACGCCACUACAACUCCAUCCACGACCAUGUGCAGAGUGGAGUGAUAGAUAUUUGUAAAGUACACAUGGAUCUGAAUAUUGCAGACCCGUUGACUAAACCUCUUCCACGAGCAAAACAUGAUCAACACCAUAAUGCUAUGGGUGUUCGAUACAUCACAAUGUAACUAGAUUAUUGACUCUAGUGCAAGUGGGAGACUGUUGGAAAUAUGCCCUAGAGGCAAUAAUAAAAUGGUUAUUAUCAUAUUUCCUUGUUCAUGAUAAUCGUCUAUUGUUCAUGCUAUAAUUGUAUUAACACGAAACAGUAAUACAUGUGUGAAUAAAUAGAUCACAAAGUGUCCCUAGCAAGCCUCUAGUUGGCUAGCUCGUUAGUCAAUAGAAGAUCAUGGUUUCCUGAUCAUGGGCAUUAGAUGUCAUUGAUAACGGGAUCACAUCAUUAGGAGAAUGAUGUGAUGGACAAGACCCAAUCCUAAGCAUAGCACUAGAUCGUAUUGUUCGUAUGCUAAAGCUUUUCUAAUGUCAAGUAUCUUUUCCUUCGACCAUGAGAUUGUGCAACUCCCGGAUACCGUAGGAGUGCUUUGGGUGUAUCAAACGUCACAACGUAACUGGGUGACUAUAAAGGUGCACUACGGGUACCUCCGAAAGUGUCUGUUGGGUUGGUACGAAUCGAGAUCAGGAUUUGUCACUCCGUGUGACGGAGAGGUAUCUCUGGGCCCACUCAGUAGAACAUCAUCCUGAGCUCAAUGUGACUAAGGAGUUAGUCAAACGAUGACGUGCUACGGAACGAGUAAAGAGACUUACCGGUAACGAGAUUGAACAAGGUAUAGGUAUACCGACGAUCGAAUCUCGGGCAAGUUCUAUACCGAUAGACAAAGGGAAUCGUAUACGGGAUUGAUUGAAUCCUUGACAUCGUGGUUCAUCCGAUGAGAUCAUCGUGGAGCAAGUGGGAGCCACCAUGGGUAUCCAGACCACGCUGAUGGUUAUUGGCCGGAGAGGCGUCUCGGUCAUGUCUGCCUCUCUCCCGAACCCGUAGGGUCUACACACUUAAGGUUCGAUGACGCUAGGGUUAUAGGGAAUUGUUAUACGAGGUUACCGAAAGUUGUUCGGAGUCCCGGAUGAGAUCCCGGACGUCACGAGGAGCUCCGGAAUGGUCCGUAGGUAAAGAUUGAUAUAUAGGACGGAUGGUUUCGGAUACCGGAAGUGUUUUGGGCAUCACCGGUAACGUACCGGGACCACCGGGACCACCGAAGGUGGCCCCGGGGGUCCACCGAAGGGGGGCAGCGACCCCGGGAGGUAAAUUGGGCCAAGUGGGGAAGGGAACCAGCCCCUAGGUUAGCUAGUGCGCCUCCCCACUAAGCCCAAUGCGUGGGGGAGAGAAAAUGGGUGGCAAACCCUAAGCCAGGUGGGCCUAAGGCCCACCAGGGGUGCGCCACACCCCUCCUCCCCCCCUUGGCGCCACACCAGCCCCCAUCUAGGGCUGCCCCCCCCCCCCNNNNNNNNNNNNNNNNNNNNNNNNNNNNNNNNNNNNNNNNNNNNNNNNNNNNNNNNNNNNNNNNNNNNNNNNNNNNNNNNNNNNNNNNNNNNNNNNNNNNGGGAGAGGAUCAUUAAGCUUCGGAUCAAGUUACUACAAACCUCGUAGGUCGACAAGGUCGCGUACUGCUACAGAGUGGUACGGUAACCCUGUCUUGGAGGUCAUGUUGUUGAACAACAAUGAACCUACGAGCUGUGGAGAAGCGAUGGUGAGCUCGGAUUCCGGCAAAUCGCCGGAGGCCAUGAAAUCCGUGAGAGGAUCCGUGUAUGAAAACAAAGUGUAGACUUUGGAAUAACUACUUGAUGGUCGUAAGACUAUUAAGUACAAAUGGAUCUUUAAAAGGAAGACAAACGAUGAUGGUGAAAACUCACCAUUAAGAAAUCUCGACUUGUCGCAAAGAUGUUUCUGACAAGUUCAAAGAGUUUACUAUGAUGAGACUUUCUCACUCGUAGCGAUGCUAAAAGUCUGUUUGAAUUUUGUUAGCAGUUGUUGCAUUAUUUAUGAAAUAUUUCACAUAGGAUGUCAAAACAUUGUUUCCUCGACAGUUUCCUUGAGUAAAGGUUGUAUGUGAUAUAACCAGAAGGUUUUGUCGAUCCUGAGGAUGCUAACAAGUAUGCAAGCUCCAGCGAUCCUUCUAUGGACUGGUGCAAGCCUCUUGGAGUUGGAAUAUACACUUUGAUGAGAUGAUCAAAGCUUUUGGGUUCAUACAAGGUUUAUGAUAAACUUGUGUUUCCACAGAAGUGAGUGGGAGCACUAUAGAAUUUUUGAUAAGUAUAUGUGGUUGACAUAUUGUUGAUCGGAAGUAAUGUAGAAUUUCUGGAAAGCAUAAAGGGUUGUUUGAAAGGAGUUUUUCAAAGGAAACCUGGAUAGAGCUACUUGAUCAUUGAGUGUCAAGAUCUAUAGAGAUAGAUUAAAACACUUAAUAGAACUUUCAAUGAAAUGCAUGCCUUGUCAAGUUUUUGAAGGAGUUCAAAAUAGAUCAACAAAUAAGGAGUUCUUGACUGAGUUGUAAGGUGUGAAUUUGAGUAAGACUCAAAGACCGACCACGACAGAAGAAAUAGAAAGGACGAAGGUCGUCCCCUAUGCCUUAGUCGUAGGCUCUAUAGUAUGCUAUGUUGUGUCCCGCAUCUGAUGUGUGCCUUGCCAUGAAUCUGUCAAGGGGUACAGAGGUGAUCCAGGAAUGGAUUACUGGACAACGGUCAAAAGUUGUCCUUAGUAACUAGUGGACUACGGAAUUUUUCUCGAUUAUGGAGGUUAUUAAAGAGUUCAUCGUAAAGGGUUACGUCGAUGCAAGCUUUGAUACUAAUCCGAAUAACUCUGAGUAGUAAACCGGAUUCGUAUAGUGGAGUAGUCAUUUGGAAUAGUUCCAAAUGGCGGGUAGUAGCAACAUCUAUAGGAUGACAUAGAGAUUUGUAAAGCACACACGGAUCUAAAAGGUUCAGAUCCGUUGACUAAAAACCUCUCUCACAAGCAAGACAUGAUCGAACCCCGGAACUGUGUGGGUGUUAGAUUCAUUACAAUCACACAUUGAUGUGAACUAGAUUAUUGACUCUAGUGCAAGUGGAGAUUGCUGGAAAUAUGCCCUAGAGGCAAUAAUAAAUUGGUUAUUAUUAUAUUUCCUUCUUGGUUAGCUCGUUGACUAGCUCGUUGAUCAAAGAUGGUCAAGGUUUCCUAGCCAUAGGCAAGUGUUGUCACUUGAUAACGGGAUUACAUCAUUAGGAGAAUGAUUUGAUGGACAAGACCCAAACUAUAAACGUAGCGUAUGAUCGUGUCAGUUUGUUGCUACUGUUUUCUGCAUGUCAAUGUAUCUAUUCGUAUUACCAUGAGAUCAUGCAACUCCCGGACACUGGAGGAAUACCUUGUAGCUUAUCAAACGUCGCAACGUAACUGGCUGACUAUAAAGGUGCUCUACAUGUAUCUCCAAAGGUGUCUGUUGGGUUGGAAUGGAUCAAGACUGGGAUUUGUCACUCCGUGUGACGGAGAGGUAUCUCGGGGCUCACUCGGUAAUACAACAUCACAAUAAGCCUUGCAAGCAAUGUGACUAAGGAGUUCGUUAUGGGAUCUUGUAUUACGGAACGAGUAAAAGACUUUCCGGUAACAAGAUUGAACUAGGUAUGGAGAUACCGACGAUCUAAUCUCGGGCAAGUAACAUACCGAAGGACAAAGGGAACAACAUACGAGAUUAACUAAAUCCUUGACAUAGAGGUUCAACCGAUAGAGAUCUUCAUAGAAUAUGUAGGAGCCAAUAUGGACAUCCAGGUCCCGCUAUUGGUUAUUGACCGGAGAAUGUCUUAGGUCAUGUGUGCAUAGUUCUCGAACCCACAGGGUCUGCACACUUAAGGUUUGGUGACGUUUAAGUAUAGUUGAGUUAUAGGUGUUGGUUACCGAAAGUUGUUAGGAGUACCGAAUGAGAUCCCGAACGUCACGAGGAGCUCAGGAAUGGUCCAGAGGUUAAGAUUGAUAUAUAGGAAGUCUUGUUUUGGUCACUGGAAAAGUUUUGGACUCAUCGGUAGUGUAUCGGGAGUGCCAGUAGGGUACCUGGGACCAUCGGGAGGGGUGUGACGCCCCGAGGGGCCUUAUGGGAUGUGGGAGGAUACAAACCAACCCCUAGUGGGCUGUCAUAAGCUCCCACUAAGGCCCAUGAGGUUUGACAGGCUAAAACCCAAAGGUGGAAAAGGUUGAAAGGAUUUCCAAGUGGAAAGGAGGAAUCCUACUCCGAGUAGGAUUGGAGUGGGACUCCUCCACCUCCAAUUUUGGCCAAACCUUGAGGUUUUGAGGAUGCCUACCCCCUCCCUCCCUCCUAUAUAUACUAGAGGUAUUGAUUGCUUUUGAGCACACAAUUUCAGCCAUGUGCUACCCUCUCCUCUAGUUUGUAGUUCUUCCUCUAGAUCGGAUUUUUGCGGUGCUUAGGCGAAGCCCUGCAGGAAUAGAUCACCACCAUGACCAGCGUGCCAUCACGCUGCCAGAGAACUCAUCUACCUCCCUGUCUCUAUUGCUGGAUCGAGAAGGUGUGGGUCGUCAUAGAGCUGUACGUGUGCUGAACGCGGAGGUGCUGUCCGUUCGGCACUAGAUCAGGAUGGAUCGUGUUGGGAUCGUGGGACCGAUCGUGAUGAGAUAGCGGGGCGGGCUGCGAUUUGAAUCGCGAAGAUGUUCCACUACAUCAACCGCGUUAUAUACGUUUCCGCUUAGAGAUCUACAAGGGUAUGUAGAUUCAAUCUCCCCUCUCGUAGAUGAUCAUCACCAUGGAUAGGUAUUGGGUGUGCGUAGGAUUUUUUUGUUUCCCAUGCUACGUUCCCCAAUACACCCCCCUUCGGCCGAAGUGGGAUGGGGAGAGGGGCUGCUCCCAGCCCCUGGUGGGCUGCGGUGCCCCCUCUCCUUAGCCCAUGAGGCUCCCAACAAUUACUGGGGCCUCUUGAAACCCCUUUCGGCACUCCGUGAAUUCCUCGGUACGCCUUGGAACACUUCCGGACUCCGACGACCUUCAUCCUAUAUAUUAAUAUUCUACUCCGGAGUAUUCUAGAGUUCCUCAUCAUAUCUGGGAUCUCAUCCAGGAAUCCAAAGAACCUUCGUUCACCAACACUAUGACUCUAAUAUGCUUAUAUCGUCACUGAACCUUAAGUGUGUAGACCUGCGGGUUUGAGAACUAUGCACACAUGACCGAGACACUCUCCGGUUAAUAACCAAUAGCAGGGCCUGAAUUCCCAUUUUGGUUCCUACAUAUUCUACGAAGAUCUUUCAUCGGUUGAACCUCAAUGUCAAGGAUUCAAUCAAUCCCUUAUGAUAUUCCCUUUGUCCAUUGGUAUGUUACUUGCCCCAGAUUCGAUCGUCGAUAUCUCCAUACCUAGCUCAAUCUCGUUACCGACAAGUCUCUUUACUCGUUCCUUAAUACUAGAUCGCGUGACCAACCCCUUGGUCACAUUGCUUGCAAGCUGAUUGUGAUGUUGUAUUACCUAGUGAGCCCAUAGAUACCUCUCCGUCACACGAAGUGACAAAUCCCAGUCUCGAUUCAUACCGACCCAACAUACACCCUCGGAGAUGCCUGUAGAGCACCUUUAUAGUCACCCAGUUACGCUGUGACGUUUUAUACACACAAGGCAUUCCUCUGUUGUGUAGGAGUUUCAUGAUCUCAUGGUCAUAGGAUACUUGACAUGCAGAAAAUAGUAGCAGUAAACUGACAUGAUCAUAUGCUACAUUUAUAGUUUGGGUCAUGUCCAUCACAUCAUUCUCCUAAUGAUGUGGUCUCGUUGUCAAAUGGCAACUCAUGUCUAUGAUGAGGAAACCUUGACCAUCUUUGAUCAACAAGCUAGUCCAUUAGAGGCUUACUAGGGACAUUGUGUUGUCUAUGUAUCCACACAUGUAUUUGAGUUUCCAAUCAAUACAAUUGUGUUGUCUAUGUAUCCACACAUGUAUUUGUAUUUGAUAAUAAUGGAUAAUAAUGGAUCAUAACAUUCUCCCAAUGCUAUUUGUAAUUCAUGUUGUUCUCCGCAUACUUGUUAUCGUAUUUCAUAGUAUCUCCAUCCUAAGCGUAUAUAUCAAUAGUUCAUCGUCCAUUAACUCUUUUGAUCUCAUUCCUGCACCUUCACUUUACAACACACUUAAACCUAUUUUUUUAUUAAACCUUAGUAUGUUGUUAGUUUGCACAAAGACAUGUUUUGUUCUUAUGUUCUUUUUGUUCUUCCAUUUGGCAUUGAUGUUUAUUGAAUGUUAUUCGUUUAUGAUAGACUGCUCGGAGUGUGACGAGUAGAAUCAUCAGGAUUAUGCGAGCGACUAUCUUCAUCAAGUAAUACCAGACAAGUUCACAUUGAUCAUAUUUUUACCUAUGGUUUUAUUGCAUUACUUUCAACCUUAUUCACCCAUUGCAUGCAAGUAGGUACUUGGAAACUUUGGUUAUUGAGUAGUAUAUUAUGAUAGGCACUCCUAAACCCUUGUUACUUUGGCCAGGACUUUAUUUUGCUAUGCUCGUAGUAGACGGGGUUUGGUUUAGUGUUUAUCAUGAGUGUUGUGAGAAACUUAGUAAUCAAGACCUGAAGACUCCAAGAUUUACAAGACCUCAGAACGAAAUAUACCUCUGGGUGAAGGACGGUUCAGAUGGGCUCCCUCGGAAAACCAGUGCAGGACCCGAGAUGCAUGGAGAAGCGCCAUGACAUCUUGCACAAAGGUUCACCCAGGCUCAAAGAGAUGGAUGGAUAUUUUAAGACCCAAGGCUUACCUGCACAGCCACAAGUCAUUAUGGGAUCUGGCUUGGUUGGACAAUGUGGCGACUCUGGACAGGCGGUGCUACGAGACGUAGGAGAACGGUAGGAUUGGAUGGGCACCGACAGAGGCUCAGAGGAACCUGUUGAAAGACCAUGUUUUGAUCAUCCGGUUCUCAAACACCCUGAAGUGCGAGGACUUCAACGGAGGCGAUCAAGUCUUGUGGGGAACGUGUGCAAAACUCUGCAGAGUACUCAAACCUAAUCGAUUAGCCAUGUCCACGGUCAUGGACAACUUGAGCCAAAGGAACUGAAACUAUCAGGAAUUCUCAACACCAUUAAAUCUUACUGAUGUGGGUAAUAUUGAUAACUUGGGUAUGAGAAAUGGUUGGUGGAACCUUCCUCAUUAAAAACUAAUAAUGUAGUAAAUUUUGCUUUUACCUCUCUCUUGUUGUAGGAAAAAUUUGCUUUACGCAAAACUUAAACUACAGCCCCACCUGCCAUAUAUGCAUAUAGGAUAGAUGAUAUUUUCACCCUCUCUAUUGUGACUUGCCGGCAUAUUCAAUAUGUUGACCUACACGGCUGCAACGUCUUAUGUUGCAGAUAUUUUCUGCGACGAGUAAGAGUAUGAUUCAGGGUUACGGUCUACACUCAACCUGUCGUUGGUGUUUAUUGGGACUCCACUCCCUUUGAGUGUUUCCGCUGAGAUUGUGAGGUAUAUAUCAGUUUUAUGUUAUUUACAUGUGAUUGCACUUUGAUAUAUACAUUGAUGUACUGUGGGUGCGAGCAUACUGAUCGAGGGAUGGCACAGAUACACAGAGGCUUGACUCUUUUUGAGUCGGGUGACUACAAUGUCAAUGAUUGCACCUAUAGUUCGUAGGAAGGGUCUUCCAAGUAAAAUUGGACAAGUAGGAUCGCAAUUAAUAUCAAGCAUAAUGACAUCUACAUGCACAUAAUUUUUAUUUGCAAUUAUCAUCACAUCAUUUAUUAUAACCAAGGGUUUCUUAAUGGUAGAAUCCCCAAGAUGCAAGUUUAGAGAACAUUCUCCAAUAUUAGUGAGACGAAGGACAUCACAUAAUGAUUUGGGUAUAGUUGAAAUACUAUCACACAUGUCACACACGACAUUGCAUUCAUAUUUAUUUAUCUUAAUUUUGAUAUUAGGUUCCCACUCAUCAUGCAACUUUCUAGGAAUAGAAACUUCAAGCUCAAGUUGUUCAUCAUAAGCUUUUACCAUAGUUUCCACUAUGUGUUGAGUAAAAGCAUUGUUUUGUUCAUAAGCAUAGGGUGAGCUAAUGACAGAUUGCAGCAAGAAAAUACAUUAUACUAAAGAGAAAUUAUCAUAAUUAAAUUCCUUGUAAUCCAAAAUAGUGGGCACAUCACUAGUUAAAGUUUAGACCUCUCUAAUCCCACUAUUUUUAGUUUUAGCAUUAAGAUCAUCAUCCUCCAAGCACACGGGGUGCUCCUUUACUAGAGAUUACUCAUGUGAAGCCCCUUCAUCAUUAAUAUUCAGAGAAGUAAACAAAUAUUCUAUAGGAGAAGUACCAAUAUUUUUAAGAUCUUUAUCAUGAUUCUGGUAAAAACAUGGAGGAAGAGCUUUUUCUAGGACUUCCCGCUUAGCUUUCAACUUAGCCGUCCACUCCUCACUUUCAUUAAUAGAAACUUGGAUAUAAAUAAUAGUAUCAUUAAAAUCAUUCUUAGGUGGAAAAUCUUAUUUAAGAGCUUCUACAUCAAGAGCAAUUCUAUCCAUGUUUUAGCCAAAGUAUCAACACCAUGCAAUUUUUCUUCUACCAUAGUAUUGAAAACUUUCUGAUAAUUAAUAAAUUCCUUAAUUUUGUUCUAAAGAUCACAGGGUAUACUAGUAGAAUUAGUAGAAGAAUUUCCAUAAGAAUUAACAUAAUACUUGCCAUAACCAUUAGGAACAUCACUUGGAUAUGGCCUAGUAUUGAAAUUAUCCCUACAAGCAAUGUUGUUGAAAUUAUUUCGUGACACAAAGUUCACAUAAAUAGCAUCAUUAUUUUGCUCAAUCAAGUUAGACAUGGAAAUAUCAAUGGGGUAAACAUGUGUACUUUUAUUAGCAACCAAAUUCAUAAGAGCAUCAACUUUUUCACUCAAAGUAGCAAUUUCCUCAAUAAAAUUUAACUUAUUACCGGUUGGAGCUCUCUCGGUAUGUGUCGUGGUUUUGUCACGACAGAUGUCCUCAUCAAAGGACUUAGUGGUGAGGCCAUCAUUGUUGUGUGGCGACUCGAAGAGGUUCAUCGGCAACGGGAGACGGAUUCACCCAGGUUCGGCCCCUCCGAUGGAGGUAACAGCCCACGUUCGUAUUUGGUGUCUAUAUUGAUGGAGGUCUCGAUUACAAGGAUACGGAAUAGCUAACCUAGCUCUCGAGAUUUUCUACCGUAAUCUUUCUGGCUCGAGGGCUCCCCUUUAUAUAUAGGUGGAGGCCUCGAGUUUACAACAGUGUCUAGGUCAAUAAACACUCUGGCCUACUAUAAUUCUACUUUAUCUUGUUCUCCAAGUUUGGGAAAGCUUUUGGAAUCUUCCACCUUGUGGGCGUUGAGUCGCUAUCUUCGGGUACUCGGCCACGGAGGUUCACUUGGUAAGUAUUUCUGUGGCUUCAUUGAGCAUAGCUUGUUGAGUCGCCUCUAGUCUAACCCGUCCCAAACGGCGGGUUAUACUACGGGGACACAUCCUCGACAUUACGCCCCAGGUUGAUUUCAACUUGUUCAUGUCAAGCUUCCUUCGUUAAAUUAUUACAACAUGGCAUUCUUCCGCCCUUUAACCAUGAAAUAGAACUUGAAUCCGGGAUAAAACUAUGCCGGGUCAUUCCUUCUUCUUUGAGACUUAGCAUCUUUCGAGUCUAUAUUCGUAUGACGUCAUCGUGCUGACUGUUGUCGUCCAAGUCAUCAUUGCGAAUCUUUUAUAUAAACAACACUAUAUCCGGUUUGGCAUGACAAUCUAGGCAUAAACCCAUCCACUAAUUUCCUACGACCGUUAUGUUUCGGUUCCUCCUUUCCUUAUAAACAGGCAGGGCGAACCCAUGCAACAUAUUAUCCUUUCUUCUUCUUCUCCUCCACAUUUUCCCCAUUUCUGCGCGCACCAGAACUUUGAAGGCAACGACCAAACCUUUACAACCGUGCCGCCUGUGUACAGGAUCUUCCUCAUCUUUGUUGGGGUGUACACUGUCACCAACUUUCUCCUUCAACAAUACCGGCUACACAUUCUUCCUUAUGAGGGCUUGUAGAUUUGUUAGUAGGUUCUACCUGUGUUCAUAGUGUGUUCAUCAAGCCACCGAAGAAACGCUUCGUAUAUCCACAAGCUUCUCACCCUUUGUGCAUCCAUAAGUUUGUUGCGGCCCCCGCGUGACACCUUUUGCGCCUAGAUUUAAUAUGAGACUUCUUUUAGAAAACUUUGCACAAAUGUCUUGAACUUUGGUCAUGCCGCUAGUGUUGAAUGUGUAUUUUCAUUUUCCAUGCUUUAUUUAGAUCCAUUGCAAGAGGUGUCACUUAUUGCAACCUGUUUGUGCAGUUUUUCUACUAAGUAUUUUGUACAAGAGUAACAUGCCUUUUAAAAGCACCUUAAUUUUUAUUGCCAACUUAAACACCUCGCUCUCAAAUUUGUUGGCUUAGGACGUCGUUCUGCAGUAGCCACUGGUUUAAGCACCUCCUGAAUAUUGGCCAGAGUCAGCGGCUUGUUUAUCCUUCUUCUUAUUUUCCUUUCUCUUUUUUAUAUCACCCAAUGCCCCCCAAGAACUUAAAGGCUUGUAACUGAGCUAGGUCCAAUAUUCAAACUUACUUUGGAAAACCUUGUGAGUCAAGGAUUUUUAACGCCUCGAAAGGAGAUAAGCUGACGAGCUCCUAAGGAAGAGACCUACCCGAAGCUUCAUCAAGGAGGGUUUGUUAUUUUCACUGAUCAUCUAUGCACAGGUUUUUGACAACCUGGCUCAAAAUUCUUUAGGGACCUUUUGUACUUCUUCAACCUCAUGCUUGAGGAUAUUGGUCCCAAUUCCAUGACCAACAUAUGUCAAUUUCAAGUUUUGUGCGAGGUAUAUCUCUAGAUCGAGCCAUGAGUGACUUUAUUUUGGUGUUCUUCUAUGGAAACUGCUAGACUGAAGUUAGGAAUGGUCCUUCUUGUGAACUUGGGGGAAUCUCCUUCCAGAAAAGGAACAAAUAGUCUGUUCCCUCAGUCAAAAUUGGCGAGUCAUCCAAAGGGAUGGUUUAAGACAUAGUUCUAUUGCAAAAAUACUGCCUAUGUAGAUGAAAAUCCAAUAUUGGGUUACAAAUUGGAGAGGAUUGGCAACAACGUAGAACUCUCAGCCUGGCCAAUGGAUGAAGAGAGGGACACAAUGACCCCAGUUCAAACAACCUUGAGAGCCUUGGUUGCUCAUGGCCUAACCGGUAUAGACCUGAUUCGUUGCUGGCUAAAGUGGCGCAUCCAACCUGUCAGUGCAAGGACUUGCUUGAUGUGCGACUACUCAGCCGACUUAUCCGAUUCUCAACAUUUCUCGCAACAAGAUGUAUCCCAUGAUGCUCUAAAUAAAGAAACAAAGAAGUUUUUCUCUGACUCAAAGGAGAGGUGCAAUGCUAUCGGUUUAGGUCCAUUUUCUCCUCUAAAUCCUCCGCCACCGAUAGUGAUUUCUUCUUAUUAAAUAUACUCUGUUACUUUGUUGAUUUUAAUUUGACCUGCCAUCCUUAUCAUGAUCUUUUGUUCACAGGAGGAUUCUAGCUUUUGAAAAGACACACAGGGAAGUGAUCCGGCUCGAGAUGUACCGACCCUAGCUCAUCAUUAGGAGCACUAUCUGAGGUAGAACCUGACUCACUUGGCCAUUUGUUUAUUGAACUUGCUGACACGCCUUCUUCUCAGGGCGACUCUGGAGCCAUCCAAGCCGGUGAUGUUGAGUAAUUCCAAUUUCUUCCAGUUCAUCAGAAACGCUUUUUGCGAGAAGGACAAGGCAAGCCGUCCGGAAGGUUAAAAUGUCCAACAAAGACGCUCAUUUAGUUCCCAAUUUUCUUUUCAAGAAAAAGAAACUCGUUGGUGAGCCAAAAUGCAAGACCCGAAGUGACCAGGGCAAGUUAGACCCUGGCUUGCCUCAUGUAUCGCCGGCUUGUAAGCCACGCGCUGAGGUACCAUACAAAUCCUUGUCUUAAGGCUGAUUUCUUUAAGAAACCUCUUAACCCUUCAAACUCAUUUACCAUGAAUCUCCUCGAUCUUCGGGAGCCUCAUCUGCAACGCUACUCCCCAAUUUUAAUAUCAAUCAUGGGUAAGUUCCUAAUCAUGACUUGAUUGUAUAUGUUUGCCUUCCUUAGCAUAAUAUUUUAUUUCUGGUCUAUGUAGGGAUAAAGCUACUUUGUCUAGUCGUGCUGCUGGGUCAUGUGCUGAAAACCAAGGAAAUUUGAACCCCCAAUCAUAAUUAGAAGCCACCGAGGCUGACCUUUCUCGAAGGAAAAUUCCACAUGCUACAACUCACACGACAACAGUUGGUGAAGCGCCUAGAUCAACUGAAACGGUUUUAGUGGACACGCUAGUAGAGGUUACAGUCAUUUUAGUUGAUCCUCCUGCUCAUCCACCAAGUCCGGCUCGUCACUCAAGUUCGGAGACUCAUUUCAAUGAUCCUAUUCCACCAGCUGACGAGGACGCUCUGGAUGUUGUUUUUGUAAAGGAACAAUUUCAAGCUCCUACUGUUUCCACUUCUCUUGUUAAGAUUGUGGCCAAGGAAGAGCUGGUGAACUUGGAAAAAGGAAAACCCCAAUUGGAGCUCCCGAAUAUCUCUCUGUUUAGUGUUGAAUAAAUCCACAAGAAUACUUGACCCGGCUGUCUUACAGUCGGGAAAUUGAAGCCAAUAUCAUUUGCGCUCUCAUGGAAAAAAAUGAGGUAAAAACUCAUGCUUACCUACUUUAUCUUCAUAUACUGUCUCCAGCCCCCAAGGGAAAGUUUUUAUGAAUAUGAUAAGCCUACUCUUUUCAAACUAGCUAAAUGGAAACUUGCGUCCAUAGCUCCCAAGGACAGAGUCAUUUUGACGAUAACGAGUCAUUACUUCUCUUAGAACGAAAGUUUAUUUGAUGAAGAUUCGGACUGUAGCCCCCAAGGACCAGCUCGUUAUGUGUAAUGAGGUGGGUCUUCCUCUUUUUCCUUCAUAUCCUUUUUGAAAAGAACUGCUAUGCAUUAUCCCCAAGAUGCCGAGUAUAUUGCAUGCAAUAUGCUGGGGACUUCAAAAACAUAUAUUUCCUUGCCGUUUGUAAUAAGCCACUCUUUGAGGCGUGUCAUGAUCACCUUUUUGACAAUUUUGUGACUUUGACACAGGUAUGUAGGAGAUGCUGAAUCUAUGGCUAGAGACCUGCACAAGCGUCUCAACGAAGAUAUGAAGCUAAGGACCGAGGCUGAAUCGAUGGCAUCUUCUUUUCAAAAUUCCGCUUGACAGGCCCAGGACCGUCUUGAGAAAGCCACGAAAAAAUUGAGAUGGAAAAAACUGCCCUCUUGAACCAUGCCGAAAAGGACGAGGGGAAACUUGGUCCUUUGGAAGAAAAUUAUUCCCUUCUAAUAAAGAAACUCAACGAGAUGGUGACUGCCAUCUUUGGUAAGAUCUUGCGAUUUUAUUCCUUUGAGCCUCUCAGAUUGAUGUGAAAGGAAAAGGGUGACUCAAAGUUUGUUAUUUAUCUUUUGUGUGUAGGCCGAACAGAUCAUUCCCUGGUGCAGUUGCCUAUUAUAAAACUGAAGGCAAUAUUCACUUACGUGGAACAACUAUUCACCGAGUCUGUUUACUCCAUUAUGGCUAUCAAGAACUUGAAAUAUCCACCCCGGACGUCAAGGAUAUGCUAAAGCAAGUCUCCAUUGUGCCACAAUGGUUCUCUGAGACCCAGAAGUUGGCAGCUCACAGUGGGGCGAAGUUGGCUCUUGAUCGUGCUAACGCAUAUUUACCUGAACUAGAUUUGGCAACUUCGAAAGAUGGAUUUCGAGAAUACAAGUUGGACGACUCAGAAUUCACUCAUGAAGACUUUGCUCAUGUGAUAAAGGAGACACGACCGAUGGAAACUCUUCUUGCAGAGCAAGUUGACACAUCUCAGUAUUAUGUUGCGUACACUGUUGGUAAUGAACGCAACCCAAUGCUCAAAGAUGAGCCCUUUGAGCUAGUCCCACCUUGUUACAAGAGAAAAACUGCUCCUGAGGUUGAUGCAUCUACCUAGAUAGAAGGGAAUUCAAAUUUGGAGUCGUUGAGGUCCAUCCCGUUGAUUCAGCCAGACGAGGAGGUCAUUGAUGACGAUGAGCCGGAAGAAACAUACGUUGAAUCAGCCGUUGCGAAAGAUUGAAGGGGAGUCCACAGUAACCCGCCAAUCAAAGAAUUAACUCCCAAGGAUCUUUAGAUCAAAAACUUUGAAUAUUAACAACUCCUGACGUGAGUUUGUAAUAGGGGUAGUAGAAACUCUGAGAAAUUUUGUCGUGCCAUCAUGCAUGUUGGUUCGAACUUUGGCUAGCUAUGGUAAAAACUGCCAUGAGAUUCUGUUAUCCUGAUCCUUUUACCAAUAUGCUUGCCUCUGCUUGUCUCCGAAUAUUUGAUCGAAUUUUGAAAUAGGCAAAAAUAGGUUGUCAAAAAUACUUGCCGUAGAGUCCAUUGAGUUUCUUCCACAAUGUCGUCUGUGCAACCAUAUGAUUUGAACAGGUCAUGACAUGACUCCAGUUGUCAUAACCCGGUAGUUUAUGAUGGUCCGACUAAAAUUGUACUUGUCCCUAGAAAAUUCGGGUGUGAUAUCAUGCAGAAAUAUAAUAAAGCGCUAUUCAUAGGCCGGUUCAGUGAGACACGCAAAAAGAGAUCGGCUUUCGAGGCUCAAGUCCUCCUUCAAUGAAGCGGGUAUGAUAACCCAUGGUUUAUCCUAGCUUUCAUUAUGCCAGCUCUCACGUGACCUAAACCAAUGUUUUAACCUAGCCAGAUUAGGGUCCAUAAUGGAUUGAUCAGUCAAGAGUACAUGGGGUCACCUGAUCGGAGUCGCAUCAAGCAUAAAUGCAAGAUUAACCAUUUUGUGGUGUCUUUGCUAGAUCAAGAGGGUUGGAAAGCUGAACUCGAUGAGUUGGAAUCCCGAAGUGACCUAUGAUCUUGGAAAAGCUCGACAUAGGAUUCCAUAAGACAAUGCUAUUACUACCAUACAAUCUGGGGUGCAAAUAAGUCGGCUUAAUUGCAUUAAUCAUAAUUGGAUAAUCUAACGAUUUUGUUUGAUCCAGAAGCACCCAAGUAACGCAUUUUUUAAAUAAUAAAGUCUCAUGCUUAAUGUAUGGGCUAAAAACGAGCUUUAUUAGAAUAAAUUUUUAUAAAAUUUGGGGGAUUGAUACAGAGAUAAUGAGCCGGUGGCUCUAAUACGAUAGGGCCGCAAAUUGGCCAGGUUGACUUACUCAAUUGUUGGUUUCUUGGGGUGGGGGGGACUUGUGAUCUCGGUCAACUUUGUCUGUGAGGAGCUUUAACUUUUCGGCGGCACAAGCUGACUCAGCAUAAGCCGCCUCUCAUUCCUUGCAUUCUUGGGCUAUUUUCUGCCGCCUCCCACCGUUAUGGUGCCAUUGGGACCCGACAUCAUGAACUUUAGUUAGUUGUAACAAGGACGAGACAUGAACCGAGCUUCCAAAGAGAGCGUGAUAAGGACUUUUUUAUCUUUACCACUUCAAACAUUAGGGGUUCAUAUCUGCAAUUGAAUUCGUCCCCGAAUGCGACGUUCAGCUUGACCUGCCCUACCGGGUGGACUGAUUUACCAGAAUAAUGCCAUGAAAAACCAUGGUGGAAGUCUUCAGAUUUUUUCAUGAAGGUUCAUCCUCUAGAAGGUGUCAUAAUACAAGAUAUUGAUGCUGCUCUCCCCAUCCACGAGGACCUUUGUGAGGGUAUAACCACCAACUUGAGGCAUCACCACCAAAGCUAAAUCUCCUGGAUUGUCAACCCGAGGAGGGUGAUCCUCUCUCCUCGAGAGGAUUCGCUGCUCAGACCAGUUUAGAUUUCUAGGGAUCACAGGCUCGACAAUAUUGAUGGCUCUCUACUUCUGUUUCAUGUUUUGUUUGUAAGUGUUGGCGAUGAAAAUAUGUUAUUGGCCAUUGUUUAGUUGCUUAGGGUAUGUUUGAAAACCAGAUUGAUUGUUAUGCUGAUGAUUGUCCUGAUCAAGACCAGCCCAUUGCUCGUGUUCCCUUGAUGCUGAAAACCUAAUCGCGAGCCGCCUGGUUCAUUAAAGCAUGAUCCUUGGAAACCGCCACAUAAGCCGUCAUGUGAGCUGGGUUGACCAUACUCACUCGGUUGUCCACCAUUAGCCCCCUGGUGGCUCUGGGAAGCUUGAUUUCGUAAGUCCUGCAUAAUAUAGCACUUUUCCCAUGACCGAGUAGAUGGUUUAUCCUGGGUACUAUGCUUUGGGAAGGGUGCCAUGAGUGCUUCCUCAUAAUUUCAUGGCUUAUUCCCAUUAUAAGGUGCACCAGAGUGGUGCUGAUUCUUGAACCGAGUAUUGGUAUUAGCCAUGAACUCUGAACAACCCUCAGGCUGCUUCCUUUUGUUAUUCUGGCCUCCUUAGUUUCCACCUUGCUAUUUUUCCUUGCCACCUUCACUUUUCUUGCUCUUACCCAUUUUCUCCUCAUCCGAGCCGGGAUCCUUCGUGUAGUCUGACUCGGCUUACCUUGUUAGAAUGUCCAUUAAAUCGACCAUAUCUUGAGUCUUCCAUUUUAGGCGACAAGGCUUCAGGACUAGCGGCUGGAAGUGGCAUUUUUUCUCUAGAAUUAGGAUGGCUUGGGAGGCCGUAAUGUUGUCCGAUGAGUGGAUAAUCUCCGCAACCCGGCGAUUCCAAUGAUGACCCAACUCCCCAGUGCGCUCAACACAGUGUUGAAGAUCCACAAUUGUCAUCGGUCGUUUGCAAGUUCCUUGAAAAUUCUUGAUAAACAAUUCCUUUAGCUCAGCCCAAGUAUUAAUGGAAUUGAGAGGAAGAUUUUUUCAGCCGGGUUUGAGCUGGUUCUUCUAGCAUUAUCGUCAAAUAUUUUGUGCAUAUCGCAUCACUAACGUCGAGCAUAUCCAUGGCCAGCUCAAAACUUUCAAUCCAUGCUAGCGGCUCAAGAUCUUCUGUAUAGUUUGGUACCUUGCAAGGUCCUUUAAAGUCCCCAGGCAUAGGCUCGCUGCAAAGAGAUGGAGAUAGACGAGGAAAGACGAUCGUUCUGGUGUGGUUUCUAGCCCUGUUUGUUGCUGACUCGGGUUCCGCCACAUGCGGUUGGACCGCCCGCCUUGCCAAUGCUUCCGCCUCUGCCUACCGGACGGCUCUUGCCGCAUAAACUAGGUCUUGGGCAUUUUGUAAUCCUGGCCAGGUUGGGGAAACCCGGGGCAGUUGUCACCGCCCACUACUGAAAACAACCGGAGAGUCCUAAUGACAGCUGACAUAUGGUGUGGAGUGCAUCCGAUCUCGACUAUAUGAGUAGUGCCUUUGUUGAACUACUGGUGUCUUCAGCAUCUCAAUGCCGUUCCUAGCUUCGAUCUCAACCGCGGAAUUUCCAUGAAUAGGGAGCGCCUCCAAAUUAUGUGUUGCUUCCAUCAUAUUGUCAAUGGGGUUGGAUAAGUGACCCUAUAGUGUGCGAAAAUGUUGUGGCGAUGCCUGAGCUGACAUGGGCUGAACCGACGGGGGCUGAGCUGGCUCUUCCUGCCCACAUGGCGGAUUUUUUGCAUCUCCUGGUGUAUGGACUGGCGAAUAAAUGAGUCGGGCUCACGUUUUGCGGCAAUCGGGACUGGUGCUUCCUAUGGUGAACUACCUUAGAAGCGUUCUAUCAAAGCCCUAGACACCAAGCUUCUGCCCUCAAACGCUUUGACUCACCUAGGAUUCGAGCCUGCAACUCCAGCAUCUGGGUGCUUUCAGCGUAGAUCUCUUGCUGGACCUUGACCAUCUCCAUGCAAAGCCUUACAGUUCUGCAUUACGCUUCUCCUAGUUCGCCAUAGUGAUAGGACCCUCAAAAAGUUUGUCCAUCUGAGCAACCAGAUCGCUCAUGGCCUGCGUCGGCGUUUUGCUUGAUCCACCGGCGCCGUUGGUGGCUUCUUCUGCAAACGGGCCCGGAGCCACCGCGACUCCUACCAUGUAGAUCGUGACCUGACAUGGUGGUUCAUUUGGCUCCCUAGCGGCUUCUACUUUUGGAAAAACCCCUGGUCAAUCACAGAGAGGAAAGAUAGAUCCGGUUUCCCUAUGGAUGACUCGCCGUCAUGGUUGUCCGGGAUAUCCUCUCUAUCCACUAGCUCAUCCAAGAGGCUGAUCCCCGGGCUAAACCCCACAAAGACAUGACAACGACUGGCUUGACAUCGAUCACUUUGGGCGCAUCGAGUCUACUCGAUGAUGCUGGUGUAGAUGCCUGACCCGGGCACCGAUGCGUUGAUUUGGCUGAAGGGGACCUGCUGAUUAGACUUGGCAAAGUCGGCCCGAGGGUCCCAGCCUGGAUUGUUGGUGUAGUGAUCAUCACAGUGGUUCUUGAUCAUCAUAGCAACCGUGUAACUCCUGAACCAUGGGCGUGUUACCUCCGAGAACUCAACUCCACCUCGUGAUAGGCCCAUGGUGGGUGCCAACUAUCGUGGUUUUCUCAUGGCAAAUGUCCUCAUGAAAGGACUUUGUGGUGAGGUCAUUGUUCUUGUGUGGUGACUCGAGGAGGUUCCUCGGGAACGGAAUAUGAAAUUACCCAGGUUCGGCCCCUUCGAUGGAGGUAAAAGCCUAUGUCCUGCUUUGGUGCCUAUAUUGAUGUAGAUUUUGAUUACAAGGAUGGGGAAUAGCUAACCUAGCUCUCGAGAGUUUCUUGUUUAAUCGUUCCGUCUCAAGGGACCCUCUUUAUAUAUAGGUGAAGGCCUCGAGUUUACAAUAGAGUCUGGGUCAAUAAACACCCAUGACCUGUUAUAAUUCUACUUUAUCUUGUUCUCUAAGUUUGGUAAAGAUUUUGGAGACUUCCACCUCGUGGGACUUGAGUCGCUAUCUUCGGCUACUCGGCCAUGGCGGCUCACUUGGUAAGUCUUUCUGUGGCUCCAUCGAGCAUAUUCUUCUUGAGUCUUUGUAGUCUAACCCGACCCAAAUGGCGGGUUAUUGCCGCGGGAUCAUAUCCCCAACAGUAUGCCAUUGAGAAUAAUUGGUCAUUAUGUUCUCGGGAAGUUUUGUGGCCUCUCCUAAGGUCACAUCCAUAAAGGUACCACCUGCAGCAGAAUCUAGAAGAUUUCUAGACACAAAGGUUAUUCCAGCAUAGAAAUUUUGGAUAAUCAUCCACAAGUUGAAACAAUGAGUGGGGCAAUUUCUUAUCAUCAAUUUAUUCUAUACCAUGCUUGUGCAAUAUGUUAUUGAUCAGGUUGUUUAAAAUUCAUUAUUUGAUUUCAAAGGGACAUGACAUUAGCAGGAGGAAAAUACUUGGCAAUAAAAGCAUCUUUACACUUAUCCCAUGUUCCAAUACUAUUACGUGGUAAAGAUGAAAACCAAGGUUUAGCUUUCUCUCUUAGUGAAAAGGAAACAAUUUUAAUUUCACAAUAUCAUUAUCCAUUUCUUUUUUCUUUUGCAUAUCACAAAGUUCAACAAAGGUAUUGAGAUGUGAAGCGGGAUCCUCAUUAGGAAUUCCCAAAAAUUGCUCUUUCAUGACAAGAUUAUGUAAUGUAGCAUUAAUAUCAAAAGCAUUCGCACUACUGGCAGGUUGUAUAGGAUUACUAAUAAAAUCAUUGUUAUUAGUAUUUGAUAAGUCACACAACUUAGUAGUAUGCCUUUUAUAUCUUGUUAGGGACUAACUUAUUAACUGAGUGCCAAGUGCCAGUUCCUGUUUUUCCGUGUUUUUGACCCCUUUCAGAGGAGGAUUUUAAACGGAGUCCAAACGGAAUGAAACUUCCAAAAAGAUUUUUUCCAAAACAGAAGAAGAUCGGGAAGUUUGAGAACCAAGGUAGGGGUCCACUAGGGACCCCACAAGCCCCCUAGCCGCGGCCAGGGGGGUUGCGCCUCCCGGGCUUGUGGGCUCCCUGGGCCACCUCUGCCCUAGGUCUUCCGCCUAUAUAUUCCCUAAAAUCCCAGAAAAAACCAGGAGAUCAUCAAAAGUACUUUUCCGCCGCCGCAAGCUUCUGUCUCCGCAAGAUCCCAUCUGGGGCACGUUCUGGUGCCCUGCCAGAGGGGGGAUUCGGAUAUGGAGGGCUUCUUCAUCAAAACCAUGACCUCUUCAAUGAUGUGUGAGUAGUUCACCAUAGACCUACGGGUCCAUAGCUAGUAGCUAGAUGGCUUCUUCUCUCUCUUGGAUCUUCAAUACAAAGUUCUCCAUGAUCUUCAUGGAGAUCUAUCUGAUGUAAUCUUCUUUGCGGUGUGUUUGUCGAGAUUCGAUGAAUUGUUGGUUUAUGAUCAGAUUAUCUACGAAUCUUAUUUGAGUUUCUUCUGAUCUCUAUUAUCCAUGAUUUCAUAUUCUUGUAAUUCUCUUCGAGUUGUGGGUUUUGUUUGGCCAGCUUGAUCUACGAUUCUUGUAAUGGGAGAAGUGCUUGGUUUUGGGUUCAUACCGUGCGGUGACCUCACCAAGUGACAGAAGGGGUAGCGAGGCACGCAUCGUGUUGUGGCCAUCAAGGGUAAAAAGAUGGGGUUUUCCUCAUUGGUCUGAGAUUAUCCCUCUACAUCAUGUCAUCUUGCUUAAGGCGUUACUCUGUUCAUCAUGAACUCAAUACACUAGAUGCAUGCUGGAUAGCAGUCGAUGUAUGGAGUAAUAGUAGUAGAUGCAGAAAGUAUCGGUCUACUUGUCUCGGACGUGAUGCUUAUAUGUAUGAUCAUUGCCUUAGAUAUCGCCAUGACUUUGUGCGGUUCUAUCAAUUGCUCGACAGUAAUUUGUUCACCCAUCGUAAUAUUUGCUAUCUUGAGAGAAGCCUCUAGUGAACACUAUGGCCCCGGGUCUACUUCACACCAUAUUUUCAGCCUUACUCUUUUUCUUCAUUGCACUUUCCGCCUUGAGAUCUCACUUUGCAAUCAAUCUUGAAGGGAUUGACAACCCCUUUAUAGUGUUGGGUGCAAGCUCGUUUGUGUUUGUGCAGGUACUCUGGACUUGACGAGAUUCUCCUACUGGAUUGAUACCUUGAUUCUCAAACUGAGGGAAAUACUUACUCCUCCUGUGCUGCAUCACCCUUUCCUCUUCAAGGGAAAACCAACGCAAGCCCAGUCUCCGUCAACGUGUCAAUCUCUGGCACUCUUGUCUGUUGUCGUAGCAAGAGGCAAGCAUAUAAGCGCUCUUGAAUUUGAGUAAUAGUAGUAAAUGCGAGAUCAUUUUGGUCUGUGUAUUUAUGGACGUGAUUCCUAUAUACCUGAUCAGUGCCAUGAAUAACAUGUUGUAACUAUGCGCUAUUAUGUCAAUUGACCAACAGUAAUUUGUUUACCAACUGUAUGUUAUGCCUGAGAGAGAAGCCUGUGGCGAUACCUAUGGCCCCCCGGGUCUACUUAAAAAAUUUAUGAAAAACCUAAAAAUACCUUGCUGCUGUUUAUUGAUUGUUUUUUUACUUUUUAUAUUUAUAUAUCUAUCUCUAUCAGAAUUAGUCCUUGCAAGUAACAAGUUCAAGGGGCUUGAUAACCCUCUUGCCCGUGUUGGGUGCAAGUGUUUCAUUUUGUGUGUGUAGGUGUUGACGAUGAGAGUUUGUCUUGAUUCCCCGACUGGUUCGGUAACAUUGGUUCUCACUGAGGAAAGUACUUAUCGCUACUAUAGUGCUUCACCCUUCCUCUUCGGGGGAAAAUCCAACGUGGCUCACAAGUAGCAACCUUUGGUAUCCAUCCCCAUCUUCUCGCCAUCCUCACCAUGUCUAACCUUCUUAAAAUAACAAACUUAUGGGGAAAUGCAACCGACCUAAGGAAAAGAUCGUAAAGGGCAAAAAAAUUGAUCCGUCUUAGUAAAAAUACCACAACGCCCUGACCCGAUGCUCUAAGCCAUUCGACAUGAGUGGGAGGCUUGGACCCUAGCGACCCGACUCAAAUGGAACUUCCUAACUAGCUGGCCCCAUUGGGAGACAACAGUGUGGAUGUGUUGGGGAACGUCGCAUGGGAAACAAAAAUUUUCCUACGCGCACGAAGACCUAUCAUGGUGAUGUCCAUCUACGAGAGGGGAUGAGUGAUCUACGUACCCUUGUAGACCGUACAGCAGAAGCGUUAGAGAACGCGAUUGAUGUAGUGGAACGUCCUCACGUCCCUCGAUCCGCCCCGCGAACAAUCCCGCGAUCAGUCCCACGAUCUAGUACCGAACGGACGGCACCUCCGCGUCAGCACACGUACAGCUCGACGAUGAUCUCGGCCUUCUUGAUCCAGCAAGAGAGACAGAGAGGUAGAAGAGUUCUCCGGCAGCGUGACGGCACUCCGGAGGUUGGUGAUGACCUUGUCUCAGCAGGGCUCCGCCCGAGCUCCGCAGAAACGUGAUCUAGAGGAAAAACCGUGGAGGUAUGUGGUCGGGCUGCCGUGGAAAAGUCGUCUCAAAUCAGCCCUAAAACCUCCGUAUAUAUAGGUGGGAGAGAGGGGACCUUGCCUUGGGGCUCAAGGGGCCCCAAGGGGGUCGGCCGAGUCCAAGGGGGGAAGGCUCCCCCCCCAAACCGAGUUGGACUUGGUUUGGUGGGUGGGAGUCCUUCCUUCCCUUCCCACCUCCCUUUUUUUUUCUUUCUCUUUGAUUUUUCUUUCUAUUGCGCAUAGGGCCCUUUUGGGCUGUCCCACCAGACCACUAAGGGCUAGUGCGCCACCCUCAUGGCCAAUGGGCUUCCCCGGGGUGGGUUGCCCCCCCCCCCCGGUGAACUCCCGGAACCCAUUCGUCAUUCCCGGUACAUUCCCGGUAACUCCGAAAACCUUCCGGUAAUCAAAUGAGGUCAUCCUAUAUAUCAAUCUUCGUUUCCGGACCAUUCUGAAAACCCUCGUGACGUCCGUGAUCUCAUCCGGGACUCCUAACAACAUUCGGUAACCAANNNNNNNNNNNNNNNNNNNNNNNNNNNNNNNNNNNNNNNNNNNNNNNNNNNNNNNNNNNNNNNNNNNNNNNNNNNNNNNNNNNNNNNNNNNNNNNNNNNNNNNNNNNNNNNNNNNNNNNNNNNNNNNNNNNNNNNNNNNNNNNNNNNNNNNNNNNNNNNNNNNNNNNNNNNNNNNNNNNNNNNNNNNNNNNNNNNNNNNNNNNNNNNNNNNNNNNNNNNNNNNNNNNNNNNNNNNNNNNNNNNNNNNNNNNNNNNNNNNNNNNNNNNNNNNNNNNNNNNNNNNNNNNNNNNNNNNNNNNNNNNNNNNNNNNNNNNNNNNNNNNNNNNNNNNNNNNNNNNNNNNNNNNNNNNNNNNNNNNNNNNNNNNNNNNNNNNNNNNNNNNNNNNNNNNNNNNNNNNNNNNNNNNNNNNGUUCCGUAAUACAAGAUCCUGCAACUUACACUAAGUUACUUUGCUUACAAGGCUUGUGUGUGAUGUUGUAUUACCGAGUGGGCCCCGAGAUACCUCUCCGUCGAACGGAGUGACAAAUCCCAGUCUUGAUCCUUACUAACUCAACUAACACCUUCGGAGAUACCUGUAGAGCAUCUUUAUAGUCACCCAGUUACGUUGCGACGUUUGAUACACAGAAAGUAUUCCUCGGGUGUCAGUGAGUUAUAUGAUCUCAUGGUCAUAGGAACAAAUACUUGACACGCAGAAAACAGUAGCAACAAAAUGACACGAUCAACAUGCUACGUCUAUUAGUUUGGGUCUAGUCCAUCACGUGAUUCUCCUAAUGACGUGAUCCAGUUAUCAAGUAACAACACCUUGUUCAUAAUCAGAAGACACUGACUAACUUUGAUCAACUGGCUAGCCAACUAGAGGCUUGCUAGGGACAGUGUUUUGUCCAUGUAUCCACACAUGUAAAUGAGUCUUCAUUCAAUACAAUUAUAUCAUGGAUAAUAAACGAUUAUCUUGAUACAGGAAUUAUAAUAAUAACUAUAUUUAUUAUUGCCUCUAGGGCAUAAUUCCAACAGUCUCCCACUUGCACUAGAGUCAAUAAUCUAGCCCUCACAUCAUCAUGUGAAUUACAUUGUAAUAAAUCUAACACCCAUACAGUUCUGGUGUUGAUCAUGCUUUGGCCGUGGAAGAGGUUUAGUCAGCGGGUCUGCUACAUUCAGAUCCGUGUGCACUUUGCAUAUAUUCACAUCCUCUCCUUCGACGUAGUCGCGGAUGAGGUUGAAGCGUCGUUUGAUGUGUCUGGACUUCUUGUGAAACCGUGGUUCCUUUGCUAAGGCAAUGUAACCCGUGUUGUCACAGAACAAGGUUAUUGGAUUCAGUGCGCUUGGCACCACUCCAAGGUCCAUCAUGAACUGCUUCAUCCAGACACCCUCCUUAGCCGCUUCCGAGGCAGCCAUGUACUCCGCUUGACAUGUAGAAUCUGCUACGACGCUUUGCUUGGAACUGCACCAGCUUACCGCACCCCUAUUAAGAAUAAAUACGUAUCCGGUUUGCGACUUAGAGUCGUCCGGAUCAGUGUCAAAGCUUGCAUCGACGUAACCUUUUACGGCGAGCUCUUCGUCACCUCCAUACACGAGAAACAUCUCCUUAGUCCUUUUCAGGUACUUCAGGAUAUUCUUGACCGCUGUCCAGUGAUCCACUCCUGGAUUACUCUGGAACCUACCUGCCAUACUUAUGGCCAGGCUAACAUCCGGUCUAGUGCACAACAUUGCAUACAUGAUAGAACCUAUGGCUGAAGCAUAGGGGACGGAGCACAUAUGCUCUCUAUCUUCAUCAGUUGCUGGGCACUGAGUCUUACUCAAUCUCGUACCUUGUAAAACUGGCAAGAACCCUUUCUUGGACUGGUCCAUUUUGAACCUCUUCAAAACUUUAUCAAGGCAUGUGCUUUGUGAAAGCCCUAUCAGGCGUUUUGAUCUAUCCCUGUAGAUCUUAAUGCCUAGAAUGUAAGCAGCUUCUCCUAGGUCCUUCAUAGAGAAACUUUUAUCCAAGUAAUCCUUUAUGGUCUCUAAAAACUCCACGUUGUUUCCAAUCAGCAAUAUGUCAUCCACAUAUAAUAUUAGAAACGCCACAGAGCUCCCACUCACUUUCUUGUAAAUACAAGAUUCUCCAACCACUUGUAUAAACCCAAAUGCUUUGAUCACCUCAUCAAAGCGUUUGUUCCAACUCCGAGAUGCUUGCACCAGUCCAUAAAUGGAUCGCUGGAGCUUGCACACCUUGUUAGCAUUCUUAGGAUCGACAAAACCUUCGGGUUGCAUCAUAUACAAUUCUUCCUUAAGGAAACCGUUAAGGAACGCCGUUUUGACAUCCAUCUGCCAGAUUUCAUAAUCAAAAAAUGCAGCUAUUGCUAACAUGAUUCUGAUGGACUUAAGCAUCGCUACGGGUGAGAAAGUCUCAUCGUAGUCAACUCCUUGAACUUGUGAAAAACCCUUUGCCACAAGUCGAGCUUUAUAAACGGUCACAUUGUCGUCAGCGUCCGUCUUCCUCUUAAAAAUCCAUUUGUUCUGAAUAGCCUUGCGGCCCUCAGGUAGUACCUCCAAAGUCCACACUUUGUUCUCAUACAUGGAUCCUAUCUCGGACUUCAUGGCUUCUAGCCAUUUGUUGGAAUCUGGGCCCACCAUUGCUUCUUCAUAAUUUGCAGGUUCAUUGUUGUCCAACAACAUGAUCGAUAAGACGGGAUUACCGUACCACUCCGGAGCAGCACGUGGUCUCGUCGACCUGCGUGGUUCGACAGAAACUUGAACCGGAGUUUCAUGAUCAUCAUCAUUAACUUCCUCCUCACCUGGCGUUGCAAUGACAGAGGUUUCCCCUUGCCCUGCGCCACCAUCCAGAGGGAUGAGAGGUUCGACAACCUCGUCAAGUUCUAUCUUCCUCCCACUCAAUUCUUUCGAGAGAAACUCCUUCUCGAGAAGAGCUCCAUUUUUAGCAACAAACACUUUGCCCUCGGAUUUGAGAUAGAAGGUGUACCCAACUGUCUCUUUUGGGUAACCUAUGAAGACGCACUUUUCCGCUUUGGGUUCCAGGUUUUCAGGCUGAAGCUUUUUGACAUAAGCAUCAAAUCCCCAAAUUUUAAGAAAUGACAAUUUUGGCCUUUUGCCAUACCACAGUUCGUAUGGUGUCGUCUCAACGGAUUUUGAUGGUGCCCUAUUUAAAGUUAAUGCAGCUGUUUCUAAUGCAUAACCCCAAAACGAUAACGGCAAAUCAGUAAGAGACAUCAUAGAUCGCACCAUCUCUAAUAAAGUACGAUUACGACAUUCGGACACACCAUUACGCUGUGGUGUUCCAGGCGGUGUUAACUGUGAAACAAUUCCACAUCGUCUUAAGUGAGCACCAAACUCGAAACUUAGAUAUUCACCCCCACGAUCAGGCCAUAGGAACUUGAUCUUCUUGUUACGAUGAUUUUCCACUUCACUCUGAAUUUGCUUGAACUUUUCAAAUGUUUCAGACUUGUGCUUCAUCAAGUAGACAUAACCAUAUCUACUCAAAUCGUCAGUGAAGGUGAGAAAAUAACGAUAUCCGCCGCGUGCCUCCACGCUCAUCGGACCACACACAUCGGUAUGUAUGAUUUCCAACAAGUCACUUGCAUGGUCCAUUGUUCCGGAGAACGGAGUCUUAGUCAUCUUGCCCAUGAGGCAUGGUUCGCACGUGUCAAGUGAAUCAAAGUCAAGUGACUCCAAAAGAUCACCAUGGAGUAUCUUCAUGCGCUUUACACCCAUAUGACCUAAACGGCAGUGCCACAAAAAUAUGGUGCUAUCAUUGUUAACUCUAACUCUUUUGGUCUCAAUGUUAUGUAUGUGUGUAUCGCUAUCAAGAUUCAAUAUGAACAAUCCUCUCACAUUGGGUGCAUGACCAUAAAAGAUGUUACUCAUAGAAAUAGAACAACCAUUAUUCUCUGACUUAAAAGAGUAACCGUCUCGCAAUAAACGAGAUCCAGAUAUAAUGUUCAUGCUCAACGCAGGCACUAAAUAACAAUGAUUUAAGUUCAUCACUAAUCCUGAUGGUAACUGAAGUGAAACUGUGCCGACGGCGAUUGCAUCAACCUUGGAACCAUUUCCUUCGCGCAUCGUCACUUCAUCUUUCGCCAGCCUUCGUCUAUUCCGCAGUUCCUGUUUCGAGUUGCAAAUAUGAGCAACAGAACCGGUAUCGACUACCCACGCACCACUAGAGAGCUGGUUAAGUACACAUCAAUAACAUGUAUAUCAAAUAUACCUGAUUUUUCUUUGGCCGCCUUCUUAUCUGCCAGAUACUUGGGGCAAUUGCGCUUCUAGUGACCCAUACCCUUUGCAAUAGUAACACUCCGUUUCAGGCUUAGGUCCAGCUUUGGGUUUCUUCGUCGGAUUGGCAACAGGCUUGCCGGUCUUCUUUGAAUUACCCUUCUUGCCUUUGCCGUUUCUCUUGAAACUAGUGGUCUUAUUCACCGUCAACACUUGAUGCUCUUUACAGAGUUCAGACUCUGCGACUUUCAGCAUCGCAAACAACUCACCGAGUGACUUGUUCAUCCCUUGCAUGUUGUAGUUCAACACAAAGCCUUUAUAGCUUGGCGGCAGUGAUUGAAGGAUUCUGUCAGUGAUAGCCUCUUGCGGGAGUUCAAUCCCCAGCUCAGCUAGACGGUUUGAGUACCCAGACAUUUUGAGCACAUGUUCACUGACAGACGAGUUCUCCUCCAUCUUGCAAGCAUAGAAUUUAUCGGAGGUCUCAUACCUCUCGAUCCGGGCAUUCUUCUGAAAGAUAAACUUCAACUCCUGGAACAUCUCAAAUGCUCCAUGACGCUCAAAGCGACGUUGAAGUCCCGGUUCUAAGCCAUACAAGACUGCACAUUGAACUACUGAGUAGUCCUCCUUACGUGCUAACCAAGCGUUCUAAACAUCUUGAUCAGCCGUAGCGGGUGGUUCAUCUCCUAGCGCAGCAUUACGGACAUAAUCCUUCUUCCCNNNNNNNNNNNNNNNNNNNNNNNNNNNNNNNNNNNNNNNNNNNNNNNNNNNNNNNNNNNNNNNNNNNNNNNNNNNNNNNNNNNNNNNNNNNNNNNNNNNNNNNNNNNNNNNNNNNNNNNNNNNNNNNNNNNNNNNNNNNNNNNNNNNNNNNNNNNNNNNNNNNNNNNNNNNNNNNNNNNNNNNNNNNNNNNNNNNNNNNNNNNNNNNNNNNNNNNNNNNNNNNNNNNNNNNNNNNNNNNNNNNNNNNNNNNNNNNNNNNNNNNNNNNNNNNNNNNNNNNNNNNNNNNNNNNNNNNNNNNNNNNNNNNNNNNNNNNNNNNNNNNNNNNNNNNNNNNNNNNNNNNNNNNNNNNNNNNNNNNNNNNNNNNNNNNNNNNNNNNNNNNNNNNNNNNNNNNNNNNNNNNNNNNNNNNNNNNNNNNNNNNNNNNNNNNNNNNNNNNNNNNNNNNNNNNNNNNNNNNNNNNNNNNNNNNNNNNNNNNNNNNNNNNNNNNNNNNNNNNNNNNNNNNNNNNNNNNNNNNNNNNNNNNNNNNNNNNNNNNNNNNNNNNNNNNNNNNNNNNNNNNNNNNNNNNNNNNNNNNNNNNNNNNNNNNNNNNNNNNNNNNNNNNNNNNNNNNNNNNNNNNNNNNNNNNNNNNNNNNNNNNNNNNNNNNNNNNNNNNNNNNNNNNNNNNNNNNNNNNNNNNNNNNNNNNNNNNNNNNNNNNNNNNNNNNNNNNNNNNNNNNNNNNNNNNNNNNNNNNNNNNNNNNNNNNNNNNNNNNNNNNNNNNNNNNNNNNNNNNNNNNNNNNNNNNNNNNNNNNNNNNNNNNNNNNNNNNNNNNNNNNNNNNNNNNNNNNNNNNNNNNNNNNNNNNNNNNNNNNNNNNNNNNNNNNNNNNNNNNNNNNNNNNNNNNNNNNNNNNNNNNNNNNNNNNNNNNNNNNNNNNNNNNNNNNNNNNNNNNNNNNNNNNNNNNNNNNNNNNNNNNNNNNNNNNNNNNNNNNNNNNNNNNNNNNNNNNNNNNNNNNNNNNNNNNNNNNNNNNNNNNNNNNNNNNNNNNNNNNNNNNNNNNNNNNNNNNNNNNNNNNNNNNNNNNNNNNNNNNNNNNNNNNNNNNNNNNNNNNNNNNNNNNNNNNNNNNNNNNNNNNNNNNNNNNNNNNNNNNNNNNNNNNNNNNNNNNNNNNNNNNNNNNNNNNNNNNNNNNNNNNNNNNNNNNNNNNNNNNNNNNNNNNNNNNNNNNNNNNNNNNNNNNNAAGAUCCCGCAACUUACACUAAGUUACUUUGCUUGCAAGGCUUGUGUGUGAUGUUGUAUUACCGAGUGGGCCCCGAGAUACCUCUCCGUCACACGGAGUGACAAAUCCCAGUCUUGAUCCAUACUAACUCAACUAACACCUUCGGAGAUACCUGUAGAGCAUCUUUAUAGUCACCGAGUUACGUUGCGAUGUUUCAUAGACACAGAUUAUUCCUCCGGUGUCAGUGAGUUAUAUGAUCUCAUGGUCAUAGGAACAAAUACUUGACACGCAGAAAACAGUAGCAACAAAAUGACACGAUCAACAUGCUACGUCUAUUAGUUUGGGUCUAGUCCAUCACGUGAUUCUCCUAAUGACGUGAUCCAGUUAUCAUGUAACAACACCUUGUUCAUAAUCAGAAGACACUAACUAUCUUUGAUCAACUGGCUAGCCAACUAGAGGCUUGCUAGGGACAGUGUUUUGUCUAUGUAUCCACACAUGUAAAUGAGUCUUCAUUCAAUACAAUUAUAGCAUGGAUAAUAAACGAUUAUCUUGAUACAGGAAUUAUAAUAAUAACUAUAUUUAUUAUUGCCUCUAGGGCAUAAUUCCAACAGGAUGCAAUGAAGAACAUGACUAGAGCGAGAGGAAUAGGUUGGCACAAGGCCAACUUUCCUGACUAGCUGGACGACCAUCCAUAGAGCCGCCUAAAGGGCCCUCAACACUGCGAGAUGGAGGUGGCAUCAAUGAACGUUAGUGUCUUAGCACACAACCC